This 180019-nucleotide long non-coding RNA is filed under the name Ananas comosus (pineapple). RNAcentral describes it as "long non-coding RNA (ACOM_LNC005821)". The record is from RNAcentral. Lineage: Eukaryota; Viridiplantae; Streptophyta; Magnoliopsida; Poales; Bromeliaceae.
AUAUUCGAUUUAUUUUUAAUAUUUUAUAAAAUAAUAGUUUAUUUGUUACUUCUUUUACUACACUAUUUAGGUCCCGUUUGGUUCAGAAAUAAAAUGAAGAUAAUAAAAAUUAUCCCCACUAUUCUGUCAACGAGGUGACUUUUGGCUGGAAUAUUUAAUUUUGGUCAAAUCUUAUUAUUUCCAGUUUUCUCGAAUACUACAACAAAAUUAGAUUAUAGGGACACAUAUUUGGGACACUUUUGAGUAAAUGUCCCAUUUAUGCUAAAACUUAAAAACACAUCUACUAAUGCCUAAAUAUAAAGCCCAAUCCAACCAAAAAUAAAAGAUUACUCUACUCAACCCACCACACCCAGUGCAUUUGGCCCGAUUACAAACAGAAAAGAAAAAAAAAAAAAGAAAAAUCAAUUACCAUUUUUUCUUCUCUCUUCACUCAAUCCACUGAAAUUCUAGACGAAGAGCCUUUACUGUCGUCCUCCUCCGCCACUGCAGCCAACAAGAUAGAGUUUCGGCGGUUGCUAAAUACUUAAAUAAGUGUUGGUAAAUUAGCAGCACUCUUUUAGGUUAUAGCGACACUCUUUAACUGUCACUAUAUACCUAACGACCCCACAUAUAGCAAUACUUUUUAAAAGUGUCGGUAAUUUUAGCUAGCAGCACUUUUUUGACAUGUACCUACAUUUAAAAGUGUCGCUAUAGACCGUUUUUGUUGUAGUGGAAUAGCUCCGUAUAAAUUAUUUCAUCAUUUUGACGGAAUAGUACUAUUCCGUAAUUUAACUUUUAGCUUUAUUAAGAUUAUAAAUUAAAUUAAAAUUAAAUUAUAUAGAUCUAAUAUCUUAUAUGUUAUAAUAAAAAUAUAAUUGUACUAUAUAAAUACAUAUUAUUUAUAUUUAAAUACUGUAAUAUAUGAUUAUAAUACAUUAUAUUUAAAUAUUAUAAUAAAUUAUUUUUAUUAAAUAUUAUAAUAAUUUUUUUUGCAAUAAAUUAUUUUUGUAACAAUUAUUUUUAUUAUAUUAUAUUUUAUAACAAAUCUAAUCAUCACUUUUUUUUCAUUAUUCUCCACUAAUCCAAAAAAUUAACGAAAUACAAUUUUAAUUAUUGUUAAGAAUAAUAGUAUUACAAACAAAACAUAAUUUUAUUUUAUUCCUAUCUAUUCUGAAAUAGUAAGCUAUCUCAGAGAUAGAAAACUUAUCUCANCUCCUAACUUUCUAACCACCCAUCAAGUUGGAUGGGUGGUUAGAAUGAGAGAGGGAGGAGAUAUUGAAGAGAAAUUGGGUGUUUCAAUUUCUCAUCUCCUUGAAUUUCUCUUCAAUAUCUCAUCUCUCUCUCAUUCUAACCAUCCAUCAAAUUUGAUGGGUGGUUAGAAUGUUAGGAGCACAAGGGCUGCUGUGCUCCUAAUAGCACAGUAGCCCUACUCUAUAUAUAUAUAUAGAGCUAGGCUACUAUACUAUCGGUAGCAUGGAGCGCUCCGUGCUAUCAAGUUGUUUUCGAUGAUGCGGCUUCCAAAUCAACGAUCGGCUCCGUUAGAGUUGAUCCACACUAUUGAAAGUAUUUAGAAACUAAAUUUCAUAAUUUUUCGAUAUCUUUUACCUAUCAAACAAGUAGUCUAAAAUUGAACGGCUGAAAAUAAAAAUCUCAUAAAAAAUGAUGACAAAAGAUUUAAAUUCAAGAUCAGAUAUGCUGAUCUUACUCUAAAUAGUGAAAAGAAUUUUCUAUAAACUUUUCAUCGCAUUUGAAUUAUUUUACACCGUUAAACUCACAAACACACCACAUCGGCCAUUAAAAUUAUCAAUUUUGAAAUCUUUUGAUCACUAGUCAAAUGAUGUUGAAAAAAUUUGAAAUUUAGUUUUCAAAUAUUUUCAAUACUGUAGAUCAAGUCUAACGGAGCCGAUCGUCGAUUUGGAAGCCGCAUCAUUAAAAACAACUUGGUAGCACGGAGCGCUCCGUGCUACCGAUAGCAUAGUAGCCGGACUAUAUAUAUAUAUAUAUAUAGCCGGACUCUAAAUUUUACAAGCACCAUAGCCGAGUUCUAUAUAUAUAUAUAUAUAUAUAUAUAUAUAUAUAUAUAAAACUAGGUUGGAAUGCUUUCAAUGGUGUUAUUAGAUUUUCGGCACUUGGAUAAAAAAAUAUACGAUUAGAAUAAUAUAAGGCCCCUAGAAUUGAGUGAGUUGUUGGUUAAAUAAUAUGAUCUACAUGUACUUCCUAAUGUGUUUUUUUUAAUCCAAUAGUAUUAGAAAAUCUGCAAUAGCGAACUGUACAGGGCGAAUUUUUUGUAGUCUCGUGGGCAGGAUUUUCUGCAUAGCAUGUGGUUUUGCUGUCUUUCAUACAUGAAAAUAUCAAGAUAUUUAGAUGCUAAUCAAAUUCGAAUGAUAUUUUCUUCGUGUGAACAGACGGCGAGAUCAUUUCGUGCGGCAUUAAAAAAAAAAAAAAAAGGAAAAAUCUGAGUUUGUGUGAUGAAGGGUCUCUCUCUUCUGGGCUGUGGUGUAGCUGCCUGUGAUGCGCGCUAUUGGGUUUGUGGGUAGACUUUACACCGACCACGACAUCUUUCGGUGGUGGUGGUGGUGGUGGUCCCGGCAGAAGUGAUCACCACAUAUUUUUUAAAAAAAGGAAAUAAACGCAUGGAAGGGAAUGGUCCUCAUUAGAGGGAAAAAAAUCCCAAACUUUGACUUUGUAAUAAAUAUAAACCAUAAACUUCAAAUACCAUUCCCGUAAUUUUAUAUUUUUUCAUUUUAAUACUAUGUGAUUUAAAAUAUAUCAAAUUACUAUCCUGUGAUUCCAUUUUUCUCUUUUUGUCAGCUCUUUCGUUAAUUUUUUAUUAAAUUAUAUAUAAAAAACUUUUGCUAUCCUAUUUAAGUUUAUCGAAUGUUUACUCUCGUACCCUUUAGCUUUAACUUUGUCACUAAUUUAACGAACACAAAUUAAUGGAAUGGAUAAUAAAAAGAAAAAAAUGGAAACACAAGAUACUAAAUUGAUACACUUUAAACCAUGGGGUACUAAAGUGAGAAAAUACGAAACCACAAGGGUGGUAUUUAAAGUUUUCUCUAAAUAUAAAUAUAAAUGUCUAAACUUUUAAUUUUAGUAAUUGAAUAUUCUAUAUUUUUUCAAAUAGUUUGAUAGUUCAAUUUUUUAAUUAAAGUUAUUAAUUAUACCGUCGUGCUAGUUGUAUAUUUUGUAUAUAAAUUUUUUUUAAAAAAUAGAAAUAUAUAAAAAAUAUUUUCUUCAUUCUAUUCUACUGUAUGAAAAAGGUAAUAAAAAUUAAAGUUGUGUUCACCCUAUACAUCAAUUUUCAUAUCUUCUUUUUAAAUUGAAAGAGAAAAAAAAAGAAGAAGGUGUUUUUAUGGUCUGAAGUUUUACAAAAUUAUACUAAUAAUAUCCUAUCAAAACAAUUAUUUAGUUAAUAACUUUGAUUGAAAAGAGAAAACUAUAUAUUGAACUAUGAUUGGCAGUCAAAUUAUCACAAAUAAAAAAUUUAGAAAGCUGUUUACAACAGAACUAAGAUCAAAAAAAAAAAAGGGUACAUUUUUCCCUUAAUAAAACCUGUGAAUAAUUUGGAUCCUCGCAUCAACUGUUCUCUGCAUUUAAAUAUUUUGAUGAGGGACAAAGCUACCAUCUAAUCUGAUAGAUUCUUCAUUUUUUAACACCACAACAAAUUUAAGUUCCUGAUGGGACAAGAUAUCCAAGAUUCCAUUGCCCUAGCAUAAAAUCUUGUCUUAAAGUGGGUUGUUGCGUUUCUCACAUUUUUAUCUGUAUUUAAAAAAGAGCACUAAUAAUUUAUGUGCAUUUCAGAAGAGAAUGUACAUCUCAUAUUUUCUCAUUUAAGGAUCAAUAAUUAAUUCCUGUCUUAUCAAGUAUUUUUUUUUGAAAAAAAUACUAAACUUUAUUGAAUUUUUUAUACUCCAAAAUGAAGAGGUGUAAGAUAUAUAGAGUUGAGCUAAAAUACUAUCGGUAGUAAACGAGCCGUUUUACUACCGAUUUGUUUUCGAUAAUAGAACUUCCAAAUUGACGAUCGGCUCCGUUGAAUAUGAUCUAUACCACUUGAAGUGUUUAGAAAUCAAAUUUCAAAUCUUUUCGUCAUCAUUUGCCUAAUGAUCAAAGGGUUUCAAAAUUUAUAAUUUUAAUGGUCGAUAAGAGACAUUUUCUCGUUUAACGGCGUAAAGAUAUUCAACUCAAUUGAAUUUUUGUUAGAAAAUUCUUUAAAUUAUUUAAAACAAGAUCUAUACUCUUGAUCUUGAUUACAAGACUCCUAUAAUUAUUUUUUAAAAAGUAUUCAUUUUCAGCCAUUCAUUUUUCUCUUUAUUUGAUGGAUAAAAGAACAAUAUCGAAAGUACAUGAAAUUUGAUUUCUAAGUAGUUUAAAUGGUUUAGAUCAUAUUUAAUGGAGCCGAUCGUCAAUUUGGAAAGCUAUCCAUUUGAAAAACAAACGGUAGUAAACGAACUCGUUUUAUACCGAUAGUAUUCUAGCUCAACUCCAAGAUAAUAUAUAUAUAUAUAUAUAUAAUAAUAUAUAUAUAAUAUAUAUAAAUAUAUAUAUAUAUUAUAUAUAUUCAUUUUUGGUGAUCUCAUAGUAUUUCUGAUUUAAAAUAGGCUUUUGAUGAUAAACUUAAAAGAAAAUAUGUUUAGUUUGCUGUAGUUGUACAUACAACAUCACAGUUGACAUUGCCAAAUUAAAAGUAAUUACUGUAUUUUGAUGUACCUUCAAUUCCAAUGUAAAGCUUGUCAUAGUUUUGUUUUUUUUUUUUGAGAUAGAUGGUACGCUACCCGCUUCAUUUAUUUCAUUUAGAAAUAAAUUUAGCUAGAAAUGUGAAUCAACUAGGAUUCGAACUUAGGUCUUGGGUAUCAACCACCAAGCCCUUUACCACUUGCUCUAGGGACGGUCGGUGUAAGCUUGUCAUAGUUGCAUAUAAUAAUAUUGCAAUUGGGCAUGCUAAGUAAAAAUCAAGUUGCCGCAUAUUCCAGCCUACCUUCAAUCUGGACGUAAUUGUUGUAGAAAGUAAUUUUACAUAAAGGUUAUUGUCAGGAUAUUUCGUUCCUAACUGUAGUUUUGAUAUUGACAGCUAAGUUAACUUCUCUAUCAGACAUCUCAAAUUCUCGAACGAUCUGGAUAUAAAGUCUUUUUUUUUACUAGAUUAACAUUGUUUUGCUCAUUAAAUUAGAUAAGAUAUUUCACUUUAGGCCAAUAAAUAAGUUUUUCUCUUUUGUAAUCAAUAAUCAAUUUAUUAGUAAAGAAGUGGGUUCUUUUUAAUGCUUUCUCCCUUAAGCUAAGUUAGAAAAUGAGAUCCCCUUCCCCGUUGAGCGGAUAGGCGUCUAACAAAUAUGUAAAAUUUAUCUAUCAAUAUCAAAACUAUAGUUAAGAGUGGAAGAUUCUAAUAAUUUUAAAUCACAUUAAUAUCUUCUUUUAUAAUAAAAAUAGGAGGAACUGACAGUAGUAAUGUUUUUUAAACAUCUAAUGAUAGAUAAAGCAACGAAAUAGAUAAAGAUGGUGAUGACGGCGAAAGAGUGAUCCGUAAAGAUGCCGACAUGGUACAACUAGUGGAUGUGGCGAUUGAGACACAACCAGAGACGCCGAUAGAGAAUGAAUGAUUGGUGGUGGCAAUGGGAGAGGAAUAACAGGUGGAGGAGAUGGUGGAGGUACUUACGGAGGUGACAACUAGUUAUGCAGAGAAGUUAGGAAUUCUAUUUGUUGAUCCAUAGUCCGCAAAAUAGUCAGAUCAACCUCAUGACAAAGUUUUCAACCGAAAAUUCGCUAAUUGAGAUUUAUUCACAUUGAUUUGCAAUCGUACUUUUGGUGCUUAUACACAAUAAGGCACCAUCUUUCGGUAGAAAAUUUUAUCAAAAAGUUUUAAACUCUUGCAUCGUCUGCAAUAUAGAAGUUUUUAAGACUUGAAAUUAUUGAUUUUCCCGUUACUCUGUAAGUAAAGAUUCUCAUUAGUGAUUGUACCAACUAUGUUGCAAGUACGAAGAAGUGUAGUCUUUGCACUACAACAGAAUUAGGUUAUAGGGACACAUUUUUGGGACACUUUUGAGUAAGUGUCCCAUUUAUGCUAAAACUUAAAAAAACAUCUACUAAUACCUAAAUAUAAAGCCCAAUCCAACCAAAAAUAAAAGAUUACUCUACUCAACCCACCACACCCAGUCCAUUUGGCCCGAUUACCAACAGAAAAGAAAAAAAAGAAAAAGAAAAAUCAAUUACCAUCUUUUCUUCUCUCUUCACUCAAUUCACUGAAAUUCUAGACAAAGAGCCUUUCCUGUCGUCCUCCUCCGCCACCGCAGCCAACGAGAUAGAGUUUCGGCGGUUACUAAAUGCUUAAAUAAGUGUUGAUAAAUUAGCAGUACUCUUUUAGGUUAUAGCGAUACUUUUUAACUGUCACUAUAUACCUGGCGACCCCACAUAUAGCAACACUUUUUAAAAGUGUCGGUAAUUUUAGCUAGCAGCACUUUUUUGACAUGUAGCUACAUUUAAAAGUGACGCUAUAGACCGUUUUUGUUAUAGUGUUGACACAAGAAGGUUCGAUUUUGUUACUGAGAACUCGUGUUACUUACCUCCUGUUGGUAGCCGAACUCUCCCUUCUUUGACCUUGUCAAAGAUCUUCCUCGGGAAUGAUGCCGGGAUGUGACGCGGCUAUGAUAAUGACCCUCGAAGUUUGCGCCCUUCGACUGGAUCAAACGAUUAGGCUGAUGAGGGAUCGGAUCAGCCGAGUUCGGAACCUCUGAUAGAAACUCGGUUCGGCUGGAAGAGCCGAAUGUACGGAAUGUGCAGAAUGUAAAGUCGACCGAAGAGCCGAAUUGAUGAGAGAACACAGAAAUUGGUCGGCUUAAAGAGCCGAAAGCCUUUAAGAUAUAUUUGAAAUUACUCUCGAGGGAAAGUACAAGGGUUGAGUGUGCCCGAGGGCAUACAGACUCGGUUGAUCUAUUCUAAUUCUACUCUUAGGAAAACAGUAAAUGUUGAAAAUUAAAGGGUUACAAGUAGACUACUCCUAAGAAAUGCAAAAAAUUGCAAGGAAAUAAGAGUGGUCUUCUGUUCACGGGGAAAAGACCACUUUUUUGGGCGUUAUUGGCCAAUUUAUAGAUCGCCCAUGUUGAUCAGUUAUUACUUAUCCAUGAUCGGCCACUAUUCCCUAAUUUUUCGGGCCACUUCCAGCCGAUUGGAACCGCUUGCAACUGCUCGCGGUUGCUGUAACUUCCCUUAAUUCAUGCGGGUUCACUUUUUGAUGCUCCCGGUGCACAGCAGAAACAUUACUUUCUUUUAAACAAAACUGCUAUGGUGUACCGGGUACCACGUGUCCGCGUCUUAUUGGCCCAACAAUUGCCCCCUCGGCAGCUUCCAAACUACCGCUUCGAUAGCUGGCGUAAUCCGAGGCGCGACUUCCGAUCCGAUUAAAAUUUCUUUUAAGAUUUCGCCUCAGCCGUCCAUUUCUCUUCUACGGCCACGAUCUUGCCAUCAUUUCGAUAACUAGCGUGAUCCGAGGCGUGACUCUCGAUAUAAUCAAUUUCAAAUUCUCUGCACGAUUUCGUUUCAGCCGUUCAUUUCUUUUUCAAGGCUACGAUUCUGCCAUCUCUUUUUGUCUUAUAUGCGGCAUUAAUUAGGUCAUCUUAAUUGCCGCCGUCUUUUGAUCGUUAUAGCCGAUCUCGGGAAUCGAUUUUCGACGCGACGGCUCUUUUUCUUCCCCGCCAAUCUUUCUUUUCUCUAAUUUCUAUUUACCUCAGGCCUCGUCUUCUCCAUUUCUGAUCUAUAGCUUUGGCUCCAUUUUCUUUUCCUUAUCGAUUCGUAAGGCUUCUUCUCCCUUCUUUAGCAAUGGCACCGGUUCCAUCUCUUCCAUCUUCUUUGUCCUUAGAUUAUAACAUCUUUAGACAACUCACCGACUCAGAUCCAUCUCGCUUCAUUUUAGGUCCUUCUUUUACAGACGAACCAACGCCUAGCGACUCCCCAUAUUCCAGUGAUGGCCUUCCAUUUUCAGCCAGAACUACCCACCUCCAAUCUUGGUAUUCGUCAGCUUCAACAGGCAAAAGUUUUCGAACCUGGCCAAGUGUUUCGGAUGCAUACCUGGCCUGGUUAGACCGGGUAGAAGUUGCCUAUGGUGCCUCUUGGCGGGAAGUAGGUAUUUAUAAGGCAAUCAAAUUAUCUCGGCAACCCCCAAUAGCCGACAAUCUCCUUUUAGCCGCUGCUCUCUGUUUCUGAUACCCUGUUUCUAACGUUUUUCUUUUCAAAUGAGGACCCCUUACUCCCACUCUUUUUUAUGUUGCUGCCAUCGUUGGCUUACGCCCCCAUGGAGUUACCCUCUCCAUGUCCUACAAUCCUAAUGGCAUGUUUGAUUUUAAGGCUUAUCUUGAUCUCAAUGACUUGGCUUACUCUAAGUUUCUCUGCAAAUUUGCCGGUGAGUCUUCUGCUGCGGUUACAAGGAAGGAACAUACAGACUUCCUCCUAUAUUGGUUAUACCACAACCUUUUUUACACUCGUUCGCAAAAAAUUAAUCCGGAUUUCGUCCCAAUCGCCGUAGGCUUAGCCAACGGCGAAAAAUUAGCUUUAGGACCCUAUAUUCUUGCUUUUGUUUAUAGGAAAAUUUUUGAUUUUAUCAAACCACUGACCUCUGGAGAUGGUGUGACCAUCGGUUCUGGUUGUGGUGUUUUUUGGUUCUUGCAAAUAUUUUUGCAAUUUUAUUUUCCCACUCUGUGCCGAGAUCCUGUAGAUCUAAACUCGGUUGCUGAACAUGACUCUUAUAGGUUAGCUCUCAGCUGUCUACAACCGAAAACCUCAGGUCACCCUUUUGAUUUUCUUACUUAUUUUAAAACUUUUUAUGAGUUGCGCUAUAGUUUUGCUAUUUCUUGGUCUCUAUUUGCUGACCGUCUCACUUGUCCAUCUUGGUUCCUUACCCGAUACGAGGCCCUUCACAGCGAAUUGGCAUCUUCUCAUGCCAGUGAGUAUUUAGACGUCUAGUACUCCUUUUUGGCCACAAGGAUUUGCAUGUGGGGCUAAAAUCACGUUCGAAACUGCUGCCGAGCACCGAAGUUUACUCCCCCCAAUUUGCAGCGUGUCAGUUUGGGUUGAUACAAGCGGUUCAUGCUCCAACCAAGUUUUUUACUGCCAAUACAGCUGCCAUCCGGCCUACUACCAAGGGCAUAGCCGAAGCCGAUCAGAUUUCGGCUAUGGGGAACCGUCUCCGGCCGUUUUACAAGUUAAUAAGCUUCAGGUCGAAUUCCACAGGUGUGGCGCUAUCUAGUUAUCUCACAACUUGGGGACAAUUCACUGAUAUAGUCUACGGUUUAUCUACCCCUCGGGCGUAUUACAAGACUAUUCAUCCAUUUGUUUCAGUUGAUACCUCUGCUCCAUCAACAUCGGAAAAAGAAUCAGAAGAGACUUCCGAUCAUACCUCUGAUGUCCCGCCUUCUUCUUCUGUAAUAAACUUUAUUUUUAUUUUGACUUUCUUUUCUUAACAUGAUUAAUACUUACUUCGUCUUUAUCCAUUUUCAUAUAUAGUCAAUCCCGACUUCUUCAUCGGUCCUAGCUUCAGAAACUUCAGAAAAAAGACCGAUCGAGACUGAACCUCCGCCGCCUUCGAAGCGGCGUAAGUUGGUUGCUAAAAGACCACAUUCCAAGCAAGCCGAAGGCAUUUCUUCGGCUGACGAUUUGCAGAAAAGGGCAGAAAAUAUACCUUCUAUCACACCCCGAGACCGCUACCAAUUUGGUACGGUUUGGGCACGUCGAACAUACACCGAACGGACAGCACCUCCCCUGUCCGUCCAAGGCUUGACAACAGAAUCAUGUACAUAGAAUUGCCCAGGAAUAAUUCAAUUACAUACAUGAUAAGCACGGAGCACUACUAGUGCUAACAAGUGAGAGCAAGAUACAAGUAUACAAUACAAGUGAAUAUAUACAAUGUUCAUCCAAAAUACAUAAGCAACUCCCUCAAAAUACAUCACAACUCUCAGGUACAUGGGUACUCUAAUGCAUAGGGUAGCUGCUACUAAGUUAGGGCGCGAUGCCCUUACCACGGUCCUCGCCGGGAGCACUCGAACUCGGCCCUACAAUAAAGUGGGGUGAGAACUAUUGUCCAUAGUUUUCAGUGGGUUCGGCCGCUGACUCCGCCGAUCUCCCCACUAGGUCUAAGCAGGCAUAAGCAGAUAGAUAGAUAGAUAUCUAAAAGUAAAGCUGAUGCAUAUUGAAAGAAUUGCACUAUUCUACUAUGCCUUGAAAUUCAGGAAUGAACAAGAUAGCCAUGCAAUUACUAACAUACUAUAGUACCAACAUCAAGUAUGGAUGCAACUCUACUAGCUCAUUAUGCUCAAUGCACAUGAUUCUUAUGAGUUUAUUACCCAAUCCUUUGGCUGGCCCAUAGGCGCGCUCUGGACUCACAUCUCAAAUCCGUCUAUGAUGGGGGACUCGAACCACCCGAGGGAUCGUCUGCGGGAACCCAAAUAGGCUAUCCCAAUCAUACAUGUGCCAAACUCCGGAGCGCACUACUUGUGCGGAGCGACCGCCACAUGCGCUGAACAGACUAUGUGAGUAUGAUCCAAUCCUUGUCACAGAGGAUAUCCUGUCACUAGGGUCAUCACUAUCGCACUGAUCUCAUGCAAGGUGUCAAGUAGGGAGACUCGUCUAUCCCCUAAGUCAUCAUGUCACUAGUGUUCUUUUAACACUAAGUUCUAAUGCCACUCGUCAAGUUGUUUACUUAGUUUACAUGCCACUCGUCAUGAUGCAAUGCCUCGACUAUACUAGUCCUAUAUCAUCAACGCAAGAUCAAAUUAUUAUUUAACUUAUCUCUAUAGGGUUCUAUGUCACAAAGCUCAUCCUCAUGCACCCUAUCUCACUUGCCAAGCCUACUAUGCCGCACUACAAAGGGAACAUGUAAGAAUAGUAAUUGCAACAUCUAAACACCCUAUCAUGCAUGAAGUAUACAUAUAGAAUAUGAUCAACAUAGAGAUACUUAGACAUAGGGAGGAGCCCAGUUGCUUCGGGAUGACACCCUCCACCUCUUGAUAACGUAGCGAGGCUAGGUACUCGACUCCGCGAUCCUUGGUCGCCGCUUCAACUCUUCGGGCCAACACGAAGCCUCAAACGCUCGUUUCGGCAAUAUCUUUGUACUGGCUCGACGAAUCAACGAACCGACCUUUCCAACGCGUUUAAACACCUAGCAAUUAGGUUAACACAUGAUCAAUUUAGAUCAAAACCCUCUAUUUUCAAAAACUCCAAUUUGGGGCCCUAGGUUUCAACUAAUGCAAGAAUCCCAUCUCAAAUCCCUAGAUUCAAGCAUAAACCUUCUAUUUGGCAAGCUAGGGUUCCAACAAAAUCAAUUCUAGAAGAUAAAAAUCCAUCUAAAGGGAUUUACCAUGAAAGCUCUCAAAGCUUACCUCAAGAAACUUGCUCUAAUGGUGGAGAGGAAGAAGAGGAAGAUGCCAAUCCUUCUUCUUGCUUGCUCAUCCACCAAAAUCCCCUCAUUCUUCACCCUCUAGAGAGAGAAAAAGGAGUUUAGAGAGAGAGAAAGGGAGCUAGGGGUGAGGUUGGGAGAGAAAUGAGAAGAAGAGGGCUCAUUUCCCCUCUAUACCCCUUCACAAGUGCACAUUUGCACAAAACACCCCUCACUUUCCAAGUUACACACUGGCCCAGCCUGGGCAGUUUCUGGCUACGGGGACUGGUCUGUCCUUGGAGGGACCGGUCCCUGAGAGCAACUUUUGCGGGCAGAGCUUUUCUGCCAAUUUCUACGUGUACGGGGACCGGUCUGUCCCGCCAGGGACCGGUCCCCGAGAGCAAAUAUUGUGCGCAGAGUUUUCUCUGCCGCACCCCUGCUUACGGGAACCUGUCCCUCACACCAGGGACCGGUCCCCGAGAGCAAAAUUCUGCAACUCCGAGGCCCUCAUACUUCUGCAGAAUUUUGCAAAAUUCUGAAAAAUUUUGCAAAAUUUUGCAAAAUUCUGCAGAAUUUUCCUACUUCGCUCUCCGAGGCCCUCCUCGAUGCACUUUUUGAAUUUUUGACGCCUUCGGCCUUUCCGAAGCGUACCCAAUCGACAAUCAGUCGAUUCUAAACGAAGUUCAACUCUCGCAUUUUGAGAAUUCACUUCCUUACACCUUCGGCCACUAUUCCAGAAGGAAGAGCCGAAGAAACACCUCCGGCUGAUGUCCCAAAGCAAGACUCUGUUCUUAGUGAGCCCAUUGAAAUUGAGAUAAAUCAAUUUAGUUAGCCAUUUAACUUGUUUUGUUUUCAACUUAUUUACUUAUUCUUUUUCCAAUAAACUAGUCUUCUCUUGAAAACAAUUCAAGAGUCCGUUUUGCUUUUUCUUUGAAGACGCAGAUUAGUAGACAAGUUCGUCGGGAGACUCGUCUUGAGAAAAAGCAAGAAGUGGAGAGAAAAAGGGGUGCUCGAGAAAUAAGCAAAGAUUUGCCGACAAGUGAUGCGGCACCAUCCUUAUCUACUCCAGUACCAACAACAGAGAGGGAAGAUGCAAGCACACCUUUUAAAAAAGGUGCUGAGGGAGCAAGCACAGUGCCUCACUCGAUUCCUGAAACCUCAUCCUCUGCUCCUGAAGACCCCCUGUUUGCCAUUCUUCACUCUCUAUUAGUUUCGAGCCCUAAUUCUAAUGAAGGAGACGACUCGACUACUAUUAUGAUGUCUACAGACUCUCAACAAAAAUUUGGUGAGUGUCUACGAUUAUAUAGUCAAGGCAUUCCAUCAUUGGCUCAAAAUUCAGAACAAUUCGAUCGAUUGUGUGCUUUUUUUUUGAUUUAGCCGAUCAGCCAGACAUUUCUUCUGUUGGCAAAUGUUUUGUAAAGUAUUAUCAUCUCAACUUUCUUCUUUCUUAUCUCGGCAACAAUCUUUGGGUGCCGAGCUUUUAUCUUUGGAUCAACAUUUCCACAAAGUUGAUCAUUUUAAAAAGGCUAUACCUGAGAUAGCAGCUUCAAUAACUGACACAAGCCGAGAAGAUCAACUUUUGGAAAAUCAGGAUCAGCCCUGCAGCAGCGGAUUUUCACUCUCAAAGAAGAAUUAGCUGCGGCUGAAUUGACUUUGGCUCGCACCUCUGAACGUCGGUUCCAACUGCAAGAUCAAUUGAAGAUGAAGAAAAGUGAAGGGAUGAAACUUCAAGAAAAAACUUUCCCAACUUUACAAAGUGCAUCCCUUGAUGAAACGCAGGAGAAAGGCCGUUGAAACUGCCUAAGCCAAUUUAAUAACCGAAUGGAACCAGCUCAAGGAUUUACUAUCUUGAUUUGGCUUGUAAUACCUUAACUCUAACUUUGAUUAUUCUCCCACAUGGAUGGGUAAUACUUCUUCAGAUAUUUUUUAUUGAUCGGCUUCUUAUUUUCUAACCCAUCUAUGUUUUUUAAGUAAUAUGCAUUUCCCUUUGUGACUCUGCUUAUUUGAAAUGGUCCUUCCCAACUCGGAGACCAUUUUCCAUAUGCUCGGUCUUUUUGACCGAUUGGAAAUAUUAGUCUAAGAACUAAAUCACCAAUUGCAAAUGAUUUAGCUCUAACUUUUUUAUUAUAUGCAUUGCGUACUCGGCUUUGAUAAGCUUGCAAAUGGUUCAAUGCCAUCAACCGAGUUUCAUGUAUUUCUUCUAUUUCUUCAUUCAUCAAAUCACUAUAUUCAUCAACCGAUAGUUCUUUUUGCUUUUCCACUCUUAAAGAAGGAACUGUUAUUUCGGCUGGUACCACGGCCUCGUGGCCGUAUACUAAUUGAAACGGUGUCGUCCCCGUUGUCGUUUUCACUGAAGUUCGGCAUGCCCAUGGUAUUUUGUAUAGUUUUUCAUUCUAUUUUCUUGGAUAUUUUCCAAUAUGCCGCUUCAUAAGAUUUAUAAUUAGCUUAUUUGUUGCCUCGGUUUGUCCAUUGGCUUGAGCAUAAUAAGGUGACAAAUGGAGUAGCUUAAUCUUUCGAGAUUCGACGAACCGAACAAACUGUCCUCCUGUGAACAUUGUUCCUUGAUCGGUUGUAAUCGUCUCGGGAACUCCAAAAUGAUGAAUUAUAGAAUCUUCAACAAAAUUAAUGAUUUCUUUUUGAGUGACCAACCGAGCGGGUUUUACUUCUACCCACUCAGUAAAAUAAUCAACGGCCACUAUUAAAAACUUAUGACCAGCUGAAGAAUUCGGCUGAAUUUCUCCGAUUAAAUCCAUAGCCCAUCCUCGAAAAGGCCAUGAUUUAAUUAUAGCAUACAUCUCAGAGGUAAGAACUCUUUGUACUGAGUCAUGAAAUUGACAAUCUUUGCAAUCUUUAGCAUAUUUUAUGCAAUCAUGAUGCAUAGUCUGCCAAUAAUAUCCUAAAUGCCGAAUUGUCCAUCUUAAUCCUUUCCCUGCCAAAUGGGCUCCACACAAACCUUCAUGUGUUUCUCCCAUCACUAAUAGAGCUUCUUCGAGUCCUAAACAUUUCAAUAGUACUUCUUCGGCUGUUCUUUUGUAAAGUUGUCCAUUCAACAGACAAUAGCCGAGUGCUCUUCUUCGAAUAUUAUAAUCGGCCCGUUUAUUGGAGUCUUCUAAAUAUUCGAUUAUGGAUUUUCUCCAAUCCAAUCUUUUUUCACCCCUAUGGGGGCAAUAAUCGGCUCUCGAAUAUGAAUCGAAGGUAACAAUCUGCACUCUAUUUUUACUAGACUCCUCUCCAGCUCUCUAUACCCUGAAGCCGAUUGGGCUAAUGCAUUAGCCUUUUCGUUUUCUUCUCUUGCUAAGUGCUUAAACUCAACCUCUCCAUAAUUACAAAGUAAUUCUAUCGUCUUUUGCAAAUAGUUUUGCAAAUUUCGGUUUUCACAUCGGUAUUCUCCAUUGACUUGUUUAAUCACUAAUUGUGAAUCACCGAUGACCUUGAGUUAGUGAACUCCUAAUUCUUGUAAAAUUUCAAGGCCAAUUAUUAAAUCCUCGUAUUCGGCUUGAUUAUUAGAACAGCCAAAAUCUAAUUCAAAAACAAAUCGAUAGGUAUAUCCCUCAGCAAAUCGAUAGGUAUAUCCCUCAGGAGACUGUAUUACUACUUCAGCUCUCGCUGAUACGGCUGUUCUUGAGCCAACAAAUUAAAGUAUCUAAUGUUGACAGCCGAUCAAAUUUUGCUUUGGCUCUUCAAUUUCAACAUAUGGGUAAUCAGCCAGAAAAUCAGCUAUUGCUUGUCCUUUAACAGCUUUUGCUGGAACAUAAUUAAUAGAAAAUUCAGACAAAGCCAAUAUCUAUUUUUCGAUUCGACCUCUUAAUACUGGCUUGGAUAACAUAUAUUUUACUAAGUCGGGUUUACAUAUUACCGACACUUCGGUUGGUAAAAUAUAAUACUUCAAUUUUGUACAGGCAUAAUAUAAAGCUAAACAUAGUUUUUCAACUGCCGAGUAUCAUUUUUCGGCAUCUAAUAAUCGCCUGCUGAAGUAAUAUAUGGCAUGUUCCUCUUUUUCUUCAUUCACUUGGGCCAACAAGCAUCCUAAAUUUUCCUCUCCAACCGAAAUAUAUAGUUUCAUCGGUUGUCCUUGCUUAUGAGGCAUAAGGACCGGAAGAUUUGAUAAAUAUUUCUUUAUAUUUUCAAAAGCUCCUUGUUGUUUCUCUACCAAAAUAAAUUCUUCUUUACUUUUAAGCCGAAGUAAUGAAGUAAAAACUCCUAUUCUAUCAGCCAAAUUUUAUAUGAAUCGCCGCAGAUAAUUAAUUUUUCCCAAUAAACUCUGUAAUUCUUUUUUACUCUUUGGUGGCGGCAAUUCUAAUAUAGCUUUCGCUUUGUUUUUAUCGACCUCGAUCCCUUUUUUAUGCACUAAGAAUUUCAGAAAAUUUUCUGUAGAAACUCCAAAGGCACACUUCAAAGGGUUCAUUUUUAAAUUAUAUUUUCUCUUUCUUUCAAAGGCGAGUUUUAAAUUCGCCCAAUGUUUGGCUUGUGAUUUAGAUUUUAUAACUAUAUUAUCGAUAUAAACCUCCAACAUUUUGCUGAUUAAAUCAUGAAAAAUAAAAUUCAUUGCUCUCUGAUAGGUAUCUCCGGCAUUUUUUAAACCGAACGGCAUGACCAUCCACUCAAAGGUCCCAAUAGACCCUGGGCAUCUAAAAGUCGUUUUAGCUACAUCUUCUUCAGCAAUAUAAAUCUGAUUGUAACCUGCAUGUCCGUCCGUAAAGAACAAGAUUUCAUUACCGGCAGCCGAAUCCACUAACAUAUCGGUUAUUGGCGUUGGAUACUCAUCCUUAGGUGUAGCCAAAUUUAAGUUCCUAAAAUCAAUGCAAACUCUAAGUUUACCAUUCUUUUUACAUACAGGAACUAUAUUAGAUACCCAAUCGACAUAACAGGCUGCUCUAAUAAAACCGGCCUUCAAAAGAUUUUUAAUUUCGUUCUUAAUUUGAAGUACAAUAUUCGGCUCAAACCUACGAGCUGGCUAUUUGUAAGGCUUAUAUCCCUUUUUAAUAGGUAGCCUAUAUUCUAUAAUUUUUUGGUUUGAACCUAGCAUUUCUUUAUAGCUCCAGGCAAAGCAGUCCUUGUACUCCAACAGCAAUACUUUCAGCUCCUCCUGUUGUUGAGCCGAAAGUUUAGCACUAAUGUAGGUCGGUCUAUUGUCUUCAUCAGAUCCCAAGUUUACUUCUAUUAAUGGAUCUUGAGUUUCUAGCUUCUUGUCAUCGACUUUAAUAGGCGAUUCCUCCAUAUUCAACUCGUUUGUUGGCCUCCUUAAUUCAUCUGGUCUUUCUUCAUUAGCAUUCAUUGCCAAUUUCAAUACUUCCUUAUCGACCUCCACAACCGAUUUUGAAAACUCAUUAUCGGCCACCUUGGCCGCCUUGCUAAAUGUUAAAUCAUCGGCUUGAUUGGCCGAAUUACUUUAAUAACCGAUCUCGUUGAUUGGCUCAUUCAGCCGAAGCUCUUCUAAAGCUUCGGUUCCUGAUCUCUGAUAUUCCAUUUUAUCUAGUUUGGUGGCUCUUCGGCUGCCACCAUAGCUCCUUCGUCUUUAGAGAGAAUUAAUUGUACUCCCUCUUCAGUAACUCUUAUAAAAGAAAUUUGGUCCGGAUCAGCAUCGGCCCAAUUAAUAUGGCCGAUUUCUUCUGCAUUGAUGUCCACCAUUUAGGGCCAACCUUCAGCCCUGAUUUCUUCUACUCUUUCUCCAACCCACUGGAAUAACUUUCCAUGGAGUGUAGAAGGUAUGCAUUCGUUUAUGUGUAUCCAGUCACACCCGAGUAGCAGGUUGUAAUAACUAUCUCCAUCUACUACAGAAAAUGCAGUGCGUAGAGUUUUAGAACCUAUCGUUAUCUCAGUUGUGACUACCCCUCUAGCUUGUUGACUGCUUCCAGUAAAGUUGGUCAUGAUUGUAUCGAUGGGCUUCAAUUCAUCUUCAUUCUUGCCCAAUUUCUUAAGAAUGAAGUGGGCAUAACAUUGACCAUUGCUCAACUGUCUACCAUGACUCGACCUACGGGUCGUCCUUCUAUCAAAGCCCGUAUGAACAAAGGCCUCACAAAUCUUGUCUGCAUGACCGAUGGUUUCUCAAAAACCACUGCAUCGUCCGACUUGGCAACUUCUUCGUCUACCAUCUUCUCGUACUUAAUAUACUCUGUCUUGAAAGAUUGUGGCAGAGAAUAUACCAUAUUGACAUCGACUGGUCCUUCAUCAGCCGAUUUUCCUUGUAUUCUUUGUUUCUUCUCUUCAAACUCCUUUGCCGUCUCGGCUGAGGAGUCACUUUCCAUCCGUGCCUCCCUCUCCUUAGGAGGCCAUCUCUCUCGCUUGAUGAUUGUCUCGAGGGAAGCUAUUUUUUCUUCUAAUUCCCUUCGGUAACCUUCUUCUCUGGUUCGACCGUGAUUGGCCGUUCUAUCUUUGAUUUUAACCAAGGGAGGGUGAUGAACCACCCAUCUCAUGAUCAUUCUUCAUUGGACGAAAAGGGUGUGGUAGCUUAUUGGGUCGUCUCCACAUGUUCAGCUUCAUCCCUUUUGCCUCCUCAUAGUGGUGUCUUACCUCAGCUUGCAUCCUCUGCUGCCGACGCUUUUGUGUUUUCGUUAACAUCGGCCCUUGCUACUUGGCCGAUGGUCUAACCUCAUGCCAUUGAUCAACCGGCACAUUUACCCGUACUUUAACCGUUCUCAAAUGAUUCUUCAAAAUUUCUCUCCUUUCCCAGGGUCUUGACCAGGGCUUAUGCCGAGCUCGUUGACUAGUCUCCGACCGAGGAGCUCUAUAUCCCUUUCAGUCAUUCCUUCGAACUCUGGUUCUGGUCUCGGCCUGGCUUGAUGCUGCCAAUGUGGCCAAUACCCAGGGAAUCUCUGUUUCGAGCCGAAUGGUUUAUCUGGGUAACUCCAUCACCUGUUAUGUUCUUCUUUCCUGCUAUUGUAAUAAUCAUACAGGACUUUCUGCAUUAAUAAAUUCUUCUUGUUUUGAACCGAAUCAAUGUCCGGUUAAGAUUCAUUGGAGGCUUCGUCUGAGCCAUCCUCUGAUUGAUCAUCUCUUUCGAGAAUCUCCUCCCAUUCUUCGGGGAACGCCAUUAAUUCUCUCCAUUCAUUACUCCUCUUCUUCUCGUUGAUUACGGCUUCCAAAUCUUUCUUUGUCAUUUCGACUUUACACCUUAUGCAGAUCCGAAGAGUUCUCUUGACAUAGGCAACGUGCUCAGCGGUCUUCUUGUCCGCGACUGCCUUUCCCAUGACGUCCACCAUAUUUACCUGCGAUGAAAAUGAAUUCUUGUCAAUUUUUAUAUUUUUAUUCUAUUGAUCGGCAAAUAUGAGCCGACCCUUAUUUAUUUUUUUUGAAUCUGUCUUUUAAAGGCAGUACAUUCAUUCGUUUUAUGGCUCCACGAAUGGUGCCAUUUACAGUAUUUUCUUCUUUUUAAUUCUUCUCCAGAGGGUAUGGUUUCACCCUCCUGUAAGUGAAUCCGUCCAUCUUUUAAUAACCGUAAUUAGAUCGGUCUUUGAAACGUCAAAAGAAUAAGUAUAUGCCGAAACCCGUGCUUUUGCCUCGCUUGAUUUAGAUGGCUUCAACAAAGUAUAUUUAUAUGGUUGACGGUUUCUAACCAUCUCAGCAGCAUAUAUUUCGGCUUCACCAGCCGAAUCCUCGAUCUCUUCAGAUGAAUUCGUCUCCUCAUAAGCCGACGAUUCUUCAAGGAAAAAAAUGUUUUUCUCUUUUUCUUUGUUCCACUCUUUAUUUCGGCUCUAUCUGGGCCGAUUCUCACUAUUUUCCUUUCGGAAUUGCUCGUAUUAAGCAAUCCGAACUCCCAAAUCAAAAAGAUUUGGAAAGUAUUUAUCUUCAAAAUGAUCUUUAAUUUUGAAGUGUAAGCCGUUGAAUGCCAUUUUGGCAAAUUCUGACUCUGGCAUCCUGACGAAACAACGGCCCGUGGUCGUUUUAAAUCGGUUCAAGUAUUCUUCACCGAUUCGCCCGUCCUCUGUUUAAACUGAGCCAGAUCAGCUACUGACAAUUUCGGUUCUGAUCUAUAAAAUUGUUCAUGAAAUUUUCCUUCUAAUUCGUCCCAAUCUCGGACGGAAUUAGCCGGUAAACACGUAUACCAAGUAAAAGCCGUCUUGGUUAACGAAGUGUUAAAUAACCUCAAUUUUAAAAAUAGAUCUGCCGCGACUUCUCGGCAUUGUGCUGUAAACCGUGCAACAUGUUCAACCGUGUUUUCGGUCUCAUCACCGAAAAAUUUGUCAAAUUUCGGCAUUUUUCAAUUUGUCGGGUAUGGAUGCUCUGCGUCUAUAUUCGCAGGAUGGGGUGAUCUAAAUACAGGUCGCAUUGUCGGCCUUGCACCUACUCCGAAAGUAUUUCGGAUGAAUUCUUCUAUUUGUGCAUAGAUUUCAUUAUUGUUCCCCUGUAAGGGAACUUGUGCUUGUACUUGUGCUAUAUUUGGUCCUUGUGGUAGACCGAAAUUUUGUACCACAGGGUUGAUCCCUUGUACAUUUGGGGCCUUCCCCCUAGCCCUAGCCCCUACAUUUUGGGGCUGAUAUACAGUUACUGGUUGAGGAGGUGGUAACCCCCAUGCUAUGUCUGGCAGUUGACCGGCAUUAACAACAGCCGGUCUAUAAGCCGCUUAAAAUUAUGUCCCCAGGUGUUGGGGCUGACCAUUUGCCGGUGUUAUAGGAUUUUAUAACACUGGCGUCAUCACAGGCCCUUGUAAGCCUGUUGCUGGUUGCUCGUUUCGAGUCAACAAUUGCCCUAUUCGGGCAAUAUUCUUAUUUGAGGCCGUGGUUGCGACCAAUACUGCAUCUAAACGUGUAGUGCUUCUAUGACUAUUUUGGUCUAAAACUUGUAGGACUCGAGUCAUUUGUCCAAGCGUCUGAGCCAAACUAGGCUCCUGUUGGUCGGAUUGCCCACUAGUCUCACCCUCGGCAGGUAAGACUGCUUAACGCUCUCCAGCGUUAUCUGAAUUGCUGGAUAGUUGAUCGCUCCUAGAACUUCUAGGAACGACCCUAUUGCGCACGUUCAUGGCAUUAUCAUCAGCCAUUAUAUCUUAGUAAAGAGUAAAAUUACCUUGAAUGGUCCCACCGGGUGAGCCAAAAAUUAUUGGUAGCUGAACUCUCCCUUCUUUGACCUUGUCAAAGAUCUUCCUCGGGAAUGAUGCCGGGAUGUGACACGGCUAUGAUUAAUGACCCUCGAAAUUUGCGCCCUUCGACUAGAUCAAACGAUUCGGCUGAUGAGGGAUCGGAUCAGCUGAGUUUGGAAUCUCUAAUAGAAACUCGGUUAGGCUGGAAGAGCCGAAUGUACGGAAUGUGCAGAAUCUAAAGUCGGCCGAAGAGCCGAAUGGAUGAGAGAACACAGAAAUUGGUCUGCUUAAAGAGCCGAAAACCUUUAAAAUAUAUUUGAAAUUACUCUCGAGGGAAAGUACAAGGGUUGAGUGUGACUGAGGGCAUACAUACUCGGUUGAUUUAUUCUAAUUCUACUCCUAGGAAAAACAGUAAAUGCUGAAAAUUAAAGGGUUACAAGUAGACUACUAAGAAAUGCGAAAAAUUGCAAGGAAAUAAGAGUGAUCUUCAGUUCACGGGAAAAAGAUCACUUUUUAGGGCAUUAUUGGCCUAUUUAUAUAACGCCCCUCUUGAUCAAUUAUUACCUAUCCAUGAUCGGCCACUAUUCCCUAAUUUUUCGGGCCACUUCCAGCCGAUCGGAACCGCUUGCAACUGCUCGCGGUUGCUCUAACUUCCCUUAAUUCACGCGGGUUCACUUUUUGAUGCUCCCGGUGCACAGCAGAAACAUUACUUUCUUUUAAACAAAACCGCUAUGGUGUAUCGGGUACUACGUGUCUGCGCCUUAUUGGCCCAACACCUCUAUAGUAAGCCGUCUAUCUCAUCUUUAUAUCAUCUGAUUCAUCAGAAUCGGUUCUCAUCAUAAAAAAUAUUUAUUUUUCUUGAUAUAUGUAACGGUGGAACUAUGAGAGAAGGAGAGCAGAAGAGAUUAAGAUGACAAAUUAAAUCCAUCCCUAUCGAAUAAAAGCAGCCGAGUUAGAUUUAGUAGUAAUCGGGUGGUCAGACUAUCGGCUCGGGUAAAAGGGCGAUGUUUAGAUCCGAACCGGACUCUAGGUUGCCAACAAAUAGGGCCGUCCACAGUGGGGCUGGACGAAGAUCGGCCCAUAUUGCCUCGGAUCCUUUUUUAGAUUUUUUUUCAAUUUUAUACAUAAUAUUUUUAUUUUUAUUUUUCAAAUAAUUGUUUUUAAUUGGACAGACAUUUGGAGAGAUGUUCCAAAAGCAACAAAUUUUUUUUCUUUUUCGCUUCCAAUGUGGCCAUAAAAUGUACAUUUUUUUAAAGUCAAUUUUUUAUUUUAAUUCAAAAUUUUAAAAUGAGUUUAAAAGUUUAUAUUAAAAUAUGAAAAAAUUUUAAAUGUUCUUACAGAUAAAAAGUUGAAAAGAAUUUAUACACUUUAUUUGUCAAAUUAAACUGCUCUAUUCCAAUGGAUUCGCGGCGUCCCCCACUUUGCCCCCGCAAACGAAAGUACUGACGGAUAACUUGAAUAUCGAACUGCUCUGUACCAAAUUGUUAGAAUAUUUUUCCUCCUAAUUAUAGUUUUGAUACCAUUAGAUAGAUUCUUGCUUAUGGUCCUCAUUCACGAUCUGCAAAAGAACGGAACAUUUCGAGUCUAAUUCUUUUAUCCCCGGAGAUGGAGCCGUCACAGUAAUUAGGAUUAGGAUUAGACCGGGACUCUCGUGUGUUAUAUAUUUAUAUAUAACUUGAUAUAAAGAUGUUCAAUCAUGUAUUUUCAUCAAGGACGUGUCUAGAUACAUUCUAGCCGUUAGAUCUACUGUAUCUUUAUAGAUUGACUUGAAUAGACCGAUUGUAUCUUUAUAAAUCGUUUUGAGUAAAUCACAUGGGCCACAUCUAUAUUCUCUCACUUGGCCUAGUGAUAUAUUCAUACCAUAUAGUAGAUACAAAACUUUAUUAGGUAUCAACUAAAUUAUACAGUCAAGGCAUGUUUGGUUUGCUUCUUUUUCACCUAAAAUUGGAAGCGAAAUGGAUGAAUCCGUUUGUGGGCGUUUGGUAUGCGGAAGUCCCAUUUCGAUUCCGAUUCUUGAGUGGAAUGGGACUCUCCCAAUCACCUCUUUUUCCAAUCCGGCCUAGGAGGCCGGAUUGGAAGUUGAAUUCGGACGGAAUGAAUAUUUAUUCGGAUUAAAUUUAUUUUUUCAACUUUUUUAAUUAAAAUAUGAGUUUAAAUUUAGAAAUUAAAAUUAAAAUUUUAAAUUUGAAUUUGAAUUUGAAUUAAAAAUUAAAAUUUAAUCAAGUAUUUUGAAUCAAACUUAUAAAUUUGAAUUUAAAUUAAAAUUUAAUUUAUAUAAAGUUUUAUUCAAAUUUUAUUUAAAAUUUAAAUUAAAUUUAUAGAUUCAAAUUAAAUUUUAAAUUGUAAUUUUAAGUUUGAAUUUGAAUAUAUCGAAAUUUAGGACAAAAAUUUUAUGGGCAUAGGACCCAAACUAAUUAGUUUGGGGACUAUGCGGAUCGGCGCCACGUGGCCGAUGGCCAUGUUUCUCAAUUGCUUUUGCUCUCUCUCUCUAUAAACACAGGAUUUUUUUUUUUCUUUCCAUCCGUGGCCGUCGGAUCGGCCACGUGGCGCCAAUCCGCAUAAUACCCAAACUAAUUAGUUUGGAAAUUAUGCCUAUAAAAUUUUUGUCCUCCCAACAAUGCUGUUCUUUUAAAUUAUCCACUCAACUUUAAAGUUUAAUUUUUAAAAAAAAAUUGAUUUAAAAUUUUGACAUUAUUUUAAAAUUUUGAUGUAAAUUUUUAAUAUUUAAUUUUCAAUUUGAAUUUAAAUUAAUAUAUUAUAAAGAUAAAGUUAGUAUAUUAAUUUGAUUACGUUUUUUAUAUCUACCUGAACCAAACACCGACAAUGGAAAUAAUUUAUUCCGAUUCCGAUUCAGGUAAUGAACCAAACAGAAUUAGGUAAUGAGUCAUUCCGAUUUAGAUUUCAGCUUAUUUCGAUUCCGAUUAUGAUUCCGAUUCCAACUUUGAACCAAACGCGCCCUCAAAGUCUUCCACUCAACCAAAAAAUCACAAUACUUUGAUCCGAGUGAUUAUAUUCCAAAAGAAGAACACUACCUUUCAUAUAUUAAAAACACGUAUUCGUUAAUCAAAUAACUUUAUGAGUUAAAAUAGUAUGAACUUAUUAUAAGUUCAACUCAAAGUCCCACUUUAGUUCACAAUAAUACUUUAUGCACAUAUGUGUAAAAACCAAAAUGUGUUCUUACUCAAAUAAAAAUAGUUCUUAAUGUUUUUAUACAAGAAGAAAAAUACUUAAACUGUAAAUAAACUCAAGAUACCCAUAUGAUUAACAUGAUUCUUGAACUUGUUUGAUAGUGAUGGUUUAGUCAUAGGAUCAGCAAUAAUCAUUUCGCUCCCAGCAAGAUACAUUGUAUUGAUAUGUUUGCUGCGAUCUAUAAUUCGACUAUUCUUGACACAAAACACUGCAGCAAAAUUGUUGCAAUGAAUUUUAAUUGGCUUUGAGAUAGAAUUGACAGCUCUUAAACGUGAGAUACAAUUUCUCAGCCAUCAAGCCUAUGACGAAGCCUCAUAAUAAGCGAUGAGCUCUAUCUCCAUAAUGGAUGUAGCAACUAUAUCUUACUUUGUGCUCAUUCAAGAUAUUGCACCUUGAGUAAGAAAGAAAAUAUAUUCUGAUGUAGACUUUCUAGAAUUCACACAUCCAAUAAAAUCAGAGUGCGAAUAUCCAACCACCUCAAAAAAAUUUUUGCAGCUUUCCAAUGUUUAAGACUAGAGUUGCUUUGGUAUCUACCCAGCAUCCCCACUGCAUGAGCUAUAUCAAGUCUGGUACAAACCUGCGCAUACAUCAAGCUUCCUACUGCAGAGGCAUAGGGUAUGCUCUUCAUAUACUGUCGUUUAAAUCAUUCAGUGGGCACUGUUUCUGAUUGAACCUAUCACCUUUUACAAUAGGUACAGCUGUAGGUGCACAGUUUGCCAUAUUAAAUUUUUCUAAAACUUUUUUAAUGUAUUUCUGAUAUUGACCCAAAAUCUUUUGAGAUCUAUUUCUAAAAAUCUUUAUGCCAAUGACAUAAGAAGUUUCACCCAAAUCCUUCAUCUCAAUGUUCUUAGAAAGAAAUUCUUUGGUCUCUUUAAGAAAACAUAAAUUACUACUUGCAAGCAGAAUGUCAUCUACAUGUGGGAUUAAAAAAAUAUACUUACUCCCAUUAACCUUAAGGUAUAUGCAGUGGUCCACAAUAUUUUCUACAAAAUCGAAUAUAGUAAUUAUAUUAUGAAACUUGAUAUAUCACUGAUGGGAAGCAUGUUUAAGUCCGUAUAUAGAUUUCUUUAAUCUGCAAAUAAAAUGAUUAUUUUCAUCUAUACUAAUACCUUCGGACUUGCAUAUAGAAUAUCUUCUCUAUUUUCCCAUUUAGAAAUACAACUUUCACAUCCAUCUAAUGUAGCUCCUGUUGGAUUUUAUUGGAUUUUUGGUUAUUUAAAACUUGUUAGGCCUCUUAGACAGCCCAAUACUUAAUAGGCCUUGCCUGGAAACCCAACUAAAAUUUUCAUAUGUGAGAUUUAGUCCCACAUUGGAAACUACAAGGGUGUUGCUGGUAUUUAUAUAUCCCUUUAUUCUCAAGCUAGUUGCAUGGGAGAAAAUGAGAGUUAUACUAUCGUUUAAACACACGCACGCACGGCACGAGCCCGAGCCAAGCCGAUUUUCGCAAAACCCUAUCUUCUACAUCGUUUUUUCUGCUUUCUCACGAUUGAUCUUUUGCGCCGACUUUCGCCAAGCUUUCUCAUAUUUUGCUGGAUCUGAAGCUUGUUGGGUUCGUUUUGCGCCACCUCGAAAGCGUGUCGACGGGGUGGAACGUGGUCAUUGUAUCGCUGGAAGUAAUUGUAGGGAAGUCUUGCCCGUAGAGGGACAAUUUCGCUUCUAGUACAGUGCUCUACACGCCUCGAUCCACAGACCUUCUCUAAUCCUUUCCUUUACAAUAUUUGUUAUUUAAUUUCUUUCUCGAAAUUUUUCUAAAACUGAAAUUAAGUUUCAAAUUAUUUUUAAAGAAUAUUUUAAUAAAAGAUCAGAAAGAUUUUUCAACAAUUUAGAAGCGAAAUAUUUAAUUUAAUCUUUCUGUUUCUUUUAUUAUACUAAUUAAAAUAUUUCUUCUCUACAAAUCAAUAUAUAUAUGUCACGCCCCGGGGCCCCUUUUUAGUUUAAAGCAUAGCGGAAAAGCGUCUGAAAUUUUUUUUUUUUUUUUUUUCGAAAACCUGACCCCAGGGUAUGCCAGAUCCGCCACAAAUANNNNNNNNNNNNNNNNNNNNNNNNNNNNNNNNNNNNNNNNNNNNNNNNNNNNNNNNNNNNNNNNNNNNNNNNNNNNNNNNNNNNNNNNNNNNNNNNNNNNNNNNNNNNNNNNNNNNNNNNNNNNNNNNNNNNNNNNNNNNNNNNNNNNNNNNNNNNNNNNNNNNNNNNNNNNNNNNNNNNNNNNNNNNNNNNNNNNNNNNNNNNNNNNNNNNNNNNNNNNNNNNNNNNNNNNNNNNNNNNNNNNNNNNNNNNNNNNNNNNNNNNNNNNNNNNNNNNNNNNNNNNNNNNNNNNNNNNNNNNNNNNNNNNNNNNNNNNNNNNNNNNNNNNNNNNNNNNNNNNNNNNNNNNNNNNNNNNNNNNNNNNNNNNNNNNNNNNNNNNNNNNNNNNNNNNNNNNNNNNNNNNNNNNNNNNNNNNNNNNNNNNNNNNNNNNNNNNNNNNNNNNNNNNNNNNNNNNNNNNNNNNNNNNNNNNNNNNNNNNNNNNNNNNNNNNNNNNNNNNNNNNNNNNNNNNNNNNNNNNNNNNNNNNNNNNNNNNNNNNNNNNNNNNNNNNNNNNNNNNNNNNNNNNNNNNNNNNNNNNNNNNNNNNNNNNNNNNNNNNNNNNNNNNNNNNNNNNNNNNNNNNNNNNNNNNNNNNNNNNNNNNNNNNNNNNNNNNNNNNNNNNNNNNNNNNNNNNNNNNNNNNNNNNNNNNNNNNNNNNNNNNNNNNNNNNNNNNNNNNNNNNNNNNNNNNNNNNNNNNNNNNNNNNNNNNNNNNNNNNNNNNNNNNNNNNNNNNNNNNNNNNNNNNNNNNNNNNNNNNNNNNNNNNNNNNNNNNNNNNNNNNNNNNNNNNNNNNNNNNNNNNNNNNNNNNNNNNNNNNNNNNNNNNNNNNNNNNNNNNNNNNNNNNNNNNNNNNNNNNNNNNNNNNNNNNNNNNNNNNNNNNNNNNNNNNNNNNNNNNNNNNNNNNNNNNNNNNNNNNNNNNNNNNNNNNNNNNNNNNNNNNNNNNNNNNNNNNNNNNNNNNNNNNNNNNNNNNNNNNNNNNNNNNNNNNNNNNNNNNNNNNNNNNNNNNNNNNNNNNNNNNNNNNNNNNNNNNNNNNNNNNNNNNNNNNNNNNNNNNNNNNNNNNNNNNNNNNNNNNNNNNNNNNNNNNNNNNNNNNNNNNNNNNNNNNNNNNNNNNNNNNNNNNNNNNNNNNNNNNNNNNNNNNNNNNNNNNNNNNNNNNNNNNNNNNNNNNNNNNNNNNNNNNNNNNNNNNNNNNNNNNNNNNNNNNNNNNNNNNNNNNNNNNNNNNNNNNNNNNNNNNNNNNNNNNNNNNNNNNNNNNNNNNNNNNNNNNNNNNNNNNNNNNNNNNNNNNNNNNNNNNNNNNNNNNNNNNNNNNNNNNNNNNNNNNNNNNNNNNNNNNNNNNNNNNNNNNNNNNNNNNNNNNNNNNNNNNNNNNNNNNNNNNNNNNNNNNNNNNNNNNNNNNNNNNNAAUUAUGCUACUAUACUAUCAAUAGUACCAAGCCCUUAGUACUAUUGAGUUUUCGGCCGUUGGAUGAAAAGAUGUGCAGUUAGGAUGAUAGUGGUCUCCGGUUAAAUUGAAAGUGGUUCCCUAGGGUUGAGUGGGUUGUUGGUUUAAUAAUAUAAUCUAACGGGUGGAAAUGAUCAAAGGGUAAAUCUAACGGUAGAAAACUCAAUAGUACCAAGGGCUUGGUACUAUCAAUAGUAUAGUAGCCGGACUCUCUCUCUCUCUCUCUCUCUCUCUAUAUAUAUAUAUAUAUAUAUAUAUAUAUAUAUAUAUGUUUUUUUAUAGUUCUAGUGCUAGCAAAGUCCAUCUGAUCCACGACAUAUAUAUUGGUUGAACAGUACCAUAACUUAAAUCAGUGUGCUCGCCGGCUGUAUUUGUGCGUAAUUAAUUAGAUGAUAUAUAUCAUCAAUAGAUAGUGAUAUUAUUAUAAUAUUACUAAUGGAAUUUUGUUGGGUNUGGGUGAUACUUGUGUGUUUUUAGCCCUUGGAUGGAGAGAUGUGAGGUUGAGAUGAUGGUGGUAGGUGGUCGUAGGUGGUGGUAGGUGGAAUAGUGUUUAAUUCAAGGGCUAUUAAUAAUCAAAAAGUAGAUCCAAUGGCUUAAAACCUAAUAGCACAAUGAUGGUGAUACUUGUAAAAGUAUCAUAGCUCAACUCUAUAUAUAUAUAUAUAUAUAUAUAUAUAUAUAUGGGGCAAUUGCUUAUAUACUCCUGAAAAGUUUUUGACUUUCCGAUCCCCUCUUAGAAGGCUAAUAUUGAAAAUACCUUUUCUACGUUCCAACAUAUUUCUAAUAUACCCCUAGAGUUAAAAUCUGUUAAUGAACUCUGUUAUCUCUGUAAAAUUACUAUUUUGCCCUUUCAAAUAUACCCUUCUACCAUCACUGACUUUCUUAUUUGCUCUUAAAGUCAGGAGUACAAAAAGUAUUUUGACUUUUGGUCAUUUUCAAUAUACCCCUCUACCGUCACCAACAUUUCUUAUUUGCCCUUAAGUUAAGAACAAAAUUGGCAUUUUAAUUUUUUUUUAACUGUGGUAGAUAUUUAACUCACGUUUAAACCAAGUUAAUUUAACAGGAGAUAACUGCGGGGAUAUUUUGUAAUAACGGUGGAACAUAUGAGGGGUAUUUUAGAAAGAAGAAAAAAGUAGGGGUAAAUCAGAUAUUUUCAAACGUAUGAGGGAUAUAUAGGCAAUUAUCCCUAUAUAUAUAGAGUUGGUCUAGAAUACUAUUGAUAGCAAAAAGUAAGUCUUUUUUGCUAUCAAGUUUUUAGCUUUCAGAUCAAUUUCUUUCAUCAUUUCUAACCAUUGGAUUAAAUAUUAUAACUCAGUGGGGACCACUCAACCGUAGGGGGACCACUCAACCCUAAGGGACUAAUAUCAUCCUAACCCUACAAUUUCUCAUCCAAGGGUAAAAACUUGAUAGCAAAAAGGGUAUUUUGCUAUCAAUAGUAUUUUAGCUCAACUCUAUAUAUAUAUAUCGUAAUCUUCCUGAGUAACACGUAGAAUAUCUUACUGUUAUUUUUCUGAAAUUCAAAACUAUUUUGUGACAUAACAGUAGGGUUAUUUGUGAACAGUUUUUUUUUUUAUUAUGGAGGAUUCGGCGAAAUCUUUUACUUUUGAUGGUCGUAAUUUAAAAGGUGGCAGAACCAAAUGAGAUUCUGGGUCACCACACUUGGGCUAGUUUCUGCAUUCUCAGAUUCUGCCGAGAAUGGCAUUGGAUCUAAACCUGAAAGUGCAAUCUAGACUGCGGUCAACAGACCAGUUACUUGAAGCUAAGUCCAGGCUAGAUCUAGUCCUCCCUCCACUAAAACUGCAAGUACAUCUACACCCAAAACUGUACCUCCUGUUGACCCUAAUAUGAUCAACUAUCAUUAUUUAAACCAAAUUCUUAGUACCUGUCACGCCCCAAGCUCCACCUAUUUGGUCGAAUUCGGGCACAUGAACAGACGCCGAACAAACAGCACCUCCUCUGUCUGCCCAAGGCUCCAACAACAAGUAUAAUCAAGCAAAUCAAUCAACGAAAUUGCAAUUAUACAAGACUUGCACGAGGACAAGCAACAACAAGUAGUGAAAGCUCUGAGUUACUACAUACAAUCACAUAUAUAAUAUUUGAUUAUAUUUUAACCAAAUAUAAGUAAACUAAAGUUAUUACAUUCAUUCUCUUUGCAUUCAUGUUUAUACAUCACAUAGUCAUCCAACCCAAAAUACAUGGAUCUAAACAUCUCUUACAUCUCUUAUUCAACAAAAUAAAAAUUGAAACAUAAACAAAAGGAAUGACUAUAACUCUGGUGGCUGCUAGCUACGGCGUUAAACCCUUAUCCGGAUCUUCCGCCACCCCGCUCGCGCUCGGAUCUGUAGGGUUAGUGGCGUGAGAACUACAACUAAGUUCCCAAUAUGUUCGGCCGCCGACCUCGCUGAUCUGCCCACUAAGUCUAUUCAAGCAUAUGUAAUUCAAGAAAAGAUAGAUAACAAACCAAUUAAUGCUACUACUAAUACAAUGCCUGCAAGAAAGCUGAUCAAUAGAUAGAUAAUCAUAUGUAUGAUACAUAUGCAUGCAUGCUUUUCCACAUUCACUUUGACUUUUACCCAAUUAAUCCGGUUAACACUCGUUAACCCCAAAACUCACAACCCAAAAUCCCUCUCAAUCGGGGGACUCGAACCUCCCGAGGGACCGUCUUAUGGGGGGACUUUACCUCGCCCAGUGGUGACCAACUUCGAAGCGCACCGCUCGAGGAGGAGCUACCUCCCUCAAGCCAAGACUCAAAGUGAGUAUGAUCCAAUCCCUAAUUUGGGAAUGUAUAGCCAAACUUGCUACUUUGCUACAAGCCACCAUGCCACAAUACAAUAACAGAUUUCUACCUCGUCAUAUAUGCCACUCUCUAGGCCACACUUGUCAUGAUACCACAAUUUGUUUAACCUUGUUUGGCAAUUCAUCUCUCAAUGCCAAUUUCGUCGCUAAUGUCAAUGUCACCUUUGUUUACUAUUAUCAUAGUCCAUUUCUCACAUUCACACAUAGGGGUGUAAACGAGCCGAACUCGAGCGAGCUAGAGCCAGCUCGAGCUCGGCUCGUGGUCUUCAAGGUCGGCUCGUGUUCGGCUCGAGCUCGUGACAAGCUCAAAAACUCUGGCUCGUGAUUAGCUCGAAACUUAAUAGAGCUGGCUCGUGUUCAGCUGGUUAGCUCGAGCAAUUUUGCUUCUUUAUUUUGAAGAAAUCAUGGAGGCGGAGCGAGCGAAGAAGAAGAAGCGAGCAAAGAAGAAGAAGGAAAGAAGAGGGACGACGGCGAUACAAAUCACGGCGCACCGUGUUGGGAAAAAGCCCGGUCCACGAGGCUGCGAGCGAAGAAGAAAAAGGGAGUAAAGAAGAAGAAGAAAAUAAGAGGGACGAUGGCGAUAAAAAUCGCGGCACAUCGUAUUGGGAAAAAGCGCAGUCCACGAGGCUGCACUCAGCCUUGUGGACCGCGCGGGGUGGACAGAUCUGUUGGAAAAAAGCGCGGUCCACGAGGCUCACUCAGCCUCGUGGACCGCGUAGUGGACACCCCGGUUGGGAAAACGCGCGGUCCACGAGGCUCACUCAGCCUCGUGGACUGCGUGGUGGACACCCCGGUUGGGAAAAAGCGCGGUCCACGAGGCUCACUCAGCCUCGUGGACNUAUAUAUAUAUAUAUAUAUAUAUAUUAUUUUAUAUUAUAUUAUUUUUAUAUUUAUAAAAAUUAUAAUUAUUUAUGAUAAUAAUAUAAUCGAGCUGUUAUCGAGCCGAAUACGAGCGAGCUGACCCUAGCUCGUGUUCAGCUCGUUUAUUAAACGAGCUGAAAAAUCCAGCUCAUGUUCGGCUUGUUUACUAAACGAGCGAGCCCAUCUCGAGCUCAUUUUGAGCCGAACACGAGCUGGCUCGUGAACAGCGAGCUGGAUUGCCACCCCUAUUCACACAAGUAUAGGGUCCCAACAUACAUGUCUCAUAUGGUUCUAUAUCAAUCACUAUGUUCAUAUACGUUAGAAGCAUACAAUUGAAUCUCAACCAACAUCCAUAUGUAACUACCCUAUCAUGCAUGAAUGUCACUAUUCAUAUAUGCUUAAUAAAAAGGCAACAUAAACAUAGAAGGGAAUUCAGAGAUUCCGGAUAGCACCUUCCAUCUUGUAGGAACACCAAGAGGCUACCGGUCAAUUUUCAUGAUUUUUGGGCGCCUAUUCUCUCGUCUGCGGCAAAACGAAGCCAAAUUAGGCUUUUCUCUCAAUAUCUUUAUAUAGACUUGUCAGAUCGGUGAACUGAGUCCACCAAUGAGUUAGAAAUAUCCCCAAUUUAGUUUCUACAAGGUCAAUUUACCUUUAAACCAACUUAGGACAAAAACUCCAAUUUUGAUGCCCUAACAAUGUCAUCUAGCCAUAUAUCUUGGUUUGAUUUUAGAACUAAGCAAAAACAAGCUUAGAACCAUCUAAGAAUCCCUCUAAAACUAUUUCUAGGUUAUUCAAACCAUUCCUUGAGCAUAAAAACCAAACCCUAGAUUUCUACCAUGAGAGCACAUGGAGAAACAUGAGUUUUCAUGGAUUCCAUGGCCUUUACUAGAUUUCCCAUCAUGUAAGAAGAUCAAAACCAAAAAAUUUAGGGCAUAAAACCAAGCCCUAAUCUAGUUCUAACAAGAAACCUCACCUUAGUCUACAAGCUCACCAAGGUCCACAUUGUAGGAAAGCUCUAGAUCCUUCAAAACUCCAAAUCUCCUCCAAAUCCACCUUUUGAUCUCCUCCUUUAGCCUUGGGAGAGAGUUUCUAGAGAGAGAGAGCGAGAGAAAUGAGAAGGAGUGAUGUUCUCAGCUGGGAACAAGAAAAAAGAGAGGGUGGGGUACUUUAUAGGUUGCUACAGUAGCAAAUAGAUCCUCAUUUUUUUCAUAUUUGCAGUAGACUAUCCUGCUGAUUUCGCAGCACUGCGUACCGGUACGCGGGUGGGUGUCACCGGUUUAACGACUACGCAGCAGCCAAACCCGAGAGUUGCUCUUUCGGGUAACAUACUUGGUACCGGUACGCACCAGGGAUGUCACCGAUUUAACAGCAUUAAACUCUCAAAUCCGAGAAUAGCUGUUCUCGGUUGCCUGCCUGGUACCGGUACCACUCCAAUGCAUUACCGGUUAACAAUGCUCCAGACUGCAAUUUGCAUUGUUUCGACUCUAGUUCGCGUCGAGCAAUGCUAAAACCUUUCUGACUCUCUUGAAACUCAACUUUAAUCCUUCCAACAUUGUUGGAAUAUUAAAUAGACUUUGUCCAACUAUUCAUCUCGCACACUUUGGUCGAUUUGACUAAAAUUCGAUAUACUCUACCGAAGUUUCGGUAUAUUACAGUACCCUAUCUGAUAAAUUGUAUGACAUUUACUAUAGUGCUAAAAUAACUAGAAAACUUUGGACAUCCUUAGAAAAUAAAUAUGCUCAGGUUGAUCCUACCCAGAAGAGAUACCAGGCUUCUAAUCUAAUUAAAUUUAAGUUGGUGAAUAAUAAGUCUAUAUCUGACUAGCUUUACGAUUUUGAGUAUAUAGUUGAGUAGCUUAGAUCUAGUAGUGUAGAUCUUGAUGAGAGUUUCUUAAUUGCUGCCUUAAUAGAUAAGUUGACAUUCUUUAGGUCAAACCAUACAAACGAUCUUAAUCACAAUUGGAGAGAGCUAUCCCUAAAUUAUGUCCUAAGAUCUAUUAUGAUAGAAGAGUUCGAACCGAGCUAAGGAUAAGAAGCCCGGUAAAUCUACAACCCAAGCCAACCUAGUAGAGAAUCCUAAAAAUAAGGAUAGAAAUUUUUAGCCUCAUAGGAACUUUAAGAAUAAGCCUUUCCACCGUAGGAAGUUCAACCCAAACUUUAAGAAACCUAAAUCUAAUGAAAGUGGAGGCAACUCUGGCUGCUUUGUGUGUGCGAAGACAAGUCAUUUUGCGAAAUAUCGCUACUUCCGGUAGACUCGACCUUUCGUACCAAAGAAGAAGAAGAAGGCUCCAUUGAGUGCCAGAUGAAUGUGCUGACUGGUGGGUUUGACCCUUCUAACUCCACUAUCAGGUUAGGAUCUAGUUUACUGAAUGUUAACCUUACCUAUAGUUUUUUUGAUUGGUGAAUAGAUACUAAAGCUAAUGUUCAUAUUUGUUCUAAUCGUUCGUGGUUUUCCACCUAUCAGGACUCAUUUGGAGGAUCGAUAAAUAUGGGGAAUGCUGCAUCUUUUCACGCACGCUAGGGACAGAUCGAGUGGACUUGAAGUUGACCUCCGGGAAGACCUUAACCUUGCACGAAAUCUGUCAUGUUCCCGACCUUAGGAAGUUGUGGUGCUUAAAAUGUUACUAUAUAUCAUGUGCAUAUAAGAAAUUUUUUUUUCCAAUCAAUUUUAAUAAGGUAAAGACAUCUUUGCCUUUUAGGCAAUUUGAAAUAACUUUUUCAAUUUUAACUUUUUAGUUAAAAAAGUUAUUUAUAGAACAAUUUUCAAAACUAUUAAAUAUGAUUAAUUUUUAAAUAAAAUUAUUAAAAUAAUAUAGCUAUUCAAAAUUAAGAAAAUAUUAAUACUAAAGUUAUUUUUUGUAAUGUAUAUAACACUAUUUUAUAAUUUUUUUAUUUAGUUAUAAUAUUUUUGUCUUAAAAUUUUAAUAAUUAUCUAUAGAUAUAUUAAUUUAACAGUUGGGUCACAUCAAAAGCCCUCAGAGCGACACGCAUCCUUUUUCUUCUCCCUCCUCUACUUCAAUAAUAUUGCAUGCACCUGGUCUAUUAAAAUAUCAUAUACACCAAGUCUCUUUUUAUUGUUAAUAUUUUAAAAUCUAUAAGAUAUAUAAUUUUGCAGUUCCAUCACAUCACAAAAAAUUUUAAUACUAAUUAUCAGAUAUUCUAUCAAUCAUCUAAUAUAUUUUUAUGGUGUAUGAAAUAUUAGUAUACAUUAGGUGCAAGAUUUCUCCUCUUUUUCCUGAAAUUAUAAAUUAAUGCACUCUAUUAAGCAUUCUCCAUGCCGGUUGUAUAUAAGAACAUACACAACAUACUUAAAAUAUUUAAUAGAGAUUUUAAAAUUUAAUUCAGUAAACAUAUUUAAAUUAUUAAAUUUUGUAAUUUAAAUAUAUUUAACUAAGAUUCGAUAUUAGAAAUUAGUCCUUUAAUAUAAGUUGUGGUGUAUAGUGUGUUAAUAUAUACACCAGGUGCAUGUAAUAAUUUCUUUUUUUUCAAUCAAUGUUAACUAGAUAAACAUAACAUCAUAUAUUUGCAAUUUAGAAUAAGUUUUCUAAUUUAACUUUUUAAUUAAAAAUUUAUUUAUAGAAUAGCUACUAAAACUAUUAAAUUUGAUUGAAUUCUUAGGUGAAAUUAUUAGAAUACUUUAACUCUCUGAAUAUUGAAAGUUAAAAAAUAUUAAUAAAAAAAGAUUAGCUUUAUAAUGUAUAGAAAGCUAUAUAUUUUUUUAUUUUUUAUUAUAAUUUUAAAUUUUAAAAUUUUAAUAAUUAUAUAUAUAUUGAUUGACUGAAAUGCUAUCGAUCAGCCGCGAAGCGCGGACCCUGAACUAAAGAGAGAUCUAGAGAGAGAGAGAGAGAGAGAGAGAGAAUCAACCCAUGUGCCAAACUGUCAAUAAGUCAAGCCCAAACCUUCACCGUGGGACAAUCCAAGCCCAAGAAUUGGUGCCGUGCCGGAUUUGUUUUGGUAAAUUUUGGGCCAAUCCACCGUAUCAAGAACACACAUAAACACUACAGUUUCAAAACAUCUAACAUCAAAUUAAUUAACCCUUACGAGCUAGCUUUAAUUCACGGCCAAACAUUCACUACGGGCUAGACCAAAUAUGAGGCCAGAAGAUAUUUUAUGAAAAGCACAUAAAAUGGGCUGAUCUUUUGGGACCAAAGGCAACAUAGUGAAGCGCCUCACCACUCCUGCUACAUAUGAUGGUUUAGUUCUUAUAUAUCUUGUUUUCUUUUAAAUAGUAGAAAUUUUAAAAAAAAUUUUAAACCCUAGGAUGCAUGCAUGGGAGAGUUUACAUUAUAUACCCCUUUUGGGAUUUAUAAGAAGCAUUUCUCAAAAUAAAAAAGGUUAAUUGCAAUAUUUCAUAUGUAUCCCUAGAAAGUUCUAGUUUUUAAGUAUAUCGAUCCAUCGAUCCAAAGUUGCAUAGUUUAUAGAUAUAUGAUCCUUCUCCGUUAAUUAACUAGUUAGAUAUCGAUCUUCUCCGUUAAUUACUUAUUUUUUGCCAACAGAAUAAUUAUUUUACCUUUGAAUAUAGUAUUUAUUAUUUGUAGUAUUUUUAUUCCAAUUUUUACGUCAUUUAUGUGAACCAUACAUUAUAAAUCUUGAAAAGAAAUUCAGAAAAACUAAUUUUAUAAGGGCAUAAUGGUCCAAAAAUAGAAAUUUAACAAUCGACCAAUAGUAGUCAAUAUUCAUAGAUAAAUUUGCAUAUUUUAGAUGUUUAGAAGGAUAUAUUUGAUAAUUAAAACUUUACAUGAAUAUAAUAGAAUUUUGUAGGAAUAAAUAUGUAAUGUUAUUGUUUUGUAUGGAUAUAGCACACAUGCAAUUUCCAUUCUCAUUCUUCUUUUAAUGACACUACAGGUGUUUUGCUGCUUCAAUAAAUCAGCAAAUGAGCACUUAUUAAAGGGCAAUAAAUGGAGGUUUUGGUGGGUGGGCGAGCCCUAGCCCUAUAUAUUGUCACAUGAUUAUAUAUAUUUAUAUAUAUAAUUGAGCUUCUAUAUUUUUAAAAUUAUAAAGUUUUUGGUGGACUUGUAAAUUUUUAACUCUUGGAUUAAAAGAUGUGCGAUUAGAAUAAUAGUGAUCCUCUAGAAUUGAGUUGGUGUUUGGUUGAAUAGUAUUAUCGAACGGAUUGAACUAAUUAACUAAAUAGAUCUAACGGCGAAAAACUUACGAGCACCAAAUAGUUGGUGCUUUUACAAGUAGUAUAGCCGGUCUCUCUCUCUCUCUCUCUCUCUCUCUCUCUCUCUCUCUCUCUCUAUAUAUAUAUAUAUAUAUAUAUAUAUUCUUUGUGCUCUGUAGAGAAGGGUCCUGGUUGGUCUAAGAAACCACAUGGCUUCUGCAUCCUCUCUCGUGGGGUGUAGGCCCUGCUAUAAUGACUGCACAAAGAAAAAGAUAACAUAUCGUCGGGUGCACCUGGUGCAUACGCACACAUUGUGCACCGUCCGCCCACCCCGCUUUCAUAUUUUACAUUUUAGUCCCUACCAUCCACCGAAAAAAAUCUUCUUCCUAAUAUUUACAAUAAAUAAGCUACACCAAAAACCAAUUAUUUUUGUACAAUUAAUGUACUACUUAUAAAGAGUCUCACAAAAGAUAAUAUGAUAUAUAAACCUUACUGAAAAGUUAUAUGGUACGACCUGUUUGUCCUUGUUUAGCUUUUCUUUUUCUUUUUUUUCAAAUAGAGUUAGUUGUUAGUAACUGUAAGCUCGACAAUCGAUGAAGUCUAGAAUUUAAUUUGUAGCAAAAUGGAAGAAAAACAUAAUUUAGAAAACCGGUUAGCAGAAAUUUGUGCUUCUCAUCUACUAAUACAACUAAAUGAUCUAUAAUUCUAUUAGGAGUUGUAAUAUUAUGCUUCUUCUUGUAGCGCUUUUAGAUAUAUAUCAUACCGAUAAAAAAAACAUACACUGUAUCCUGCAAUACAAGUGGGAAAAAAUUAAACUCGAAUGAAUUAAGGGCGUCUGUAUUUCGUCAAUUUAUUGAGUUUUUUCUAAAUUUGCCGCACAAUACGAUCUUGAGACAAUGAUAUCAAAUAUUUAACUAAAUUUAAUUAAACAUCAAAAUUCAAACACACAAUCGACGAUCAUCAAGUAAUCAAAUAAUUCCAGCGAAUUAAGCAUCGUUGUGAUGCUCCUCAGUAAGAUCCUACGAAAAUGGGGAUGCUCGUAAUAAUUCUAGAGAGAGAAAGUGAGAGUACGUACCCCACAGGACAGAGGCAUCACAAGCCAAACAAUAGCAAACUACCAAAUGGUACUGUCGAGUACGUACCCUCUCCUCUCUCUCUCUCUCUCUCUCUCUCUCUCUCUCUCUCUCCUCUCUCCUCUCUCCUCUCUCUCUCUCUCUGAAGUGUCCAAAGAAACAGAAAAAGUAGCAACGAAAAACUACUUCUGGGGUUAAAGGGAGAAAAGUAGAAGGGGUUGAUGUUGGUAAUAGGAAGAGAAAAUAUGAUAGUGGAAAGCCGCGCUUUGUGGACACAGUGCAUGGGAGCAGUUAAUGCAUACUUUUACGAGAACAACAAGAGAAAAGAUCAUCAUCUUCUGUGGUUGUCAUUGGCUGAUACUGCACAGAUCAUCUGUCGAGGAUUGGUCGAGUACACUACAGUAUUUAUACUACACACUAGUACUGUGCCAACUAAAGGACCUAUAUAUGUUUACUUUUACUCUCAGAAAUAAUAAUGUUUUAUUAGGAAAGUGAAAAGUGUUUCACAAAUAGAGAAGCAAGCAUGUGGUUAGCUUCUACUGUUAGAAGAAGUAAUGUAAAAAUUUGAGAAUAGAAAUAAUAACUUCUCUUAACUAUUUACUUUUGAUUAAGUAUAACAUAUGUAGGUCAUAUUGGUCGAUCUGUACAAGCAGUAAAAUGGGGUAAAGAUCCCUAUAAUUUUUCAACAGAACCAUUUCACACCCAACUAAUUCUGUAUAUACUACUUCAUAUUGACAACUUCAUUCUAAUCUUUAUAACUCAUCUAAUAAGUAGAAAUACAAUUUCGCUGUCUCAAAAUCAAAAGUUUUAAUUUGACACUUUUUAUUAUGCUGUAAGACCAUAUAGGAACAGGCUGAAGGUUAACCAAGCAUAUGUCAAACUCUCCUAGUAUAUGAGCGUAGCGAAAAACUGAAUCUUUUAUAGAGAAAUUUGAUGAGAACAAUCGAAAAAGUCAAUUAUGAGAAUAGCAAAAUAAUAAAAAGAGUAAGAACAUAAAAAUUUAUGUAGUUUGACCAACGGUGUGUCGACCGAUAUUCACAAGCCAAACAUUAAUGCUUCUUCGAUUAAUCAAUGAUACAAAAUACAAGGAGUAGAUUGAAGAUAAGAAAUCCCUCUUACACCACUCUGCCACAUUUUUUGUCUCAAGUAGAAUUUUACAAUGGAACUUUAAAGCCCUAAAUAUGAAUUACAAAGUUCUAUCCAAAGGUGUACCGGAACCUACACUUUCAUAGUGUCUUGUUUUGGAACCCAGUUCUUGUGUUCAGGAACCUACACUUUCAUAUUGUGCAUAUAACAAUAUGUGGGUUCCGGAACCUGCUGUAAUUCUCACACCAGAUUCGGCCUCUUCUAUUUCUAUGGAGCACCGCCAAAGGUUCUCGAAUCUAACAUCCAAUAACCUGUAGAUUCAUCACUCAGAAAUCAACUCGAAAAAUGGCUUCCACUUGAUCUAACAUAAGAAACCAUUCAGAAUAUUCUUAUAUUAGUACUUCUUCGAAUGUAUACAUACAUAACACUUCAUCUAGAUUACUAGUUCUACACUCUAUAGCAGAGUCAUACAGACCCUUAUUAUAUUUCAUUUCUUCACAGUAAUUACUAAAAACAGCAACAAAGGAUGUUAGAAUUUAAUUAGAAUGAUCUCUUGCAAAAGAUCGGGAAGUACCAACUGCAUGCUAGAUUAAUAAAGUCUCAAUCACCGACCAUCCCUAGAACAGUUGGCAAAGUGCUUGAUAAUAAUCUUCUAAAUUAUUAGUUUUAGCCUUAAUUUAUUUGGAGUUUCUUCUUCUAAGUAUGUUAGUAUAAUUUGUUAAGAGGUAAUGCUCACCUUGAUUAAGAGUCUAAUUAGUGGAGAUUUAAUUAUAGUAAGAAACUAUGUUACUUUUAAGUUAAAUGAAUUUUACAGUAAGAUACUAUGUUACUAGAGUCAAAGUAGAAUUAUAGUAAGAUACUAUGUUACUUUAAGUUAAAUGAAUUUUAUCUUUAAGGUGAUUAAAUUAUCAAGUAGAGCUCUAUUUUUUGUACAAGCUAGGCCGGUAUACUAUCGGUAGUACGGAGGCCUCCGUGCUAUCAAGAUCCGGUUUCCGAAUCGAUGAUCGGCUCCAUUAGACUUGAUCUACACUUUUAGAAGUAUUUGGAAACAAAAAUUUUAUAAUUUUUCGACAUCAUUUGGCUAGUGAUCAAAAGGUUUCAAAAUUGACAAUUUUAAUAGUUGAUGUGAUGUGUUUGUGAAUUUAAUGGUGUAAAACAAUCCAAAUCUGAUAAAAUUUUUAUAGAAAAUUCUUUUCACUAUUUAGAGCAAGAUCAGUACCUCUGAUUUUAAAUUCAAGUCUUUUUUCAUCAUUUUUUAUGAGAUUUUUACUUUCAGCCGUUCAUUAUUAAAUUAGUCGUUUGAUAGGUAAAUGAUGUCGAAAAAUUAUGAAAUUUAGUUUCCAAAUACUUUUAAGCGUGUAGAUUAAGUCUAACGGAGCCGAUCGUCAAUUCGGAAGCCGCAAUAUUGAAAACAGCUUGAUAGCACGGAGACCUCCGUGCUACCGAUAAUAUACCAGCCUAGCUCUUUCUUGUGCUAUAUAUAUAUAUAUAUAUAUAUGAGAUGAGGAGCAGAGAGAGAGAGAGAGGAGAAGAGAGAGAUGAGAGAGAAGAGAGUAGAUAGAGAGAGAGAGAGAGAGAGAGAGAGAGAGAGAGAGAGAGAGAGAGAGAGUCCGGCUACUAUGCUAUCGGUAGCACGGAGCGCUCCGUGCUACCAAGUUGUUUUCGAUAAUGCGGCUUCCAAAUCGACGAUCGGCUCCGUUAGACUUGAUCUACACUAUUGAAAGUAUUUGAAAACUAAAUUUCAAAUUUUUUCGACAUCAUUUGAAUAGUGAUCAAAAGAUCUCAAAAUUGACAACUUUAAUGGCCGAUGUGGUGUGUUUGUGAGUUUAACGGUGUAAAAUAAUACAAAUGCGAUGAAAAUUUUAUAGAAAGUUCUUUUCACUAGUUAGAGUAAAUUCAGUACAUCUGAUCUUAAAUUUAAAUUUUUUAUCAUCAUUUUUUAUGAGAUUUUUAUUUUCAGCCGUUCAAUUUUAAACUACUUGUUUGAUAAGUAAAUGAUAUCGAAAAAUUAUGAAAUUUAGUUUCUAAAUACUUUCAAUAGUAUAGAUCAAGUCUAACGGUGCUGAUCGUCGAUUUGGAAACCGCAUCAUCGAAAACAACUUGGUAGCACGAAGUACUCUCUGCUACCGAUAGUAUAGUAGCCUAGUUAUAUAUAUAUAUAUAUAUAUACACACACACAGGGGCGACACACUAAUUAGAUGAAGCAGGAACCGAACCUGAUAUUAGGAUGGCCAUGUGUGUAAGCACCAUCAUGUGCUGCUUUAUCUUCUUCAAUAAGUUUUGUGCUUCCACCAGAACGUCCCAAAAUUAUUAGUUUUUUCUGUUUUUUUUUCCUUCCAUUUUUCUAUUUAUUUGUGAGAGAUCUUUAAACACCAUAAUAAGCGCAUAAAACGUGAUUUAUUGGAGACCCGCCACCAUCACAAAUGAUAGAUUUAUUGCAGAGAAUCGAUAUUAUAACGGGUAGCAAAUUCCUAACAUAAUUUAGGGCUCAUUUGGUAAGUCAUAGCAAAUGUAGAGGGAUGCUUCUCUGUUUUCUGGCAAAACUGCAAAACAUGUAUUAUUACGGAUCCAUUGUAUAUGCACAACGUAAAAUAACGUACGGUAAUUAAGAGCUAAGUAUUUUUUUUUCAUUAUACUUUGCCAUUGAUAUACCAGAAUCUCCCUACAAUCUCAAUCAGAGCCUUAGAUAACUAGAAUAUCAGUUUGCCACUGACUUCAAAGUAAAUAGGAAUUGUAAAAAAUAUCUUAAAAUCACACGUUGUACAUGGAUAUGACUACAGAGAUGGUGAACUACAUCAAAAGCGUGCACGGAGGAGAGGAAGAACAUUUUGUUGUAAGCAAAUCCUAAUUGCUACCCAAAGAUCAAACAACUUCUUGUGAAAGCAAAAGCUUGUUUGGCUAGCAAGUGGAAAGUCAAGGAACGUAUACACCACACUAUUCACAGUUUUUCUCACCAGAAACAGAAGGAUGCUCAUGCAUGCAUCUGAUAUGAAUCAUAUAUCAAAAGCAGAAAAAAGAUUUUAUAGGUUAGAGACAUAUUCAUGUAUUUGAAAGCUGUAACUGUCAUCUUGGUGUAAUUUUUGGAACCAUGGAGCUAGUUAAUUAGUAGAUGUUUGACAAAAUAAAUAAAUGAAAAAUAUCCGAAGAUUUUGCUAUUACAGGAAGUUGAAAUGAUGUUUAACUCAAAACUUCUCCUAUAUUAAAGCACUAAUUUCUAAUUUGAAUAAGUUUUAUCUUAGACUCUCUAGCAUAGAUAACUCAUUAAGCCCAAAUUACUAGUCCAAAAUGUUUAAACCCAAUGUUUUGUUGGAUAUAUUAUUAUUAUUGGAUAUUUUGUUAUAAUAUAAUCCAAAUAAUAUGUUCACAUACAAGCCCAAUAAGUGAAAGCGUAUUAAGGCCCAUAUCUCUGGAGCCCAAUAGCUUAUUUAAAAAUCUAGGGUUUCCUACGCUGGAGGUAACACUGUUGAGCGUUCCAAACUUGACGUCUCUUGGUGUAAUACUUUAAGCACCCAAAAACCCUAACCUCCAACAUGUUUAUUAUUAGAGCCUAUGAUUCUUAUAUUUAAAUACAAAAUUUCUUUUUUAUUUGAUGCAGGACUAUUGUUUCCGAUUAUUGGAGCUAAUCGUUAAGUCCAAAGGCUCGACUUACUAGAAAUAUACAAUUAAUUCAUUUAAAGCGUACAAACAUAGUGCCCACAGAUCUUGACUGUAACUAGGCCGAAGCAACCUCACACCACUUCGAACAUGACUCGGCCUUAGCCGAUUUCUGUCGUUUCGAACGUGACUCGGCUAUUUUGACCUCUAGUCACAGGACAGGAUACUUAUGAUUUGUAUGAUCUUAUUAUAGCUGGUGCAAGAAGUGAUGUUUAGAUAAUAUUAUUGAAGAAACCCACUAUUAAUAUACUUUUGACAGUUUCUUUUUGCACUGGAAUCAUAAUUACUACUUCAAAAUCGACCAGUGCGCCCCUGUGCCAAAUGGUCCCCCCAUGCACAAAAUCCUCUUUGAAAGCAAAAUACGCAUAUGUAAUGGUGGGGGAUAUACACAUGGUAUAGGGCCAAGUGUCCUCAACAAGUGCAACAUCAGGGUUAAAUCUUCGAGCCCAACAUGUUCUUUCCAUCUCAACACAUACCCUAACUCGCCCGUGGCAUGUCCUUCUUUCUCUCUCCUCCCCACAUGCCUUGUUCCUCUCUCUCCCUCUCUCUCUCUCUCUCUCUCUCUAACCCCCUCCCUCUAUAUAUACCUCUUCCACCCAUGUCACUUUCCACUUAACUCUCUCUCUCUCUCUCUCUCUCUCUCUCUCUCUCUCUCUCUCUCUCUCUCUCUUCUAACACCUCACAAGGCCACAACCUCUCCCUCCCUCUCUCUCUCUCUCUCUCUCUCUCUAACAGUGCACUUACUCACUUCUUGUUACAAGCCUCUAAUGGCCAUAAGGAAGUGCUCCUCCAACAAGCUCCCACAAGGCACAACUCUGAAGCAGAUACUAAAGAGGUGUUCAAGCUUAGGUAGAAAGCAAGGAGUAGGAGGAGGAGACGAUAAGCUCCCCCAAGACGUACCCAAAGGCCACUUUGCGGUGUACGUGGGGGAGCACCGGAGCAGGUUCAUCGUCCCCAUCUCGUACCUCUCCCACCCCGAGUUCCAAACCCUGCUUCGGCGCGCCGAAGAGGAGUUCGGGUUCGACCACGACAUGGGUCUUACGAUCCCCUGCGAGGAAGUCGUUUUCCGCGAACUCAUCGCCUCCGCAGUGAUGUAGAAGAGAAGUACGCAGAAGAAGAGAAGAUCAGAGAAGAAGAUACAGAAUUAUUCUGUUUUUCAAUAUUUAUCUCUCUCUCUCUCUCUCUCUCACUCUCUCACUGUGUUUCCUACUUUUGUUUUGGGGGGAUCUUUGAUUAGAGUAGGGAACUUAAUUAGUUAGUGUUGUAGUGAUUCUAACACAUGAGUUCGAUUUGUACAUCUGUGGAGAAGCUUUUUGCUGUUGCGAGAAGCACUGCGAGAGCUGAGUAGUUUAGGAAGAGGAUCGAAGAGGGAGGUGAUGAUGUACCUCCUAUGAAAAAUAAUAUGUAACUAUAAGCAACUACUCUUGUUCUAAUUAAUUCUUCUUUGGGACAUCUUGAGUUAGCUUCCUCUCUCCCUUUUCUUUUUCUUGCUGGUUGGUUGUUGCUGUUCAGAUCUUCAUUAAUUAUGAAAUUUUUUUUUAUUUUUGUUUUUAUUUUUUUGGGCUUUAAAAAGCUUUCGCUGAGUUAUUUCAGCUGCUGUGGCCAUUAAUUAGAUCAGAAACAGUACUAGCUAGAAUGAGUUUGCAGUGCAUUUCCGGUUAAAUUUGUUUUACUUGUUUUGUUUUUUUUUUUCUUUUCUUUUGGAUGUGUUUUUCUCUGUGUCUGUGUGUGUGUUCAUAACAGCACCCACAUGCAUGAGAAAUGUACAAUAAAUUUUAUGACCUCUCAGCUAAGAGUCAAAGAAGAUGUCAAACUAAGAUAUAUGCUAUAUUUUUCUCACCAAACGUACAUUUUUUUGGGAUCUUCCGUGGACAAAAAUUAUAGUAGUAAUUUAUUUUGCUAUCCAAUUCUAAAUUUUAAAUUUUAAAUUUCAAAAUUCAAAUUUAGAAUUUUUAAUUUUUAAACGUAAAUUUUAAAUUCAAAUAUCACAUUCUAAGUUCUAUGUCAGAUUUUAAGUUCAAAUUUUUAAUUUUAAAAAUUAUAUUUAUUAUUUGUAAAUAAUUUUUUUUUUACCAAACAGCUUUAUAAAAUUAUUUUAAAAAAAUCACUUUUCUACUAGGCUUAGCCACACACUUACCACUUCUAACUAAAAUUAAUUUCCGAACCAAAAUCAAUUAUCCGAAAAUCACUUAUAAUUUCAAAAGUUAGGCUAAACACCCCUUAUACGCUGGAUGCUACUAGUAUGUGGGACAAAUAUAUAUGUAUAGUUUUACGUACAUGCUACAUGCAACAAGUUCGUAAUCAUCGAGCCAGCCAUAAAUGAGAAAUUAAGGUCGAUACAACCUUACACGUUAUAUACAGGUCGAAAUUCUUAUAUUUAACAUAAAAUUUAUUUUUUAAAAAGAAUUGGAUGAUUAAUUGGGUUGGCAUUAUUAGCUAGGCUAAAGGUGACACUUAGAACAAUGAUAGUUUAAGAGUAGCUAAAAGAAUUUUAAUUCUCUUAUGCACUAAUUAACCAAAUCAAAGUGUCGACAAAUCGAAAGGUACUAAUCAGAAUGACUAAUUAAUUAGGGCCAUUUUGUAUGGAAAGCAUCAUGGUAUACUGGUCAAAAAGUGUUAACAAGAUAAAUUCCAAGCAAGGUUUAAUUAAAACUAAUAAUCAUGGAUCUAUGUCAUUGUUUAAUUGUUUAACUGGUUGAACCAAUCGAAUCAGUAACACAUUAUUAAUAAUAACUAUAAUAUCGCGACAUUCGAGCUAUGCCACUAAAAUUUUACAAAAAAAAACAUCCAAUGAGCAAAGGGAAUAAUGGAAUUAAUUGGACUCUUAGUGACUUAGUCAAGCAUUCAUCAUACAUAUGUAUAAAUCAACUUUAUUCUCAAACCUUGGCCAUUCAAUAAUUGGACUUUAUAUAUAUAUGGUCUCACCAUGUGUGUUCCCUGUGGCAUGUUUGCCGCUUUAGGUUCUUGGUUAUAAGAAAAAUAAAUGACCUUUUCACUUCAAAAGUAACAAAAAGAGUGCGACACAUAAAAAGUUUUGAGCAUUUUUUAGUAAAAGAAAGAAGAGGAGGUGGAAUCCUCAACCUGCAUAGUUCUAUAGACAAUUUAAUAUAUAUAUAUAUUAUAUAUUAUAUAUUAUAUAUAUAAUAUAUAUAUAUAUAUAUAGAGUGAGGCUACUAUGCUAUCGGAAGCACGGAGCCUUCCGUGCUUCAGCUCGUUUUCGAUGUUGCGACUUUCGAAUCGUGAUCGGCCUCUGUUAAACUUGAUCUAGAGUAUUUGAAGUACCUAAAAAAUAAUUUAUUAUUUUUUCGAUAUCAUUUGCCUAAGUGAUUGAAAGGCUCAAAAUCAACAAUUUUAAUAGCCGUAGUAAGCCGUUUGCAAGUUUAACGGUGUUAGAAAUAUCCAAAUCACGUAAAAUUUUGAUAGGAAAUUUUUGAUACUAUAUAAAAAGAUCAUAUCUUUGAUUUAAAAUUUUUAAUGUCAUAUUAUUAAUUUUGUAGAAUUUUUUUUUCAGCCGGUUUGAUAUUGAGCCCUUCGUUCACUAGGCCAAAUGAUACGCGUAAAAUCAUAACAAUUUAUUUUCUAGGUACUUCAAAUACUCUAGAUCAAGUUUAACGGAGCCGAUCGACGAUUCGAAAGGCGCAACAUCGAAAAUGAGCUGGAAGCACGGAAGGCUCCGUGCUUCCGAUAGCAUAGUAGCCUCACUCUAUAUAUAUAUAUAUAUAUAGUAGGUAUUAUAUGCUAUUACGAGUACGGAGUUCUCCGUGUUCCUAUGUAAGCCGUUUUCGAUAAUGAAGCUUUCGAAUCGACGAUCGUCUCUAUUAAAUCGACUUGAUAUAGCGUAUUUGAAUUAUCUAAAAAAUAAAUUUUAUAAUUUUUCGAUAUUAUUUACCUAGCGAUUGAAAAGUUUCAAAAUCAACAAUUUUUAAUGGUUGAUGUAUAUGGUUUGCAAGUCCAACGAUGUAAAAAUAUUGAAAUUUGAUAAAAUUUGACAGAAAAUUCUUUAUACUAUAUACUGUAAGAUCAAUUCUCUGAUCGAAAAAUUUAGUAGUUUAUCACCACUUUUUGUGAGAUUUUUAUUUUCAGCCGUUGAUUUUAAAACCCUUUCGAUCUCUAAGUAAAUGAUAUCAAAAAAUCGCAAAAUUUAUUUUUUACAUACUUCAAAUACGCUAGAUCAAGUCUAACAAAACCGAUCGUCGAUUUGAAAACUCUACUAUUGAAAACGGCUUAAAAGCACGGAUGCCUCCGUGCUCCUAAUAGCAAACAAGUACUACUAUAUAUAUAUAUAUAUAUAUAGUGUAGCGUUACUAUGCUAUCGGAAGUAUAGAGAAUUUGAUACUUUCGAUUUUUUGACCCUUGGAUAAAAAAUUACACGGUUGGAAUGAUUGCGGUCCCCCUAAGGUUGAAUAGUACUUCUAGGGUUGAGUGGUCCCCACAGAAUAAUAGUAUUAAUUCAAAAAUUAAAAAUGAUUUAAGAGACUGAUCCAAGGGACAAAAAGCCAGAAGCACCAGAUUUUCUAUCACAAGUUGAAAGAUCAACCACUAACAUGAAACGAGUAGAGCAACCAAUUUUUUAUUACAUGCAUUCUAUUAUUCAGAUAAACCAUGGUGGGCGAUAUUAAAUUAUGUUACAGUUUUACGGAGUUUUUUUUUUCCCCUCGAUUCUAUUUACUCUAUAUACAAAUCCUUUCGUAAGGUUUAGUAAAUCAAAGUUUCAAUUCUCCUCAAUCCAUCUAAACUUUGAAAAUCCUCUCAAAAAACGGCUUUAAUUUAUUACGAACUGCAUAGUUCAGAUAAUCUUAUGUUGCUUUUGAAAAUUCUGUUGAUGAUGUUAAAUUAUAUUAAUGUUCACGUGGUCCUAGAGCUUUUUUUUUUUUUUUUUUUUUUUUUUUUUUUUUUUUUUUUUGGCUGUUUCCUUCUACAAAGCUUAAUUUAAGAACCAAAGUUUCAAUUCAAUCCUACGUUAACGGAAACAAAAAUAUAAGGGUUAAUUUAAUUUAUAUAGUUUUUGUAAACACGUCGAAUAACAAAUAUAUUAAUACAAAAUUCAACUUCUAUAUUUAUUCCUACAAAAGUUUAAUAAUAUUCAUAUUUGUCCUUCUGAUAUGUACUAAUGUUAGAGGGCUAUUUAUUUUUUAAUAAAAAAUAAGUAAAAUGAUAUUUUUGUCAUCACAAAUAUGUCUCUCUUAAAGUUCUAAUUGUUAGAACUAUAUAGAAAUAUUUCUUUAAUAAUUUUCGAUGGUCAUAUUACUCCUUUCUACCAUCACAAAUAAUAUAAAAGGGAUAAAAAGUAAUUUAAUUUAUUCACUAAUCAGAAUUAAAUAUUUUAUCUAUAGUUAAUUAUAUAUUUUUUUAAUGAAUCCUAAUAGCAGUGAUAAAUUUAAAAAAUUUAAAAUUUUUACAAGAAUAAAUAGAAAAAAUUAAAUUUUAUAGAAAUAUAUGCAAUUAAUAAAAACUCCUCCGUACAGUUUUUCCGCUUUUCAGGGUCCUUGUUGCCACUCUAUUAAUAGGACCACAGGAAAAAGGCUCCUCUCCAGUUUCUACUCAUCUAUCUCUCUCUCUCUCUCUCUCUCUCUCUCUCUCUCUCUCUCUCUCUCUCUCUCUCUCUCUCUAAUAUUAAUUAUCAUCACCACAGGAGAGAGGCUAAAAUGUAGAAAAUUUCACUAUAAAUAUUCACUUUUAUAUUUUAUUAUCCUAUUUUUUUAAAAUCACUACAAAAUAAUAUCGGUAUUAGAUAAAGUCUACAAUUUAAACUUCAAAGAGGCUAAAAUGUAGAAAAUUUCACUAUAAAUAUUCACUUUUAUAUUUUAUUAUCCUAUUUUUUUAAAAUCACUAUUACGCCUCUUUGAAGUUUAAAUUGUAGACUUUAUCUAAUACCGAUAUUAUUUUGUCAUUAUUUUAUACAUAAAUUUUGUAGUAUAGCUAUUGAAAAAAAUUUUCUGAUCUUUUAUUAAAAUAUUUUGUAAAACAAUUCGAACUUUUAAUUUAAAUUUUAGAGAAGAUUCGAGGAAGAAAAUAAAUAAUAAUAAAUAUAAAUACUGUCCUACAAGCGAAAUUGCCUCUUCACGUGCGAGGCUUCUCGACAAUUAGUUUCAUCGAUAUUGUCGGAUCGUUGGCGCUAACCAUUAAUCCCAAAAGCUCGAGCUGUUAGAAAUACGCAACCAAUUCACUUAAAGCNUUAGCUUAGAGCUUUCGCUUCCGUUGUUGCUUGCCCUCGUGCAAGCCUUGUAUUAUAUUUGCAAUUCUCUUGUUAAUUGCCUAAUUAUAUGUAUUGUUAGAGCCUUGGGCGGACAGGGGAGGCUCUGUCCGUUCGGCGUCUGUUGACGUGACCCGAACCCGACCAAAUUGGCGGGGAUUGGGGCGUGACACCACUCCUGUCAGGUGAGGCCUUGAAGGGCCAAGUGAGAUUUUCGGGCCUAGGCGAGUGUCAUAACUGCCGACGCCCAGGCCACUCUCUCUACUUAGGACACGAGAGCUGUUGCGAGUAUCUCUACAGAGACGGCACUGUGAUCAGUUACAACCAUGACUUCUGUGGGGCUAUUAGGGUGUAGCCCAGGGUUUGGUAGCGGUCGUUUAGGCGACUGCAUUGUUAGUGUUUCUUCCGCAGAUCUUUGGGUAGGGUUGCGAUGCCCACCUCUCUUCCUUGAUUGCUGAUUGGAAUCAGCGGUUCGAAUCUUUUGACCUUUACCUCGUUCAUUCUUCCUACCAGAGUCGUAUUGACACAGUUUUGGUGUCAGGUCCCUGUUGAUACAUACAUCGUAUCCGAUUGUUCUAACACCUAAAUUGGUGUCAGGGGAUAGUAGAUGGUUUAGUAAGAUCCGUUUUGACUCGAGUUAUUCCAAAUAUUGCCAGAAUUCUCGGAGCUUUGAUUAUAGCUCGGUUGAGGUGCGAAAAUCGGUUAGAGAAACUGUUUUCUAGAGCCUCAGUUGGUACAGUUCGCGGCUUAGUGUCGCUAGUAACUUUCGGAUGUUGAAAGUUAUAGGACUCCCUGUGAGUCGGUUCAGGUUCGUUCUGAUUUCGAAUGUCGACUUGUAAAGUCGAUGUUUCGAUAGUAUUGGUUGUGAGCUUCUGAUUUAGUUAAGAGGUAUCAAGAGGCUUGAUACUUCGACGUGUUGCGCUUCCAACUGGUUGUUGGUAGUGGAUCUUCGGAUAUUUCGCUUUUCUUUUGAUAAGUAUAUUGGCUGCAGACAAUAUACUGUCGAAAGAGGGACGAAAUACUAUUUUCCCGUUUAGGACUUAUGGAUUGGGUCAAUGUGUUCUCUAGACGGUUUUGUGGGAAAAGCUAGAAUGAUAGUCAUCUUUGACCACGUAGCGAGCCUUGGGUUAUUCCUUGGCAGGUUUUGUACAGUUGACUGAUCGUCACUGAUAAAGGGGUUUUGACUCUAGUUCGAGUCCGGGUGUUCGUAGCUCUUUAGUUGUGCUUCCCACAGCUAAAAGGUUUGUUUGGUUAGUAGUCUCGGUCUAUUGUUGAGAGGCUCAGAAUCACAAUUGUGGAGUGACUUGAGCAUGGUUGUUGGCUUUGAUUGUCACCGUGUGUGAUAGCGUAUAAGGUUUGCGGCUCGGCUUAUCGUGCAAACCUUGGAAUGUUAUGCUUGUCUAGUCAAAUUGGUGACAAGUGCGCCUGGGUCUCAAUGAGACAUGCUUUUGGUGUUGCUCGGAACAUCAAUCGCUAGGGUCCCUGGUAGGACAGCAGCGACAGGGUCUCAUGGAGACAAAUGUUGAGCAUCGCCGACGGUUAGUAUCGCUUUUGCGAUUGGCGACCUGUGCAUCAAGUGAUGGACUUGCAAAGAGCAUUUGGUGGUCUGUUGGUACCGGAUUAAGUUUGAGGAGACAAAAUUGCCUAGCCGAAUUGGUAUCGUCAGUUGGAUCUUUUGGUCAGAUGGAAAGUAAAGUCUUGGACCUAGGACUAUAGAUUGUCGCAGGUGACUUUCGGUUAUUGGAGGUUUUGGCAGUUUGUGUAGUUACUGGUGGAAACAGUGGUCUCCGAUGUAAGUGAUUUUGACUCGGAUUUUAGAAUAACGUUUCGUUUUCGCUCAUGGUGAGCAGGUUGACGUUGUUGGAUAGUUGGAGUUUUUCGUUUCAGUCUACGUGAAUAGACUCCAGAUUAAAGUGGUUGUCUCGUGACUUUUCUACGUGAACUUGCGACGUAGUCGAGUCGGUUACGGCUAUGCAGACCAAGGUAGAGUGGACCUAAAUUUCUGGAUGUUGAUUAAUUAUCUCAGAAUUGGCAAUUUGGGUUCGGAUAAUCCUUGUCGCGAGACCAUUUUUGUCCGCAGGUUAUAGGAUGGUGUUAAUCCCGGUAAGUUUUGAUCCAUAGAUUUUGGGUUCGUACGUUUUUCCCUCGUUGUUGUCCGAGUAGAACUGCAGUCCUAUUCUUCCCUUACUUGGAGAUUGAUCUGUCCAAAUGCAUGAAAAUGUAAUUGACCAAUACUCAAAGGUAUUACCACAGUGGUGGAAGUAGUAUCCGAAUUCGAUUUCGGUGGGUAUGUGGUCAAGUUUCGGGGACGAAACCUCUUUUAAGGGGGGGAUAAUGUAGGGACUGAGAUUUUGACAGUGCAACUAGAGUCUCUGUUGACGAUGUUUAUGUGUGUAAUUUAAUUACAUAAGCACUCGUCAAGUUUCAAGAGAAUAUGAGCUAGAAUGGAGAAGUUACGCGAUUAUUAGUUUUCUUUUAAGUGAAUAGUAACUCCGGUUUUUCGGAGAAGCCACGGAGUAGAGUUGGCUUUCGGCGCGUAUCGGACUCCGUUCAUAGCGAUCCAAUAGCUCGUUUCGAUCGGUUCAGCUAUUCUGGAACCAAUGGCACUGACAGAUUUCUGAUCUGAUGCACGGUUUUCGAGAAAAAGGAGUUUUACCGAAAAGAGGGUUUCCGCUCUUUGCUUUUCUGUGCAUUCUAAAGCUUCUCAUACUCCGUGCUUGUGACCUGGAGUAGGGUGAAGAAUGUUUCGAGUCCCUAUUAGUGGUAGGGAAGUCAAUUUCUUAUGCGAAAGUUGGUUUAAUGGGUUUACACAUUGGUAUAUGUGCGAUAUAUGGAUUAAUUAGAGAGCGGAUGGGUUCCGUUGCGAAUCCGUGACCAUAUCUGACGAAAUAAGAUUGUAGUUUUGAUGCCCCCGACGUGCUGAACGCAAUGGUGCUGUCGGAUCGAAAAUCCGACGGACGGAUCUCUGGUAAUUGCGAAGUUUUCGUUAAGAGGUCGAAUGUGGCAAUUCGGAAAAUUCGCGAAAGGCGCGACAAAUUAUGUAUCGAAUCGCGUGAGAUCGGACGUGGAGGUACGUACGCACAAAUUGUACGCCCUGGCAGGGGCUGAGGUUUAAAUAUUCUGGGUUAGAGGGGUUUUCUGCAAAUUGUCCUCUUGUAUAUAAUUAGCAUCUAGGGUUUCUUUGCACGAAACCCUAGAUCUAGUCGACCUUGUCUCCCAACUGUGCCCUAACCAACUUCAGCAGGUUCCUGCCCAAACCUUGCGCGCACCCCGGCCGCCGGCAGGUGCCCCGGCCGCCGGAAAGCUUGAAACCCGACCACCCCUCCAACCUUCUCUCCCAACCAUCCCUGCCGUGGGACCAAUCUGGGUGACCAUAACCCUCGGGCACCACCUCUGGGAGCGGCCCCGACCUCCGCCGUCCCGCCGUGCCGGCCGCCGCCGUCCCCACGCGCCGCCGUCGCGGCCUGGGCGCCCUGCAGCCGAGCCUGACCUAGCUCAGGCCGAGCCUGGCCCCACACCGCCUCCACGAGCCGCCGUCGCCUUUGGACGACUAUGCUGCCUUCCCCGGCGUCGUCACCGCCGGCCCCCGCCGGUCCCGUGCGCCGCCGGCGCCGUUUUGGCCCCUGCGGCCACUUGCGGCCAAGUCGGGCCGAGCUUGGAUGAUCCCUGCCUCCGCGCGCCACCACCGUUCCCCGCCAGUCGCGCGUCCUCCCACGGCCUCCCGCGACCUCCCGCUCGCCGCCGCUCGCCAUCCCGGCCAUCCCCGUGGACCGCCGGCCGCCGCUCCUCCAUCCUGCGUCCGCCCUGACCCGUGCGGGCUCGGUUUGGUCCAGCAUCGCCGCCGCCGUCUUCCGCCGCCGUCCGGCGUGAGCACCGGCUCCGCCUGGCCGGCCGCACUCGUCCGCCGCCGGCGCCCCCGCCGCCGGAGCUUCCUGUCGGCCGAACUAGGCAUGUGCCUUCCUCGGGUUUGGGUGACUAGGGCAUCAAUGCCUGCCGUCGCCGCCGCCUCCCGACGCCGACUGAAUCAUCCCUUGGCCUCCCUGCAUCGCCUGAACCCUCCUGCCGCCGGCGCUCCCGCCGUCCGGCCGCCGCCGGGCAGCCCUAGCUCUCCCCUGGCCGGUAAGCUUGAUUUCAGCCUUUCUGCGCAUAGUUUUCUGUUUGGAUGACUGUUCCGGCGACCCGAGGCUGUUCCGAUGCCUCCGGAAGUGAGCACGGUGAUCUUCAAUCAGUACUGAUCACAGUGCUCACGUCAAUUGGGAUCAGCGAGCCCCUGGUUAGCGAGAUAAGCAUGUUUUUCAUGCUGUGCGCGCAGUUCAUUGAAUUUCGCGUCGCUCGUGCGCUCCCCACAGUGGCCGGAAUUGCUCCGAAAGGUGAGCACGGCCUCCGGCAUGCCGAGACCUGUCAGUAGGUGUCUCGGUUUGGCUUAAUGACUCCUAGUUUGCGUGGACGGACCAUAAAAGUGCCGAAAUCGCAUGAAAUAAUGCGAUUUCGGGUAAUCGGGAGGGCUUUUAUGUAUUUUAGGUUGUUGCGGCUGCUGUUGGCAGCAUGGGUGAAUUGUGGGUAACCUCUGGACUGAUUGUCCAAGGCCCCGGACCUUUGCGAAGAUCGAAAAUGUAUUUUCGGUGCGUUUUCGGCGAAAUCCGCCGACGGAACACGGGUUCGGUUCGGAAUUAUUCCGACGGUGCUUCGUGAGCUUUUGUGUAGUCGCUGAGCCUUGUUGCCUGGUCACUCGCGUCAUUUCGAGAGUUCAGAAAUGACAAGUGAGCGACGGUGGGUUCCGGUGUCGAAAUUGACACUUCCUGGAACCCGGAUCCCAACAAUUAUCCACCAAUAGUUGUUUGGUUGUGUAUCCUUGUGUUUGUUGCCAUGUCACACUAAAAUAAGUGUUUAGAGGCAGCGAUUGACUCGUGGCAUGAGUCGGUGCCUUUCGGGAUAGUUAGUGGGUCCCGGCGGAGCCCCGGUGCGAUUUUCGGGACUUCCGGCGAGUUACGGUAAUCGGUAUUGGGAAACCGAUCUCCGUGGGAUUGUUGUGGGUUAUGCUUUUAGGGUUUCUUAGCUGUGGGUUAGACACUAACCCAGUGGACCCUCCUUAGGUCCGGUUGACGUUCUUUUGCAGUCAGGAGACAGGCGCGACAGUUGUACAGGUGGGUACUUCGAUCCGACGUCGGUACAGUGGUGCACGCUCGGUGAUGGUUUCUUACCUUUGUUCUCCGUUUUAUCUGGAUAUAUAUAUAUAUAUAUAUAUAUAUAUAUAUAUAUAUAUUAUAUAUAUAUAUUAUAUAUAUAUAUAUAUAUCUUGAUAUAAAGUGUUGAGCCUGCACCUGCAUUUAUAUCUGCAUUCCUCUACUCACGUUAUUUCCAUGUUGAUAUCAUGCCGUAUGGAGUAGAGUUGACUUAUCUGUUCACUAUAUCUGUAUUGGUUGGGCGUAGAGUUGACUUGUCUGUUCACUAUAUCUGCAUUCCUCUACUCAGUUAUUUCCAUGUUGAUAUCAUGCUUAGGAGUAGAGUUGACUUAUCUGUUCACUAUAUCUGUGAUUUGGUUGGGCGGUUCCCUAUUUUGAUAUCUAUGACCUAUUCGGUCGAGUUGCAUAGUUCUAUCUAUAUCUGUGAUUUGGUUGGCGGUUCCCCUAUUUUGAUAUCUAUGACCUAUUCGGUCGAGUUGCUACAGUUCUAUCUUGACAUACGUAGCCGAUUAGUUGCUGAUGGCCUAUACGGUCGGUGUGCCCUGAGGGCUGGAUUGUCGGUAGUUGCUGAUGGAUGAUCUUUGAGCAUACUACAUUGAUCGCCACUGCAGGUACGCAUUUCACGAACACAGCGGUCUGAUCCACCGCAGAGGUGUUCUUUUCCGAAAAGUGGUUGGAUUGCCAACCGUGAGCCCAGGGGCUUUAUUGCGAGGUAUAUGUUCUGAACCAGCGGGCUUCAUUGCGAGGGUCAGGUACAUGGUUCUGACCCAGGGCUUCAUUGCGAGGGUCAGGAACAGGUGAGCAGUGUGGCAUGGGCCUGAGGUCCUCGCGACAAUAGGGAGCGAGAUGGUUAUUUUGAGGUUAUCGUCAGUUGCACGCAUGCAUACAGUAGCUGUAUGUUUAUUCAGUAAUCUUAUUUUGUUUAUUGGUUAGCUAGCUGUUUUAUUUACCUGCAUCUAUACUUGUCAGCUCCUUACAUAUCUCUUUCGUUUACUAUUGUUCCUACUGUAUUUUCACUGACCCGUACUGUUGUUUAGCUCUUCCUGAUCUGGUGAGUACUCCUCGCCUUCAUCGGCUUGCGGUACCCACUGGGAGGGGAGACAUGUUUACAUGUUCUCACCUCCCCCACCAUUUUUCAGGUAUCGCAGGCGAUGGGUAUUGAGACGAGACGUGAGGCACGUACGUAGCGGUCGUUAGAUCUUCCGACCCAGGUUAUUCGGUUUAGCUUUUACCCUUAUUAUUUAUGUUGAUAUAGAGCUUAGUUGACUUAUAUGGUUCAGUAUUUUUAUUACAUUUGAAUAUGUGGAUUUUCAUGAAUGUAAUAAAAGGAUUUUUGAAUUUUGUAAAAUAAAAAGUUUUCUACCCCUCGUGGUAGCGUUUUUUAAAGAAUAAAGGUUUCCGUGUAGGGAACAGUUUUCAAAAGAAUUUUCGUGGAUUUCUGUUUAAACAUUGAAUGUAAAACUGUGAUGUGAAUGUAUGAAUGUAUGAAUGUAUAGUUAUCUUUAUAUUCAUCUAGUUGUGGUUGUAUCCUGGUUGUACUUUUGUACUUGUGCGACGCCGUGCAAAUACAGGGGAGACUCUGUCCAUGUGAAUUAACAGUGGAUACCCUGUAUUUGUGGCGGAUCUGGCAUACCCUGGGGUCAGGUUUUCAAAAAAAAAAAAAUUUUCGCUGUGUUUUUAAACUGAAAAGGACCCCGGGGCGUGACACCAACCCAGCCUCACGCCAUUUCGAACAUGACUCGGCCCACAUGAUCUCCCGCCACAGGGCAGGAUGCUGGCCCAUUUAAGCCAACAGAUAUAACGACCACGUUCUACCCCGUCGGCACGAUUAAAAGGUGGCGCAAGACGAAUCUAACAAACUUCAGAUCCAGCAAAAAAUCGAUAGAAAAGAUUAAUGGCGAGAAAACAGCGUAAGACGAGAUAGUGUUUAGGUAUGCUUGGGUUCACCUCGAACUCACACAAUCUCCUCCAAUAUAUAUAACUGAUACGAGAAUCUUGAUUCAACGCGUCAAAUUCGUGUAGAACAAAAUAAGUCUAAAAUUAUACGGAUAAGAAUUAAAAUUAAUAUAAAGAUAAAAAUAAAACCGAAAAAAAUAAAAAUAAGAAUAAAAUAAAAUAAACCGGGUGUAUGGACCGUGCGCACCGCCGCCCGUUCGGCCCGACUCGGCUAAUGAUCGUGCCGUGCGUGUAUUUAAACGAGAGUAUAACUCUCAUUUUCUCCCAAAUAAUUAGCUUGAGAAUAAAGAAUUAUAUAAAUACCAUCAACACCUUUUUAGUUUUCAAUAUACGACUAAAUCUCAUACAUGAAAAUUUUAGUUGGGCUCCCAAAUAAAAUUCAUUAAUAAUUAUUAGGCUCCAAGAGGCAUUAAUAAAUUUUAAAUCAUAAAAAUCUAAUAAAAUCCAAGCCAAGGAUGGAGAGAGAGAGAACCAAGCCAAAGAUGGAGAGAGAGAGAGAGGACAAGAGAAAAAGAUGAAGAAGAAGAGAGAAAGCAAAAUAAAUAACCUCCAAAUUAGGAGGUGACACGUGGCUUGAAGGUGAUGUGACAGGAAUAAGGAUCGAGCAUUCAUAGUGUUUCAUUUAUUACGGGACAAUUGCUUACAUACCCUAAAAAAUUCCCUUUUUUUUUAAAUCACCUAGAAGAUUAAUAUACAAAGUAUUUUUUUAACGUUCCAAAUUUUAUUAAAUAUAUAUUUAGGCUUCGUUUGGUUCGGAGUUAAGUAAGAACUAGUUAUUUUAAAAAUAGGGUUAAGUCCAGGAUUAAGGUGGGGUUAGAGUAAUUUUAUAUUUGGUUGAGAAUUGAGUUUAGUUUAGGUAUAAGUAAAAUAGUGUUUGGUUGGAAUAGAUGGAAUAAAAAGAAUAGUGGGUUGUUAUAAAUAGAAAAUAAUAAUUUUGCUCUAAUUUUUAUAUUUGAAUUUAAAUUUUUUAUUUUAUAUUUAAAAUUUUAAAUUUAAAUAGAUAACUUUUAAAAUUAAAAACUUCAAAAUUAAAAUCUGUAUUUUCAAAUCUCAAAUUUAAAAAUUUAAAGUUAUAAAUUUUAAAUCAAAUCUAACAAAUAUAAAUAUUCACAUAUAAAAUAUCAAAUUUAAAAUUUAAAUAAUUGAAAAUAACAAUUAAAAAUUUUAAAUUAAAAAAUUUAAAGUAUAAAUAUAUAUUUCAAGAUUACAAAUUAUAAAUUUUUAAAAUUUCAAAUAUAAAAUAUUAAAUUUAUAAUUUAAAUAAUUAAAAAUAACAAAUUUAAAUUUAAAAUUUAAAAUUUUUAAUUGUUAUUUUCAAUUAUUNUUACAAAUUAUAAAUUUUCAAAAUUUAUAAUUUAAAAUUUAAAUUUAAAUUUUAAAAUUUAAAUUUUAAAAUUUAAAAUUUAAAAAAUAAAUAUUAAUUUUAAGAGUGCAAAUUACACAUUUUUAAAAUUUCAAAUAUAAAAUGUGAAAUUUUAAAUUUAAACAAUUUAAAAUAAAAUUUAAAAUUUAAAAUUUAAAUUUUAUAAAUAUUAAUAUUAAUUUUAAAAUUACGAAUUAUAAAUUUUUAAAACUUAAAAAUUAAAAUUAAAAUUUUAUAUUUAUAUUUAAAAAUUAAAUUCGGGUGGGAUUAACUUAAUCUCCUAGAAGUUAAUCUCACUCCAAUUCUAGGGGAUGGGGUUUGUUAACCCCACCCUAAAGGGGGUUUAGGGGGUUAACCCCCCUUUUACCCCCAAACGGGUUUAGGGGGAUAACCCGUUAAGGGUGGGGUUAACAAACCCCUCACCCAUUUGUUUCUGUUUGGGGGUAAAAGGGGGGUUAACCCCCUAACCCCCCUUUUAUCCCCGAACCAAAUGGUGUGGGAUAACCCGUUAAGGGUGGGGUUAACAAACCCCUCCCCCAUUUGUUUCUGUUUGGGGGUAAAAGGGAGGUUAACCCCCUAACCCUCCUUUUAUCCCCGAACCAAACAGUGUGUUAGAGUUAAAUUUUAUUAAGAACUGUUAGGAACAUUAGUUAUAUAUGUAAAAUUAUCAUUUUGUCAUUUCAAAUAUAUCCGUCCAUCGUCACAAAUUUUUCUUAUUUGUCUUUAACACUAUAACAAAAACGGUAUAUAGCGACAUUUUUAAAUAUCAGUACAGGGCAAAAAAAAUAUUACUGGCUAAAUUACUGACACUUUUUAAAAGUGUUGCUAUAUGUAGGGUCACUAUAUGUGGGGCCGUCUCGAUGUUUGGCACCCACUCCUCCAGCGACUUGUGGCGGAGGGACACGUGAUGAUCAUAGCCUUGUAUGGUCCUUACGAGAUCCUUGCUACCGAACUCUAGUCGGCGGAACGCUAUAUGUGGGGUCGCUAUAUGUGGGGCCACCUCGAUUUUAUUUUAUUUUUUCUUUUCUAUUUGUAAUCGGGCCGAAUGAGCUGGGUGGAGUUGGUUAAGUAGAGAAAUUUUUUAUUUUUUGUUAGAUUGAGCUUUUUAUUUAGGCCUCAGUAGAUUUUUUUAAAAAAAUUUUGGUAUAAAUGAGACAGUUACACAAAAGUGUCCCAAAAAUGUGAUUGCAUAAUCUAAUUCUGUUGUAAUGUAAGUUAAGGGCAAAAUAAAUAUUUUGACUUUUUAUUCUGUAAAAUAUAUCAUUCUACUGUCACCAACUUCUCUUAUUACCCCCAAGUUAGGGGUAUAUAAAAGAGAUAUUUUGAUUUUUUUUAAAUUUUAAUAGGGAUUUAACUUGAGUUUAACCCGAGAUAAUUUAACUGAUACUAAUAGAGAGAGUAUUUUUGAAUAAUGGAGAACUAUACGAGGGCUACAUUUAAAACAAAAAAAUUAUAUGAAUAUAUAAGAUAUUUAAGAAGUUUUGAAGGGUAUAUAGAUAAUUGUCCUUUUAUUUAUAGGUAGAUGUUAGGAGCUAUUUCCUCUCCAACCACUCCAUUUCUCACUUUGGAAUACCUCCAUUUACAACUGGGCUCUCCACUUUGAUCCCUUCCCAACUACCUACUUUAUAUUGUACAUGAAUAAAAUUAAAAAAGAAAAAAAUAAAUUAAGCAAUUUGUAUUCUAUAUGUUUGUUUGUUUAAUAGAUGCAUGGUAUUUGUUUGAGAGAAGUGAAUGGUAAUUAAGUGCAUGUCCUUAAUUAAUUUAUUAUCUCCUAACGCCUAGCAUUGAGGAAGCCUAGCAAAAAUGUUGCUCUAUAUACGAUUCUCCAACUUGGAGUGUGUGGAAUAUAAAUAUAUUAAAGUAUAUUCAUAAGUUUUUAGAGUAUAUAAUUGGUGCGGUAUCAGAAUAGAAUGUUUUGAGUGCAAUUUUAUCGAUAUUUUAAGUAAUAUUCACUUGACACUUGUUCCUAUAUAUAUGUGGGCCGAAUUUAUUCGCGAUUCAACAUGCAAUUCAUUUUAUUCAUUUUGAAAAUGAUUGAAUUGCUAAUUCAAUCGUAGCUCCUGCAGAUUAUGUUUACCAAUUGUAUGUUUGCCUAAUUAAGGUCGUCUAGUUAUCUGCAGCUAAUUAAUCGUAAUUACAACAAUAAGCUAUAUAUCAUCAUAUAUUUAAUUACGACUUGCAAAAUGACAGGGUAACCAAAACGCAAAUAAUUUACAAAAUUAAUUUACUUUACAUCUUCCAUGCAUUUAAUUUGUGUCGACAAACAAGUAGUUAAAAGUUUGCAACAAUUAAUGCAUACUGUUUUUGUUCUUUUAAGCAUUUUGGACAAAUUGAAUGAUACAAGCUACAAGUCAACUUUUGUAAAGAGCCAUACUUUGAAAUCGGCAUUUUUUUCACUAGACACUAACUACUAAUGGACGACUAAAUGGCCGAUAAAUAAACAUAGUAGUCUAUAUAUCUUCAGGUAAAGGUUUUGAAUUUUUGUGCGUGCGUAAAUUUGGGCUCAAACUCCAAACUUCAGGUUUAAUAUAUAUAUAUAUAUAUAUAUAUAUAAUUGAGCUUCUAUGCUAAUAUACUAUUAAUAGCACCAAAUCAUUGGUGCUAUAUAGUGACCCUGGAAUUUAGCAUUUGAGGCUUGUCGACAGCUCUGGAGAGUGUCAGGACGAGUCCGAGUCCUGUUGGCGCGAAAUAGACGUAAACUGGACUCAGCGGGACGCGAGAGGAGAGAGUUAGCUCUGCAAAUUGCAGAUUUUCAGUAAUUGGUACCGGUACCAUACAGGGGCGUACCUAUACCCAGUGCAUGUUUCUGUGCAGACUGCUCUCGGGUUGCCCAUUCUGCUGCGGGGUACCGAUACAACAUUGGACUAGUACCGAUACUCCAGGGUAGGUAAGAGGUCUUUCGGUCUUUUCUUGCCUCGAUUGUGUCACCCUUAUCCCCACUACUCUAUAUAGGAUAGAAAGAGGCUGAGGAGGAGAUUCUUUGCUGUGCUCUCUCUCUAGUGCUUGGCCGUACACAACAACGAGGGAGGCUUUGGGCGGAGUUGGAGCGACGUUGAUGUUGCGCCGCGGUGCCGUUCGAGCGCGUGGACGUCGUAAUUGCGCCGAUUGGAGGCCGUUCGAGCGUGCGGUUUCGCUUCCUUCGACUUCUCGCCGUAGUUGGACGUGCUUUUGAGGUGGGUCAAAAUGAUGCUUACCGGAUUCUACUGGUUUCCUCCUAAUUCUAUAUGUGUCGACAACAUAUAUUUUUAGCUUUGUUUAGUAUAUUGUUUAGCUCGAUUCUUGGAAUAGCAUGCUUUUGAACUUGAAUUGGAGCUUAGAAAAUUAGCUAAAUUAUGCAUAUUGGAGUUGGAUUUUACUUAGGAGAAAACUGACGUUUCUACACCGUCAUUUAAUCAAACUACCAGAUUUAGCUCUAGAAGCCGUAGUUUGUUUGUAUCGCCGCAGUUUGUGGGCGGUGGAUACCUUGGAUAGUGUAGAAUAAUAUUACGCUCGUGCUGGGAUGCCGAGCUUAUUUUUACAGUACUGUUCAGACUGUUCUAGACUGUCGGGUGCUGUUGGGGUUGACGAUGGACCCAGAUUACGGUUUUUGCAUCAAAUUGUGCCGAGGGCACGUGCGUCUUGGUUGUUAGACCAGUUAGAGCCCUAUUUACUUGACUAUAGCCUGCGAGAGUCUGAUUGAGCUCGACAGAGACACGCUUGCAUACUCGGUUGGGUAGCGCCCGCGAGUGCCACUCCGGAGUUAGGCUAAUUUGUGCUUUUGUGUUGGUGUCAUUUUGUCCUGAUUGGACUUGCUAUCCAAUUACGACCUGGUAUAGUGUCAGAUUGUGUAGCUUCGACAAGCGGGACGGGUGUAUUCACAGUCCCUAGGAAGAUUGAGUCAUGUCUUACUAUUUCCUACAGUUUGUUGGUGUUAGACCGAGAUAGUAUAGGUGCAUAUAUCUGUAGAUUUAUUUUCAAAUUUUUUACUAUACUUGUUUACAUCUGUAGACUUAGUAGGUGAGCAGUUAGGGUCGGUAGCGGUACCCACUGAGAACUACUUUUUGCAGUAGUUCUCACGCCCAGUUGUUGAAAUCUUUUGCAGAGCCUUCUUCUUCGGCUGCUGCUGCUGCUGAGUCUGAUUGUGGAAGGGUGUUACGAGUUAGAGCCCUUCCUGACGAGUUGCUGAGCUAGAGGAGUACCAGCUACAGCUAGUUGUAGUUUUUGAGUUCUUAUACAUACUUUUGUUGUAUCUCGCUGGGCGAGCGUUUUGUACACCUGGUUGUUGAUGUAUGUAUAGUAAACUUCUGUUUUUUUAUUAUAUCUCAUUUCCUUUAACAGCUCUAUACUACUAGUGGUAGUAUUGUAUGAUUUCUGGUACAGCUAUCGCUUCGUAUACAGAAAAAAUUUUUUUAUAUACGGCGAGUUUGUCGGCGUGCCCGGGGAAACGAGUAAUCCGGAGCGUGACAUGCCACCAAAUUUUUGGCCAUUGGAUUAAGAAAAUGUGCGGUUAGAAUGAUGUGGGCCCCCUAGGGUUGAGUGGGUGGUUGGUUGAAUAGUAUGAUGUAACAGGUAAAAAUGAUCAAAAGGGUAGAUCUAACGGCGGAAAACUUGGUAGCACCAAGUGCUUCGUGCUAUUAAUAGCAUAGUAGCCGGACUCUCUCUCUCUCUCUCUCUCUCUCUCUCUCUCUCUCUCUAUAUAUAUAUAUAUAUAUAUAUAUGUGUCCUUAGUGUUGGAAACCUGAUCCAUACUUAUUUUUAUACUAGAUUUUGAGAAUUCACAACUUACUCUGAUACCGAUAGCUGUUGAUCCGGUAUUCAUUCCGAUAUCGGUUAUUGGGAUUUCGUAUUGGAAGCGUCAAAUUACAUUUUUAUCAUACAUUCAUCUUAUCAGUGAAAAACUAUUCCUAGCACAACCAUAAAAAAGAGAAUAAAUAAAAAAAAAAUGCAAAUGAAAUAAAAUUAAGUAACUAAGAGAAGAAUUACAUCCGACUCCUCCUUUAUAUAGCGUACCUUCAACGCGAACUCUUUUUUCCGAAUCUCUCAUCCUUUCUCAUCCUAUGCACUAGUACACAAGGUAUGCCAAUGAUCCAUAAUUAAUCACGAAAGCCGCACACGUCGAUCAUGGAGUGUAUAAAGAUUGUCGAAAAGUUAAACAGAAGAACAAUUACUAUAAUAAGAGUUUUGGGUACAUGCACUAGUAAACUACAGGCUAGUUAGAAAUUUGGUCCUUAAAGUUUUGCUCAAAUUUCGAUUUUAAUAGUCCCAAUUGUGGUAAUCUAGCUCUUUCGUUUUAUGAAACAAUUAAUUAACUUUUUUUUUUUCUUUUAUCUAGCGUCAAAAAGAAGUUCUACAUGGGUACCACCAUUACGUAUUCUUGUCUUAAUAUUUAAAACUUGACGCUGAAAAUGAAAUCGAAGUCAAAUGUUUGGGUCAAACUGUUAAUUAAACUUUGGAGAAUGAAUUUGAAAUUAGGGUUAAACUUUUGAAAAGUGCUAGUCACAAUCAAAACUUUCGGUGGUAAAUAGUCACAGUCAAAACAAUAUUCCAAGGACAACAUAGAUAGCCAAGUCAAAGGUCUAAAUUUGUACUCAACCCAAACUAGGAUACAAAACAACACUAUUUCAAUAAAACAAAAAAAAGUGAAAACAAAAAAAAAUAUAGAAAAAAUGGAAGUGAAAAUAUAGAGAGAGACAAAACCAAAACUAAAAUCCUCUAUACAUGUUUCUCCAAGUAAAACUGUAUAAAGGGCACUGCAACUGUAGUUUGUAUUAACGACUGUAUCUAGCACAGUUGACUAAAAACUUGAUCAUGAAUAUUUGAUAUCUCAAAUUUGAAAUCUAGUUACUUCAUAUUUCUAGUUAAAAUAUGUAGCUUGCUACUUUUUUCUCAGCAAAACUAUAGUCUAUAUCGAAAUGAUACCCUCAUCUUUUUGUUUUUUUGUGUUAAUUGACACAUCCUUAACUUGAUGAUUUCAUCAAAUUUAGUAGUUGAAACUACUUUUUGCAAAUGAAACUAAAAAAAUUUAAUGGUUGGUAGCUGAGAAUUCAUCACAUUGACGAAAAAUUUUAACUAACGUAGAAGAACAACUCAAAUCAGAAAAAUCAAAAGUAAGAAGGUAUUAACUGAAAAAUCAAAAGUUUAGAGGUCAAUUUCAAAAUCUCUGUCCCAAUGGGUUUUAACUCAACAAAUUAGAAAAAUAGGAAUUAAUGGACCACUCUUUACACAAAGCAAUCACAAGGAAAACAGUAAAUAUACUACAUUCCAUGCAUCAUCCACACCCUACAUGUGUGUAAAGAGAUGCUAUGGUAGAUUUUCUUUGUGUCCUCUUUAAGCUCUUGCAUAUCUUCGUGUAGUGUGGGACUCCAUGAAAACCCUGCAUUUAAUUCAUUUCCCCAACUCUCCUAGGAUUUGUAGGCCACUUUGGAGUUAUUUAUGCCUCAUUAUUCAAGGUAGAUUUCAUGGAUCUUCUUCCCUUGCCAUUUUUCUGAAAAAGUAAGGCAGGUUGGAAGGGUAAAUGCAUGUGAUAGAUAGCAAAUCAGUUGGGUUCUGCAAUAGGAGAGAGAGAGAGAGAGAGAGAGAGAGAGAGAGACUUUAUCCAUCUAAUUGAUUUGAUACAAAAUGGUCCCAGAGUAUUCUUAGCACUCAUCAACAUAGUGGAGAAAAAAAAUAAAACACACCAUGUGGAUUGGCAGCAGAAGCAACUGCUGCGCAAAAGAAUGAUCUGAUAGAAAACAGGCUCAAGAAUAUUAUUCAUAACACGUACCUCCUGCUCAUGUGCAUGAUAAAUAUCUCACCAACUAUAUAACAUACAUGGAUCGAUUACGCAGAUAAUACGAGAGACUACGAAAUAAUAGAAAGGAAAUAUUAUGGAAGAGACAAGACAAAAAUAUUUAUUACCAAAUGGUGGAUGUGGGAUUCGAACUCGAGUCCUCUUAAGUAGAGAGGGACUAAGAACUAGUUCGGAUAUCAUGUUAUUCAAAAUGUAACAAUUAAACCCACUAGUACUACCAAAUUAUUAUUCACUUAAAACACUUGCACCAACGGGCUGGUCAUAAUAAUUAAUUAGUAUCAAAUUAAGCUAGAUUAUCCGCCAAAGUAUGAGAUGAUGUAUUAAUUCUAGAUUAUGCAUAUAAUUAAGCCUGACAAAUGUAUUAACUAUGGCACCUCAAUGAUCCCACGUGUACUAGUGAUUGUGGGUUAUAUGUAUAAUUGAAGCCUGACAAAGGCAAAGGCAUAUGGAGUUUGUAAUGCCUCAAUUGUUGCAUAUUCAUCAGAUAAUAUGGGAGAGUGAUAAAAUUUUAUAUAUGGCUAGUACAUUAAUACUAAUAACUUGAGUACUAGUUUUAAGUAUUUAAUAAUAAUAGCUUGUAUUUUAGCCCAACAAUUUAUUUGUUACUGGGUUGGAUCAUUAUAUCGAAAAUCGAUUUCGGGAAACAAGCCUAGGUAUAGUCUUAGCAAUAACAAAAGGAGACAACAAACAAAUAGUAGACAGAAAUUUAUGCCAUUAUUGAUCUAAUUUUGCAGUUGAGAUGAUUGUGAAAUCGAAUUUUAAUCCUGAACCUACUGCAACGGAGAGGGCAUAGAACCAACCUCAAUGCUAUGUUAUCAAAAGGAUCGAUCUAAUGUUUGUACUCGGGAAUAUGGGUGUAAAAUGAUUCUAAUAUCAUGUUGUUAUAUAUUCUCCUUAAUUCGGUUGGUCUUAAUUUCAUUUGCCUAUCAAAAAUAACACGUACAAUUAUUCCUUGCAAAACCCAUUAAUAUCAAGGAGAGUUGAUGAACUUAAUUUAUUAUUGGAAAAUCAAUCUGUGGGAUACCCGCGUAUAAUACUAAUAAUAAUAAUAAUAUGCAGGGUCAUGAUUAGUUUAUGUAUACUUUUUCUUCUAAAAACAAAGAAUAAUUAGAAAUUAUUUUCUUUUUUUAAUUUUUUCAAACCUGGAGUCGAAAUAUAACCCCUCGCUCCAGUAUGGGAUUUGUCCUGACCAAUCCCAUUAAACCAUGUGAGAUUAUAGAGAUCAGAUAAAAGCAAAUUGCCAAAAAAAAAAAACAAAAAACAAAAAAACAAAAAAUUAAGAAUGUAUCCGUAUGUUAGCCAAGAUCGAUAAUUUUUUACGGCAUUUAACGAUGCUUAAGAGUGUUCCAAUAAAUUCUACCAUCAUAUUUCAAAGCAUCGACAAAUUAAUAAAGAAUCUCUGGGUAUAUACCGACGCUUACACUAAGCAUCGGAAAAAUAUAUUCCGACGAGCGUUAGGAUUUUUAAAAGUUCUGACUUUCUAAUGAUAAAAUAGACAAUUUAUAUUACAACGCUUUUUGAAGUGUCGUUAUUUGCUAUAUUGUAGAGUUGCUUGAGAAUGCUUUUCUCAAGCGUCGUCUAAAAAACGUUCUUAUAAUAAGAAUUUCUUGUAGCGAUAGUAACUUGCAAGCUGAAUAGAUAUUCAAAAUAAAAAAAUUAUACUCGUGUACUUCGCUAUAAAAAAUAAGGUUAAUUGCAUACAGGUCUCUACAAAUAUAGUGAAUUAUAAAUAUAUCCCUAUAAAGUUUAAUUUUGUAUCGUUCCUGCAAAAGUCAUAAUGUUUUCAAAUAUGUUCCUACCAUUAGAAUCUAUUAGAAAAAAAAUUAGUUAAUCAUAGAUAAAAUACUUAACCCUAUUUAGUUAAUGAGGUGUAUUGACCUUUUUACCCCUUUUUAAUUAAUGGUUGGGAUUUUUGAAAGAACAUAUUUAGGUGUAAUGACAAUUAAUGCAAAAUUUAAUGACAUGAUAAAAAAAAAAAAAAAAAAAAAUCAGGCCCACCACGGCAAAAGUUCAGUUUGGGCUUUUUCGUUGGGUUGGACUUGCGCUGUCAUACAAAUUUAGGUGUUAGGCUGAUUAGGCCGAAUCCUGAAACAAUUGAGGGCCAAAAUCAAUUUCGAAAAAGCCUAGAGCUAUGGUUUCAAACGUGGCCUUAAUGUAGGGUACCAAAAAAAAAAAAAGAAAAAAAAGAAAAAAAAGAAAAAGAUGCAUUUCAAUGAGAGACCCUAGCUUCUUCAUCGUCUGAUAAUAGUACGUAUGAGAGAGGCUAUCUCCUUGUUUCAUCUCCAAGGACCUCUUUUCUUAUGCUUGCAUAUAGGCAUAUAUAUAUUUUUGUUUGUACUUGUCUUUUAUAGAGAUCAUUAUACAUGUACAUAGAUGUUCAUCUUGGGCUUGUACUUGUACAUGUACUGGUACCAUUUUGAUCUGCACUAGUUAUAUUUAUUUUCUUGUUUCUUCUACUUAAUAUAUUAGGGUGACCGUCUUUUCUUUUAUAAUUAUUUGUUGUUAAUCUUGUUUGUUCUGCAUGAAUUUUUUAUUAUCAGCUAAGCUUAAGAUAAAUAAAAGCCUUAUAUUUUUUUAUAAAUUUAAAGUUUAAAUUAAGUUUGACCCUUGUGAAGGUACAGCGGCCAUGAUUCGAAUAUGGAGGCACUGGAUCAUGAUUCUACAUUAAAUUUGGUCACUAUUAAAUUUGACUUAGUAACGAUCUUAAUUAGUGUCAAAUUCUUGCAUUGAUUUAUAACGCUCCUUUAUGAUUAAUUAAAAUGUAAUGUCACUACCUAAUUUUGUUGAAUAAUUUAUUGAACCAUUUGAAUAAGUGCUUUUGGCCACAGCACUACAGUGUGUUUCGCAGAAGAAUCACUCUAGUGGAGAAAACAGACCCAUAAAGAAGAGACUAAGCGCUUGAUUGGCCCGACGGUGCCGCUUCAUGCAAAAGCAAACAAAAAGGUGGCUUGUAUUUUAAGAGCAAAACUUGAAAUUGUACUAUCUAAUUGGCUUAGGCUCCUCAGUAGCAAAGUAGGUGACCUCAACUUUCUUUUUAUUUUAAUACAGAAACCAAAAUCCUUUGUUUGAGGAAGUAGAAGAAUCAAUCAAUCAAUCAAUCAAUUAGCUCUAUCAAUUAGUCAACUGGUGCCCCGUGACAAGGUCACUUUAAGGUCUCUUACAUAUAUAUAUAUAUUUACCCUAUAAGAAUCACAUAGUUAAUUACGUACAUAUUCAUUUCACACACACACAUACAUUUAACUUAUCUAGCCCUACAAGAAGUUACUUGCGCUUUCGAAUUCAGUAUAACACGUAAGCUCCUUCGAGAUACUUUUCUCCUUUUCUUUUAACAAAAAAAUGUCUUUAUCAUACAUAUAUUAGAAAGUUAAUCAAUUUGUGAAAGAGGUGGCUCGGCUGAAUUAGUCAAAUGUUUCACAAAGUGGCCAUCUAUGUUCCGAGUAUUAGAAUGGCGUAUUUGCAAAUUCAGUUUAGCAAGGAUACAUAAGUAGUGAUUUAUUUAUGAAUUCAUUUUCAAAUUUGAGAUAAUUCGAUCAUAUUGUUUGUGCAGAAGGAACAUUUCUAAUGUUAAGGGGCGUGAAUCUGAUCCAAAAGCUUUCGCUGAUAGAUCCUGAUACCUCAGCCUUAUAGAGAUUAGAGUUUGUUUUUCUAUCCAACAUAGACUAUUGUCACUUGGAUAUAAUAAGAGGCGGAAUCAAUAUCAUAUUUUAGAAGCUUGUACGAAAUAGUAUUCUACUUGUAUCAAUUGUGAUUCUUUUCAAAGCUUAACUAGUGAAUUGUUUCUUUAUCCAGUGCAUCAAUCCUUAAUUGUGUUCCAUCCACUACUUUGCAUCAAUCUUUUUAUCUUAUCUCGUAUUUUGAUUUCAGCCAUCUAGCAACCACAUAUUUAAUGACAAGUAUCUGUCCAUAUCAUAAUUUCGCGACAAGAAGGGAUACAUUUGUGACAGUUGACCUAGCUAGUUGAUGGUGAGCUUAAUUAUUAGAAAAAUAUUUAGGCAAUUUUUACUUAACUAAACAUAUGCUUCCUUAUACUUAAUUAGGCUUUGGUAUUGCUAAAUUUGGUUUAAGGAAUUUAUCCCCAUGCCUCUACUAAAACCAAGAGCAUUUACGGUUUGAGUGACUGAUGUUCUAUUGAAUAUUCUAUUACGAAUAACUUUUUGGGACGAUUAUAUAUCUUUUCAGGACGAUAAAUAUUUUCUAAAAAGUUUUUUUAGUAUCGUAAUUUUAAAUUAAGUUUCUAAAAUCAUUUUUAACUAUAAUAUUAUGUUUUGUAAUAUUAUUUUAAAAAAAUUAUAAUAAUUUCCCUAGCUUCUAUUAAAAUUACAAAAACUUUUCUAAAUUUAUCUAUGCCAAAUCCGUUAUUCGUGAACUAUCUUGGUUUCAGAAGAACACGUGUUAUUUUGUUUACUAGUAAUGAGAAAGUAAAAUUAUUAAGGUUCAAAAUAAUUUACUUAUACUACCCAUAUUCUAAUUUAUUUGCGGAUAAAAUAUUCUUUUAACGUUUAAUUGAAUAUGUUUUUAAUUAGUAAGUGAUUUGCUGAAGCUAAACAUUUAUUAGCAAACUAUUUUCAACCCAAAUAGUUUAGUUAACUAUUUGCUGAAGCAAAAAUAUUAAUGCAAAAGUACAAGCGCAGUUUAUUGUAUUAGACCCUGAUUUAGCUUCCCUAAUUAGUGAUUAGUACUCUUUUCCAUUACAAACCAAAAAUUUAUGUUAGAAGCUAACUUGCUUUUUUUCUUCUUUUCUAAAAAUCUAUAACUUUUGCAAAUUGCAAAGGACUUAUAUACUAGGUUCCUUUUGUUUUGGCGGUGGAUUCAGUCAAAGGAAACUCUUCUACACGAGGUAUCUAAAUAGAAUAGAUAGGAGAGUGCUUGAAAGCACCAACAGCAAAUGGUUUUUUUUUUUUUUUUGGAUAAAUAGCUAGCACGCUACCCGCUUUGUUUAUUUCAUUUAGAAAUAUACUUAGCUGGAAAUGUGAAUCAACUAGGAUUCGAACUUGGGUCUCGAGUAUCAACCACCAAGCCUUUUGCCACUUGCUCUAGGAACGGUCGAUCGCGAAUAGCAAAUGUUGAAAGCCAGAAUCAGACAAUUCUUUCUAUCAAGUUUAUGACUAGGGGCAAUCUAAAUAGAAAAGGGAAGGAAAAGAUUGUAUCUCACUCCUUACGGAUUCUAUUCAAUUGAAAACUUAUUCAUUAUUAAAGAAAAGUGAGUUCAGUUUCAUUGGGAAGGAUUUGUCAGAAUAGACUUAGAAAUUGAAAUUGGAAGAAAGAAGAAGAAAUGGAAUGGAUGUUAUCGCAACCCGAAUCCAAACGUGCGGAUUUACUGAUGCUAAACGAGUAUAGUUUCAAAUACGGAUAUAAAAAUAAAAACCUAAUGGAUUUGAAUCGGGCUAUGGAUUUUAUCUGUACUCAAUCCGAAAUCGAACACGAUCUGAGCCCGAAUUGAUUUUCCAUUAUAUAAUAUAUAAUAUAUACAUAAAUGAGUGAUGUUAUAUUUGAAUUUGUAUUUUAAAAUUUUAGAUUUAAUGUAAAAUAUUUCGAAAUAUGGUAAGGAGAAAUAAUUAUUAUGGAUCUGGGUUUUCAGAUCUGGAUUUGGAUUCCAGAUUUUUGGUUGGAUUCGGCUAUGGAUAUGGAUUUUUAAAUUUUCUCGGAUUUGGAUUCUGGUUCAAAUUUCGAAUUUGGUAUUCAGGUUCGAGUUUGGAUUUUUGAAAACCGACUCCGAAUCUAACCAAUUGACAUCCCUAGGACUGAUCAAACGAACAUAAAUAAGUUUUUAAAAUUAUAAAAAAAUUAAAUAUUAUAUGUAAAUUUUCUUAAUAUUUUGGCAUGCGCUUUGACAUGUGAUUUGCAUUAAUCCUAAGACUCCAUCUUGUAAUUAAUGAGGGGUACCUAAUAUAUAUAUUUUUUUUUUUUGAGAGAGAGAAAGGCAGCACGUUAGCCGCUUCAUUCAUUUAGCAGAUGGUACCUAAUAUUAUUAAUGUUAAAUUUGGUUUAGAUUUAUAGUUAUCUAAAUUGAGGGUAAAUUCUAGUCUAAUUAGGAUAAGAUAAUAUUUAGAUUGAAAAUAUAUAGAGCAAAAUUAAUGUCACGCCUCGAAUGUCUCGUUCCCCGGGCACGCCGACAAAUCCGCCGUAUACAAAGAAAUUUUUCCUGUAUACGAAGCGACAGCUGUACCUGUAAAACCAACACUACUACGAACAGUAGUAGAGAGCCGCUAGAGAAAUAUAAGCUAAACAAACUGAGUUUCAUAUACAUAGUCCAAAUCCAAAAUACAGAGCUACUCGCACUGGCGAGUUAAGUCUACUAUGUAUAUAAACUCGAAACAAAACAUCUACCUUCAGUAGGGGCACCUCAAGCUCAGCACGCCGGGUAGGGCUCUAACUCGCGACGUCCUUAUCUCGAUCCUGAUCCGCAGAAGGGGCAGCAGCCGGAACCUGUGGCUCUGCAAAAACAUAGGUAACAACUGGGCGUGAGAACUACUGUAAAAACAAGUAGUCCUCAGUGGGUGCCGCCCAAACAAUAUCGGUCCACCCACUAAGUCUACAGAUAGGAGCCAGGAUAGUAGGAAAAGCAGGAAGUAAACUCUACCGCUAUCAAUCACUACACUAUCAUGCUCUACACUAACCAACUGUAGGAAAUGUGAAAUCUGACCCAAUCCAAUCGGAACUGUAAACCUACCCGUCCCUAGGACUGUGAAUACACCCAUCCCUGCCCAGUUGCGACUAUCCAGCUACCUCCACACUAACUGGUCCGUGGAGAGCAAGUCCAACCGGCAUGAGCGACACCAACACGCUCAUGCCGGUUUAAAUCAGGCAGUUUAAACAAGUGACAGGUCCAAAUCGCAGGUUUUCUCCUAAGUCGAAUUCCAAGUCCAACAUGUAUAAACUAUUCAACUUAUUACCACAUGCUCUAAAUUCAGAUUUGCAAUCUACAAUAUAAUCCAUGAAUUUGAGCUAGAAUAGACUAUACCAAAAUCGAAAUUAUACAUGUCGACGAUUAGAACUUAGGAGUCAAAACCGAUGUAACCCAUCUCAAGAAGCUAGCUCCUGGCAGCGAACGAAGCCUCGCACCAAAGUGACUCCUGCUGGAUCAACUGGAACCCUCCAAGUCUAGCACUCGAGCUAACUCCAAGCUCUACGAUCAAAAUCCACCAAUUCAGUCCGAAUUUCGCAGCAAUAGAGUAGAAAAGGAAUUCGACCAAGCUAACAUUCACCAAAUUCGGCAAGUAAGCGCUUCGUGGAUUCCUCUCGAAGUCCCGAAUCCAACGAACCAAGUCUCGACGAAAUCCGAUACUCUUACGUCGAGUACGAGCUGAAAUACUAACAGUCGACGAUGAAUUUCAGCAACAACAUCAUUCCGAGUUGAAGUAGUAAGAACUUGCCCAAAAACAAAGGAAAUGCUGAAUUACCCACCUCGACAACACCAAGCACCGGUGCGCAGCAAGAACGGAGAAAACCUACGCUCGCCCGGCCUCCUCGCGCUACCCCGGCGUCAAACACGUGCUCGAACGACUCCGCGGCGCGACGUCGGCGACGAAAUCCGAACUCCACCCGAGCUCCACCGUGCGCAAGAACCCAGCUAGAGAGAGAGAGGAGAAGAAGAAAAAGCUCCCUCUCUCUGCUCUACACAAACCUAAAUAGAGAGAGAGGGAAAGGGUGAUAUGAACGAAGUGGAAAAAAGACCAAACCACCCCUUACCUACCCUGGUGUACCGGUAUAGAGGCUAACCCGAGAGCAGCCCACGUGUAGCUAGCUGAAGUGUACCGAUACACCUUGAUGGCUGUACCGGUACAGCAAGCAGAAAACCUGCAAUUUUGCGGAUUUUCUCGCCAAGUGCUACGUUCACGUCGCGGGGAGUCCGUUUUGCAUGCAUUUCACGCCAACGCGACUCAAACUUGUCUCGACACUUUCCAGAGUUGUCGGCAAGCCUCCACAGCCGUACACCAGGGAUCUCACAAUUAAGCUUAAAUAGAUUAAAAUUGAGACCCGGUUUAUAAUGAGUUGGCAACCUGUCAUUAGUUACAGCUAUAUUAAUUUUGAGUCUCUCAGGACUCAAAUUAAUUUCGUAGUAUCCAACUCUAAUUAAGGCUCUAAUAUUAUAUAUAGAGCAUUUAGGAGCCGAAUCUCUUUGGCCAAGUAAUACUCUAAUUAAUUAGCCUACGAUGCUCUUGGUGCUCGGCUCUCAAGACUCCAUUGAUGCUCAAUUAAUUAAGGCAACCCAAGGUGCCGUAUCUUGUGUGUGGUGACCCAAGACGGACGUGCUGUUGAGGAGACGCCGUAUGCGGUAGCGUGUCAAAUAUAUUUAUUUUGGUCUUGAGGUCUUCUGAGACAUUAUUUUUCUUUUCUGUCUUUCAAUAUUUAUAAAUUAUUUUCUUCGUCUUUGCUCGUGGACAUAGGCCGUUGGCCGAACCACAUAAUUACGGUGUGCUCUUUCCUUUUCUUUUUUCUUGCUGUAUUAAGUAAUUUUUCUUGAUUUAUUUUUCACUGUUCCGAUUUUAACACUUAAUUUAUAAAAAUUAUGCUGAAAAAAGUAACAAAAAUUCAAGAUUUUCUAUUUGUGAUGAAAUUAUAAUAUUUAUACCUCAAUUAGAUUAAUUUGAUUUGUAUAAGGGGCGGCUUGGUUCGGCGUAGAACGAACUGAAAAUUAAUUUUUUUUCACAAAAAAUUAUUUUUCACGGUUUAUGUUGAACCAAACAGACCAUAAAACUAAAUAAAAUAUAGUUUUAUAAAAUAAUUUGGCACAUCACACUAAUCACAAAACAGACAAAUCUUUAUUUGCCUAGAAAUCUGGAAAAUGCUUUUAUGCCCUCCACUUAUUAUUAGGGCUGGCAAUUCAAUUCGAUGUCCGUGAGCCAGUUCAAGAUAAGUUCAAAAUGAGCUCAAGAUCAAUUGCUUAUUUAAUAAAUGAGCUGAAUAUGAGCUAAAUGAUUCAACUCGCAAUCUUAACGAGCCAAAAACGAGCUGUGGUCAGUUUGCUCGUCUUCGACUCGAUAUGUCACGCCCCGAGCCCGAUCCCUUUGGCCGGUUCGAGUGCGUCGAACAGACGCCAAACGGACAGAGUUUCUCCUGUCCGUCGAAGGCCCAACAACAGGUACAGAUAGAGUAUAAAAUGUGCAUAAGCGGAAGCAUACACAAUGACUUGCACGAGGACAAGCAAUAGCCAAGGUGAAAGUGCUAACUAAUCAACAUACAAGUACUAUGAUUAAAUUUAAAUCACAUACAUGCAUUCUAGUUUGGAAUAUUUUAUAACUUUUGCAUCAUUUCUUUUUACAUCUCAAGUUCUCCAAAAUAUGCCUUUACAUUUAACAUCAUUAAUAUCUUUAUUACAUUUGCUUCAAAAGUCUAUAAUCAUCAAAAUAAAAAAGAUGAUGUAAGAGGGUAUGCAACUACAAAAUGUAAAGUAUCUCGGACGGUCUCUAUCUAGGGCACGAUACCCUUACCGCGAUAGUCUGCCGGCUCGCUCGGUCCCGACUCUGUGGAAAAUGGGGUGUGAGAGCUACAACAAAGUUCCCAGUGGGUUCAGCAACCAACCACGCCGACUUUCCCAUUAGGUCUAAAUCAGGCAUAAUAGAAGAAAAGAGAUAUAGAUAGUAACCAAACUAUACAAAUACAGCUAAUAUGCCUGAACAAUAAUCAAUGCAAUGCUCAAUAGUAUGCUCAUGAUGAAUGCAAGAUCACAAUCUCAUUGCCUAAUCUCUUAGCUAGCCCGUAGGUUUCGCCCUCAAUAGACUCACCAACUCAAAUCCCAAGUAUCGGGGAGACUACUACGCCCGACGGGACCGUCCUCUGGGGAGACUACUACGACCCAGUGAUGACAACUCCGGAGCACAUCGCCCGAGGGGGAGCUAUCACCCUCAAGUAAGGACUUACAGGUGAGUAUGAUCCAAUCCUUAACUAUAAGGAUGUCAAGUUCAAUCCAUUCCUUAACUAUAAGAAAAAUCAUAUUCAUAUGACCCUUAACUCUAAGGUUGUUAUGUCAUAAUGCCACAAUCCAUCAUUUUCUUGCAUUCUUUACUUUCACUAGUGUCUUAUACACUACUUUGUUCUUGUACUUAUUCACUAAUGCCACACUUGUUUUCUAAGUGUUCAACUCUAGCAUUCUUGACUCAUCAAUGCCAUUUUCUACAUUCAUGUCUACAUGUCACAUUUGUUCUCUAAAUCCACUAAGUUUUUGUCAUUUAUCAUGCAUACGUAGGGUUAAUAAAAUUCUCACAUUCUUACAAGUAUUUCACAUGCAUUUGAACUCACAACAUGCAAUAAGAAGCUCACAAUUACCCUACUAUGCAAUAUGCUCAAAUAUAUACAAAUGCUCAAAUAUGACACUUUAGACAUAAAAAAAAUUUUGAGAUCCUUGGUAUGCACCACCCACCUUAUAUGGUUGCAAAGGUGCUAUGAUAAAUUUCUUGAAAUUUUUGAAACCCUACUUUAUCGCCUACGGCAAAACGAAGCCAAAUUAAGCUUUAUACUCAGAACUCCUACUUAGUCUUUUCGUAACGUCAAACGGAGUUAUCCCACACGUCGGGAAUACCCCUAAUUAGGUUUCUACAAGGUCAAUUUGCCUUAGAAACACUCUAGAAAAAAAUCCCCAAUUUUCAUGCCCUAACAACACCAUUUGCUCAAACCUAGGUUUUGAUCUCUAAAACAAGCAAAAGAGACAUUGUCCUGCACCUAGAAGUUCAUCUAGAACCAUCUAAACCAAUUCUAGGGAUUAGAAUGCAAACCUUAAAAAUCCACCAUUAGAGCACUUAAAGAAAACAUGAGUUUUCAUGUUUUCAUACCUACUAGAGGUUUCUACACUUGUAAAGGCUCCAAAACCUAGCUUUCUAGAGUACAAAACCCAAACCCUAGACUCAACUUUCCAUAAAACCUCACCUUAGUCACAAGCUCACCAAUGUCCACCUUAUAGGAGAGCUCAAAAUCUUCUCCAAGCUCCAAAACCCUCCAAAAAUCUUUCUCCUCCUACUCCUCCUUGCUGCUUGGAGCGGUUUCUAGAGAGAAAGAGAGAAAUAAGAGGGAGUGAGGUGUGGGCUGUGAAAGAGAGAGGGGAGGGUGUUUGGGCUAUUACCAUGUUGUAACAAUUACAAGAAACCCUCCACUUCUUUCUAUUUGCAGCAGAUUUCAUUGUUGCGGCCAGACUAAAGUGUACCGGUAUACGGGAUUUUGUACCGGUACAAUUUCUGCGCAGAGACAACCCGAGAGCAAGAUUCUCGGUUUCGUAGCAUUUGUACCGGUACAUUUUCAAAGUGAACCGGGACACUUUCAGUUUUUCUCUCAAUCCCGAGAGCACACUCUUCUCAGGCUGCAGGGCUGUACCGGUGACAACUCGAUGGUUGUACCGGUACACUUUGCCCAGAAUGUUGGUUUUGCGCCGUUUUUGAUUCGAUUUCGCGCCGGUCGAUGCUAAAACCCUUUUAACACCUCUUAAACUCAUUUUUAGCCUUUCCAACCUUGUUGGAAUGCUAAAUGGAACUUGUCCAACUAUUUCUUUCGUAUUGUUCACUUUUAAAUCACGCCGAGCAAUGCUAAAACCUGCUUAACACUCUCGGGACUCGACUUUGAACCUUCUAACAUUAUUAGAAUGUCAACUGGAGUUUGUCCAUCCAUUUCUCUCGGUACUUUAACCAAUUUGGCUAAAGUUCGAUAAUCGCUAUCGGGAUUUCGAUACGUUACACGAUAUAUAUAUAUAUAUAUAUAUAUAUAUAUAUAUAUAUAUAUAAUAUAAUAUAUAUAUAUAAUAUAUAGCCAGGACUGAUGUGCCUCAGGAGCACGAAGGCCUCCGUGCUUCUAGCCGUUUUCGAUGAUGGAAUUUUCGAAUCGACGAUCGCUCCGUUAAAUUUGAUCUAGCGCGUAUUUGAAUGUUCUAGAAAAAAUUUUUGCGAUUUUUCAAUAUCAUUACGUAGCAUCGAAAGGAUUUAAAAUCAAUAAUUUUUAACGCUGAAAAUAAAUAUCCUAUAAAAAUGGUGAUAUAGCACUAAAAUUUUCGAUCAGAAAUAGUAAUCUUGUGUAGAUAGUAUAGAAGACUUUCUAUCAAAAUUUUAUCUUAUUUGAAUACUUCUAACACACCGUUAAACUUGAAAACGGCAGAUAUCAACCAUUAAAAUUAUGGAUUUGAAUCUUUUGAUCACUAGGUAAAUAUAUCAAAAAAUCGGCAAAAAUUAUUUCUAGAAACUUCAAAUGCGCUAGAUCAAGUCUAACGGAGCGAUCGUCGAUUUGAAAAUUCCAACAUCGAAAACGGCUUCAGGAGCACGAAGCUCCGUGCUCCUGAAGCACAGCAGCCCUGCUCUCUCUCUCUCUCCUCUCUCUCUAUAUAUAUAUAUAUAUAGAAUUAGACUGAAUACUAUUAAUAGUAAACGCUCUUUUGCUACAAGUUUUAACCCUUGGUAAAAAUUGUAGGUCUGGAUGAUAUUAGUCGGUUAGAGUUGAGUGGUCCCCUGGGUUGAGUGGUCCCCACUGGUUAUAGUAUUUAAUCCAAUGGUGAAAAUAAUGAAAAGAAUUGAUCCAAAAGCUAAAAAACUAGUAGCAACAGAUGGAAUUUGCUACUAAUAGUAGCUCAGUCCAACCGUUAUAUAUACUAAUAUAUAUAUAUAUAUAUAAUUAAUAAUAAUAUAUAUAUAUAUAUAUAUUAUAUAUAAGUACUAUAUAUAGCCGGACUCAUAAUUGUUUUCGAUGAUAGACACUUCCGAAUCGACGAUAAUAUUAUAAUAUAAUAUAUAUAUAUAUAUAUAUAUAUAUAUAUAUAUAUAGUCCGGCUACUUUACUCUUAUGAGUACAAUCGCCCUCGUACUCAUAAGUUGUUUUCGAUGAUAAAACUUCCGAAUCGACGAUCCAUAUCGUUAAAUAUUAUCUAGAUCAUUUAAACUUCUAGAAAUUAAAUUGUAUAAUUUUUCGAUAUUAUUUACCUUACUAUCAAACGGUCACAAAAUUGAUAAUUUUUAAUGACCGGUAUGAGAUAUUUGCUAGUUUAACGGUGAAAAAGAAUCGAAAUAGGUUGAAUUUUUGAUAGAAAAUUCUAUUCACUACCUAAAUAAAGAUCAAUAACUCCGAUCUUAAAUUGAAGGAUCCGAUCAACCAUUUUUAGGAUGUCAUUUGAUUUUAACCGUUCAGUUUAUACUCGCUUGAUGGACUUUGUAAUGAUUUCGAAAAUUUAUGAAAUUUAUUUUCUAGAAGCUUCAAAUACUCUAGAUCAUAUUUAACGGUGUGGAUCGUCGAUUCAAAAAUUCCAACAUCGAAAACAACUUAUGAGUAGUAAGGGUUCUAUACUCAUAAGAGUAUAGUAGCCCUACCUCCGUGCUUGUAAGUUGUUUUCUGUAACGACCCAGCCCACUAGCAAUAAUAACUCGUUGGGCCCAACCAUAACCCAAAAUGCUUAAGCCCAGUUAUUAUUACUAGUGUCUAAGUCUCUUAUAAACCCAAUGACAUCCCCAUUCCCAUCCGAUGUGGGACUAUUGGGAUGUGGGACUAUUGGGGUGUCACAUUUUCGAUGAUAGGAUAUCCGAUUCGACGAUCGGCUCCGUUAAGUAUAAUCUACCCUAUUGGCACUAUCUAGAAACCAAAUUUUAUAAAUUUUUGACAUCAUUUACCAAGCGAUCAAAAGGUCUAAAAAAUAACUAUUUUAUUGGCCGAUAUGGCACGUUUUUAAGCUCAACGGUAUAGAAGUAUCCAAAUUACAUAAAAAUUUAAUAAAAAAAUUCUACAUAACAUUAAUAGCAAGAUCAAUACUUCUGAUUGGAAAUUUGAGUCAUUUAUCACUAUUUUUUAUGAGAUUUUCAUUUUCAGCCGUUCAUUUGAGGCUACUCGUUCACUAAACAAACGAAGUCAAAAAAUUAUGAAAUUUGGUUUCUAGAUAGUUAUAAUAGCGUAGAUCAUGUUUAACGAAACCGAUCGCCGAAUAGGAUGUCCCAUCAUCGAAAACAACUUAUAAGCACGGAGGCCUCCGUACUUUCAAAAGCAUAGGAGCCUAGCGCUCUCUCUCUCUCUCUCUCUCUCUCUCUCUCUAUAUAUAUAUAUUACAUUUGAUUUGUCUUUUAAAAGUACCAAGUGCAUUAGUGCUUGUAAGUUUUAGCAUUAGAUUAAGUGAUGUGCGAUUAGGGAUGAUGUAGACCUUAGGGUUGAGUGGGUAGUUGGUGCAUGAAUAAUAUGAUCUAACGGAUGAAAAUGAUCAAGAGUGAUUAACGGAAAAAAUUACAAGACCCAGUUGCUUUGGUGAUUUUACAAGACACAUAGCCGGACUAUAUAUUAUAUAUAUGAUUAUAUUUAUAUAGAGAAGAGAGAGAGAGAGAGAGAGAUGAGAGGAAGAGAUGGAUGAGAGAGAGGCAGAGGCAGGAGUUUACUGUGUUUUAGAGCACCGCCUUGUGCUAUAACUUUCUAACCACCCAUCAAGUUUGAUGGGUGGUUAGAAUAAGAGAGGGAGAAAAUAUUGAGGAGAAAUUUAAAGAGAAGAGAAAUUGAAACACCCAAUUUCUUCCCAAUAUCUCCUCCCUCUUUCAUUCUAACCACCCAUCAAACUUGAUGGGUGGUUAGAAAGUUAGGAGCACAAAGGCUGUUAUGCUCCUAAUAGCACAAUAGCUGUAACGUAUCGAAACCUCGAUAGAAAAUAGCGAACUUUAGCCAAAUUGACUAAAGUGUGCGAAUGGAUUAAUUGGGCGAGUUCCAAUUAACCUACCAACAGUGUUGGAAGGGUUAAAAAUGAGUUCUAGAAGUGUUAGAGGGGUUUUGGCAUCGAUCGGCGCGAAAUAGAAUCGAAACGGAGCCAAAAACCAAAUCUGGGCAAAGUGUACCGAUACAACCAUCGAGUUGUCACCGGUACAAACAAGUGUACCGGUACAAAAUAAAAGUGUACCGGUACAAAUGCCCCAAAUCCGAGGGAGCUGCUCUCGGGUUUGGCCAUAUGCGAUCGUGUUACUGGUGACACCCUAAAGUGUACCGGUACACUUUGGGCCUGACAGUAGGUUAGAAACUGCUGCAAAUAUUAAUAAGUGGAGGGAUUUUUGGUAAUUAUAGCACCUUAUAUAUAACCCCAACACUCCUCUCUCCCUCUCCCACAGCAAACACACACCUCCCCUCUCAUUUCUCUCUUUCUCUCUCUAGAACUCUCCCCCAAGAGCAAGGAGGAGUGGAGGAGGCUUUUGAAGGUAGAUUUUGAGGCUUUGAGGGUUUGGGAUCUCUCCAACAAGAAGGACCUUGGAGAGCUUUGGGCCAAGGUGAGGUUUUCAUGAAAACCUAGGCUAGGGUUUAGGUUUAUGUUCUAGAAAACUAGGUUUUGAUCUUCUAAUGAAUAUAGAAACCUAGUUGGAGCUAUAGAACACAUGAAAUCUUAGUUUCUUCAAGGUGCUCUAAUGGUGGAUUUCUAGGGUUUACUUUAUAUGCCCUAGAAAUGAUUUGGAUGGUUCUAAAUAAAUUUCUAGAGGUUAGACAAGCUCUCUUUUGAUUGUUUUAGAGAUCAAAAUCUAGGAUUUAGCAAAUGACAAUGUUAGGGCACCCAAUUUGGGGCUUUUGUUUUCGCAUGUUUCUAAGAAAAAUUGACCUUAUAGAAACCUAAUUGGAGGUAUUCCCGACGCGUGGGACAACUCCGUUUGACGUUACGAAAAGACUAAGUAGGAAUUCUAAGUAUAAAGCCUAAUUUGGCUUCGUUUUGCCGCAGGCGAGAAAGUAGGCACCCUAAAAUCUCAAGAAUUGAACCGUAGCAUUCUCUCAACCAUCUAAAGUGGGUGGUGCAAUCCGAGGACCUCGGAAUUCCUUUUAUGUCUAAAGUGUUAUAUUUGAGCAUAUGUGUAUUGAGCAUAAAAUUGUAUAGUAGGGUUAUAUUUGAGCAAUUUAUUGCAUGUUGUGAGUACAAAUGCAUGUGAGUCACUAGCAAGAAUGUGAGAAUUUUAUAAACCCUAUUUAUGCAUGACAAGUGACAAGAACUUAGUGGACUUAGUAAACAAAUGUGACAUCUUGAUAUAGAAGUAGAAAGUGACAUUGAUGAGUCGAGAAUGCUAGAGUUGGAACAUAGUAGUGUCUAUGACACUAGUGAAAGUAAAGAAUGCAAGUAAAAGUGUGAUAGUGACAUUAUGACAAUUUCAACCUUAGAGUUAAGGGUCAUAGUGCAUGGCUUCCUUAUAGUUAAGGAAUGGAUUGAACUCGACAUCCUUAUAGUUAAGGAUUGGAUCAUACUCAUCUGUAAGUCCUUGCUCGAGGGUGGUAGCUCCCCCUCCGGCGAUAUACUCCGGAGUUGUCAUCACUGGGUCGUAAUAGUCUCCCCAGAGGAUGGUCCCGUCGAGCGUAGUAGUCUCCCCGAUUUUUUGGAUUUGAGUUGGUGAGUCUUAUUAUGGGCGAAACCUACGGGCUAGCCUAGAGAUUGGGUUCUGAGCAGUGACUUUGCAUUCAUCAUGAGUACUUUAUUAAGUAUAGCAUUAUUUAUUGUUCAGGCAUAUUAGCUGUAUUUGCUUUAGCUUAGUUACUAUCUAUCUGUUCUUCUAUUAUACCUGAUUUAGACCUAGUGGGAAAGUCGGCGUGGUCGGUUGCCGAACCCACUGGAAACUUUGUUAUAGUUCUCACCCUACUAUUUCCAUACAACCGGGACCGAGCGAGCCGGCGGAAGACCGCGGUAAGGGCAUCGCGCCCUAGAUAGAGACCUCCCAAGUGAGUUUCCAUUUUGUAGUUGCAUACCUUUAUACAUCACCUUUUUGUAUUUUGAUGACUAUAGAUGUUAAAAGAAAAGAAUAUGAAUGAUGUAAAAGACAUUCUAUAUUUCAAUGCAAGAACUUAUAUUUUGAGAUCAUGUGAUAUGAAAGAGAAGAAAUGAUGCAAAAAUGUAAAUGAUUUCUUAAGUGUAAUUUACUACUUUCACUAUUGGCUAUCGCUUGCCCUCGUGCAAGCCAAUGUGUAUACUUCCGUUUUGUGUAAAAUUCAUACUUUAUUUGUACAGCAUGUUGAGCCUUGGGCAAACAGAGGAGACUGUCCGUUCGGCGUCUGUUUGACGGGUCCGAACUGGCCAAAUAGGACCAGGUUCGGGGCGUGACGGUAGCCCUACUAUAUAUAUAUAUAGAGAGAGAGAGAGAGAGAGAGAGAGAGAGAGAGAGAGAAUAGGGCUUCUGUGCUCUUAGGAGCACGGAGGCCUCCCUGCUCCUGAGUCGUUUUCGAUGAUGGAAUUUCCGAAUCGACGAUCGACUCCGUCAAACUUGAUCUAGCGUAUUUGAAGUUUGUAGAAAAUAAUUUUUGCGAUUUUUUGAUUUCAUUUACCUAGCAAUCGAAAGAAUUUAAAAUCAAUAAUUUUUAACGGCUGAAAAUAAAAAUUCUAUAAAAAGUGGCGAUAUAGCAUUAAAAUUGAAUACUUCUACACCGUUAAACUUGAAAACGACAGAUAUCAACCAUUAAAAAUUAUUGAUUUUGAAUCCUUUUGAUCACUAGGUAAAUGAUAUCAAAAAAUCGCAAAAAUUAUUUUCUAGCAACUUCAAAUACCCUAGAUCAAGUCUAACGGAGCCGAUCGUCGAUAAAUUCCAUCAUCGAAAACGACUCAGGAGCACGGAGCCCUCCUUGCUCCUGAGAGCACAGCCCUUCUCUACCUACUAUCAUAUAUACACACACACACACUACUCACCACUAUGCGUAUAUAUGUGUCAUAUUUAUAUAUCACACCACACAUAUGUUUAUAUGGUUGAUGUAUACACACAGCAUAUCUACUAUGUAUGUAUGUAUAUACCACACAACAUAGCUAUGAUACUGUAUGUAUGGUAAUAGUACAACAUACAUACAGACAUACAAUAAAUAUAUAUAACUUAUAUUAUAUAUAUAUAUAUAUAUAUAUAAAUUAUAGUAGUAUUUAUAUAUAGAACUUUGCUACUACUACUAUAAUAGUAGUUAAGCUCGUUGCUACUUUGAGUUUCGGUCGUAUGGAUGAACUAGAUAUUACUAGAAUAUAUGCUACUAUUACUUAUCAAUAGUACCAAGCUCUUUGGCUACUAUUGAGUUUUCGUCGUUGGGAUGAAUAGCAUGUGCGGUUAGGAUGAUAGUGAUCCCCGGCCUAAAAAUUAAUAGUGGUCCCCUAGGGUUGAGUGGGUGGUUGGUUUAAUAGUGUAUAAUCUAAUGCGUAAGACAAAGAAUCAAAGUAGAUCUAACGGUUGAAAUCAGCUCAAUAGUACCAAAGGGCUUUGGUACUAUCGAUAUAUGUUUAGUCGGACUCCGUGUACGUCUAGUACUUAUAAUGGGCGUGCGGGUAGUAUAGUACUAUAUAUGUAAUAUAUAUAUUAUUAAGAAAGAUGAGACGCCCGCUCCGCCGCCCUCAACGCUCCCGCCUCCCGCUUGCCGCGCCCGUCCCUUGCUCGCGCCCGCCUCCGCCGACCCGCGCUCGCGCGCCUCCUCCCCUCGGCCCCUGCCGACUCGCGCUCGCGCACCACCGCGCACCCCCGCGAAGCGAAGCAGUGCGGUUGCGGUAUGGCCGUGGGCGCUGGGGGCUGGGAGAUGGGUUGACUCUGGAGGUCUUCGGGGAUUGUUGCGCAAAGCGGACCUGCGUAUGAUGGUGGGUUACAGUGUCGUCGUUCCUGGGACGCGGGGUGGGACGCUUGGCGUUAUGUAUAUUGGACAGUCUGGGAGCUGUUGUGAUGUCUUAGGGUAGGAGUUUGGAGCAACACCAUUGGCUUAGAGUAGGCUCUCGAGGGAGGAGUUUGGCUGCGAAAGGGAUGCACUAGCUUGGUUGGCACUCCCAGGUAUUGGGCUUGCUCGUUCGGGACCGUCGAGGAGUCCAACGAGUUCGAUUCAGGGAAGUGUCCGGGGUAUAAGUCUCGCACGAGGGAGCUUGGAAAAUGCUUGGAGUUUGUUCGGUUGUUAGUAUUGCAACUUAGGUCGUAGUUCAAGGACGGUUGGGAAGGCUGAGCUCGGGGUGUGGCUACUUGAGCGCUGCCGUUUGGGAAUUUUUCAAGGCGAAGUAGUUAUAACCGUGCGUACGCCGCUUCUCGUUCCGUAGACUCAAGACUCUUUGAGAUUGGCCUGGACUUCUUGAUACCAAUGCAUGUAUUUGAGGGUCUCCUCGUGCUCUUUUCUCUGCUGAUAUUUCUCGUCAACCCUUACCGUCUCUGUAUUUAUUUGUUUUAUUCUUCAUACAGAAGUUCCCUUAGUCUUAAGCUCUUUUCUCCGUCAAGGAUUUGGUGCUCCAGCGAGGAAAGACAUUGGAUGACUUUAGGUUUGACGCGGUCGCUGAUUCACCGCUCGCGAGUUACUAAUCGCGGUCCUUUCUUGAUGGUACAACUUUGGCCAUCUGUUGCCUGUUUUAAUCCAAUCUUACUUCUAUAUGGGUUUUAUGCUUCGGAUCUAUAUGGUUUAUCCAGAUAUUAUAAAUUUUUUUUUACGCUUUGUGUUUAAGUCUCGCUGAGCCAAUAUAGUUGUAUCUAGCAGACGUUUUCAGGAUCAUAACGAUUUUUUCUUUCAUUUGAGAUUUGGAUUUUCGGAUAACUUUCUCUUCAUGGAGAUUUGGGAUCAGGCUUGGUAGGUUUGCGUCCUGGACAAGACUCAGGUAUCAGUUUAAAUCUUCAAUCUUCGUUGGCCAAACGAUGAUCGUUAAACGAAGAUUAUGGAAACUAAAUUUCGCUCACUGACAUUCAAGACCAUUCGCGAUAAAGAGUUCGGCCUAGGACACCUCCUGAGGCUUAUCUGCAAAUACUUCAUUAUGGAAAUGAUUCCCACAAGCUAGUCCAGCACAUCCAUGCACCAAGUGAGCUUCCAGCCACCAAUUGUACGAACACAUAUUCUAUCCGACGAAGCGGAUAGGUUUUUCAGUGAAUAAGAGAGUUAUUGCGACUUUGGAAAUUCGGAAAUUUGGUUAGGAAUUCCGGUUGGUUUUGACCUGACGGGGAAGAGAGGAUAUGGAUGAGAGUAAUGUUCGGACUGCGGCUACUAUUAGGAGCAAACCCCUUUCCAUGUGUGUUGCUACCAGAAUUGUGUUUAUUUGGCACUUUGAUCAUGCUCCUUUUCGUUAUUUCUAACCAUUCGGAUUAAAUACUAUUAAACCUCAGUGGAGAGUUACUUCUGAAUCCGUGUUAGGGAGAACAUCCACUCAACCUAAUCCACUAAUGGUCCAUGCUCGAGCCCUACAAUUCUUUAUAUAUUCUUAGAGAAUGGGUUUGAGAAAUUGAGGAGCAAAAAAGAAGGAGGUCGUUUAUUAGCAUAGGGUUCAAGUAGUAUUCCAGUUGCCGCCUGAAGAGCUUAUACUACCUAUAUUUAUAUACUAUAUAGUGCGGAUAUGAAUAGGUCAAUUGGGGGAGUAAUAAUAGGAGUGGAGGGCAUUACUCUUGACUGCUAUCGGCAAGUACUGGAGCCUUCCGGUCUUCCAGCUAACGUUUGGUCGAUGUUGCUGACUGUUUUCGAAUGCGAUCUUCAAGAUUCGGCUCUUGUAAAUAAAUGUUUGCUUCGAGGUAAGGAAUAAAUUGUGGAUUUCUUCAGUAGAUAUGGAAAAUAAAUUUUAUUAUUUUUCGGAUAACAAUUUGCAGUGACUUCGGCCAUGGCUCAAAGAUCAACAAACUUUCAAUGGGUCGGUAGUUGGCACCGUUUGCAAGUUUAACGGGUUGAUGGAUAUAAUGGACGAUGAAAAUUAUUUUUUAGACAGAAUAUGCAUUAUGUAUACUGUAUAUUAAAAUCAAGGGAUCUCGGAUUGGUGUUGUUCAAUCAGAGUAAGCAUUGACGAACCUUUUUAUACGUGUCACGUAUGCGGUGCGGAGAGUGAAUAUUCAUCGCAAUGUUUGGUAAGAUUUUGUGGGUUUUUGGAGGCGGUUGAUUUCUCGCCUUCGUCAUAGGGUUGGCAUUAUGUGCUAGGAAAAAUCCUUGAUCAGAUUGUAUUAAGAAUCAUUGAAAAAAUUUUUAUUAAUAUAUCUAGGUACCUUCAAAUAGCUGCUAUAGAAUCAGGGUUCUUUAGCGGAGCUUUGUACUUGGGAACGAAAUUGGAAAGUCGGGAUAAAAAACUCACACAUGGACUGAAUCGACGCGUGACAUCGCAAGCUAUUUGCUAAACAAAAAAACCAAAACGCUCUCCAGGAACCUUGAACCAGGAUAAUCGCAUUUCUACAAGGGUCAAAGGUUUAGUUAAGGAUGGGAAAAAAAGAGGAUGAAAGGGUUAGGUGUUUUCAUAUUAUUUUAAAUUAUGGGUCUAUUUUAAUGCUUAUGGUGAUAGGAGCAAAUGAUGUUAGUAUGCAUGUGAUAAAGCAUUUUGAGAUUGGGAAAGUCUAUAAGAGCAGUGACAGAUUAAUUUACCAGUGGAUUGUAGAUGUGUAGAAAGAGUUGAUGUAUAAUGAUUACUUUACAACAUUCAAUGUGUCUGAUGUGCAAUUACAACAUCAUACAGAUGAAAGCACGAAUUGAGCGAGACUGUCAUAAUUCUAUUCAUAAAAUAUGUUAAGGGAAUACAAUUUUUACAGUUUAACAGGUCUCGAGUUUGUGGUUGGGCUAGGUAGAUUGCUAUCCAUAAAUUGUAUUAUUACUGAUAGCCUGAUAGAGGGUCUUUGGCAUGCUUUUAGGGGAGGCAGCGAGAGGCCUCUCUCACAGUUUUAAAUGUGCCUCAAGCUCCGUUUUCGACAAUCGAUGUAGCUUUGCGAAUCGAAGCGAAUGGCUGCCAUAUCUGGUUUAACUUGGUUGUUAGGCGUAGUUGAUGUGUGAGGAAAUUAAAUUUGUAUAUAUGCGAACUUUUUUCGAAUGGGACAUUUUACUUAUGCUGAUAACGUGAAAGUGUGUAAUAAUGGUUAGCCGGUUAUCUGAUUAGAAAUAUAUAUCCGGUCUCAGUAUUAGGUGUAGAUGUCGUUAAAUUUGAGCUCUAUAAUGUUAUAUCGAUACUGAUGUUAGUAGAUCAUUGCCGCUGUUAACCCUUUAUGGCUUAUACAUCUAGAGAAUUAAAUGGGAUUCAUGUCUAUCAACCUAUUAUUUACUUCUCAUUGUGUGUGUACUUCUAUGUACCAAGCCGUUUAAACUGUGCUUUAGAAAGAUUUUAUGAUAAAAUACGGCUACAUUAGUUUUCAAAAUGUUCGAGCUUAUGUUGUAUGCACCUGUUUUUGAUCGUAGAAAGAAUGAAAUUAUUCGAAAAAAUCGCGCAAUAAUUUUCAUUUAUUUUGUAGCAUCAUAUGAUCAAAAUUAUUUUUCGACAGAAUUGGUUAUGAUCAUAGUUUCUAACAGAGCAAUCUGAUUCCGAUUGCAAGCUGUUUUUAUAUAUAUUCGAUAUAGUAACGGUAAAGGUGUUAUAUACAGUACUUACUCGAGGGCCUUCCAUGUUGAAGUGCUAUCCACGGAGACCAAAACACAAUCACUUUUAAUGAUAAAUAGUUCGAGUGUUUAGAGAAUAGAAUGGAAGAACUUGGGAUAAAAGUAUUUCACAUAACUAUAUUAGGUAUAUUAAUAUGGUAUACGAUCUAGUAAAAGGUUUAUUUUUAAAUUUUACAGAUAUUGUAAGGUCAUGUAAUCAGAUAGGUGACACCGCUGAAUUGAAAUGGUAUGGAUAGAUUGGAUCUUGAUUUUGAAAUUGGUUUUGUAAGGAGGAGAUUGGGGUAGAAUGGAAAUAAAGAAUUGAAUCAAAAAGGAUGAAGUUAGGUGUUGAGUUGAAGCGUGCUAUUAAACUAAAUAAUAAAUCGGUUUUUUUCAGUGUUGGAAUGCUGAUAUGAUGAUAGGGAGUGGGGCAUUCUUUAGAAAUUGAUCUUCUAUGUGGUUAAUAAAAUAGAUUCAGUAGGCUCAGAUUAUGAGGUGUGGAUUUAUAAAGAAGGUUAUGUUUGGAAGGUGGCUAGUAUGUUUUGUGUGAUUUGAUGUGGGGUUAAUACGAUUAUCAUAAUGUGCACGGCGUCUCUAUGCGGAAUUAUCCGAGUUUUUUCUGCGGGUAACGCAACAGACGCAUCUGUUAAUUGAUUUUUAUACAGGAGAAAAUUUCUCCGUAUUUUAUACGGAUGUGUAUUUUGUGGAUUGAGCUUUUUGUUUAUUUAUCAGGCGUAUCCUGUAAUCUCAAUGUAGCAAGUAACUACAAGCCAGUAGUAUCGAACUGCUGAUAGCUGAUCACAAAUGAGGUGCGGGUUUUGCAGACAGUCUCUCUCAGUCAAGGAAUUCUUUUGUCAACAUUCACAUUAUUUGUCUCACUGGUGCUGAACCAUACCAUACAAGUGGAACUCUUAUACUAUAUUUUGGUUAGCAUAUCUUAUUGAUAGUCCAAGAAUAGUGAGAGGAUCUCGGGGUGGACCAGGGGUCGAGAUGACGAUUUAGAGAUAUGGAGCGGUAAGCACUGUGUUGCUAGACCAAUUUAUUCCAAUGUCGGUUAAGGAUUCUUUCCCUUGAUAGAUCUUCCUUCACGCCUGUCAGAUUUCUAUGGUAGGUUCUUAUACUUUUCAAUAACCAUGCCAUCUCAACCACGUAGGGGGGCCACUCAUUGACCUGAGGUUUCACCGCCAACUAAUGACUCUUAAGAAUCCAUGAAAUGGAGCUCAAGAAGAUCUUUUUAUUGGUGGUUGGACUCUUGAAAUAGACUUAGGUUUUCGAAAGUUUUAAUGCGGAUUGCUCUGCAGUGGGUACAUUACAACACCAAUUGGAGGCUCGAGGAUCUACUUUUUUAUUUAGAAGUGCUUUCGUGUGUAAAUACUUUUAGUGUAGGAGAUAAUCCUCUACGCCGUCGGAAAUAAUACUUGCUAAAAUUAAUGGCGAUGCUUACGCGGUACUCUCUCUCUCUCCUCAUUGGGUAUUGUGGGGGUGCUGUAAUGAGAUCCCCGAGUUAAGACGCAUUACUUUUUGUGCGCCGCGAAAUGGCAUCACUGUCAUAGCGCGGAUAUAUUAAUCACGAAAGAGUUUUUUUACUUGUGGGAUAUAAGAAUAUCAAAGUAAAUGCUCGUACUUUUGACUUACGAAUUAAUUGCAAACUAAUUGUAGUGGGUUUGUAUUGUCAACUUUGUUGCCUUGUCCACGCAAAAUAUGACCUUUUUUUCUUGUUCGUAUCUUAACCUAACACAGAUGGAAAUGCAGAAUGGAGGGAGUGAUGGAAUACACACAUCGCCUCCCCUCGUCUCUCGCGCGGGGGUGAAUUGCUUCAGAUCGCAUCGCUCUCAUCCUAUCUUACGCUCUCGGCGCUUCACCUCUGUCGCUCCUUGAGGUCCCUCCGCCACUUCGUCUAGGGCCUCUCGCGCCGCAGAGUGCUUCGGUGUCCUGCUCAUGUCGUUUAGCGCGGACGUUCGGCUCCAUUUUUACUCCUCUCUUUGACCUGCGGCAACUUCCGCCUCACGCUCACAUUUUCGGUGUGUGUGCCCAGGGUCGCCUCUCUCCUCUUCGUCGAGGAGGUCGUUGAGUUGUAUGUCCGUUCGUCGCUUCGUCGAGCGCCUCUUUCGCGAUCCUUCCGCUGGGUCCCGGAGCUGACCCCAGCACGUAGGUGUGAUGUAUAUAGAGGCCCUCGCCGCGUCGCACUCUUCUCUCGGGUACCGUGUACAUUCUCAUUGGUUGUUGCUCGGUUGCGCCGGUCUCCCAUCUGUCCACCAUAAUAUGCCCAUAAAAUUCCUCCAAGCCGAGCGUCGCGCGGCAAUCCCUCUUCAAGUGCGCCGGGGUGGAGAAAACUGUGAGUUUAAGUCCUAGUUCGUAUUUCGAUCUUGAAACACAUUCAUUUUGAUGCUUUGGAGCCCCCAAAAUCCCUAAAGCGCUUUAGAGCUCCACUGCUUUACAAAAUGGCAGUGGGAAUUUGGGGAUUUUGGAGACUUCGGACUCUAAAGAAUCAAAGUGGUUGUGCUCAGAGGGCGCAUUCGAAAUGAGGCCUAAGUGUUAUUUCUUUUUUAAUUUAGUUUCUUUUCUAAUUUAUCACAUCAAGUAGCUUGUGAAUAAUGAUUUGAUCUGAUAAUGUAGGGAACUUUCAAUGAGGAUGUGUGAGUUGACUCUUGUUGACCAUGCAUAUCUUGUUUUCAAGUUUUUUUGGAAAAUUAGCUAAUUAGCUGAUACCAGCUAUUUCUUCCCUUUUUUGUUUCGUGCUUGUCGUUAUUGCUUUCCUCUCAAAGCAUUACUAUUGUUGAUGUCAUUUUACUUUUAGGCAAGUGUGUGACAAAAUUGAUGUCUGUCUCAUGAAAUAAAAUAUUCCUCAGUUCUAUAGAUCGAAUUUGUAACUCUUAACUCAAAUUGAAGGGAAUGGAGAUCAGACUUUGCUUGUUCCUUUAGUCUGAACAUGAUUUCAGUAGCCAUGAUAAAGUUCAACUUGUGUACGGGUCUUUAUCUUGGAUUUAGUUAAGUGUUAUUGUUCUUUGGUUGCUAAACAUGUUAAGUAUACUCAAAUGUGUGAAAUUGGCAUGAUGCUGAAUUCAUGUUUUGACAUGUGUUGACAAUAAUAUGUAAGUUUGGUCGUUUUACUUGAUUAAAUUUCUAUGCUAAACAAUUUCUUCGUCAAAUGACAAAAUCGUGUUAGUCUGCACAAAACUAUAAUGAUUUCCUUCUAUUUUCACUUGAGAAUGUUCUUUGCACAGGGAGCUCAUUCUGCUUCUUGCUAGGUUUGUUUAAGUUAAAUCACGAGCUAGAAACUAUUUCACCAGCCUCUUUGUUGAGUUCUUCAAGUUCUUACUUUAUUUGUUAACGAAUUUGCGGUCCAGAGACUACUUUGAAGCGAUCCUUGAACUAGGUACUAUGAUGACGGACCAAACAAAGUUUCUAUUGAUUAAUCAGAAAUAAUGUCCUUCAACUUUGAAUGGGUCCAGUAUUUGUGUUGCUUGAUGUAGAAGCAUGAAACUUGUUUAGAUGAAGUUACAUGAUAAAUGUCUAGCUGCGCAAUGGUUUGGUCAAUAAGAUUUCAAGAGGACUUUGGAACUUCUUGUGGUAUUUACUAAUUAAAAAACUAGUAGGGUUUUUCUGAAGAAUCUACUCAAAGAGCAUCGAUUUCUAUAGAAGGCCUAGAUAGGGCCCAAGUUUAUGAGUCUAAGUUUUGAAACAUAUUGUGAAUUAGAAGUAGUGGCAGAGCCUGUCAACCUCCAGAUUUUGAGAAAUAGUUUAUGCAAAAUGAAGCAAAAUAAUAGUUAUAUCUUAAAAUUUGCAUUCAUUUACCCAACUAUCCUUCCGCUAUUUGAAAAACAUGGUCGAGUAAGAAAGGUAGUUGAUGCUGAAUUUUAAUAGACCACACUCUUCUUUACAAAAGAUAGAUGCUUAAAUUAUCUGGAAAGCAUGAGAAGUAGGUGACAUAUUUAGGCCUUGUUUGGUUAUGCAUCAAUUUUACAUUUUUCCCCCCCUUUUUUUUUCUCUUUCACUUAAUUCAAUGCUUUGCGUAGUAUGAUGACAUAUUGUUUGCAAUCUCUGCAACAAUGGUGUUUGUUUUUUAAAAAAAAUAGUAGGAACAAUUAUCUCUAAGGCCUUCCCCUCCUCGGCGAGUGCUACGAGCACAAGGGAUCCGUCGAGGCUGCACGGAGCNUUCUAAAGAAUCUACUCAAAGAGCAUUGAUUUCUAUAGAAGGUCUAUAUAGGCCCCAAGUUUAUGAGUCUGAGUUUUGAAACAUAUUGUGAAUUAAAAGUAGUGACAGAGUCUGUCAACCUCCAGAUUUUGAGAAAUAGUAUGUGCAGAAUGAAGCAAAAUAAUAGUUAUAUCUUAAAAUUUGCAUUCAUUUACCCAAGUAUCCUUCCGCUAUUGAAAAACAUGGUCGUAUUAAAAAGGUAGUUGAUACUAAAUUUUAAUAGGCCACACUCUUCUUUUGAAAAGAUAGGUGCUUAAAUUAUCUGGAAAGCAUGAGAAGUAGGUGACAUAUUUAGGCCUUGUUUUGUUAUGCAUCAAUUUUACAUUUUUUUCCCCUUUUUUUUCUCUUUCACUUAAUUCCAUGCUUUGCGUAGUCUGAUGACAGAUUGUUUGCAAUCUCUGCAACAUUGGUGUUUGUUUUUUUUUUUUUAAGUAGUAGGAACAAUUAUCUCUAAGGCCUUUGCCAUCCUCGGCGAGUGCUACCAGCACAAGGGAUCCGUCGAGGCUGCACGGUGCACCUUCGACCCUGCCAUUUGGAUCGACGCCUGCUUGGAAUUGGCUUGGCAGGACCUGCAGAGGCUAUCCGGAUCCAGAGGCAGACUCCCACAUAAGGUUAAUUGUUUGAUUGAAUCUUCCAUCAUAUGUCAUUCCAAUCUUAGCAAGUUGCAGGUAUUGACUGCAGAAAUUUUUUUGUUGUUCUACCAACUAAUUAGCCACCACCUUAUUAGGAAAGUGCUUAAUUGAAUUAAUAUGCUUGAAGUCCUUUUUCCAUUGUUCAACAAUGUAUUUUGAUAGAAUUUCAACCAUACCUUAAUAAUUUUACACCGAUAGCACAUGCCUAUCUAAAAUAUCCUUGAAUUGAAAAUAGCAACAAAAUAUAGCUAAAUUCAAACUCAUUUUCACUGUAAAGAACCUCAUAGCUCUUUUGCUAUAAGGCUAAACCAUCUUUCAUUCUUGUAUGGUCUAUUAUCUCAAAGAAGGAAACUAAUCCAACAACUUUCACUAGCGAAGGGGUGCAAUAGGUCAAAGUCUUGAUCUCUUCUUGGAAUGUUAAACAUUUUCAAUAUUGUGUAAAUCUUCAUGUAAAAUUGCAUUACUAAUUGAAGGCCUAUACUCUAUAUGCAUAUGAGAAAAAAGAUCUGAUUUUUUUAGUUUGUAGUGUUUAACGUAGUGAGCUCUUUUUAUAAAAAAAUUUGCUUUAAUAUAUCCUAUAAAAUAUAUUUGUCACCUAAGAAAUGUUGUUGGUUGAUAUUUUUACGAAAACAAGAUUACUUAGCAUUUUUUUUAUUUGGUACUUUUCUACAAAUCCUAGAUUGCCCUUAAAUUUUUGUUUGAGACGUGAAGCUAGCUAUACAAUUAGUGUUUAAUUCUAGAUAAGCUCUAUCAUGUCAAACAUUUGAUUCACAAGUAAUAUUAGACUGCUAAAUAAUAGUUUUAAAUAUUUUAUGAAUACAAUUAUUCCUAACCAACACUAUUGAAGCAUCAAAUCAAACCACAUUGAGCCAGUUCAACCAACUUACUAAAUCAAAAUCAAUUCGGAAUCAAGAGGACAACCGAACCACACCAAACGAUCCAACUGCACCAAUCACAACUUGAUAGUUUUCAAAUUUAUAAAUUUGUAUUCUUGAGAGUGUAUGGUUGUAACCUCCUCCACAAUAUAGGAGUAACCUCCUCCACAAUAAGUGUGAGAAGUUCUCCUUUAGUUGUAUAAGUUUCCCAAUCGGACAUUAAUGAAGUGUAUGAGCUUCCAAUUUCUUUAAACACCAUCAGCAUUGUUACCGGCUCGACAAGCUCAUUGGUAAUAGUUAGUCAAAGCGAAAGUUUUGGAUAAGGAGCUUCAAAAUUCUACAGUGAGGAGAGCAAGAUCUUCUUGGUAUGAUAAAGCUUAUUAUUUUGCAUAUUUUUCUAUAUUUUUCUUCAAUUUUGUAGUAUUGUUUUCCUCUUUAUUGACAUAGGAAGUCGUAAAAUUUCUUAAUUUUAAUUUGCAAAUAAACUAUGAUCUUUCUUUGUUAUUAAUUCUUUUCUUGUAUUGGUUGUAGAUGAAUUCCUUUCAUAAUUGCAAUUGAAUUUAAAAUAACCAUAUAAUUAAUAAUCACGGCAAAUUAAAUUAUGAGAAUCAUCAUUUAUAAUUAUGGAUUCUAAUUGAUUUGUUAUUUUUAAAUUAAUUUGCAUAUUUUUGAAAGUAAGUGUGUUAAUUGAAGUGCUAAAUUUUUUAGUAAGAAGUAUUAGUGUCUAGAUAUGAAGUUUAGAAUAGUCCAUUAUUUAUGAUUUUUGUUGUUGGGACUUGUUAAGGAUUUUAUAGGUUGGCGAAUUUCGUNACAAUGGACAAAAGUUGGAUAAGUAAGCCGAGAAAUGAUAAUGCGUACAUUGAUGGUGUUAGAAAUUUUAUUAAAUUUGCUAUAGAAAAAUCAUCGAUAAAUGGCAAGAUCUUAUGCCCAUGUCGAAAGUGUUACAACAAUUCUUCUUUUGUCCCAAUUUUGGACGGAAUUGGCUGAUAAACUUGUAUACCAAAUAAACGUCGUUUUAGUUUACGACGUGUUAAAUAAUCGAAGUUUCAAAAAUGAGUCAGCGGCCGCUUCUCUACAUUGGGCCGUGAACCGGGCUAUAUGCUCGAUCGUAUUCUCGGUCUCAUCGCCCGAGAACUUGUCAAACUUCGGCAUUUUUCAGUUUUCCGGAUACGGGUGCUCCACGUCGAUGUUCGCGGGAUAAGGAGAUCUAAACACAGACCGCAUUGCCGGCCUUACGCCAAUUCCGAAAGUAUUUCGGAUGGCUUCUUCAAUCCGUGCAUAUAUUUCAUUAUUGUUCCCCUGCAAAGGAACCUGUGCUUCUACUACAUUCGGUCCUUGCGGUAGACCGAAAUUCGGUAUAAUAGGGUUAAUUCCUUGCAUAUUCGGAGCCUGCACCCAACCCUUACGUCCAUGUUUUGGGGCUAGUAAGCUAGUAAAGGAGGUAAACCCAAUGCCAUCUCCGACUGCAGGCUGGCGUUUAUAUUUGCCGGCCUAUAAGCAGCCUGAAAAUGUGCCAUUUGCGGUUGCGCCUGUGAGACCGCCGGCGUGAUGGGAUUUUGUUGCACCGGCGCAGUUAGCGGCCCCUGUUGCCCCCCGUAAGGUUGCUCGUUUUGGGUAAAUAACUGUCUGAUUCGAACAAUAUUUUCAUUGUAGGCCAUGAUGGCGGCCAGCACCGCGUCUAGUCGAGCGGUACUUUGAUGGAUAUUUUGAUCUACAGUUUGCAGGACUCGGGUCAUCAGGCCGAGUGCCUGAGUUAGACUUGGCUCUUGAUAAGCUACUAGUUUCUCCUUCAACUGGCAAAACUACUUGGCGUUCACCAGCAUUGUCUAAAUUGCUAGGUUGAUCACUCCCAGAAUUUCUAGGAACAACCCUAUUGAGCAAAUUCAUGGCAUUAUUAUCAGCCAUGAUUUCAAUAAAUAAUAAAAAUUACCUCAAACGGGUCCCACCGGGCGUGCCAAAAAUUGUUCGUGCCGAAAAUCUUCGAUCCUCGACCCGAUCAAAGGUCCUCCUUAGGGAGCUUGUCGGGAUCGAAACCGCAUAUGGUACUGACCCUCAAAGUUAGCGCCCUUCGAUCGAUCAAGCGAUUCGGCUGAUGAGGGAUCGGAUCAGCCGAGUUCGAAGACUCUACAGUAAAUCCGGUUCGGCCGGAUGAGCCGAAUGUACGGACCAAGCAAGAGCUGAAGUCGGCCAAGGAGCUGAAUGGCUAAAGAACACAGGAAUUGAUCGGCUUGAAGAGCCGAAUGCCUUUAUAUAUUAAUAAAGCAGAGUGUGCCCGAGGGGCAUACAGACUCUGAAAAUCUAAUCUACAACAGAGUGUGCCCGUGGGGCAUACAGACUCCAGAGAUCUAACUUAAAAGCUACUCCUAGGAAAGCAGUAAAUGCGGGUAAAAAAGAUUACAUGUAGACUACUCCUAGAAAGCGAUAAAUGCAGGAAAGGAAAGAUAUGAAAAUGCGAUGGUCUUUUCGUUCAGGGCAGAGAAAGACCCCUAUUGCAGGAUUCGAAAUUACUAUUUAUAGUAAUAUCAACCCACAUUAUUGGUUGGUUGAAAGUAGUUGGGGGAGUGGCUGUAACCAUGAUCGUGGAAGUUACGCCCCACUUCUCAACCGUUCCCGCCUAAACGGUCUCAACCUUCAGGCACUGUAAGGACUGAGAUUUUUGCAGUGUAGCUAAACUCUCAGUUGACGAUGUUUUUGUGUGUAAUUUAAUUACAAAAGCACUCGUCUAGUUUCGGGCGAAAUCGAGUUAAAACGGAAAUUCUACGCGAUUUCCAAGUUUCACUUAAAGUGAAUAGUAACUCGAUUUUCCGGAGAAGCCACGGUGAGAAGUUGGCUUCUGGCUCGUACCGGACUCUGUUUAUAGCAGUCCAAUAGCUCGUUUCGACCGGGUCAGCUAUUCUGGAACUAAUGGCGCUGACGGAUUUUGAGUUUGACGCACGGAUUUCGAGAAAAUCCAAAAAUACAUGUUUUAUAUGUAUUUNCCUAGCACAUCAUGGCUCAAGUUGAAGCUUGUUUUUAGGUUAGAACACUUCUCUUACACUCUAUUUGAGAGAUUUGCUAGAGAUUUGGAAGAAACCUAGUUUUUGAAAAAUUAGGAUUUAUUUUGGGAUUUUGUAAGGACUGAGAUUUUGGUAGUGUAGCUAAACUCUCUGUUGACGAUGUUUUUGUGUGUAAUUUAAUUACAAAAGCACUCAUCAAGUUUCGGGAGAAAACGAGUUAGAACGGAGAUUUUACGCGAUCUCCAAGUUUCACUUAAAGUGAAUAGUAACUCGGUUUUUCGGAGAAGCCACGGCGCGAAGUUGGCUUCUGGCGCGUAUCGCACUCCGUUCAUAGCAGUCCAAUAGCUUGUUUCGAAUAGUUCAAUUAUUUUGGAACCGAUGACGCUGACGGAUUUUGGGUUUGAUGCACGGAUUUCAAGAAAAUCGAAAAAUACAUGUUUUAUAUGUAUUUGUGUGUCACUUUGUCUGUAGGAAAAGAGAACGAAUUUCGUCGCGAAUCCGUGACCGAUCGAGGCGAAACGAAAUCGUAGGUUUGUUGCCUCAGACGUGCUGAUCGCACUGGUGCGAUCUAUUCGCAAAUUUGACAGACAGAUCUGCGGAGAAAAUGCGUUGUUCGAGGAGAGGUCGGUGAUGGCAAAACAGUAUUCUCGCAAAAGUUGUGACAUUUUAUGAACCGUUUCGCGUGAAACGCAUGUGGAGGUGCAUUUGCGCAUUUUGCACGCGCUGUGAAGGACUCAAUAUUAAAUAUUGAGUUUUGAUGUGUUUUUCUGCAAAAUGGAGCUAUAUGUAUUUAAGUCCUCUAGGGUUUCACCUUGGAACCGAACCCUAGAUGAUCCAUAGCUAACCCUUGUCGCCCCUAGCCACCUUCACCUCACUCCCCUGCCCUAGCCGCACACCCCCGAUCGCUGCCGGCUGAGCCCGGCCACUGCCGAGCCAUCAUCUUCCUCCCUCUCCAUCUCUCUCUCCAUUUCUCUAUUUUCUUCUCAGGUUAGAGCCCAGGCCGAGGCUGCAUUGCCUCCAGUCUCUUCCUUGGCAUCUUCCCGGAGCCCCGGCGACCCUCCCCGCCGGCCGCCGCCGCCCCGAACCGCCCCUAGCGCCGCUGCUGCACCCUGCAACUGGCUGGGCCGAGCCCUGGCCGAGGCAAGCCUACAGCCUUUCCCGAGUGCCGCCGCCACAUUGGACCACCACCUGCCGACUUCUCGGACCCCUGGCGUCCCUCCCCGCUGGUCGCCGCCGCCCCUGCGGGCCGCCACCGCCAUCUUGGCCAGCCGCAGCCGCCCCAGACCCGCUCGAGUCGAGGCAAGGUCGCGACUCCUUCCCUGCGCCGCCGCCACUCGGGGCCGCACCCGAGGCACCCCUCCGGCCUCCAGCAACUCUCCGCCGCCGUCCCGGAGCUCCCCAGCUACCGCCGUGGCCACCAUUGCCCAUGGAACCAGAGCCCUAGCUGGUACGGGGUCGGUUUGCUCCGCCGUCGCCGUCGCCGCCGCCGCUCUCCGCGACUAACCGAGGUGAGCAGUGUGCUCCUUCCUUCCCCCGUACCCAUUUCUGGCCCAUGCGCACCCUGUCGUGCCGCCGGAAGCCGGCCGGAGCAAGUUUGCUCCGGCCAAGCCCGAAAUAGGGCUUAGUUGAGUGGGUUUGUUGUUCUGAGCUUCCCGAGGCCUCCCGAUCAAUAUGGAAGGGAGCACGAUGUCAUGGCAAAUCGUUAAUCAUCGUGCUCACCUUGGUUUCUGUCGGAAAGGCCCCGUUCUGCUAUUUUGGCGGUGUCGACCCUAUAGAGCCUUUUUGGCUGCUGUUUCAGGUUUGCGCGUGUUUUUUCGGCGAUCCGAGGCUGUCCCGAUGCCUGCGGAGGUGAGCAUGGUGAUUGUUGGUCAGUGCCGAUCACAGUGCUCACCUCACUUUGGUUCAACGGAUUCUGGUUAGUUCUGUUCGGCACGAUUUUCCCCGACUGCGCGCUGUUCACAGAAAUUUUGGGUUGCUCCCACGCCUCCCACAAUGAGUCGUUGUGCUCCGGAUCAUGAGCACGGCCUCCGACGCAUCGAGACCUGUCAGUACCUGUCUCGGCAGACCUUGGAAGUCCUCGGUUUGCGUGAACGAGCCACUUGAUCGCUCAAAUUACAUAAAAUGAUAGGAUUUUAUGUAAUUAGAGGGACUUUGUGCAAUUGUGCACCUUAGGGCUACUGUGGGCAGUGUGUAUGCAUGUGUAGUGACCUUUGAAUUGAUUGUCCAUGAUCCGAUAGCCUUCACGGAAAUUAAAGAGUCGAUUUUGGUGCGUUUUUUGGCAAAAUUUGCCGAAAGAACGCGGUUUCAGUUCGAAUUUCUUCCGACGUCAUUUGGUUACCCUGUGAGUUGUCGCUAAGCCUUGUUGGCUGGUCAACCACCAUCACAUUGUAGGUUUGGUGAUGAUAGGUGAGCGACGGUGGGUUCCGGUGUCGAAAUAGACACUUCCGGGAACCCGGAUCCGAACAAUUAUCCGACAAUAAUUGUUCGGUUGUGUUACCUUGUGUUUGCUGCCAAGACAUUCAAAUUGGUGUGUUUUGUGGCAGCGGGUGACUCGUGGUAUGAGUCGGUGAGUUUCGGGACACUUAGUGGGCCCCGACAGCAUCCCGGUGUGGUUUUCGGGACUUCCGGUGAGUUACGAUGAUCGGUUUUGGAAAAUCGAUUACGGGGAUCUUAUGUGGGGGGUUUAUGAGUCUCGUACUUUGGGUUAGUGGUUUGGAUACUGACCUGGUGGAUCUUCUUAGGUCCGGUAGACUCUGUGCGUACCUAGUGUUCCGACGCUACAGUGACAUGUGGGUGCUUCAAGCUGGUAGUCGGUGAGAUCGUUUCACCCUUCCUCUGUUCUUUCAUUCAGUAUCAUAGCCUCUACAUGUCAGUUAUUUGUUUAUCAUUGUUUAUCGUAUCUCGUUGAUUGCAUUUGGAUAGUUGUGGAUAGACAUAUAGAGUAGGCUUGCAUUUGUAUAUUGCACCUCUGUGGACCUUGGGUCCAGGCAACACAUCGACUCCUUUGUCAUGUGUUUCGAUCUGGUUGAUCGUGGUUCGGCGUUGUACGCUCUUAUUUCUGGCUUCGGCCUAGGCACCGGCUUCAGUCGGUUUUUGUUUGAGCAUACCAGCAUGACUUAGUCACAACACUUGGAGGUAUUCAAGACACCGGAUCGGUUUGGCCACCGAUCGGAGGUGUACCUAUCCGGAUAGAUCGUCCUGUGGGGAGGAUGGAUCAGGUCGGUGCAGAUUAGUAACAGGCAGCGCUUGAGGUCUGUGGACCGAUAUAGCAGGCACCAGAUUGGGUACAGUUUUGGUUUGUUUACAUUGAGGCAUUCUCGUAUUGUUUCUAUACAGUAGCAGUUUACUUAUUGUUUCUUAUCAUAUCUGUUAUAGCUACUGUAGUUCAUUUUCGUAUAUCAGCAUAUAUAUUCGUUUACCAUAUCUCCUUUGGUUUCCGGUGAUUACGGCUUGCCUUCGUGGCUUUGUCGUACCCACUGGAAAACUAUGGUUGCGGUUUCUCAUUUCCUAUUCCCCCAGGGUGACAUGGACGAGGAGUUGAAUUUUGGGCUCGACGGGAGGACGAUCUAGCUAGUCUGGUAUAGCAACCGUCACCCUAGUUACUUUCAUUUCGGCACUUAGUAGUUUUAAUAAUAAAUGGUUCAGUUAGAUGAUCAUUACUGAUGUUUGAAUGUUUGAAUGAGUUGGUUUUCCUCCUAUGCAUGAAAUUGUGGAUCUGAGAUUAGAGAUUUGCGGAUUCGUGAUUUUGGUUUUAUGGAUAGUUGAUUCUCGAUUUAUAUAUUUACGAAUUUAUACAUUGUGGUUUUCUACCCCUUGAGGUAGUCGAUUUUCAAAAUAGAGUUUUCGUGUGGAAAAUAGUUUUUACAAUGUUUUCAAAUUGGUUUUUGUGAAUGUUUGAAUUAGAUUUUUAAAAGCAAAGCUUUCGGGUGGGGAGCACUUUUAAUAGGAUGACUGUUGUAUUAUUCAUUGCAUCAUCCAGCGCCUAAGGAGUACUUAGAGGUAUGCAUUAUCUCUAAGGAUUGCUAGCUGUAUGAAAAUGCAUGGCAUGAUGAUUGUUGAUUGGUAAAUAUAGAUUGUGGUUGAGAUUCUGAUGUACUGUUGGUAUGCCGUGCAAAUACAAAUGAGACUCUAUCCGAGUGGGUAGAGGAAUUUUGUAUUUGUGGUAGAUCUGUACGACACGUGGGCCAAGUUGGAGAAAAAAAGGCACGUUUUUCGCAACUCUGUUUUAAAAAGGCUUUUAAAAUCGGCCCGGGGGCGUGACAGGCACCUUAUUACCGACUCCUGGUGUACCACGUGUCCUUAUUUCUUUGGCUCAUACGUAGGGUAAGGUCGGCAUAUUAAUUUUAAUUUUGGCAUCAACACCAAGAUUAAAAAGAAUUUAUAUGUCAUCUAAAAUUGCUUCAUUAAUGAGAUGGCAUGAUAAAGGUCGCAUUAAAUAUGGACUCUUGAGACACCCAGCAGAUGGCCUCGCGUGGAAAUCAUUUGAUGAUCAUUAUCUUGAUUUUUCUUCUGAUCCUCGUAGUGUUAGACUUGGUUUUGCUAGCGAUGGAUUCAAUCCUUUCCGAACAAUGAGUACCACUUAUUAAAAGCACUUGGCCGGUGAUAUUGAUUCCUUAUAAGUUACCUCCGUGGUUAUGCAUGAAAUAAUCAUCAUUCAUCCUAUCAACAGUCAUCCCUGGUGAAAAAGGUCCAGGUAAUGAUAUUGAUAUUUAUUUGCAACCUUUAAUAGCGGAGUUAAAACAAUUAUGGAAUGGUGUUGAUGCUUUUGAUGCUUCUACUAAGCAAAGCUUUAUCAAGAAAGGAGCUUUUAUAUGGGCUAUUAAUGAUUUUCCUGCCUAUGCUAAUUUAUCCGGUUGGAGCACAAAGGGGCGUGUUGCUUGCCCUUGUUGUGGGGUUUCAAUCGAUUCACGUUGGUUGAAGCAUAGUAAGAAGUUCUGUUAUAUAGGCCAUCGUCGAUGGCUAGAACCAAAUCAUUCGUUUCGAUAUCAACAAAAUCAAUUUGAUGGUACUAUAAAGUUGCAUUUCGCUGCAAUAUCACCAUCUGGAAUUGAUGUCCUAAGGCAACUAGAGGGCACAAGUUACAAAUAUGGCAAAGGCUCAAAAUCUUCUAAGAAAAGGAUAAGAGAGGAAGUUGCUAGUUCUGCAAAUCAAGUAGUGGAUGAAGUUGGCACUACAAAUCAAGUAAGAGUGUUUGAAGAUGCCGAUGAGUUCAUUGGGGAUGGCCAUGAUUUUCAUGAAGUUGGGAAUGAUAGUGAUCCAUUAGAUACAUCAACACAAAGUGUAGUGAAAAAUUUUUGGAAGAAAGAAAGCAUCUUUUUUGAACUGCCAUAUUGGAAGUACAAUCUUCUUCGACAUAAUUUAGAUGUCAUGCAUAUACAGAAGAAUGUUUGUGAUAACUUUAUUGGAACCUUUUUGAAUAUGCAUGGUAGGACAAAAGACAAUUUGAAUGCACGAAAGGACCUAGAGGAUAUGGGCAUACGACAUGAUCUACAUCCCAAGUUGCAAUCGAACAACAAAACUUACAUACCUCAUGCAAUCUACACUAUGUCUACACAAGACAAAGUAAAUUUUCUGACAGUUUUAAAAAAUAUUAAAGUUCUAGAUAGGUACACAUCGAAUAUCUCAAGAUGUGUAAAUCUAAAAGAACGGACGCUUUCAAACCUCAAGAGUCAUGAAGAGUCAUGAUGGUCAUAUUUUACUGCAGGAUAUUCUUCCAUUAGCUUUGAGAGCAUCUAUGUCAAAACAGAUUAUCACAAUUGUUUCGAAACUAUCAUUAUUUUUCAAAUCAAUAUGUUCCAAAUCUCUUGAUCCAAAAGCUCUUGAUCAGUUGGACUCAAGUGUUGCAUUAACACUAUGCCACAUUGAGAAAAUAUUUCCCCCUAGUUUUUUCACUAUCAUGGUUCACCUUAUUAUUCAUUUAGCAUCGGAGGCCAAAUUAGGUGGUCCUGUACACUACAGAUGGAUUAUCCCAUUGAAAGGUGAGAAAUUUAAAUCUAAAUAAUUUAUGUAUCAUUAGUUUAUAUAUUUGACCAAUUUAUUACUAGACUAAGCAAAUUAACAACAUAUAUAUUAUGUUACAAAAUUUUAUUAUGCUAGGUACUUGGUACGGCUAAAAUCUUAUAUACGUAACAGAGCUAAACCAGAGGGCUCGAUUGCUGAAGGAUACAUUGCAGAAGAAUGUUUAACAUUUUGUUCAAGAUAUUUGGAAGGUGUGGAAACAAUAUUCAAUCGACCACAAAGAAACUAUGAUAACAUAGAUAAUGCGGAAGUUUAUAUGUUUUUAUCCGGUGGGCGAGUAUUAGGGAAUUUCGAAAGCAUUGUGCUGGAUGAAAUCUCAUUAGCGCAAGCACAUCGCUAUGUGCUACUUCAUUCUGACAAAAUUUCUUCAUAUCGUAGGUGAAUACCAUUUUACUAGUUUUAUUCAUAAUAUUUAUUUUUUUAUUGUACAAAUUUGAGUCCACUAAAUAGUUAGCCAUUAACAUAAUAUAGAGAAUUUUUGGUGGCUCAACGAAGAGCUAAUCGUGCGAUUCGAGCUAAUCAAAGUAUUGAGCAAAAUUGGCUAGUAGAAAAAUUUUCUGAAUGGUUUUAAGACAGGUAAACAAUAAUUAUUGAAUGAAAUGUUAUAUAUAUUUUACUAUAAAAUAAUUACUUAACCUAUUCUUGAUCAUAGGUACCAAAACUACAUGAGAGCAAUUGUUCAGAAGAAAUCAUUGCAAUGGCAAGAUGUCCAAAUAAUAUUACAAAAAGAUUUAGUGGUUUUAUCAUAAAUGGAUUUCGGUUCCACACAAAGGAUCGUGAAAAGUUUCGUAAGACUCAAAAUGGUGGAGUUAUGGUAGAAGCAGACGAGCAAACUUAUUAUGAUGCACUCACUGAUAUUUUUGAGCUAGAUUAUUUUGGGAAGUUUAAAGUUGUCUUAUUUCGUUGCGAUUGGUGGAUGUUAGGUCACCAAGGAGUUUAAAGCAAGACAUGAAUGGAUCAACUCUUAUUAACUUUUCCAAGCUGAUACACACUGGGCAAUUUUUGAAAGAUGACCCAUUCAUAUUCUCAUCUCAAGCAAAACAAGUGUUUUAUGUGCAAAAUCCUAGAAAUGAAGAUUGAAAUCACGUUAUCAUCACAAAACCAAGGACACGCAACGAAUAAACGAGUAAUGACACGUGCUAAGGAUGUAUGGAACUUGCCUAAUGGGCAAAGAAUUGUAAUUAAAUGUAACAAAUUUGGGCAACCAGUGAAGAAAAGGGGGUGGCAUCCUUGGAGGUUGGCUUGGGACUCUUUCACGAAAAGGAAAUUUCUGCUCUCUUAGCUACAAUAGUUGGAAAAAUGUGCCUAACACAGUGAAAACAGAACUUAUUCAACUAACUCGGAUAAAACCAAUUGUACUAAUCUUUUAGUAGCACAAAAUUUAUGUAUACUCAAUGGUUGCUGUAAGAGUUAAUUUUUUUUAUGAUUAGUAGCGAUCUACAUCUUGUUCUAUUAAUCUCAAUAGCUGCUGUAGGAGUUAAUUUUUUUUUAUGAUUAGUAGUCAUCUAUAUCCUGUUCUAUUAAACUUACCGUAUAGUUAUUAUUAACAAUGAUCAUUGUUGAGGUAUUACUAGAUCAUUUUGUAGGUGGAACCACUUGUGAACGAAACAGGGUGCAAUUUUUUUUUUUUAAGCGACAAACUUCAUUUAGUUAUAAAGUUCUUAGUAUUAUAGAUGUAGUUUGCAACUUAAUUUUCAGUUAGUGUUUAAAACUUUUAUAUUCCUUUUAAAAUUUUUUAUGCCUAUAGUUUAAAAAUAUCUCAAGGAGCUUAAAUAUCAUGAUAUUUUUCAAUAAUAGAUUAAAAGUAGUUCAAUAUUAAUUUUUAAUGAGUUUCAGUGUUUAAAUUUUGACUACAUUUUUUUUUUCUUGUAGACUAAAUUUAAACUACCAAUGGACAAUAAUGUCAAUGCAUGGAUAUUAAAAUCAGUUAGUUGAAAAUGAAAGAAUUAUAAAUGUGAACUCAAAGCAAAAUAUACGAUAGAGGACUACACAGAGCAACAAUUAGUGAAUGUUGUUCCCAAAGAAAUUGUGCCUCAACAGUGGGUAGACCUUGUGCAUUACUGGUUUUCGGAAAAAAGUCAGGUAGAGCAUUUUUAUACAUUAAAUGGUUAUUCCUUGAUGUUACAAAUUUUAUGGUUCUUAGCACAAUUUUUUUUUUGACAGUUAUAUUCUCGGAUAGGGCGGGCAUCACGUGCAAAACAUACAACUCCUCACACAACAGGCUCUAUGUCUUUUGCUAGGAAAAGACAAGAAUUUGUAUGCUAAUUUUAUUAUUACUUUAGUUUUUAUAAAGUGUAGCUUUUUAGUUCCUUUUACCCUGAUAUAUACUUGGUUUGGGUGCAAUAUUGCUCUAUUAGAUUACACUUUUUGUUUUUUAUUCCUAAGCUGUUAAGUAGUUUUAACUUGUAUAUUGGGACUAAUUUAUUCACUGCCAUUAAUUACAGGAAGAGAAAAAUCAAAGAGAACCUAGACGUAUUGAAUUUUUUGCAGUUACUCACAAAUCAAAAGAUGGGAGUUAUAUUAAUACUGCAGCAAGUAACUUCAUAGUGCGUAGUAAAAACACAUUACUAUGAAUACAUAUACACACAAAUAUAAUUUUGUAUAGUUGAAUUAAGUUUUCUUUUAUUACUCUAUGCAGAGUGAUGCCAUGGUAAAAGUGAAUGCUAGUAUCACUUCAGAAUCUUCAGCUUCAGCUAUUGAACUGGAGAAUGAUGCUUUCAUUCGCACGAAGGGAAAAGAUCGAUAUGGUCUAGUAAGAGGGUAUGGGAUUGGUGUAGUGCCAACACAAGUAUUUGGGCCAAAAGCAUAUAUUGGAAAUGUUCGAUAUGAUGAUAAUAUGGAAGAAGUACAAAGAUUGAAAUCAAAGAUACAACUGAUGCAAGAUACGUACGAGUCAAGAUUGGUUGAAAUGCAAGAAGAAUAUGAAUCGAAAUUAGACAUGAUACAUCAAAAUUAUGAAUCACGCAUGAGUGGGAUGCAAUCUCAGUUGAAUGAAGUCACCUCUAUUUUGUUAAACUUUGUCAUACCGUCUGAUAUUUUAGGUGCCGAGCCGAGGGGUCGUACAUCAACUUAGAGAAUUUUGUUUAGCUCCUCAUUUUGAGCUUUACUUGCAUUAAAACUCAAAUAGUUUAUCAUAUAUAUGUUGUUAUGUUGAUCAUUUUGGCUUUUGUAUUUAGUGAAAUUGUUAUGUUGAUCAUUUUGGGUUUUGUAUUUAGUGAAAUUGUUAUGUUGAUCAUUUUGGGUUUUGUAUUUAGUGAAAUUGAAACAGUUCCGUAUCACCUUUUGUUUUAAAUUUGAAUUGUUCAAAUGUUAACUAGUUGACUUGUGGAAUUGUUUUGAAUUCUUCUCAUAAAUUUGCUUAUGUAUAUUUUUUUUUUCCUCUGGAUGUUUGUUCUUUUUAAUGCUGCAAUUUGUAAAGUAUAUAGUUUGCAAGUUUUAAUAAAAUGUCCAAUGAAAAAAAAAUUAAUCAAAAUUUUAAAAAAUAUUUUAAAAAUUGUUUUAUGCUAUUUUAAAUGCUUGAAAAAUAUAACCAUGGUAUUGAGAUGACGACGCAUGAAAGCGCCGGCAAAAAUGCCAACGCUAUAAAAAGUUGCUAUAUUUUUAAAAUUUUUAUAAUAUUUUGAAACUUAGGAACGCAUUGAAGCAUCGCCAAAAUUAAAUUGACGACGUAUGAGAGCGUCGGUAGUAAUUAACCAACGCAUGCAUAAAGCGUCGCCAUUUCGUUACCGACACUGCAUUUAACGACGCACUUGCCGACGCUUUUCUUUGCGUCGGUGGACAUUUUGCCGACGUUUAAGAGCGUCGUAAAGUUUAAAAAAAGGGGUAGGUAGAAACCCUUUUUGUUGUAGUGUUAUAUAUAGUAUAUUAGCCUAGUUCUAUAUAUAUAUAUAUAUAUAUAUAUAUAUAUAUAUAAUACUUAUAUAUAUAAAGCUUAAGGGGCGUAAUGGAGGAUCAAGUGAUGAUACACUUACGAAUUAAUUAUGAUGAAUCAAAUUUAAAAUCAAGAGUCUACCAAUUAUGACUAGUAUUCAAAUCAUAAGUAAUUGUGAAAAUUUAAGAAUGAUAAUCUCUCAAGUAUGGCAACCAGUCCAAAUAGAAAAUAUUUGAAUUCAAAUAUUGUACAUUUCUAGAAUGUAAUUAUGUAAAUAUUGCAAUUUCAAGAAUAAUGGGAUUAUAUUUUGUAUUUAAUAAUUCUAUAUAUUGAGAGUUUGUUUUGUGUGUUCUCCUUUAAGGAUAACAACCAUGUUUCCACUAAUUAUAAUUUUCUUCAACCACCGCUAAACCUAGGGAACUACUAUCAUCUCAACUAUACAUGUUGCCUCCUUAACUAACUGUUAUUUAAUUAUAAGAGUUAGAUUAAGAAAAUAUUUUACAGAAUAAUUUUAAAAAAUAUUCAGUAGCAAUUAAUACAGCUGUUCUCAUUUUAGUUUAUCAACUAGAGUUUUGUGCACGAUGUUAAGACAAAUUUGAAUCAUUUACUACUAGAUAGAUUGAUCUUUCAGCUUAAGACGAUAUUAAAGUCACUCUUAAAAAUUUGAUCUUUCACUAUUUUGUAGCAUAUAUAUUUCCGGCUAUCAUUUUGUUGUCUUUUUCUUAACAUCUUCAAUAAAUCUAAAUGGUAUAUAUGGUUCAGCGAAUACCAACCAUGUAUGUGCACCUAAUUGUUAAAAUAAGUAUUGAUCAUUUUAUAUUAGAAUAAGUAUUGAUCAACUUUUUAGAUAUCGAUCUUAUAAUUUAAUUGAACUUGGCAAAAUUUUGUCAAUUGGUAAUGAUCGAGUCUCAUAAGUUAUUCUAUUAAUAACAAGAAUCCGUAAGUUCUUCUAUUAAUAACAAGAACACUUCGUGUCUAGUAGAAAAAAAAAAUUAGGUAAAAACGUAUAAAUUUAUUUGAAUUAUGAAUUCUUGUAAAUCAACUAUCCAAACUUUUAUAAUUCUAAUUUUAUUAUUUAAAUUUUUAAUUUGUUUGAUUUUAAUUAGUAAAAAAUAUUCUGAUUUUCAAAUGAUCCAAAAAUAGUGCAGAAAAAAUUUAUGCGAUAUAACCUAAAGUUGGAUAUGAGUUAUUAAAGUUUCUGCACAUUCAAAAUAUAUGGAAACAACUCAAACACUUUGCAUUAAAUAUGCUGACUCAUUGAUAAUCAAUGUCAGCAAAACUCUCUUAAAUAAAAAAAAAACUUUUGCAGCCUUGCAGGUACUCAUUAUAAAAUUGAGUUGGAUUUUGUUAAUAAUAUCAUCAUGAGGUGGAGCAAAAGAAAAAAAAAAAAAAAUAAAAAAAAAAAAAAAUCUAAAAGCAAUUUCUAGUACAUCUUGCUUUAUUGGUUUGAGAAUUGAAAUCCCCAGAGAAAAGUACAUCGUUUCUCUCUCAUCCUUAGUACUAUGCUAUCAUUAUAGUCUCUCUUUUAGGACACGCUCACUUUUCCCCCAUCUGGGUUGUUUCAAGUAAAGUGAACAUUCUCUAGAUCAUGCACAGAUAUGUCACAGGUCCUUUCAACCAAAUAGGGUUUCAUUGAACUUUUUUACACUGAAUUUUAAAGGUGUUUUCACCUAUAUAUAAAGUGCAUUAUUAUGCUUUCCUUGAUUUUUAAGUUAUUGCUGAACUUAGGUUUUGUAACUGAUGAUGCAUAUGAUUAACACUAGUUUGAAUCUCCAUUCACUUGGUCUAUUAAUCAUUCUCUCAAAUAAUACAAACUAAAUCAUCUAUUCUUAAGAACACCUCAUGGAAAACUAAAAGAACUAAAAAACAAAAUCUCAUUUUGAACCUUUUAUCAUCGAAUUUUGAUGGAAAUCUCAUAUAAUUAAAACUGCUGUUAAUUUGAAUCAGAAAUAGAUCUCCUACAUAGUGAUUAAUGAAAACCAUAAACAACACAAUAAUUCAUUUUGAAAUUCUAUUAUUUGUUGAUGAAGUGUUGAUUCAGUAGACACAUCCUGAAAAAAAUAAUAAAAGGAAAAAAAAUUACAGUACAACAGUUAAAAUUACUGUUUGCUGCGUAGUCUAAUUAGGCCAAAGACAAUGAAAGACGUGUAUUAAUUAACAAAAUCCUCAGUUCCACUAAUUAAACCACAAGUAAGUAAGUAACACUCCACUUCAAAAUCAUAAACCACAUGAUCACAUUAAUUCUAACAUAGCACAUCAGAAAACAAAAUAAACAAGAGCACAAAUUCAGUUAAUUAAUCCUGAUUAAGCGUAAUCAGAAUGAUUAGAAGGGCCGUCGGCCGCCGCCCCAACCGUAGGGCUCCGACGGCACCGGCACACUUCCGCCGAGGAGGUUCUGCGGGAGCCCGUGGAAUGCGUUCGCCUCCGCUGCCGCCGCCGCCGCCAAAAGCUGCUGCUGCUGCUGCUGUGCUUGGCCGCCGAGCAUCGCGGCGGCGGCGGCGGCGGCGGAUGGCGGCUGGUCGUCCUCCUCGAGCGGCAGGCGCUCGUAGGCGGCGUUGGCGAAGGACGCGGCCAUUAUGAUCACGGGUCCAGACGCGAUGAGCGACCCGACGACGCUCCCCCCGACGACCUGACCCUGGCCGCCGGAGAGGUAGACGGUGAGCCCGGUGGCCUCCGGCGGGGCCGGCGGGGGGAGGAAGGAUCCGGAGAGGGAGAGAAUUUCGAAGUGGCCGUGCAGGUUCAGCACGGCGCCGCUCUGCGACGACGCUGCUGCGGCUGCGGCGGCGGCGGAGGCCGGGGGCUGCCGCAGCGCGACGUUGGUGACGGUGCCGACGCCGCUGAGAACGCAGACGCCGCGCUGGCGCCGCCGCGCGAAGGCCGCCACGCUCUCCGCGACGUCGCACCCGCCCGCCACCUCCAUCACGUGCGUCCGCAGCGCGUUGGCGCUGUCCCGCGUGAUCACGAUCGGCGGCUUCGCCUUGUUCUUCGACCCCGCCGGGCGUCCCCGCGGCCUCCGGUUCACAUCGUUACUAUUAUUAUUAUUAUUAUUAUUAUUGCCGUCGCCGUCGCCGCCGCUGUUGUUGUUGUUGUUGUUGUUGUUGUUGCUGCUGUCGUUGGCGUUGUCGUCGUCGUCGUCGUCGUAGUCGCGCUUCUUGCCGCGGCUGCGCAGGUCGUCGUCGGAUUUGAGCUGAGGGUGGAGGUGGUGGUGGUGAAAGUCUUGGAAUAAUGGGGGAAGAUGAUGGCCAUGUGUUGAUGCUGUUACCGGAUCCAUAAACUUGCCCUAAUUAAAUUUCUUUCUUUCUUUUUUUUUCUUCUUCUUCCCUUUUAUUUUCCUUUUUAUUUUUCCCCCUAAAUACAAAGAACAGGUGGGAUGGGGCAAAACCUAGGAGAUGGAACAGUGAAGAGAAAGCAAAGGGGGAAGAACCAAAGAAAAGGAGAUGAGAAGGGAGAGAGAGAGAGAGAGAGAGAGAGAGAGAGGAGAACAAUAAUUUUCAUUAACUAUUCAAUUAAGAAAAAAAGAAAAAGGCUAAAAGGAGGAGAAGUAGAGGAAAGAUCAAAAGAAAGACGGCGCCCUGCCUCCUCCCUUUUUCCUAUCUCUCCUUUCUUUUUUUGAAAAAGAAAAAUUAUAGUAAAUAAAUAGAAGAGUCAUAUACCACAACCAAUGCUACUCCUCACCAGAAACAAAAUGGAGGCAUUUCUCUUGUCACCCACCAACUUCUCAGCUGAUUCCAAAAUUAAGCAUCUUAUUAUAACCCCUCCUCUCUCUCUCUCUCUCUCUCUCUCUCUCUCUCUCUCUCUCUUUCUCUUUUAUUUUAUUUUUAUACCCCUCUCUCUCUCUCUCUCUCCACCCUCCUCACAAAGCCAACUCGUAGCUACCAAUAAUUGUUAGCACUCCCCUUUCUCUCUCCUGUAUUAGAUUUCUUUUGAAAAGAGGGCAUACACGGGAAGUUUUGAGGAUUGGUUGGAUUCUCAUUGAGUAUGGUUUGCCCCAGUUAAAUAUGGACUAAUCAACUUCUAGCUUAUUCCUUUCUUCUUUUGUGAGUGUUAUGUUUAUGCUAUGGUCUCUUUUAUUCUAGGCCAGUUAUUAUCAUAUGUGUUAACACUAUUUCCAUAUUGUUCCUAUCAUAUCAAUCUUUUGAGCUAGUUCUGAACAUCUCUCGAUUUCAAAAAGUUUUAAGUUCAGUUUCCUACAUAUACUCUUCUUGAUAUAUAUCAAGAGUCAAAGUGUUUGGUGGUUAAUAUUCGAAGUCCCAAGUUCGAAUCCUAAUUGAUUCACAUUUCCAGCUAAGUUUAUUUCUAAAUAAAAUAAACGAAGCAGAUAACAUGCUACCUAUCUCUCAAACAAAAAAAGAUAUAUAUAUAUCUACCGAGCGUAUAAGCAGAGAAUAAAAAUUUUAUGAUGACAGUCCCCAAGGCGAAACCAUCAAUGAGAUCCAACAGUCAACUUAUAUAUGAAAUGCAUGAAUCAUUUCUCAAAGAAUUGAGAUUGGUAGCGAUUGGAUGGUCUUAUAUUGGGAACAGUCUGAUCAAUUAGAAUUUUCUUCUCCGAAUAGGGGUGAUUACAUACGAUAUAUAUAUGAGGUCAAUCUUUUGGUACGAUCCAGGCUAAUGGAAUAAGGGCAGACUACUUAAUCACCUUGUGUGCCAUGGGACUAGAAAAAAUUCUAUUUGUUUACCGCUUAAUUCGAUUAUCUCAGAUCUACACUACAUCUUGAGCUAUACUUAUUAUUUAGAUGCUCGGCACAUCUUAUACAAUCUUUGGCUAAAAAAUAUAUAACUUACUUGAACUAGAGACCAUUUUUGAAUCGCUUAUCUAGCAUUUCAAAAUUUUAAUUUUACCAUCCAACUUUUCAAUUUGUUUGAUUGGGUCAGUCAACGGCACUUUAAAAUUAACUUCAAAUUCGUACGUGUCGUUUAUCCGUCUAGAUUUUAUUAGUAUAUUUCAUAUAAUUCUCGCAACUAUAAAUUUAUUAAAAUAAGUAAUUAGCUGGCUGACUAAAAAUCUAAUAAAUUGCCAAAUUUUUAUUGGUCGGAUUAAAUUAUUAUGGAUAAUAUGUUGGGUGCGUUCAUUGGCACAGGCCGGAGGGGUAGGUGGUGAGCCUGCGGUCGCGCCGUACCCGUCGCUACCCUAAUAAUAUUUUACUAUGCCAUUUUGUGUUGAGACAUUUCUUACCUGCACUGCACUGGGCGUAUAAAUACAUCUCAUACACCAAUAUUUUGGAAACCUACAAUAAGCAACUCUAAAAUUUAAUUAUAGCCUUUACUUUUCGGCUUAGGAAAUUACGACCGAAAAUAUUUAAUUUAUUAUAAAUAGUAAUUUUAGACGUUGUUUACGUCGCAUCUAUUGAAUUUAAUUUUAAUUUAAAAUGUAAAUCGGCAAAUAUCAUGAGCGGUGCACAGGGCUGUUCAAUUGUACACGCGGUGCACGUGACAAUUCCUCUCGUGUGCGCGUGGGGGACGUCGCUGUCGAAUAAGAAGAGCCAGCGAGCUCCCCACGUCGUUGAAUUAUAGCCGACCUAGCGGUGGCAUAUUCGUAAAUAAGUAGAAUAUCAGGGGCGUAUGUGUUUACAGGGUGGGGUGUGGCAUGUGGGUCUUCGGAAAUCGCGUUGUCGCAAACGACGUGGGAGCGGACGUGAAACCGGUCCGUGGACACGGUGCACCGCUACGGCAUCAUGGACCGACCCCUGAACCAGGUCUAAAAUUAGAAAUAUAAUAAUUUGUUGGAUGCGAGUGGUGUGAUCAACAAAAUUUCAAAUGCCCCAAGAUAUGAUCCCAAAAGAAAAAAAAAAUCAUAAAUCAAAAAUUAGGAAUUUAACUGUAUAUAAGGUCCAAACGUAAAAGAGCUUUAGUUUUUUUUUUUUUUUUUUUUUUUUUUUUUUUUUACUUUUUAAAAAGUAUUUUAUCAAACGGUACAUAACUUUAACAGAGAAGCUUUAAGUAGCCCUUACCUUAGUGCCAAACUGGCUUGAGAGACCGGUCCACAUUGGACCAAGUCCCUGCAAAAUGUUGUCCGGAGCAAUGACGAGAAUCUUUUGAAGCGGUGUGAAUGAAUUCAGGUGGGCCCCCACGAGGACACGUGUCAGAUGCUCCGCGAUCGGGGGCUGCGACCGAGGCCUGCGAGACUGGGACCCCGUCGCGGGUCCGGCGGGGGCGAGGUCGCUCAGCCUCGGGGCGCGCGGAGACCGACACCAGCCGUCCGAUCGGUGUCAGGCGAGCGGGGGAGGGAGGGGAUCGGGCGGCUCCCGAUCAAUCGAUCGCCGUGCGUGCGUGCUCGCGGUUGGUGUGUAUUUUUCCCUUCUCUUAUCUCCUCCCUCCUCUUUAGUGCCCCCACGUGACAACCAUUAGAUCUGCCGCGGUGGGCCCCGGCACGCGCGCGGGUCCGAACGGGUCGUUACGGUUUUUGCGAAUCCGAGGCGGGAUGGGGUGGUGCCCGCACGUGUCACGGGAACGGUGUUUUUUAAAAAGCGGAGCCACCGCGGGAUAAAACAGACCCGUUUGCUCUAAGGACCCGUAUUGUACCUGCGCCUAUUUCAAUACAUUGACCUUGUUUGGAUAAAAAUUCUAAAAUGCAACACUAAUUUUACUAGAUCCAGUAAAUUCUAUCUGUAUCAGUAUAUAUUUGCAAGUUAUUCAUAAAUUUAUUGAUAAAACGUGUGGAUAUCCGUUAAGUUAUGAAUAUUUUGGACAACCCACGAAUAGUCGUGGAUCGAUAUCCGUAUAUUUUUUUAAUUAAAAAAAUAUAUUUUCUACGGUAUUGACUUUAUAAUCAUUAAAAAUUUUAUUAAUUUGUAUUAUAAAAAUUUGGAACGAUAUAUUAUUUUUAUAUUAUGUAAUUUAUGCGCUUUAAGAUUUUAUAUUGUUUAUCAUAUAUUAUGAUAUUUCUAACCGUAACUUAUAUUAUACUUUUAAAAAUUAUAUUUGUAUUUUGCGGUUGGAAAGUGUUAGGAGCUGAAUUUCGUCCUCUUUGACCCGAUCAAAGAUCUUUCUCGGAAAGCACGUCGGGAAGCGAAACGGCUACGAUUAGUGAUCCUUGAAGUUUGCGUCCUUCGAAUGGAUCAAGCGAUUCGGCUGAUUCGAUCCCUUAUCAGCCGAGUUCGAAAACCUUUACUGUAGAAUCGGUUCGGCUAUAUGAGCCGAAUUAAUAAAAUGCACAGAAUUUUGGGUCGACUGAUGAGCCGAAUAUAUGGAAUACACAGUGAUUGGUCAGCUGAAAGAGCCGAAUGCUUUUAUAUAUAUUAAUAAAACAAAGUGUGCCCGAAGAGCAUACAAACUCUAAAAAUCUAGUUUACAACAGAGUGUGCCCGUGGGGCAUACAGACUCUAGAGAUCUAAUUUAAAAACUAUUCCUAGAAAAGCAGUAAAUGCGGGUAAAAAAAAUUACAUGUAGACUACUCCUAAUAAAACGAUAAAAUUACAAAGGAAAUAAAGGUGGUAUUCUAGUUCAUGGGGGAGAAAGAUCCUUAUUGCAGGCUUCGAAAUUACCCACAUUAUUGGUUGGUUGAAAGUAGUGGGGAGAGUGGUUGUAACCAUGAUCGUGGAAGUUACGCCCACUUCUCAUAAAAGUUACGCCCCACUUCUCAACCGUUCCCGCCUAAAUGCUCUCAACCUUCAGGCGCCUUAUUGCUGAUUUCUGGUAUACCACGUGUCCUUAUUUUUUUAGCACAUACAUGGGUUAGGUCGGCAUAUUAAUUUUUUGGCAUCAACUGAAAGUAUAUGAACAAAAAUUAAAAAAAAAAGCUGUGAAUAACCCGCAUAUCCACCAUCUGCCCGUAGGCGGCCGGAUAUGGAUAAAGAUGUUAAUUAUCCAAAAAUUUACGGAUACAUUUUAUCCAUAUCUAUAUGACCCGCGGAUACAAUAACCUGCUCACGUGUUACCGAACUCGUCCAUUUACCAAAUCUAUUAAUAUUACUAAUGUGGUGUUUACAAUCAAUCAAAAAAUUUUCUUGUGGUUCACUUAUCCCAACAUAGUUAUUAGAAAAAUAUUUUUAUUGUACUUUUCUUUCAAAAAAGUAAUAUAAUUAACUAGGAUAAAGAGUGGUGUAAAUGUUAUACACUAGACUUUCUCCUUGUUUGGUCGCCCCUAUGGUAAUUUAUUCAAUACGAAAAAUAUCUCAUGUGAGCGCGAGUAAAAAAAUUUAGGCAUUAUUUGAUACGGUAUUUAUGUUUUAUUUUUUAAAAUAAAACGUUGUAUAUAAAAAUGAGGUAAAAUGUUUAAUUUUUGUUUCUUGAAAGUUUUGUCAUUCAUGAUUUGAUAAUAUAACUUAUUUCACCUAUAAUGUGAUUUAUCUUUUCCGAAAUAUUAACUAGAAAGUAAAAUAUGUUGUUCCAUACCAAAUACUAUAAUUUCUUGAGUAAAGUAAAGAUAUAUUUGGAAUAAGAUUUUCAUGCAUCUAAUCAGAGCCAUAGAGUAUAAUAAAAUGUUUAGAAUGGAUAAUAUACUCGACCUUCAAAUUAUUUUCUCAAAAUAAGAUAAAUUAUCUUAUAGAUAAAAUAUAUUAUCUUACCAAACCAUAAAUGUCAAGGCCUUUUAAAGAGAAAUAGCCAAACUUCAUGCUUUCAAUCACACAAGGAAAUACUCUACUCCGUCCAACCGAAGGCCUAAAUCAAAGAGAGAGAUCAAGCACGAUAUUCAUAUGCAUCCAAAUGGGGGAGUGUGUUUUUUUUUUUUUUUUUUUUUUUUUUGAGAGAUAGGUAGCACGCUACCCGUUUCGUUUAUUUCAUUUAAAAAUAAACUUAGCUAGAAAUGUAAAUCAACUAGAAUUCGAACUUGGGUCUCGAGUACCAACCACCAAGCCCUUUGCUACUUAUUCCAGGGACGGUCGGUGGGGGUGCUUGUUGUUGUCAUAAUAUAUGAACAUAUUAUUCAAUAUAUCUUUUAUUUGUUAAAAAAUUACAGUACUUAUAAUAAGAGGAGUAUAACUAAAUGUCAAGAAAGGCAUAUUAUAUUCAACUUUUAAAUAAUAUUUUUAGAAUAAAAUAACCAUCCCGUAAAUGAAAUAUACUAUAUAUGCUACUAAAUUACGAAUGUCAAAAUAUUUCUAGUUAAAAUCAAACUCUUAGGUUCCAAUCAUACAAGAAAAUCUUUAUACCAUAAUGUUAUCAUUAAAUAUUUUGAUCUAACAUCGUAACAAGGCUACAUAAAUAUCUGCAUGUACAUUUCUUUCACUUAUUUACAAAGAUUGAAAUAUUUAAAAUAUUAGGAGUAUAGUCAAAUGUCCAAAAAUGUCUACUACAUCUAGUCUUCAAAUCAAUUUAUUGAAAUAUACUAAAUCAACUUGUAGGUGAUAAACACUAUAGCUAGCUAAUUAAUCAUGACUAUCAAGUCCAUUCAAAGAGCAACCUAACAAACUCUUUAACUUACAAUCACAAAAAAGAAAAAAGAAAAAAGUAAUACGUAAGUUAUUACUGGAUAACACGAUUUUAAUAUUUAUGUCAUAUUUGGAAGUUGUAACAUGUUAUUCAAUGAUAACAUAUUAUUGUAGAAAUAGUUCUUUAUAAUUGUCAUCUAGAAGUCUGAAUUUCCAAGCAAGUUAGUUCCUUACAACUUAGAAGACAAACUUUUUGGAUAAUAUAUAAAAGAAAAAAAUGUACGGAGACUCCUUGAACUUCGGCUCUUUAAUUUGCAAAUAUGCGCUAGAACUUGUAAUUUUGGUAAUUAUAUUUUUUAAAAUUUUAUCAAGUAAUUUAAUAAGUCCAUCUUCUUAAGUGAACUUACUAAUUAUAUAGCAAUUUUAAUUGGAUGUCAUGCAUAUAAUCCUAUAACACUCCAAAAUAUGUAGAAAACUCUUUUUCCUUUUCCAACUUUUGUUAUCAAGCAUAAGAAUCAAAUAAUAGAUUGAACAGAACUUCAAUUAAUCUUUUUGCUUUUUUAGCAUAUUGGAAUACAAUUUUUUUUUCCCCCUUGUGUGUUUUAAAGUUUAAUAUAUCUAUAUGCAUUGCAUAUGCCGAAAAUAAUUGAGUAAUUAGUAACUUUAAUUGAAAAGAGGAGUAUAUUGAACUGUUUGAUAAAGUUGAAGGAGUUUAAUUGCCAAAAUUAAAAAUGCAAGCACUUGUUUACCAAAAAGCGAAAAUUUAGGAAGAUCUAUGUACAUCUUUUCAUAUGUUAAAUCCAUCUACGAGAAAAUUGGUCUAUAGCCCUAGCUAAUUGACUUGGAGGCUAAAUAUAAUAUGCUAUUGUAAGCAUUUAUUCUUACUAGGCUACAAAUUACUAUAUAUUUUCAAGCAAAAGAAAGAGACAUACUAAACAAAAUGUCAUGCAUCCAAACGGGCCUAUCGAGAAAAUCUUUGAAUUUUCAAAAAUAUAACCUUUAUGGGUUGUUAAUAUGUUGUCAAAUUGGUGUGGUACUAUUAGUUAGGCUGCGUAAAUCAAUCAAUUUAUAUCAUAUGUAUCAAUACACCAACAAUAUAUAAAAUAAUAAUUUGGGAUACUUGCCUUGAUGAAGCCAUAUUUGGAUUUUAUAACAAAUUAUCACCAUACCAUAAUAAUUUGCUUUUGGUCCAUUGCAAGUUGUUGGCAGCCUGUAAAUUGUUAGUGCAAAAAUUUCAGCUCCACACUACAAAAAAAUUGUGAUUUAGCGACAUUCAGUUAUUGCCACCAAAAGUCAAAAAAUUGCUGCAAAAACUAUUAGCGGCAUUAAGCUUUUAAUGCCACUUAUAUUCGUGUUGGUAAAUCUUCUAUCGAUAUUUAAAUAGAUUGCCGUUAUAUAGUAUCCUUUUAUAUAUAUAUAUAUAUAUAUAUAUAUAUAUAUAUAUAUAUAUAUUAGUAUGGAUGCCACGUGCCCCCCCCAAUUCAUGCUUAUCCAUUUAUUUAAUCGAGGGUUGCAACCUACACCUCUUUAAUUAAUUUUCCUUCCUCUCUUUUUCUCUGGAGCCGUACGCAAGGAGGAGGAGAAUCCGGUUGGAGCUCGUGUGUCGCCGACGUCGCGCCGCGGUACCGUUUGAGCGUGUGUUCGUCAUCGUAACAUCGCGAGAAGGCCGGGCGAGGGUGCGUUUACGUCGUUUUCGACGUCGCGCUGGAUUGGAUUUUGCGUUUGAGGUGGGUUUAUCAUCGGAUUUCUACUCCUAUAGCCUUGUUAGUCAACAUGUAUAGUUAUGAUAUCUGCGUUGGUAUUGUUUAGCUCAGAUUCAUGUUUAUGCAUUGUUCUAGGCCUAUAUAUUGAAUUUGGAGCAUGUUACUGUUUAUUAUUAAUUAUACAUAUUGGACUUGGAUAAAACAUAGGAGAAAACCAGUGUUCGGAACCUGUCAUAUGUUAAACUACCUGAUUUAGCCUUAGAGGCCGUUGUACUUUUAUACAGUUGCAGUGUUCUUGUGAUGAGUACCCCAGGUAGUCUAAUUUACUGUUACACUCGUGCUGGGAUGCCAAGUCUAUUUUUACAGUAGUGUUUAGACUGUUCCGGCUAGUGGGUGCCGUCGCGGUUGACGAUGGACCCGGAUUUGGUCAUUUUGAGAUCCGAUUGUGCCGAGGGCACGUGACUAGUGGUUAGUAGCCAAUUGGACUUAUUUUCUUGACUUUAGCCUGUGAGAGCCUGAUUGAGCUCGACAGAGAUACGCUUGCAUAUUCGGUUGGAUCGCGCCCACGAGUUGCCGCUCCGGAGUUUGGCUUUGUGCUUUCGCGUUGAUGUCACUGACUAGUUUUACUAUCCACGGACUGUUUUGCGUGGAGGUAGCGUAGCUUAGACAGGCGGGACGGGUGCGUUCACAAUCCCCGGGACGAGUGUGUUUACAGUCCCUAUUGAGAUUGGGUCAGAUUUGACAGUUACUACAGUUGGAUAGUAUAGUGGCAGGUAGCUGUAGAUUUCUUUCCAGCUUUAACUACUAGUUUGUUUCUGACUGUAGUCUUAGUGGGUGGACCGAUGAUGUUGAGGGCGGUACCUAUUACUUUAUAUAAAUAUUUCUUUGUACAGGAGAUUAUGCAUUCCUUAUAUUAGUGUAUACUAUAUUAGUUUUCUUACCAAUUCACAACUCACCAUGUAUUAGCUUGAUCUCUGUUUAUAUAAAGAGGUCUUUUGUAAUUUAUCAAAUCAGAAAGAAAUAUAUUUUCUUCUCCAAUUAUUCUUUGUUUCAUGGUAUCAGAGCGCGACUAGCUUAAUACGCAAAAGCUCGUCGUCACAAGAUCGCCGUCGGUAUCUCUCGACCUAAUUCUGUCAUGACAUCCGCACCUCCAUCGAUGCCGCCUGUACAGGUUCCUACACCGACACCUCCAUCAAUGCCGCCUGUACAGGUUCCUGCAUCGACUAUUGCCCAGCUCGAUGUUAAACUCUCCGGGCCUAAUUAUCGUGAAUGGUCGGUGUCCAUUCAACUCUUGUUUGAUGCUCUCGAUCUUACUGGACAUAUUGAUGGUGCUGGUCCACCAACCGAUGAUUCCAAACUCAAGGACUGGCUCGUUGCUGAUCGACGUGCUCGUGGAAUUAUUUCUACAUCGGUAAACAUGGACAUUCGGAUGCAGCUUAUCAAUUUGUCCACCGCUCAUCAGAUGUGGUCUCUUCUUCGGCAGAUGUAUGAGCAGUCUAGUUAUGCUCAAUCAUAUGCUGAGUUUCAAGAGAUCUCCAUGGCUCAUCAAGGUGAGCGUAGUAUCCAAGAGUUUUACAGUUUUAUGCAGGCUCGUUGGCGUCAACUGGCGACCAUGGAUGAACCCUUGUGUCGCACUUGCUCAACUUGUCAGUGUACUGUCAAGCAAAAGCAGGUGCGUGAUCAACAACGAUUGUUCUAGUUUCUUAUGCGCCUACGACCUGAGUUUGAAGCAUUACGUGGCCAACUACUCCAUCGAACUCCCUUCCCUACUAUUGAUGUGGCUCUCGCGGAAUUGAUUGCUGAGGAGACACGUCUUCGAGUUUUGAGUUCCUCUUCUUCCGCAAUGCCUAACGUUCUUGCUGCUCAUGGUCCUGCAAGUCCACCUCCCGUGCCAGCGCCUACUUAUCAUCAACCGCCUUCUAGUUACAUUCCAAAUCCUGGUACUAGAAAAGACAAACGAAGGAUUCAAUGUCGUUACUGUCAUCUUUGGGGUCACUCAAUUCAAGAUUGCCGGAAAAAGAAAUGGGCAGAUCAGCAUUUACCAUCCUCUCGUAAUAUGCCUACUGUUGCAUUUGCUCCUUCUGUUCCUCCGGUCAACAAUGCGUCAUCUACAGAGCAGCAACCUUCAACUAUUCAAUUGAGUCUUCCUCAACUACUGAAGAUGUUUCAGCAACACCAAUUGACUCCAUCCACUUCGUCAGGGCAGUCCUCCUCUAUCUUUUCAUCUACGCAAUCAGGUUUUGGUAUGACUGGUCCUGGAGGUACUUCGGAACAUUCCUGGAUUUUAGACUCAGGCGCAUCAUUUCAUAUGACACCACAUGCUUCUUUACUUUCUUCACCUUCUCAAUUAAAUUCACCUUCACAUAUUUUUACUGCUGAUGGUACCUCUCUUUCUGUCAAUAAUAGUGGCGUUGUUUCACCUAAAUCUGAUACUUCAGGACGCUUUACUAUUCCCUCUGUCCUACAUAUACCUCGACUCUCUCUUAACUUACUAUCUGUCAGCCAAAUUACUGAUCAUGAUUGCACAGUGACCUUUGAUUCUUCUUCUUGUCUUGUGCAGGAUCGUCGGACCGGGACUUUGAUUUGACAGGGCCAUAGACGUGACUGCCUGUACUACAUGGACUAUCUGCAUCUUCCUCCUAAAAUUAAUUCAGCAAAUAUUGCUACAACUUCAAAUUCUGAUCUCUGGCAUUGUCGUCUCGGUCAUCUUUCUUCUGAUAAGUUUGCUGUUUUAAUUCGUAGUGGUGUAUUAGGUCAUGUUUUUAAUUCCGAAUCUGUUUCUUGCAUUGGAUGCAAACUUACUAAACAUUCCAUUAAACCUUUUCCUGUUAGCAAUUCUAUUUCAAGUGCACCAUUUGAUCUUAUUCACUCUGAUGUUUGGGGACCAGCACCUAUAUCAACUCGUGUUGGAAAUAAAUAUUAUGUUAUUUUCGUUGACGAUUACUCACGCUUUACCUGGGUUUAUUUUAUGCAUAACAAAUCUGAACUUUUUCAAUUGUAUCAAAAUUUCGCUGCCAUGGUUCAAACUCAAUUUGGUGCCACUAUUAAAACUUUCCACUCUGAUUCUGGUGGCGAGUAUCUCUCAAAUGAAUUUCGCCAACUUCUCACUAAGCAUGGUACUUUGCCGCAACUCUCUUGUCCUUAUACUCCUCAACAGAAUGGUGUUGCUGAGCGUAAACACCGACAUAUCCUUGAAACCGCUCGAUCUCUUCUAAUUGAUGGGUCUGUGCCUAAACAAUUUUGGGCAGAUGCGGUUUCUACCGCAGUUUAUCUGAUUAAUAUUAUGCCCUCCAGUCUUUUCUCCGACGUCUCUCCUAGUGAGCGAUUGUAUGCUAAAUCACCAUCUUAUACUCAUUUGCGUGUUUUUGGAUGUACUUGUCUUGUUCUUUUGCCUCCGCAUGAACGAACCAAAUUAACUCCAAAAUCGUCAAUUUGUGUUUUCUUAGGAUAUAGUCUUGAGCAUAAAGGGUACAGAUGUUAUGAUCCUACUGCUCGCCGCAUGCGAAUUUCUCGAGAUGUCAUUUUUCUUGAACAUGUAUCAUAUUAUGCUCAAUCUAAGUUAAGCGUUGAUACUUCUGCCGUUUCUUCACCUUCUGUUAUUGAUCUUUCAUUUCUUGUUAAUUCUUCGUCGACCACCACAUCUUCUCCCGAAGAGCCCCAACGAAUUGUCGCUCAGCCCACUGAAUCUUCGUCUUCUGCAGAAGUUUCUAUAGUACCGGCACCACAUGACGACCCACCAAUUACUGUUCCUUCCGACGAUCAAACGACUGCUGAGCGCCGCUAUCCACUGCGUACUCGCCGCCCCACACAAUUUUUUGGUUGUCUUGCCUCUCCUUCUUUUUCUCCACGAUAUCAUGCUUUCUUUGCAGCCAUUUCUAAUAUCCAGGAACCCCGUACAUAUCGCCAGGCCGUUUCCAUUCCUGAAUGGCGAGAUGCAAUGACCACAGAACUUACUGCCCUUCAUCGUACUGGUACUUGGGAACUAGUUCCUCUCCCGCCGGGCAAGACUCCAAUAAGUUGUAAGUGGAUUUAUAAAGUCAAGACAAAUUCUGAUGGCUCAAUUGAUCGCUAUAAAGCCCGUUUAGUUGCUCGAGGGUUCUCUCAAGAAUAUGGCAUUGAUUAUGAGGAGACAUUCGCCCCUGUUGCUAAGAUGACCUCUGUUCGCAUCCUUAUUGCUCUUGCUGCCUCUCGUAGCUGGCCUCUUUAUCAACUUGAUGUCAAAAAUGCCUUCUUACAUGGGGAUCUUCAUGAAGAAGUUUAUAUGCAACCACCUCCUGGUCUUUCCCAUUCAUCUGGUCAUGUUUGCCGGCUACGGAAGGCUUUAUAUGGCCUUAAACAAGCUCCCCGAGCUUGGUUUGAAAAAUUUCAGUCUGCUAUUCUUUCCUUUGGAUUUCAUCAAAGCGAAAAUGAUCAUGCCUUAUUUAUUCAUACAUCUUCUCGCGGGCUCACUGCCUUACUUUUGUAUGUUGAUGAUAUGAUAAUUACUGGUGAUGAUCCUGAUUAUAUUCGUUCCGUUAAAUCCUAUCUUCAGCAACAAUUUGACAUGAAGGAUCUUGGUCCUCUUCGAUAUUUUUUGGGGAUUGAAGUGGCAUAUAGUCCUCGAGGAUAUAUAUUGUCUCAACAAAAAUACACUGCCGACUUGCUAUCUCGUGCUGAGCUCACUGAUACUGACACUGUGAGUACUCCUAUGCAGCUCCACCAAAAACUAACUCCAACUAUGGGCGAACCUCUCACUAAUCCUACACGUUAUCGUGAGCUAGUUGGUGCAUUAGUCUAUCUCACUAUAUCUCGCCCCGACAUUGCUUAUGCGGUUCAUAUUGUUAGUCAAUUUAUGCAGGCGCCUACUUCUGUUCACUAUGCUGCUCUUUUACGCAUCUUGCGCUAUUUACGAGGAAGUAUUCAUCAAAGUCUAUUCUUUUCUUCCUCUUCCAAGCCUCAACUUCGUGCAUAUUGUGAUGCUGAUUGGGCUGGAGAUCCUACUGAUCGUCGAUCUACGACUGGCUAUUGCGUUUUCUUUGGGGAUUCUCUGAUUUCUUGGCGUUCAAAGAAACAAGAUAGUGUCGCAAAAUCUAGUACGGAAGCUGAAUAUCGUGCUAUGUCCUCUGCAGCCUCAGAAAUUGUAUGGCUUCGCCGACUCCUUGGUUACCUCGGUGUCCAGUGCUCUAGUCCAACACCUUUAUAUUGUGACAAUCAAAGUGCUAUCAAAAUUGCGAAUAAUCCUGUUUUUCAUGAACGUACUAAACAUAUCGAAAUUGAUUGUCACUUUGUGCGCCAUCAUUAUAUUAAUGGAACGAUAUCUCUGCCGUUCGUUCCCUCUGCUCAACAACUUGCUGAUUUUUUCACCAAAUCUCAGACUACUCAACGACAUCAGUACCUUCUUUCCAAACUCUCAGUGUUUACUCCACCUUGAGUUUGCGGGGAGGUGUUACUUUAUAUAAAUAUUUCUUUGUACAGGAGAUUAUGCAUUCCUUAUAUUAGUGUAUACUAUAUUAGUUUUCUUACCAAUUCACAACUCACCAUGUAUUAGCUUGAUCUCUAUUUAUAUAAAGAGAUCUUUUGUAAUUUAUCAUAUCAGAAGGAAAUAUAUUUUCUUCUCCAAUUAUUCUUUGUUUCAGUACCCACUGAGGACUACUUGUUUUUACAGUAGUUCUCACGCCCAGUUGUUACCACUGUUUUGCAGAGCCACCAGUUGUUACCACUAUUUUACAGAGCCACCGGUUUCAGUUGCUGCGCCUUCCGAGGCUGAUCGAGGCAAGGGUGUCGCGAAUUAGAGCCCUACCCGACGAGUUGCUGAGAUAGAGGAUCCACCACUGCAGGUAGUUUCGGUUUAUUUUGUUGAGUUCAUGUUCAUACAGUUGUUAUAACUCGCUGGAGCUAGUAUCUUUGUAUAGCGUUUUGUUGUAUGUAUGUGAGACUUGUUUUAUUCUAUCUGUUUGGUUUCUUUACAGCUCUAUACUACUGGUUGUAGUAUUGUAUAUUUUCAGUUAUCGAUACGCUUCGUAUACAGGAAAAAUUCUUUGUAUACGGCGGAUUUGUCGACGUGCCCAGGAAUUGUGUAAUUCGGGGCGUGACACGUUAAUGUUAAGUAAUUAGUAACAUUAAAUAAAUGCCGUUAUAGAGAUGACUAUUACCGACAUUAUUUAAAUGCUUGUAUUUUUUAGUCAUUUCCAGCACUAAUAAAAUGCCGGUAAUUAUUAUUUAAUUUGCAAUAUUAUAUAAAUGCUAGUAUUCUAUUUUUGAUUCCAGUAUUAAUAAAUGCCGGUAAUUCUAUAUUAUUUUGCAAAUAUAAAUAUUAUUUAAAUUAUGCCUUUUAAACAGAUAAAAAUAAUAUAAAUAAUAAUUUGUACUAUCAUAUUUUUACCAUAAUAUUUAAAAAUAAUAUAUUUUAUUAAAUAAUAUGUGAUUUUAGUAUUUUUAUAUAAUAAGAUGUCACGCCCCCGACCGCACUACCCGAAAACAGUAUCAAUUUGGUCCGUUUCGAGGGCGGCGUGCGUGAUGCCGAACGGACGGAGUUUCCCCUGUCUGCCCAAGGCUAAGCAACGGAUUGUGUACAACAAGUCUCCAGGAAAAACAACUUGCAUUCAUACACAAUCAACAACGAAACGAAAGCACAAACAGUGCUACAACCAACUAGAGCAAGCGAUACAAGUAAAACCAUACAAGUAUACAAAAGAGAGAAACUUAGCUAUUUAACAUAAACUAGGACAUAUAAAAUCCUUCCCAACAUCAUUAGCUUUAAACCUUUAAAUACAACUUGUGUUCUUUUCAUCAAAAUAUAAUACAUCAAAUCUCUCCAAAACCUCACCCUAUACAACAUCUACUCUCAAAGGUAUAAAACAAAAGUACAGGGUGGUGCUAAUGCAAUAGGAAAGGUAAAAUAACUAUCAAACCGCUAGGGCGCUAAGCCCUUGCCGCGAUCCUCCCGCUCAGUCGGGGCGCUCGAGCUAGUAUCUGCAACGAGGGUGUGAGAACUACGAAUAGUUCCCAGUGGGUUCGGCCGCCGACUCUGCCGAUCUACCCACUAGAUCUUAAGCAGGCAUAGAGAGAUAUUGGCAAUAUAUAAAACUAAGCUAAACUGAAAGCAGGUAUGUGAAACAGGUAUAUCAAGCUAUGCCUCAAUCUGACAUCAUGGAUGCAUGAACAAUAAGUAAAGCUGGGUAAGUAAGCAACUAUGAAUAUCUACAAAAGCUAUCAUAGUAAGCUCUAAAACAUGCUACUAGGAAAGCAAAUAAGCUGAUAUGAACAACGAAUGGCUACUGUAAACAUCAAUCAUGGGUAAGACUCACUGGGUAACCCAAUCUCCAAGUGAACAUAAGGUUCACAAGCAAGACUCACAUGUCAACCUCCGAAGGAUGCCUAGCUGGACUAUCCCUGAGUACGCCUGCGGAUAACAAGCGGCUAUCCGAGCAGCAAGCAGGCUGCCUCCCUAGUGACCAACUCCGGAGCGCACAACUUGAGGGGAGCGACCCCACCAAGCGCAGACAGGCAAUGUGAGCAUGAUCAACUCACGAGCAAAAGCAACCCUUUGAGGGUAAUAUUAGCAUAGAUCAAUAAGUUCUUGUACCCAAUCUCUUAGUGUCUCGACCACACUAAUAAGAUCAUCUCAAGUAAACAUCAAACAUGUGCCACUCGUUCAUAGUUUUCUAACUAGAUGCCACUCGUCAUUUAGACUCAUCAACAAUGUUAGCUCUUUAACAUUAUAAGUUCUAAUCAUCUCAUAUAGGGUUGAAUUUCAUCAUUAAACUCUAUCAUUUAAUCUCAUGCAUACUAGUUUAUAACUCAUUCAAUCAACCAUAUCUAUAGCUACUAGCAUGCAAAUUGAAGCAACAUAAUAAAUCUUUAACCCUAUAAGAACAUGCACAAUAUGCAACUUGAUCAUAUUUUGACUUAGACAUAAUGAGUAGCCCGAUGACUUCGGGAUGGCACUCCCCCACCUUAGGUGAUGCCAAAACACUCCGAGACGCGUUCUCGUGCUAGUCCUGUCGCCGCUUAAUUUUUGUUGGGUUAGCUUUAACCCUAUAGCACUUCAAAUGGUGAUAUCUUCGCGCUCGAUUUUCGUAUCGACGAACCGUCUUCGCCUAUGCGUUUAUAAGUAUAAGAAUUAGGUUUCUAACCCCUCAAAAGAGAUCAAUCCCUCAUAUCUUCAAAAAUCUCAAAAUCAAGCCCUAGAUUUAGCACCCAUGGGAAGCAAUGGUUUCUAGCUUCAUUCUGAGCUAAAUCCAUCAUCUCUAAACCCAAAGGUUCCAUUAGAACCAUUAAAACCAAAUAAAAACCCUCAAGUCCUAGAAAUCCCAAGUUUAGGGUUUAGGCUUACCUCUAGGGUUUGCUCCAAAGCAAGCCCUAGCUUGAAAACGUGGAGGGAGAGAGCUUUACUUUCCUCUCCUUGACAUUCUCCUUCCUUUCUUCUUCUUCCUCUCCUUCUUUCUCUCCUUCUUUUUUUCUUCUCCUUCUUCUACGGUUAGAGAGAGAGAGAGAGCAAUGUGAGAGGGAGAGAGAGCUAAGAGUGAGUGAGAGAGGCUGAGAGAGAGGUGUAUAAAACCUCUAUUGUAACAAUAUCCAAAAGAGCCCCUCAACUUUUCUAUUUUCUAAACUGAACCUGUUGUUCGGGUGCCCUUGUACCGGUACACGGGACCUUGUACUGGUACAAGGUCUGGGUGACAGCAAAAACAGAGCGCAACCCGAGAGCUCGGGUUCUCGAUUUCGCAGAACUUGUACCGGUAUAAGCCCCUUGUACCGGUACAAGCCCUUUGUACCCCUUGUACCGGUACAAGCCCCUUGUACCCCUUGUACUGGUACAAGCCCCUUGUACAGUACCUGGAGCCUUCGAACCCGAGAGCUACGCAGCCUGGCUGCGAUGGUUGUACCGGUACAGCCAUCACCCUUGUACCGGUACAACAGUUCCAGAAUGCUGUUUUAACUUUGUUUCGGCUCCACUUCGCGCCGAUCGAUAUCCAAACUAUUCCAACACCUUUAGAAGUCAUUUUUGCUCUUCCAAACUUGUUGGAAUGCCGAAUAGAACUUGUCCAAAUCGUUUAAUCGCCCACUUUGGCCCAUUUGGCCAAAGUUAGCCAACGUCGUCGAAUUUCAAUAUCUUAUAUUCUCCACCCCUUAAAAGGAGUUUCGUCCUCGAAACAACUAACUCGUAAAUCGAACUUAAACUCUUACCUCAAUCCUCAAACAAGUGAGGAUGAUUCGCUUUCAUCUGGUCCUCGAGUUCCCAAGUGGCUUCGCGAUCGUCGUGAUUGCUCCACCGAACUUUAACAUAGGGGAUUUCUCGAUUCCUUAGCUUACGCACCUCUCGAGCCAAAAUCUCUACCGGAAACUCUUCAUAACUCAAAUCAUCUUGAAGUUCCGGCGACUCAUAUAGCAUCGCAUGCUCGGGGUCGUGAAUAUACUUGCGGAGGUUGGAGACGUGGAAGACAUUGUGCACAACCGCAAGCUUCGGGGGCAAUGCAAGUCGAUACGCCACCGUCCCAAUUCGCUCCAAGAUCUCGUAGGGGCCAAUGUAAUGAGGACUCAGCUUUCCUCGCACCCCAAAUCGCCUCACGCCUCGCAUCGGCGAAACCUUCAAGAAUACGCGGUCACCCACCGCGAACUCCAAAUCUCGCCGGCGUCUAUCCGCAUAGCUUUGCUGUCUCGACUGCGCCGUAAGCAAUCUUUUGCGAGCUAGGCGGACUUUCUCUUCCGCUUCUCGCAACACAUCUGGGCCGAACUCCUCCAGUGUAUAGGAGAUAACACCAUUAUCUAGCAUAGCAUGGACAUCCUUUCCAACAACUUUUGCUCGAUAACCUUGCAUUCAAAUAUCGUAUAUGUUGGACAUCUAUAUCGAUAACCCCAUUAGAUUUUGCCGCUUUUUCGAAGUUUUGUUAUUCUCCACAUUGUGAAUACAUGCACUAUUCGUAUAUUUCACUAAGUGAUUUUACUUUUCUUGGCGUUGUCUCUGGAGAAGUUUCUGGUGAAAUUCGCGGUGAAGCAUGUGGUGUUGUUUCUGUGCUUGUCGUAAUUUCACCAUUGUUUCUAUUUUCAGUUGCAGUUUCAUUUUCUAAUAUCGGAAGUGAAUUAUCCUGCACUUUUGCGCUCCAAUCCAAAGCUUUUUGUUCAUCAAAUAUAGCAUCACGACUUAUAAUUAAAGAGUUAGUAGCAGGAUUAUAAAAUCGAUAGGCUUUACUUCUUUCGCUUAAUCCAACAAAAAUACACUUCUGACUAUUAUCAUCCAAUUUUUGCGUACUUUGUGAUGGGAAAUGAACAAAAGAAAUCGAUCCAAAAAUUUUAAAGUGUUUUACCUUCGAUUUCCAGCCGCUCCAUGCUUCAUAAGGUGUAAUAUUCUCCAGCGCUAAAGUUUGACUUCUAGUGAGAAUGUAUGCUGCAGUAGAUACUGCCUCUACCCAAAAAUUAUUCGGGAGAUUUUUCGCUUUCAACAUGCUUUUUGCCAUCUCGACUAAACUUCGAUUUUUGCGCUCUGCAACACCGUUCUGCUGAGGCGUGUAACUGGUUGUCAACUGCCUGUGGAUACCAUUAGCCUUACAAAAAUUUUCAAACUUAUUAGAAAUAAAUUCUCCCCCUCGAUCUGUUUGGAGGGUCCUAAUAUAAUAACCGGAUUCGUUCUCAACCAAAUUUUUAAAUUUCUGAAAAACAUCAAAAUCUUCGAAUUUAUUUUUGAUAAAAUAAACCCAAAUCAUCCGACUAUAAUCAUCAACGAAAACUACAAAAUAGUAAUUGUUGCUGAGCAACGGUGUCUGCAUUGGUCCACAUACAUCUGCAUGUAUCAAUUCUAAUGGUUCUUUGGCUCUCCAAUUGCUCUUUUCGGAAAAGAGUCCCUAUGAUGCUUUCCUAGCACACAACUUUUACAUAUAGAGCCAUUAUUAUAUACCAAAGGCAAACCAUCAACUAUAUUCUUUUUAUGUAAUAGAUCAAAUCCCUUAAAUCUCAAGUGACCAUAUCGAUAGUGCCAUAACCAAUUAUCAUCUAGCACUACUUUCAUUACAACAUGAACAGGAAAAACUUUAUUUUCUGUCAUCGGAACUUCAAAAAGUAAAUUCUUUUUAUUUUUAUCUCUAUAAAUUGUGCACUUAGAAUUUUCAAAAAUAAGCGAAUGACCUUCUUCCAAAAAUUGACCCACACUAAAAAGAUUGGAAUUCAAUCCUGAAACAUUUAAGACAUUAUUUAUUUUUUGCAUUCCAGAAAUAUUUACUACAAUUGUACCUCUUUCAUGCACGUCAUGGACANGUGUAUCUAGCAGCGCGACCUAGUAUACAGUAUAACAAUAGACGCCUAUGUUCUAAAUAAACUGUUAUAACUAUGUUCAUAACGACCGUAACACUCUUUAAGUAUAUAAGGGUUAUAAUGUAGAUAUAAAAAAUAAAAAAACAAGAAUAAUUUUUAUAGACUAGUUUUAAACAAAUCCUUUAGCUAAAAACAAAGAAACUAAGUAACUUUCAAAGCGCCACGCUGUUAAAAACUAUUUUAUAAAACACUUCUUUUUUACCUACAGUCACCACCUUCGCCUCCCGAGCCCGGCUGUAUACCUAGUCUAUUUAUUAUUCAAUUUAAUAUUCAAAAAUUAAAUUAUUUUCUUUUUGGUUUUUUUUUCGGUUUUCCGUUUUUUUUUUUUUUUUCAGUACUCGGUUUUCCGUAGUGUUUUUCUACAGUUUUUCUAUUCUACUACGGCACUCUGAGCCACCCCAUAUCUAUCGGGGGGACAUAGCACGGGGGAAGAACCCUCGUGCCGUGCGGGGCACGGCAUGCCGUACCGUGCCCCGCCGUGAAUUAAGGAACCGACGAACGUAUAUUGUAACUUGUUCAAGCGAGAUUGGAAAAUUUAUAUUUAGGCCUUUUCUGGGAAUUUUGAUGCGAACUUUGAGUACCUGUUCAACAUAAAGGGAUCGAUACUUUGUAUUUACUUGACAUCAAAGAGUAAGUUUUCCACUAUGUUUUGUUCAAUGUGUGUAUUUAAAGCGGAAGUGAAUUCAGCUUCUCGUUAAUUACAAAGCAGUGAACUUAAACUUGGUAUUUUCUAUUAGCAGUUGUCUACGUAGUAUCUUUUAUAUGGACACCGGAUCAACGUACUGUUCAACUGACCAGUAGGUGAGCUGUUCUUUUAAGAAGUUGUUUUUCUCCGUAAACCGUACUUCUUAUACUUGAGUUAAGGAGGUUGAAGAAAACGUCAAGGUACUAAAGCAACAGGAAGAAAGGUUACCAAAGAAAAUCUUAAAGUUACCGUGGGAGUCUAAGGACAACUGUAUUAAUUAGUCGUAUUAUAUUCUCGUCGGUAAAUUUGUCUUUUAAUGUUAACUUCGUUGAUCUACGUAGUUGUUAAAAUUCAGAAUUUUCUCAAUUUAGUCGUCGAGUUCCUUUGUUAUUUAAGAUUAUCUGGAUAUGAUAUUUUUGUUCUUCAAUUUUUCUAAGACAAGCUUAAAGGGUUGGGUGGAUUCAUUAAUCCGAUUAUUGGGAUCCUUUUGAAGCAUUUUAUAGCCUAUGAAUCACGCACACCCAAGUUCGAUCACGAAGCCGUUUUCACGAUAAAUCCAUCUCAAGUGAUUGUCGAAAGAGUAAUUUUUGAGGAUUCGUUCCUAACGGGACGUUCAGUUGUACGGAACGUGAGUACGUCUAUUCAGGCGCGGCGGGCACGGUAGUAUAUUUUAGUCCCCACCCGGCUCCACACACGGUACGGUUACCAUGUGGUUGUACGGGGUUAGAUCACCUUGCAGUAAACGACAAGGAGUCGUUGAAAACGACUUCUUCUUCGUCUUUACGUUUAAACCUGGAAGUCAAAACCCCACAUCUUUGAGAAAUUUUUUUUUUUUUUUUUCAGAGUAUUAUAAACAAACAGUCUGCAGAUCGUUGAAGAAAACCUUCUUCUAUCCGGUCAAGUUUUUGGUUCGUUUUAUCCGUGGAUUAGUACUAUUUCUAUUGUACUAUUGCUAACUUACAUGUUUUGUUUCAACCUAUAACGGUUUAUAUCAGGGUCUUCAAUGAGACGUACUAUUAAUUCAGAAACAUAUCAUUAUAACAGAGUUUUUCCACGGGACGGUCGUGAUAAUAAUUUGAACGAAAAAGUACAAUCUUUAAGAGCUCCUUUAAUUCUGAAUUCAGUUUGAAGUCACUAAUUUAACAACUAUAACUUGAGAAGCUUACUGUGACUUUAAACUUAGUUUGAAAUUGUGGAUUUGAAAGUCUCAACUUUUGAACUUUAUGUUUCUACUUUAACUUACAGUCCAGUUUUAAUUCUUUCUUUUAAAUUGGUUUAUUUAAAAUUACGUUUACUUGACCGGUCUUCCUUUUCACGUUGUAUGCUGUGUUCAUAAUGGUCUUCAAAAACAAAUAUGACGAAAUCUUGAACGGUAUUUCGGAACCGCUUUAAAGAGUACUAGUAAAGUAAGGACCACUGAGCAACGUUAACACGUAUCUCCAGUAGUAUUACAGGAUGAAAUGAUAGGUUACAACGUUCUCUGAGGCUUCUUGACAAAUUUUGAACACUACCAAGUUAGAGAACUUCGAAGAGACUUAGUAGUUGAUGUUACAGAGUAAACAACUGUUCGUUUUUGGUAUUAAUCUUAUGUCUUUAUGUAUUUAUUUCCUUGAGUUUCCUGUUUUGAUUAUUAAGUGCAUUAGUGACCCUCUAUUACGUCGUUGAAGUUCUCUUCUUCAGGUUUUGGAGCGAAUCUAAGAGCCCUUAGGAGUAAACGUGAACGCAGUGUUAAAAGUUGUCGGACGUUUUCUUUCGUUGACUUUACUUUGUUAUACGGAGUUUGAAAAUGUCACACUACGAGUUUAAUUUGGUACAACUCCGUUCUUACUAAAGAGUAAACACAAAGUGUUACCAAUCACCAGAAUUCAGUCAAUUCGUACAAAGAUUCUCAAAGAAGAUGGCAGUAGAAAUUUUCCUCGUCUUUAGCAACCCAACAAUACUACCAUUUGUAUUUCUUUUCAAAUUAAUACUAUUUGGUUGUUGAUUUGAAAAUUAGGAUAGAGUUAAAAGUGGUACGUAAAAGUUAACUAAGUUUAAAUUUGGAAUGUUAAAUAAGCAGAGUUUAUCUAGGUUCUUAAAACUGGUAAAGAGUUAAAUCUACGACUAGAAAACUCUUUAUCAACCGUUUGCCACAAUCAAUAUGUAUCAACUAAGAAUUAACUUGUUUAUCGGGUUAUUAUCUGAUAGAUGCAUCGAAGUCAUGUUCCCUUCUCGGGAAAAAACCCCGGAAUUUAGAUAACAGAUCUGACGUCGAAUGUACAUACUAGUUUACAUCUUUGCUGUAAUAUACGGUUAGGUAAGAACACUUCAAACGGAGGUUUAAAGAUUUAAUAGGGUUUAAAAACCCGGACAAACUCUGCUCGUUUUAUCUCACAACUUUAACUUCGUUCUGUACAUUAUCCCAUGUCCUCUGUCUACUUUAAUCUUCUCACCGAAAUCUUGAACCGGAAUUUUAUUAAUAUAAAUACACCUACAUGCUAAAACGUAUUGUUGUAUUGUACUUCUCACCUACUUGCUUCACCUUAUUACACCCAUAUUUAGCUGUGUAAACUUAGAAUUAUUAUUUUAACUUACUAUCGGUUUUGGUCGUCAUGUUGGCUGUUCAGUACUCUAUUAAAUUCUAAGGUGUCAUUAAUUAGAGAUGUACUGGCAUUUGAAUAGUAAAAAUUUGUACCAUUUUACUCUAGAUAUAGUCUUAUGUGUACCUAUUAAGUUGGUUUUUAUGGACGCUAAUUAGGUUUUUUUUUUACUUUCUCUGACUGUUACUCCCGGAACUUUUUCCAUCAUGGUUAAGUUCCAGUAAUUCGAAAGAAGAGAAUUUUAAGAGCCCCGUUUAUUCACAGUUUAAUGAAGAAAAAACUCUUCUGUCUGGUCUCUUUAGUAGUUCUAAUCUUAUGGACUUAUUUCUUCCACUUCUUUUAUUUCUUUGAAAUUUUUCCGAGUAUUUAUAUUUUCGUCAUAAAUGAUAUAAAUUCCGUAAAGUUUACAACGUAUUAGUUACAUAAAAUUUAGGUAGAUGUUUUUUGGUUCAACAGUGAUGAAUUUUGUAUUCUUUUUGACUACUCUCGUUUAAUUUAAACAAUAACUUGAAAGUAAAUCAAAGGAAUCGUAGACACAAGCGUUGAUCGAUUAAAUACACCUAGUAGUGUUAAAAACCGUGAAGAAAGGGAAUACGGGAACCAUAAAGGUAGUAAAAAAGGACGUUCUUAAGUUAACCGUACCUAAAGUGAUUCGUUUUAUUUUUCGAUUUAUGUGUAUUGUAACUAAUGAAUGUAGUACCGAUCGAUAGUUUACGAGGAAGUUAUUCUAGUAAUAUAUGAACAUAUUGAACAAGUUAUGUUGUUAUACAACAAACUUGUCUGAAUCCCGUACAAACUAAGUACUCACCUUAGCUUUAACAUUUACCAUAACCUAACGUAACCUUACCCUUAACCUCACGACUUAAAAGAUUUUAACAAACCAAGUAAUAAUCUUACCUUUAGUCUUACUUGUAAAUCUUAAAAUCCUCUCCCAAAACCAAUUCUCUCUGCUCUCAUUACUUCCCUCUCUUCUCCCUACACAAACAUUCUCUCAAAACUCACCAAAUGAUCCUUACCCGGUUAGUCCCUAGGUUUUGGUCUAACUCAGUAUUUACGUAAGCCAGAAAGGUAAGGUAUCACCUUACCCUUAACCUUAGACUAAGGACAUUUUGUUUGUUGUUGAUAACUUUAAUUAUUUAGAGUAAGGCUAAGGUAUCAGAUUUUAUCCACUUGGUUUGUUCAGGAAUCACAAAUUAUUUAAUAAACUGAAUUAUAAUCAAAUAGGAGUUUGGUGUCUAGACUUUCAUGUACUAGGAAGGAAAUUGUCGUUGAGAGUUUUAGGUUCCUUUUAGUUGAAUAUCGAACUCGAAAAAUACGCUUUGUGGUUGAUCGAGUGUUAGACUAGUACGCGAGUUAAUACUGGUAGUAUCAUAGUCCGAACUACGUAUGAUAUCCCACACAAACCCUAAACUACAUCGGAAAUCGGAGCUUGGAUAAACCGUAUUUUCUAUAAUGGUUAUAUUUACCAACGGAAAACCGUUUUAGUCGAAAAAAACACUUUUACAAGUACCGGAUUUUCGAUAAUAAUUUUACAUCUUCAUUAUGUAUUCGUUGAGCUGUUGGCAGGUUUGUCUCUUCCGGUAACGUAAAUCAGGGUUUUCACUAAAGCCCGGGUGGUUUUACGUGUUAGUUUGUACAUACAGGUAACCGUGAUCGCACCCGGAACAGAGUUGAACCCACGAAACCAUCCAAAUCAACAAGAUGGAUAAUCCCAAUGUUUUGUAAGAGAUGUCAUGGUAAACCAAGCUCUUGUUCGAUAAGAACGAAUAAGGACAGAAGACCUUAUUCGUCUUUAAUCUGGUUAAAAUACAAACCUUCUCUUAGUUCUAUAAUACUCCUUAUACUUUUUAAUGUAAACCCACUAACCCAACUUUAUCAUCCUUAUUCUCAUUAAUAUUUUUAUUAAUAGAUUUAUUAUUCGUAGAUUUAUAAUCAUUUUAUUAUAAAAUUGUUCAAUUAUUUUAUUAAUUCAUCCUUAUGAUAUACUCUACUACUUCUAACUUCUUGCUGUAAUUAAUCACUUAUCGAUAUUUUUUUUUCAGUCAUACAAUUAUAAUUAAUUAAUAAAUUAGUUAAUAUUAAAAAUCAAUUAGAAAUUAAUCUAUUUAAUUUUGUUAUAUUUAUAAUCAAUUACUAACUUAUUCGUAUAGUUUAUCCAUUAAUAAAUUAAUCGAUUAAUAAAUAUUUAUUAUUUAAUUAAUGAUAAAUUUUAUAAUUAAAUUGUUCAGUUUACUAAUUAAUCGAUUAAUAAUUUUUUAAUUAACGUAAUUAAUUAUUAUAAAAUAUUAAUAAAUAUUGAAUUAAUCAUCUCCUUAUUCUAUCUUUUAUCGAACAAGGUGGAUUAUCCGUCUUAAUGAUAAGAGAAGAGAAUUGCCCAAUAAGGUCUUAUUGGAUAAUUCUCCUCUUAUCAUUAAAGAUUACGGCAAACCCUCUUAUUCCUCUUAUUUAGAAAAUAAGUGGGAAAUAGGGAACUUGGUUUGUACCGGAUACACCAAAUCAAUCCGAGUAUUAUGACGGAAGGGAAUAUAUCUUAGAUGACAUACUAUACAUAUUUCAAGUUAAAUACGCACUGAUUAUUUCAUGAUUUGACAAUACUACGUUGGAUGAGAACCUAUACAGCCACUUAGACGGGUGGUGAUUAAGGUGUAAAUAAGACGGCGGCAAUGUAUUGAUGCGUUAUUUGUUAAUUGUGGUGUUUGAUAACCCUUAUAAAUCCAGGACUCUACGAGGAAUGAGUCACUUACUCCCGAUACAUACAUGAAUUAACAGAGACUAUCUGGAUUUGGCGUUUCUUGAUUAAUGCUUUCCUUUGUGAUUUCACUAUAUGACAUUACUAGUACCAUAUGAGUGAAAUUUAAAAAGACGAUAAUAAGAUCUUAAAAAAUAACUUUUUUUUUUAUUUUGAGGUAUGUAACUUCCUUUGAUGGUUUUAGUGAUCUUGAUACGUUUCUUCUCAACCCACGACGAUACGACGAGUUUUUCCUUGUAUCCUUUUAGUCGUUUAUAUUUUUGGAUACUCUGCUAGUUAUUCCCAUAGUGGGUUACGAAGAAUUUCCAUUUCUACGCGAUCGUUGAGCAAAACUAAUGAGUUCAAUGUUGGAUUAAUAGAUCUCUAUCUUUACAUAAUUGUUACUGUACAACUCACGGAUCUAUAAGUUGAAUUGGUACGUUGUGUAAGGUCUGGUUACUAGUUACAAUUCGAAAAAAUGUUAACUCCUACUGUCAUGUUAACUUUUUACUGUUCUCGAAUACACAAUGUAGAAGGGUCCAAGUUCCUAGAAAUUCUUAGUUUCGAACUUUAGUAAAAGUUGGAAUCUUUUAGGUUUGUCGCUAGAAGUUAUAAAAGAGAUCUGAAUUAUGAAAGUCAAACGUAACCAAGUUUGUUGGAAAUAGUGUACGAAAUGUAGGAACUCUGGUUUCGUACGGGUAUAACUCGUUAAUUCCUACUGUACUGAUAGACAUACACAAUGUACAAGACUCCAACUUCCAGAUAAGUCCAAACUUCAGAGUCUGGUAAAAGUUGAGGCACUUUAUCACACAAGAGUCAAUAAAAGGGAGAUGUAUGAUGGAGUUGAAACGUAAACAAAUUCGUGAGAAAUAGUUUACAAAUUCUGGGUUCGUACUGGUAUUCUCCACAGACAAGUGACCAAACAUCGUAAAGACUUUGCGAAAUGUUAAGGAUAAUGAUUAUUGUUCUAACAGUGGUACGUUAAACUCGGCCUUCUCCCGUUCCUCGAGAAUCUCAGUACAACCACUCAACACAAGGGAUCCUUAGAGUGAUGUUUACCCAUACCCUUACUGUUUUGAGAGGUGUGGUACCAUUGUAUUUUAACGUCGAUCAAUCCUUAGAACCUGUUAAAGUAGUUCAAAUAACACAGGAGGGUUUUGCUUGACAUAAUAUUGUUCGAGCGGUAAAGUCGAUGUUUUAAUCCGUAAGUAUUUUAUAAUGGUUAACUACUUUACUUACGGGGGAUUUUCUAACUCUUUAUUUGAUGACCUUAACCGGAGGUAAUAGAUUUUCGGAUAUAUUUCUUACUAUUUAAGCCUGCAAGAACAUUAGUAGGUUCAAAAAAUGGAGUUGUGUCAAAAACGUAUGUUAUUUCUAUCUGCUGUUGUUAGUAAACUGCUUUACAGGAUUAGUUGUACUUCUAUAAAUAAAUAUUUUUGGUCAGUAAAGUUCGUAUUACUUUACAUGUGUCGUAUCUAAGUGUUUUUAUGAUAUAAAAAGUCCUUCUGUUUAUCCUAUUUCCCACUCCCGACCCUUCACUUUUCUAAGUCCUCACUAUGAAAUAAAAGUAUAUUCCGCUGCGGAAAGCCUCGUUUUUACUACAUAGUUCCAUUAGUAGAAGGGGUCCAAAAUGACAAUUUUAGACGUAUUUACAGUUUUCUUUAUCAGUUCACAAUAUGUAAAAAGUUAGAAUUUUCGUCAUUGACAUGUUGGAAUUUUGGUUUUAUUUAUUUAUUUUAUUUUUUAAUUUUUUAUCAAGACGCAAGGGAUAUUAGGGAUUCUUGUUUCUUUUUCCUAAUAUAUAAAACAGAUUUAUAAAUUUAUUUUAAUCGAACAUUGAUUACCUCAGGAUCAAAACCGGACUUUGUCUUAAGUCAACAACAUUAAACAUCUUAAUGAUCAACUGCCGUGUCUGUCAGAUGAUCCUUCUUUCUUUUCCUUUCCUUUCCUUUUUUUUCUUCUAGUAUUCCCUCUUCCCUCUUCUUUUUUCUUUCCUCUUUCGGUUUAUAUGGGACUUUCUCUGAUUGUGCUGGUUUCGAAGUGCUCACCUUCUUCUUAACUCGAACAAAGAAAGAAGAGUUCUUUGUUCACUCCAUAAAGAAACGUUUUAACACGAAGUUCUUCUUUCUUGAUAAAGAGAAAAGUUGUCAAAAUUUAUCGGCAACGAUACGGGUGGUGUCGUCGGUGAUAUCGCCCAAAUGAUACGAUAGCGAUUCGGUAUUGUAAAUCUUGCCCUAAAUCGCCUUACCCAAGCAUCAUCGUCGAAAUCAUCGUGAUUCCAGUGAUUUCGUCCGCGAUAUUUCGCCCCAGCUUCAUCCAGUGAUACACGGGUUCCGAAUCUUUAACACCCAAAACUUCAAUUUAUUUUUACUAGUUAUGGGAUAUGAACCUAAUAUCAAAAAGAUAAAAAAUAGAAGAACCAAACCAUUCAGUAUUAUAAAGUUUCAAUCAGUAUGUUUAUUACCGUAAUUUACACAUAUGAAUUUUAUUCUCUAACUUCUCGUGUAAACAACCUUAAAUUUAGGAUAUUAAAGCUAAAUAAUACACAUAAUACUUAUUUUAUUUAAUUAAUAUAAUAUACAUUUUAAUUAAUACUUAUUUUUAUUAAUUAAGUAAAAUCUAUCAAAUCUUUAAACUUUAAACUUUAAACUUUAAACUUUAAACUUUAAAACUUCAACUUUUACACCCUUAUUACUUAUCACAUGUUAAAAUUUUGGGAGAUAUAUAUCCAUCCCCUCUCUCCUACUCUCCCAAAACCUCCUGCACAAUGAAACUCUUGUGUGUUUGGGAGGAAAUUACAGUUUUAUACGUUUCUUGUCUACGUGGCUUCUAGGGGGGUACCUGGUAUGUAUAUAGGUGUUAGUUGUCGGAUACUACGUGAUCCUCGUGGUUUUCGUCGGGGUCCUGUGCACGCCAUAUACCACGUGGUCCACGUGUCUUUCAUUGGGGUGAUUUGCACCGUGAUAUAAUUGGAUUGAGACGCCACAUGCCACGUGGUCUUUCAUCAUGCUUCCGUGUACCGUUGUGUCAUUACAUUGAGGUGCCUGAAAUCAUAUAUCAUUAUCUAUUAUCUAUCCGAACGUUAUGAUGUUUUCUAUUACUAAUCAACAUAAAAGAAGUUGAAUUCCUUAUAUUUGAUAAAUCAAAAAAAACACUUUGGCCGAUAUGUAAGCAUCAUGAGCGGUACCGUGGGUGAUAGGAGAAGGUGAUAUUCUGGGGUUUACAGUACACGAGGAUAGACGAAAAAUGUUGGAAUGAAAAGUUAUCUUUAAACAUGAAGUUAACUUUUUUUUUUAAGGAAAAAAAUAAAAGAAGUGUUUUACUUAUACUAUUGUUCUUCUUCUCGGGUAGAGAUCAUUAUCGUUGGAUCAAAAAAAGGUUUAGAUGGUCCCAUGUAUCCAUAUGAGUGUAUUCCCAAUUCAUAUUAUUUUUGAUUUUUAUUUUAAAUUAACCAAUUUUUGUACUCGUUUUUUGAUUGGAUGAGUUAACUGUUUGAUGUUAUCAAGUUGGAGUUUGAUCUGGUUACACUGAGGUUUUGUGAAGUUAUUUAAAAGUUUAUCGAAAUUAAAUUGACUUUGGGUACCAUAAAUCCGUACAUUUAUCCGGUUCGCCAAGCACGAUAUUGUAGGUACGGUACUCGAUCCCGGAACAGGGUUCCCGUACAGGGUUCCGGAGAGUUCCAAAAUAGUUCAGGCGAUAUAGGUUAUCUAUCGACUCGAUAUGUACCCCGAUAAAACUAUGUUUUACCUAGUUUUACGGGAACGGUUGUAGGUUUUAUACACGAGUCCUCUACCUCAGCCAAAUAAGGCCCAAGAAAAGAGUCUUAUCUAUAUGAUUCUUCUAGCUUGACCGGUAACUUGGUUAAGUGUCAAUUUGGAUAAGCUAGCCGACCAAUCACCUUUUCAUUCCCUUCGCACCCAUCACCUUCGUUACCUGGGUACUCAUCACCUUCGUACCCAACUAAAUUAUCUCUGCGAAAAGCUCCUGAACAUGUAAGAUCCGGUCCUCUUCCAGGUAAAUCAACGGGUGACGAACCUUCCGCUCCGGGUGCUAAUCAGCUUAUUCAUCCCUACGUUUGCCCCGCCUAGGUCCCCGCCCUCUCAAGAAAUUAAGCAGUCAUCUCUAUGUAAAGAUAUAAAUUUAAAUAAUUAUUGUACUAUGAAUUUUAUUAUUAUAUUUUAAUUUCUAUUCUAUAUCAGGUAUAGCUGUAUUUUACUUACAAAAAGUUUUCAUGCAUGUUAUUUGAUGAGUAUAGUAAGAUGUACAUAAUAAAUAUUCAUAUUAUUUUAUUUAAAUCUUUCAAAAUAAUAUUAUAAGAGUUUACUGGAAUCAAAAAAGCUAAAAUAAGUCCGUGCCAAAGCGUGCCAGCAGGAGGUCGUGCGUAUCUGUCGGCACGCAAGCGUGCCCGUGCUGUACCGUGCCAGGGACGUAACGGCACGCCCCCGUGCCACGGCACUUUAAACCUUGGUCCAAAUUAAUAAAGUUUUCUUCUUUUCCUAUCAUGUGACUGCUACAAUCACUAUCAACAUACCAAAUAUUGUUAGCAGUUUUUUCUAAUGAACGACAUGCAAAAAGUAUAUUAUCGUUUUCAUUCUUUUCAUAAGCAAAAUUAGCAUUCUGUUGUUUCAAUCGACAAAAGCACUCGAUAUGACCAAAUUUUUUACAAUAAUAAUAUUUAAUAUUUUUUUGAUUGUGGGAUUGAUCGUUACCUCCAUAGGUUCUCUGAUUUUGAUUACCUGAUCUUUCAUCGUUUCUGUUGUUAAAAUCACCCGAUCUACCUCUGCAGCCUCUGCCUUGGCCACGACUACGGCCUCUACCAUGUCCACUAUAUGCUGAAGCUUGACAAUUAAGAGAAUCUGUACCAUCUUUUUCAUCGCUUUUCGAUUCACUUUGAAAAGCAUGCUCAGAAAAAUUUUCAGUUCUAUCUUUUCGUUCCUCAUGUGUUAAAAGAGAACCAAGAAGUUCGCUACAAGAUAAUUUAAAUAAAUCUUUUGCCUCUUCUAUGGCAGAAAUAACAUAACCAUAUUUUUUCGUUAGACUUCUUAAACUUUUUUCGACUACUGUUUGAUCAGUAAUCUGUUCACCAUAGGUACGCAUCAAGAUAACUAAUUCCAUAACUUUAUAAUAAAAAGUAUGAAUAUUUUUAUUUUCUUGCAUAAAAGAAGCUUCAAAUCUUCUUUUUAAAGUUUGAAUCUUAACUCUGAGUACUUUUUCGUUACCUUGGUAUUCCUUCUGUAAUAUAUCCCAUGCUUCCUUUGAUUGAGUAGCGCCGGCAAUGCGGGAAAAUAUAGAAUCGUCAACUGAUUACUAAAUAAAGAAAAGCGCCUUUGCAUAUCUUUUUUCAGAUUCUCUCCAGUUGUUUCCUUGCAUCCUUUUUCGACAAAAUCCCAUAAAUCUUGAGAUCGCAGCAACGUCUGCAUCUUCACGCACCAAAAAUCAUAAGAGUAAUGCUUCUAUACUUUUUUUUUUUGUUACCGUUCAUUCAUGCGUAUUCAACAACUCAGAUUUAGUUUUUUUAAAAUUGUGACCUACAAUAGCAGGUUACUUUGGGAGAGGUACCAGUUAUCAAGUACCUCAAAAAAGGGCAUUUUUUAUUUUUAAUAUAUGAGUAAUUUAGUCAUUUUACCUUUACUAUAUUUUACCUCAAAAUUUUUAUUUUUUCUUUGUCUCCUUUUUCUCUCUCUAUCUUUCCUUUCAUAAUUUGGCAUUUCAUAUAAGAAAAUUUUCAAAUGAUUUGACAAUAUGAUCUUUUAAUUUUUCUUUUCUCUUUGUUUAUAUGUUUAAUAUUGCAAAUCAAUUUAAUUUUAAGAAACUAUGCAUUAAAAUUUAUUUCCAUACCUAUUGCUUUCUAAAUUUUUUUUAAUAAAAUAAGAAUGAAAUUUAGAUUAUUUUGUGAUUUAAUUUGUUAGUUAAUUUUUUUCUAGUUCAAUCUGAGAAUUUUCAAAUUUUAUCAUAUUGUAGGAUAUUAAUUUUGUUUAGUUUUGAUAGUAAUACCUUGUAGAAAUUUGCGAUGGCUAAUGGAUCAAAAAAUAAUAUUCCGAUGGAAAAGGUGUGUGGCAUUAUAAACUUAAAAUUUGUAAUAUAAAUUUAUUUAUUGAUAAGUUCCAGUCGACCCCCCCCCAAGAUCCCAAUCCCAAUCGAGUUUUUUUGGGAUCCAAUUGGAUAUAUCCAUACCUUUUGAACGCCUUUUGGGGGAGCUUUCCUCAGCUUAAUUAGGGUCGAGAGUUGGUCGUCAGCGUGUUUCGCGCUAUCAGGGAGACUCAAGCUUUUGAGCGUUAAGCUGCGUAUUUUAUAUCCCGGAUAAGCGCUUAUUAGGCUAAUGAGUUUAGUCGGGGAAGCGCCUGAAAAGCGCUAAGGGCUCCUAGGCAGGCAGCCUAAAGGCUAGCCUAGCGUGGUCGCGCUAGUCGUGCUGUCUCCGUAGCUUAGAUCGUAGAGCAAAGUAGGCUUUUCUAAGGGCUAAUCGCUGUUUUGGAAGGAAGGAUCCAAGAUGGUUUGUGGUGUAUAUCUGUUAAUAUACGUUUUUGGUAAUUUGGGGAAAAAGAGCUUUAGGCACGGAGGUUUAGGUUUAGACAUUCACGGUAACCCAGGUCCUAUCAGCUCGCCAACUUUUGCUCGAUAACCUUCCGAUAUAAGCCUCAGGCUAUGCGCAGCUUUCAGGUGAAAUGAGGCGCCGGAGAGGCCUUUUGGCCUCAAUGAUAAGUGAAUUCAGUCUGAAGGCCCAGCGCAUUGAAGAGGCAAAAUUGAGCAAAAGAGGACUUUAAACUGCCCAUGUGAAUAUUAAUAUAAUGUGUGUUCUUGUAGUAAUUUGUUUUCCCAAAUUAGUUAUUUAGUUUUAGAGUCAAUAAUGUUUAAAACAUAUGAUUAAAAUUUUUUAAUUUACGCCCGUUUAUAAAUUUAAGUUAUAUAAAUUAUACAAAUUUUUUUAAAUUAUUAAAAAGAUUAAACCUAUCAUUAAGAAAUAGUGAUAAAUUUUUUAAAUUACAUCUAUUAACUAAUCUUUAUAUCCCAUUCCCAUAUUAAAUUUAAAUAAAAAUAUUAUCUUAACAUAUCUGUUUUAAUUAAGUUUAAAACCAUCAUUUUUAACUAAAAAUUUUUAUUAUUCUAGUACAUAACAUUAAAUUUUAUAUUCGGCUUUUGUUUUAUUUAAAUUUCAAAUCUUGGAUUUUUCAUAUCUCUUUAGAAGUUAUUUAGAUUUAUUAUAUCAUGUCAAACNNNNNNNNNNNCCCCCCCCCAGCUGACCCAGCCGCCCCUGUCACCAGCACCACCCUGCCCUGCCCGUGCUCACGUUCCGGCCGCCGCCGAGCUGCCCCGGCCGCCGGAAACCGCCUGCGACCGGCCUUCCUCCUCUCCUCAGCCAUCUCUUAGAUCGAGGGUUUGUGGGAGGGUCUCCACCGCCUCUGGAAGCAAGCCCCGGCCUCCUUCCACCUCAGGCACCCUCUCCCGCCGACCCCGGCCACCCCUGAGCGUCGCCGGAGCCGCCGGAAGAGCUGCAGCCAACCGGGUCUGCCCUGAACCGAGCCGGGCCGAGCUCGGGUCACGGGCCUUGGGACCGCAUCUCCCCUGCGGCCAAGCCUCCCUGUCGACCCCGGCGACCUCCAGCAACCCGGCGCGUGCGUCCCCGGCUGUCCCCGCGCCUCGCCGGCUGCCGCCAAGGUCUCCCGCCGCCGCUCGGGGUCUGUGCGGGCCGACCUUGGAGCCGCGCCACUUCAGAGGGCUGCCGUUGUCCUCUGAGGUGAGCACCACCUCCCCCUUGGUCUCCGGCACCGGAUCCUUGCCGCCCUGACCUUCCCCGGUCGCCGCCUCGCCGCCGGCAAGCUCCAACCCGAGAGGAAGUCGGUGGGCUCGAUCUCCGCCGCCGCGCCACCGGCUGCUGCCCACCGCCGGCCAGCACCUUCCCCGGACCUCCCCGACCUGCUGCUCCCAUCACCGGCCGGAGUUCCCGCCGUCCGAUCGCCGGCGGCCAUCCCUAGCUCCCACAGCUCCGGUGAGUAGCCAUUUAUAGUUCCAGCACUGUUGUUUUGCGUUCCGGUCACUUGUCCGGUGAUCCGAGGACUCCCUGGCACCUCGGGAGGUGAGCCCGGUGAUCGUGGGCUCGUGCUGAACACGAUGCUCACCUCCAUUUAGAUUAACGGUGCCCUGGUUAAUGGGUAGUGUGCGAUCUUCGCGCUGUGCGCACUGAUUCGCUGAGGUUCGCGUCGCUCGUGCGCGCGUGGUUGCUGCCGGCAGUGCUCCGAAAGGUGAGCACGGCCUCAGGCAUACCGAAACCUUGCAGCAAGUGCGAUGGCAACCUCCGUAGAUCCCUGGUUUGCUGGUACGACCUGUUAGAGCCAUGAAAUCACAUAAAAUAAUGUGAUUUCAUGGGCCAUUAAGGAUCCGUUUGCGUUUCGCUUUGUUGUGGCUGCUGUUGGCAGCAGGUAAAGGCUUAAGAUAACCUCUGGACUGAUCGUCCAAGGCCCCAAGCCUUUGCGGAAAUCUAUCGGGCAUUUCCGGAGCGUUUUUCGGCGAAAUCCGCCGAUAGAACGCGCGUUCGACUCGGAAUUCUUACGACGGUGCCUCGUGGUUGACUGUAACGUCGCUGAGCCUUGUUGGCUGGUCACCCGUGUCGUCUCGAAGGUUCAGAAACGACGGGUGAGCGACGGUGGAGUUCCGGUACGGUUUUCGGGACUUCCGGCUGAUUCGGAAGUUGCAUUUGAGAAACCGAUUUCAGUGGGGUUAUGAUUUUGGGAUUUGUGUGAGAUUGGUCGUGUUAUUGUGUUCGUGGGUUAGACUCUAACCCGGUGGACCCUUCGUAGGUCCGGUCGCUUCGUCUCCGCCGUAGCGAGACCAUUUCAGCUUUAUACAGGUGGGUACUUCGAUCCGAAGUCGGUACAGUGGUGCACGCUCGGUGAUAUCUCUUCUAUCCCUGUUCUUCUAUUGCUAUUUUCGUAUUAUAUAUUGAGCUUGCAUCCCCGUUGUUUCUAUCAUACUCUACUCAUAUGUUUCUAUGCUUAGUAUCAUGUGUAGGAGUAGAGUAGUUUAUCCCUAUGUGAUACUGGUGACCUGAUUGGUCGGUUCUCGUACUUCGUUCGGUGACUUGAUUGGUCGGUUCUUGUACUUCGUUUCGGUGACCUAUUUGAUCGGUGCUUUUAUCUUAUAUCUGUUGACCUGGUUGAUCGGUUGUUGCACUAUGUAUUGGGUUGGUCUAUUUCUUGACUUCUGUCGUUCGAUGACCUUUGAGGUCGGUGUACCCUGAGGGGUAGGAUUGUCGGCUGGUGCUGACGGUAGUUCUGGACUAUAUCGAAUACACUCAUGUGACAUAUCGGUCGGUUCUUGUGUUCGUACUUUUAGUUGACAUCGAGCAGUAUCUACAUACUAUCUUUAUUUACCCUGCCUAGUUGUUCUAUGUGUAGUAUCCUGUAUAGGGGUAGAGUAGAUGGCAUUCGUAUAUACUAUACUUGUGACCUGGUUGGUCGGUUCUCCUGUUUGCAUCGGUGACCUGUUUGGUUGUUCGUUACUUUCCGUAUAUUGACCUCUCUUGGUCGGUUCACGUUGUUACUUGAUGACCUACACGGUCGGUAUGCCCAGAGGGGCAGUGAUUGUCGGCUGAUUGCCGACGGUUGGCUAUUGAUCAUAUCCGCAUUGAUCGCCACAGCUCGAGUGCAUUUCACGUACACCAGCGGGUUGAUCCCCCGCAGGAGGGUGUUCUUUUCCGGAAAAGUGGUCGUACAUCCGACCCGUGAGCCCAGCGGUGUUCUCUUUGUGCUAGGGUUACAUGCCAGGUGUGAGCAGAUAGUGGCUUUUGCCUGAGGUCCUUAGACCGACACGGCGGUUUAGAUUGGGUACUUUUGGGACUUCUCGUCCGGUUGACGCAUAUAGCUAUAGUAGCGGUUGUUGCAUAUGUACUUCUAGAUCUUUCUUUACAGUUGUCUUUCUACUAUAGUAUUGAUAUCCUUGUACGUUGCAGUUGUACAUUACAGUAGCGGUAGUUGUGUUUUCAUAUAUAUAUAUUUCAUUCGUUCAUUAUCGUUGCUACAGUAUUUUACUUACCCAUACUGUUGUUUAUCUCUUCCUGAUCCGGUGAGUACUCCUCGCCUUCUUCGGCUUGCGGUACCCACUGGGAGGGGAGACAUGUUUACAUGUUCUCACCUCCCCCACUAUUUUUCAGGUACUGCAGACGUUGAGUUUUGGGACGAGACGUGAGGUACGUUAGUAGCGGUCGAUAGAGCUUCCGACCCAGGUUAUCGGUUUAGUUUUAUCCCUACUAUUCUGUUGUUGUAGCUUAGUCAGUUUAUAUGGUUCAGUAUUUUUUUUUAUUACAUUGGAAUAUAUGGACUUUCAUGAACGUAUUAAAAGGAUUUCUGGAUUUGGUAAAAUAAAAGGUUUUCUACCCCUCGUGGUAGCUUCUAUAAAAGAUAAAAGUUUUCGUGUACGAAACAGUUUUCAAAAGAUUUUUCAUGGACUUCUGUGUAAACAUCGAAUGUAAAACUACGGUGUGAAUGGUGAAUGUAUGAAUGUAUAGCUAUCUGUAUAUUCAUUUGAUUGUGGUUGUAUACUGUUCGUACUUUUGUACUUGUGUGACGCCGUGCAAGUACAGGGGAGACUCUGUCCGUGUGAACAGUGGAUUUCCUGUAUUUGUGGCGGAUCUGGCAUACUCUGGGGUCAGGUUUUCAAAAAAAAAAAAAAAAAUUCAAACGCUUUUCCGCCGUGUUUCAAACAAAAAGGGGACCCCGGGGCGUGACAAAAUUAAUGAUUAAGAUGAAUUCCUAAUUUUGUUAAACAUAUUAAAUAUGUUAAAUUUAAAUAUUUACCAACAUUACAAAUGUUUUUAAAUAGUCAUACAAAAUUAAUAUCUAAAGUAGAACAAUUCUAAAUUUUUUUUAACUUAUUAAAUACAUUUAAAUUAUAAAUAUUUUAACCUACAUUCAAAAUUUUUUAAAUAAAUGAUACAAAAUUAAUGUCUCUAUAGGAAUUUAAAAGUUUCUUUGACAUAUUAAAAUGUUGAAUUAAAAUAUUUACCAACAUUACAAUUUUUUAGGACCUCAAUUAAAAGUUUCUUUAAAUGUUGUAUUGUUUAAUUACCAAACUAACCUUGAAUAAAAUAAUCCUUUUACCUGCUAAGUACUAAAAUUACAUUUUUACCCUCUAUUAAUCAACGGUUAAGAUCUUUUUUAUUUUUUUUAAAAAAAAGUACCGAAUCAUUUCUCAAAUCAUAAUUGUUCCCCUUGAAUAUCGGGAAUCCUUGUGCAACUCCAUUAGCGCUGUUAAACGCAAUCAACACCUUCUCCUCUCGAAAUCCAUGCUCUGAUACCCUUGUUACGGCAGUGGGCCACCAACAAAUACAUUCUCUAUACUUGUUAUGGUAUAUAGAGAUAUCUACAAAAAGUAAAAUAGAAAAGAUAAGGAAGGAAAAAGACAAAUCAAAGAAUUUGGUACGUUGUCUUGAAAGCAAAACAAAACUAACAAUAUUGAAGAAAAUAACUCAUCAUCGUAUGCAACUUUCGGCGAGCGCUAAUUAAUUAUGGCGACGUACUCUCGGCUUCAUUAACAAAAUAAUUCUGGCCUACCUAUUUAUAACUAAUUAUAUAGAAUCUUACUCUGAUUCUAUUUCAUUUUAACCAUAAUCUAAAUAACCGAAUACAAUAAUGGAUAAUAUCAAAUAAUCUAAUCCUAAUCUCAUUAACAUUAUCUUUAACAGCAACUAGUUAUCUAGCCAGUACUCAUGCAUUCGGAAGAUUUUCUCUUAUGAUGGUACUUGAGGAGCUUGUCCUUAUAAGGUUUUGGCAAUAAUGAUCUACUAAAACAAUCUAUUUUAUCUGCAACAUGAAAUAUUAUCACUUAGAAAAUAACUCAAUAUUUGAUUAUAUUUCUCGUCUACUAAAUUCUUCAAGCAUUUGAAUAAAAUUAAAGAGAUAUACUGAUUAAGAUAUUUAUGCAUCAUAUAUGAAGUAUUUUUUAAUGUGCAACUUAUAACUCUUUGGUUCCUUGCACUAACUUCUAAUUUUCAACACUUACCUACUAAUAAACAAUUGCUAAUUACAAAAGUAAGCUCACAUAUCGUUUCUCUUUUGAAAAUGGUUGUCGAGUUAUGAUCAAGUUUUGUAAAUUAUUACUUACGCUAUACGAUACUUAUGAGUUAAACCGGUCUUCUUGUAAAUUAUUUUAACCAUUUAAUAGAGAUCUCCAAUAUGUCAACAUAUCAUUAAUACAUUCUAUAUAUUGGUAUGGUAUUAUUAUUAGUUUUUGAAGUGAUUAAUAACCACUAUGAGGGGCCGAUCUAAUGGUUGAAUAAAGUUUUUGGUCACGCAUUUUGCCUGCUCCUAGAUGAGCCUCCUACAUCUAUCUUCUUUUUUCUGCGCCUUUUCUCCUCUUCUCACGCUUGGUUAAGAGGUGCAAAUUUCAAUGAAUUUGUUAUUGUUUCACUCAAAACACGCAUGAAGCUCUCCAUGUGCAACACUAUUCGAUGUUUGGUUCGAAACUAUUUUUUUUAAGCAUAUAUUAUCAAAGAGAUAAAUAGUUAUAGAGAUGCUCCUAUAUAUACAUCAUUUUUAAUGUCACCCUUUACCCAGCAUUAAUAUACUUUAUUAAUCCAACAGUAUAAAAUAUUUGAAAUCACCAGUGGUACCAGCUGUGCACUCAUCAAUAUUGGUCAAUUAGUAUCAAUCUCUUUUUUGAGAAAUAGGUAAUAAGCUACCUGCUUCAUUCAUUAAGCAAAAUGAACUAAGCGUACAAAAUGGAAGCAGCCAGGGCCUCCGAAAGAACAGGCAAAAAAGGAUGAAAUAAAAUUGAAAGGCAGAAAGAAAACAAAAAAAACGAAAAGAGGAAGGGUGUUAAUAGGGAGAGAAGGGAUACUAAUUACUACUACAAUUAGUAUCAAUCUCAAGAGUAAUUUUAUCCAUAUAUAUAGCUCUACAAAUUACCCACCUUUCUUUGGUAUUGUUAGAAAUAGUUGCCUACGCUCAGUGUAUUGGUCAUAUUAAUUAUAAUUUUUUGAUUGUUAAUGAUAGUUAGUUAAUUCGGAUUCGACAAAAAUUCGGUACGAAUAUAAUACGCAUAAAAUUUAUUUUCUAAUUUUUAAAUUCGUUGAAAAAUUCGGCUUAAAAAAUGGAUUCGGUAUAAAAUAUAAAAUAUUAGAUAAUCUAUAUUUAAAAAUAAAAAUUAUAAGUUUUUUAUUUAUAUUUUCAAUAAUUCGGAAAUAAUUCGCGAAUAAUUCGGCUGACCCAAAAAUUCACAAAUAAUUUUCUUUCUUUGAAAAAAAUACGUAAACGGACCGUUUAAUUCUGAUUUUCAAUAAUUUGCAAAUAAUUCACGAAUUAACUAACUAGGUUGUUAAUACAAUUUAUAUAAUAAUAGAUAAUUAAUCUAUGAAUGAAAAAUCAUAAGUUUUAAAAAUAUAUUACUAAUGGAUCAAGAAUCUAAAAAAUCGCGGUCUAAAAAUAGGCAUUGCUUAAUUUAUUAAAAAAUAUCUAAACUUUACAAUUUUUGAUACGAAGACAUUCUAAAAUAUUACAAAAUAUAUUCAAUAAACUUUUUGCCUGUUUUUACAGCGUUUGGUAAAUUUUUCAAAAAAUUUGACUCCGAUUUGUAGAAUUUGAUUUUUUUUUAUUUUUUAGGCCCCAAAAAUAGAAACAGCUAAACCUUGCUUUCUAAAAUCUGAUUCCGAUCUUGGAUUUAAAUUUUAAAUUUAAAUUUAGUUUCAAAUUCAGAUUCUUAAUGUAUAAUUUAUAAUUUAUAGUUAAAGUUUUUAAACUUUAAACUUAAAUUUAAAAUUUUAAAAUUUAUAUUUAUAUUUUAAACUUAAAAUUUUAAAACUCAAAUUUACAUUUAAAUUUUAACUUUCAAAAUUUUAAUAUAAAAAUUUCAAAAUUUAAAUUUAUAUUACAAAUUUUAAAUUUUUAAAUUUACAUUUGUAUAUAAAAUUGAAAAAAUUAUAUAUAUGCAAAUAGCAAAAGAAAAAUUUGCUGAACGGCUUUAAAAAUUACUUCAAAAAAAAAAAAAAAUCUUUUUUGCAAGAUUUAGCCAAAUGAUCUACAACUUUUAGUGGAAAUGAUUCUUCAAGUCAGAAUCAAUUCUUCAUAAAUCAUUUUCUCAAUAAUUAUAUAGGCAAAAUAGGCCCAAAUUUGCAUGCAAUUUGAUUUGAUCGUUGUUCAACCAAAGCAAAGGGUAGAUGACGCAGAUUCAGGGGACUAUGAGCUUAUAUGUAACUCAACCUAUGAUAUUUUUAAUCAUGGAUUCUACACUGCAAAAUUAAGAGCUUAUUAUAUGUAACUCAACCUAUGACAUUUAAUCACGGAUUCUACACUGCAAAAUUAAGAGCUUAUUAUAUGUAACUCAACCUAUGACAUUUAAUCAUGGAUUCUACACUGCAAAAUUAAGAGCUUAUAGGUAACUCAGCCUAUGACAUUUAAUCAUGGAAUCUUUUUCUUUUUUCUUUUUUUUUUUAAAAAAAGAUAAGUAGCACGCUACCCGCUUCAUUUAUUUCAUUUAGAACUAAACUUAGCAAGAAAUGUGAAUCAACUAGGUUUCGAACUUGGGACCUUGGGUACCAACUAUGAAGUCCUUUGCCACUUGCUCUAAUGACGGUUGGUGACAUUUAAUCAUGGAUUCUACACUGCAAAAUUAAUGGUGGUGAAACAUGAUCGAUGGGUCCGAGAUGGCCUGCUCCGGAGCCUACAUAUCCACGGAUAGAACUGAGCCCAACCCAACAUACAAGUAUGAGUUGUGACUUAGCCCAACCUGCCAAAGAGGGAGAAUUCUGAGCUGAGCAUCAACUCAGAUGAUCAAAUACUAUUGCAGUUUGAUAUAUAUCUACAUGAUUAGGUCAUCUUUCUAAUAAAUAAAAUACGUCGCAUGCUACCAUUUUCUUAAAAAAAAAAAAAAUUCAAAAUGCAUAAUUCUGUACAUAUAUACCAAUUAGUAAAAAUGUAUUAAACUUACAUAAACUAUGACUUCUUUUGAUCGGACUAUCUAACUUUUUUAAGUUUUAAUUUUGCUAUAUGACGUUUUAAAAUAUUUGAGUUUAUCUUCGAUUUACUUCCAAAGAAUAAAAAUCAAACUUCAAAUUUUCAAUCAUAAAAAAAAAAAAUUAUUCCCAAUAUAUUAUUACCAAAAAAAUUAUUUGACAACCAGAAUCCAAAUCCGCAGGAUUUUUGUGUUUUAUAUCUGUAUCCGAAACUAUAUCCAUUUAGUAUCAGCUAAAUGCCUAAAUCCGCUAUGUUUAGGUUUGGAUUUAGAUAAAAUUUCGGGUAUCUGUACCUAUUAACAUCCCUAGUGAGGAUGUGGGCCGAAAUAAGGUUGUCAUUGAAAUUAUGGUCGGACCCAACCCAAAAAAAAACCCAACUUAUAAUUAUUUUUUCAAUUGAUUUUCAUGUGUGUCGACCCAGCCCAUUGGUUUCCCCAGUCCAACUAAUUAGUCAUUAAUUAUUGAGUUAAUUUCAUUAGUAUUAUUUCUCAAACCCUUAAUUACGUAGAAACCUCUCUAAAAGUAUUAAUAUAAAAAAUACUCCUCUAAUUUAGAAAAAAGGUCAUAAAUAUCUAUCUUGACAAUAAUUCAUCUAAAAGAUAAAUAUAAUUNGAUUUAAUAAAUUAGUUUUAUUUAGUAUAUGUUUAACAAGACUGUCAAUCAGAAGAUAAGUUUAUUAAAAAAGGUCAUAAAUAUCUAUCUUGACAAUAAUUCAUCUAAAAGAUAAAUAUAAUUCUCAUUUUGCCCAUCAUCUAUUAUUAAUACUUUUUUAAUAAACUUAUCUUCUGAUUGACAGUCUUGUUAAACAUAUACUAAAUAAAACUAAUUUAUUAAAUCAAAUUAAACUAAACAAGCACUACAACAAAAGAGAUAUUUAGUGGCGACUUUUUGGUGGCGACAAGCACUGUCGCCACCAAUGUAUUUAAUAUGGUGGCGACAUUUAUUUGUCGCCGCCGAUUCAUAGGAAAUGGCGGCGACAUUUUUUCGUCGCAGCCGAUUCUUGGGAAAUGGCGGCGACAUUUAUUUGUCGCCGCUGAUUCUUAGGAAAUGGUGGCGACAUUUAUUUGUCGCCGCCAUUGCGUAGAAAAUGGUGGCGACAAGGUGUCGCCGCGAUAUAUCCUUAUGAAGCGCGCCGGAACUUCCUUCUCUUUUUUUCGCCACUCACCAACCCAUUCUUGCAGAAUGACAAUUUUACCCUCACUUAUUUAACAUCUAUUACAUAAGGCCUUGGAACUUUAUUGUCUUUUAACAUAAAAAAAAAUUUAAUAAAAUUACAACUGUAAAUAAAAUUUUACAUUCCCUAUUACUCUUUCUCUCUCUCUCUCUGCAAGUUUACCCAUCUUCGUCCCCUCCGCCUCGCCACUGUGGUCUUCAUCGGGAGCUUCCAUAGCUGCGCCGCCUCGUCCUCCAGCACCCCCACGAGCGGCUUCCAACCCCUCACCAACAUCCUCCCUCGCCGUGGGCAAACGCGCGCCGCCUCGUCCUCCCCUGCGGCCAGAAGCCGCAGGUACCCGUCUUCUAGCCAAACCCGCAGGUGGAACCGCCUUUGAGGUUGACCUCAAAACCCUAAUCCAACCCCUUACCAACAUCCUCCCCCGUGGCCAGAAGCUCAUCUUCAAAGGUGCGUGCCACAAACCCUAGAUCGCUCAUCCUUGAUAUCUUCCCGACGGCGGUGGAUGCUCGCAGCUUGUUAGCUCGCAGCUUGUCACCCUGCACUCUACGCCCUUUGUUAGCUCGCAGCUUGUUUCACCCGUUGCCUCUCGGUCGCUAGUUCAUGUGGAUGCUUCAUUGUCUCUCAGUCAUCGCCGCAGCAGCCGUUGCCAUCCCUAUCGUAAUUUUUUGAGUAAUUUCUCUCUUUACUAAUUAAUUGUGUAUUUGCCACAAUGCAUAGGACAAGAGUUCUUGAAUGAUAACAUGAUAUUAAUUGGGAGCAAUUACUGGACAUCUUUGAUAAUUUGCACUAUAAUUUUAUUGUGUUUUGGACUUACAGAUUACCAAGUAAAUGGGGGAAAAAAGAAAUUUUAUAUAUUAAGAAAAAUUAGAUAUCUAAAUUUCCUGUGAUUGAUGUUGUAAAAUUCCUGAUACUUUUGCGUUCUGUUAUUUGGCAAUAAGGAAAUAAAGGGAAUGGUGAAGCAGAAGGGAGAUGGAUAAUUUUUCUUCAUGGUCUGAAAUGUAUUUGAUAUAGACAAGAUUGACCUGGACAAAUGAGGGGAAGUUUAAUACUUAAGGGUUGUUUGCAACUAGAAUAGAUUGCUUGAUGUAUUGGUUGCUCACUAUAUGAAGUUCUUGCUUUAUUGGAUGGGAACUUACAUUCAUCAUGUCUCUUUAUCCCAGGCUUUUGGCUCGUUUACUGCUAUAGUUGGAACUUCUAUUGAUUAUAUUACAAAUCAGUUCUAAAUUUUGGCGAUAGUGAAUUUGUAAUUACCAAGUCUAUUUACUGAACAAAGUUUUGUUAAUAUCCAUGCUGUUGCUUCUCUGAAUUUUACUUAAUACUCCAUUCAUUUAUUGAAAUUAAUUAGAUUUUAUAUCUAAAUUAGAUAGAUUUGCAGACCAUUUUGCUCUGUGGUAUUUUUUACCAGAAUUCACUGAGUUUCCUCUUUAUCCCUUCCUGCAGUGUUGUUGGACGUGCUGAAGCUGGAUAGUAAUUCCUUUAUUUUUUCUGUAGUAGCUCUGCUCGUCCAUCAUAUUGAUAGUUUUCUUAGUUAAGUUGUCAAAUUGUAAACUGUUCUUAUAAUUGAAGAGUUUCUAACUGCCCCUUAUCUAGAACCAUAGAACUAUGUUGGUCUUGUGGUCACCUUGUGAGCUCUUCCAUUUAAAGGUUAUGUCAUGAAUACAUUAGACAAGCACUUUGUCAUUCUGAUUGCUAUGUCCAUUCUUCAUAUAUAAUAUCAUCCCCAAUGCUUGAUUCUGGUUGUGGUUUACUGAUACCAUUUUAAUUUUCUAACUCUUUUUUGCUUCUAGUAAAAUGAUUUGUUGCCUAACUUUUACUGAAGCUGCAUUUAAUAAGUUGUAAUGGAACUACUAAUCUUCCACGAGUGAUAACUCCAGAGCUCUACAAAUGGACGCUCUUUCCAUUUUGCCAAAGCAGAGGAAAUGAUUUAGUUGAAGCCAGUACACUUAUUGUCAGCUGGAGCCUUACUAUCUCCACCAACUAUUUGUUACAUGUUAAUUAGUACAGUAUACAGGUUGGUGGCAAGUACUAGAAAAGAGGUCAAGAAACCAAGCCAUAUAAUCAUCACGUUACUUAAUAAGUCACAAAUUAACAAUCGCUGAUGCCCAUUUACUUUGGGUAGGUAUGCGACUAAAGUUAGGUGUAAGACAUUAAGGAAUAGAAUAGGAUAUCACCAAUUGAAUUUGACAACCUCGUAACUAACGACAAAAUUGCCUACUAACAGAGCAGCUGCCUCCUACUUUUUCUCUCCGUUCCUUUUACAUUUUUUGACCACUUUUCGUUGUGCAGCAGUGAUUUCAUGAUGUGUAAUUUUGGAAAAUUGUCUUCAAAUUAUAAUAAUCUAUGAACUUAAAUGUGCAACAAACUAUUGCAAAAUGAGGCGGUAUUGAGGGCUUGCUCUGAAUCAGAAGCACCAAAAACAUCGGCGACGAGUGCUUCUGCAGUUGAAGGUCAGCACUAGCCUAGAAACUGACAAUUAUGUGCUUCAACAACUUCGACAAGCCUUUGGAAGUUCUAACUUUUAUUACCACUUUUUUAAUGUGGGCAAAAAUAUCUUUCUUUGUUAAUUUCCCAAAAUGAAAAACAACAUGUUAUGUUCUUGUUUUGAACGAUGGAAUACAGAAUGAUUGUUCAUCAUACUGAUUUGACUCUUGCGUCUCUAACCUCUGUUGUUUCGUUAGCAUCAUGCGGUUCUCACGUAGAAAUUUUUGCAUGACAAUUCGUGGAGAACUUCACUUCAGUACUCACUGUAUAUACUCAAGUAAUCUAGUCUCUGAACUUGUAGAAAGUUUUCAUUUCAGCCAUUUGUUCCAACUUAGUUUGUUUUCGUGUCGAAGCUCCAUUUUUAAGGCAGGUUAAGAUUAGGAUCUCAACAAACCUGAGCUCGAGCGAGUUGGGCUUUUAAUUUUGAUGUUAAACACUGUAAUUUUUUCUAUCUUUGCUUUUUUUAUUUGUCCUCUUGAUUUUGACUUUGAUGUUAAACGCUAAUGAACUCUUUGUCAAGUUGCAAAAAGUUUGUCCUUUUUAUUAAUAAAAAGAAUUUCCAAUUCAGUUCCUGUAUGUUUAAAUACUUAUUAGGCAUUCUUAAUCUUUUUGAUGUGAAUGAAUUCUAAACUAUUUGAAUUUGAGAGUGCUGAUGAGAUGUAUGAAAUCAUCAGGGAUUUUUAUGAGUUGCUUAUUUGCUUUAUUAUUCAAAAUCUAUUUGCAUGAUUUACGUUUACAUUGUUUUAACUUUUAUUCUUUUUCUCUUUUGUAGGUAGUGCAUGAUGAUUCUUGGGACAAGAAAGACAAUGAACUGCAAGCUCCUCUUUUUGUUUCUAAGCUGACCUUUUUUUCCGAAAAAAUUUUCGGCGUGGAAAGAUGCUUAAGAGAAUCAUUACUCCAGAUCACAACUGGCACAACUUAGGAACUAUUCGUUACUUAUGAAAAGAGUCUCCAUAUAACUGGAAGCACAAGAUAAAUGUAGACGGUAAAGGUAAAGUUGUCUGAUGGAACCCACUACAAUUCCAUUAGCUCUGUUCAAUGACUUGUCCUAACUAUAAGUGGCGAUUCAAGGUGCAGCGUUGUUUGAUGAUGCAUUUUUUAAGUAGAAAAAUGCAGGAAUAAUAGUUAUUAUUUGGAUUAAGUUUCAUAAUUUAGAAUUUUUAGGUUACCCUGCUUGAGGUACUUUCCAUUUUUUGUAUUUGUGCAAUACUGUUGUCAAGUAACUAGGCUUCUGAAUUAAUCUUGAAUGUUGCUUAUAGUGGAAAAGAUGGUAAGCUUGUCACUUUUCUGUUGCAGGUUUAAUUGUUGGAGGACUUGCUAAUUUUUCUUUAUUUUUAUUUGCAGAUUUAUAAGAGGUGGUGGCGAGAAAAAUUUUGGCAGUAUUUUGACGAUGUAUUGAAUCAAGUUUAAGUAAACUUGACAUAUUUUGAAAACUUUACAUUUGAUAGCAUGUAGAAAUGACAAAAACACUAUUAUUGUGUUUUGUUUUUUGGUUGUGUUGGGUGUAUUAGGUGACAAUGCAAUGAUACUCUAACAUUUAAAGUUUGAUUCAGUCUUUUUUAUUUGCCUUAUAUGAUUAUUUAUGCACUUUUUUACAUUUAAAGUUUGAUUCAGUCUUACUUAUUUGUGUGGAUUAAUUUUAUGAUUAAAUACUUAUAGAGAUUCAAUUAGAUUUAAUAUAUAUUGGUUCUAAGGUGUUUGAGCCAUAGUGUUUGGGUUUAAUUUUGUUCUGAGAGGAUUAAAUUGAAAUUAAAUGUUAAAAUUUAAGAAUGAGAAAUUAUUUUAAUUAUAGAUUAUUUUUAGCAAUUUAUAUUAAAUCAAUAAUAUCUAUUACUAUCAAUUAUUUUUUCUCAAAAAAUAAUUUUCGAUCAGAAAAAUAGUGGCGACAAUAGUCGCCACCAUAUAACUAGGCCCCGUAGGUAAUUAUCUAACUUUUAGUGGCGAUAAAUUGUCGGCUCCAAAUAUUUAGCAGUGAUAAAAUGUCGCCAUUAAUUAUCUAAAUUUUCUAAUUUUUAGCGGCGACAUCAUGUCGCCACUAAUUCUCUAAUUUUUCGCGGCGACAGGUUGUCGCCGCUAAUUAUCUAACUUUUAGCGGCGACAUUUUGUCGCUACCAAAUAGUUUUACCGACGGGGUUAUAGGCGGCGGCAUGCGGCGACGAAUUGUCGCCGCCAAAACAUUUUUCGUGGCGACAAUUUUGGCUUUGGUGGCGACAUUUGUCGCCACUAAAUCUUGUAUCUGUAGUGGUGAAGUUAUAAACAAAAAAUACAUACUAAUUUAGACAAAAUAGAAAAUAGAUUCACAAAAAAAAAAAUAAUAUAUCUUAGUUUUCACUUUUCAUUGAUUUUUAAUUAAAACUAACAUGCCCCGACUUCCCAGGGGUCACCUAUACCAAAACUACUCCCGUUCUAACACGAUUAACUCUCUUAACCUCUUGGGUCUUCCCACCACCCAAGAUGCAUGCUUAAGCCAAGUUAAAAAUAUUAACCCUAUUAUAUCAUAUACAUAAAACUAUCUGGGGUCUCACAUUCUCCCCCCUUUAAACCCUAAUAUUCUCGUCAGGCUCAAACUCACAAGUACUCACAAGUUCCAAGCGAUGUGAGACUGUCUCGCUAGCCUAAACCUACUUUAUGGUGAGCUGCGCUCCACCUACAACAAUCAACAGUAUGAGCAUCUCGCUCUUCCCGUUGUAUAAUCUUGGCUCAGGCGAGACUUAUCUCACAUUUCUGGCUGGUAAUUGACUCUGAUACCAACUAUGACGCCCCGACUUUCUAGGGGUUCACCAAUUCUAGAACUAUUUUCGUCCUAGCACGCUUAAUUCUCUUAAGCUCUUAGGUCAAGCCAUCGCCCAAAAUACUUAGACCGGGUUAAGAGUAUUAUAUAGCCCUAUUAUAUCAUAAUAUAGGACUAUCAAGAGUUUCACAUAUCCACUCAAUAUUGAAUUAAAAAAAUAAUAAAACUACGUAGACGUAAAAGACAUUCAUAAACUAAAUCGAAGAAAAAAAUCCGAGUUAUUGUUUCAUGAGAAACCAAUUUAACAGCCCCACAUAACAUCAAAAUAUUAUUUAUAAUUAGGCAUACCUAAGGGCAAAUUAUUCUAAAACUCUUUAUCAAUGUUAUAAAUAAUCAAAUUUUCCACUUCUUCUAUAAAUGACCUUUCAGGUUUGUUCACUUGAACAGAAAAAAAUAAGUUAUAAGUAUAAUACUACAAUUAAACAUCAAAUUUAUUAUCAAAAAAUAUAAAUAAAAAUACAAUAUGAAAUCAAAUCUAACAAAUUUAUGCACAAUAUUAUUAUUAAACACCCAAGAUAACAUCAAAUUUAUAAAAACUUUAAAUAUGAAGUUGGAAUUUACCCUAAUUUGAAAAGAGCUCUAAUGAAGCUUAGUUCCUCUUCAAAGCUUCAAACUUCUUUCCUAAUGGAUAGAAUCUCCAAAGAUAGAGAUAGGUUUUGAUGGUAGAUGACAACCUCUCCACCAUAAAUGAAGAAAUGCCUGGGCUCUCCUUCAAUAAGUUAGGAUUUUUAAGUGAGGAAAAAAGUUAAUUUGCAUAAAAAAUUUAUUGGUUUAACAUUUUUAUAAAAAUAUGUCAUUUUUUUAGAUUUUGUAGAUUAUAUAUAUUUGGAUUUUUAGUAAACUGGCCAAAAUAUUUUGACGACUCCUUUUUCCUUCAUUUUUUUCUUUCAUAUUUCUCUGCCUUCUUCGACUCCUUUCUUCUCAUUAUUCCUUUAUCUCCUUUUCCUCCUGCUUUUUCUUCUUUUUCCUCGUCCAUAUCGAUGCUACGCUUCUUUCUCCUAUUUUGCUCAAGCCUUUGCCAACGCCGGUGGCGCCGACAUGGAUUUGGAUAUAACACAGAUCAUGGAACUAAGGUUGCGCAAAGGGUAUAGCAAUGGACGAUGAUGGCAAUGAGAAUCCCACAGGAUUUGAGGACGAUGAGGAGGGAGAGUGUGUCGAAGAAAGGCAACCAUUGCAGUAAAAGGUGAAGGAGGGGGCAACGUAGCGGAAAAGAAUGUAGAGUACAAAAUAAAAAGAAAAAAAUAAAAAAAUAUUUUUUUUUCUUUUCUUUGGGAAGGCCACCACCUGCUAGGGACGAAGCUAUGCGAAGGCCCAAGGUGGCCAUGGCCCCCCUCAAUUUUUCAAUAUUUGCUUAAUGGUCUUUCAAAACUUUUUUUUUGGUGGACCAUGGAUAGCUUGGCCCCCUAGUUUUUCAAUAUUUAUUUACGGUGCCAACAUAACUCUCUCUCUCUCUCUCUCUCUCUCUCUCUCUCUCUCUCUCUCCCUUAAAGGGCAUACUCUUUUUAUGGGUGGAAAUAUAUUAAAAGUUUUUUGGUUUUAGUCUUUUGUAAUAUAUUUCUCUACUCUAAAAAUUUUAUUUAAUAAUUUCUUAAAACUUUUAUUUAUCUUAGGUGAGCUUUUUAAUUUGACUGAAUCAAGAAUUGUACUAAAUUUAAUAGCUAUGUUAAUUUUAUUUACUAAAAAAUUAAAAAAUUACUGUUAGAUUUAGUAAAAUUUCUAAGUUAUUUUAAUGUAAUAAUAUAAAUAAAAUAAUUAGAAGUUAAACAUCUGAAAAUUAAAAAAAUAAAGUUCAUACUUUUACAUUAUUUAUUUAAUUAAUAAUUUUUUAAUAAAAAUUUUUUAAUUAGGAAAAAUUUUGUUUAUUAUUUAUUACUAAAGUUUCUAUUUAAAUAUAUUUUUGCCCCGUUUAUUAUUUAUUACUAAAGUUUCUAUUUAAAUAUAUUUUUGCCCCCCUCAAGAUUGAAUCCUAACUUCGUCCCUGCCACCUGCCACGACAGGUACAAAGAGGCCCAACAAGCUGAGAAGAAAGAAGAAGAAGAAAAAAUUGUUUUCUUUGAAAUGAAAAGUUGUAGUAUUUGAGAUUCAACUGUACUGUUUGAAACUUAAGUUACAUCAAUUAAAAUUAGUUGGUCAAUGAAAAUAUCUAAAUGAGAUAACAUGAGCUAGAUUGGUUGAGCAUAUAAUCAUGGGUUAGGAGUAUAGGCAUAUUAUUGAUAAUGAGGCAUUAUAGUUUUAAUUAAAGUUACUGUAUUUCUUUAGUAGAAAUAUCUAUUUAUAACAUGAUAUUAUUAAAUAUAUAUAUUAAUGUCUCCUUUGAAUCGAAUGAGUGUAAAACGCUAUUUUCAGCUGUUGCAUCCAUUAGAAACUAACUAUAUUCUCUCCUCUUUGUUGUUUAUAUAUCCUUUUUCAAAGCCUACGAUUGUCGUUGAAGGCGCGUGACCACGACAAAAGUUGUCUUGGAGUAGAGAACCUUGGGAGAGGUCUAGAUGUACUCUUUGUUUUGGGAAAUUGACACUUUGUAAUAUUUUGGGUUCGAAACAUAUAAAGUCUAAUGUAGUUUAAUUUUUAGAAAAUGGUUUCAAUAGUUAUAGACUUUAAAGUUGUUUAUAGUUAAAUAUUUUAAAUUAGUUGUUAUAUUCUGAUAUUGCAUGUAUCUAUAUCAUGUAUGAAUGUACAAAAUGGUAUAUGAUUCUGCUUUAUGUGGAUAGAAAAAAUCUUGUCCAUUCAGCGGGUUUAUUGCAUAUUCUCGGGAGGACCCAAAUUGUCAGUCUUAGGACGUGACACAAAGGCUAAAAUAAAUUACCUUAUAGAUAUAUCAAUAAUUGGCAUGAAUAAAAGGGGAAUGACAGGGCAUCUGAGAAUAAUUAAACGAUUAAUUUCUAUCAAUAAAAUAGCUAAUGAUCCAAAUCAUAGAGCAGUUACCAUAGGCGCCACGGAGAGAUAUAUUUUUAGAUUUUGCUUUGAAAAUUCCCCAUCUUUAUUAUAAUGCAUAUAUCGUUAGAUGAUAUAGGUUAAAAUUAUUUUUAUUUAUUUUUACGCGGAUUUCCUAACAAAAAUGGAUAUGUACAAUGAACUAAUAGAUGAGAUUUUUUUGUCACUAAAAAAGAAAAAGAUGACCCCUUUUUCCUGAGCAUUACGGAUUAAUAUUCAUAUGCUAUUCCACCUAACUGUAAAUGUGAAAUUUAUUAUGGAGCAAAAAUUAUAUUCCUAACUCUUUCAAUUAAUUGUAAUUAAAAAAAAAUAAAUAGAACUACUAUACUACAAAUAGUAUAUAAAUAGUGCUUAUGUAAACUUGUAGCCCUUUGAUCUAUAUUAGUACAAUUACAAAUUAGUAAAUUUUGGACAUCCAAAGUUUAUAAAGUCUAUAGUAGAAAUAUUAUUUAUUGAGCAAUGCUACUCAUUCACCCAAAAAUAUGUGUAUAUCUUACAAUUUAUCCAUCCAUUGUGUGAAGACCACUCACUAGUCAUUUGAUGUUACUAAUAAAAAUUUAUCAUCCAUUGGAUGAGAUAGAUAUAAGAUAAAAAAAAAAACUCCGAUUAAGAUGUACAAAUAGCAUUUAGCUAAUUUUUUACCAUCUAAUAGUACAGUAGCUCGGUUUUAUAUUAUAUAUCAAACAAGUUACUAAACUUGACAAUUUCAAUUCAUAUCCGCAGGUCCUUACAGUUUAUCCAUAAAUUUGUAGGUAUUGGUACUAAUUUUUCUUACCCAAAAAAUUAUGAAUAGAACGAGCGACACUACAACAAAAACGGUCUAUAGCGACACUUUUAAAUGUAGGCACAUGUCAAAAAAGUGCUGCUAGCUAAAAUUACCGACACUUUUAAAAAGUGUUGCUAUAUGUGGGGUCGCUAGGUAUAUAGUGACAGUUAAAGAGUGUCGCUAUAACCUAAAAGAGUGCUGCUAAUUUAUCAACACUUAUUUAAGCAUUUAGCAACCGUCGAAACUCUAUCUCGUUGGCUGCGGUGGCGGAGGAGGACGACAGUAAAGGCUCUUCGUCUAGAAUUUCAGUGGAUUGAGUGAUGAGAGAAGAAAAGAUGGUAAUUGAUUUUUCUUUUUUUUUUUCUUUUCUGUUUGUAAUCGGGCCAAAUGGACUGGGUGUGGUGGGUUGAGUAGAGUAAUCUUUUAUUUUUGGUUGAAUUGGGCUUUAUAUUUAGGUAUUAGUAUAUGUGUUUUUAAGUUUUAGCAUAAAUGGGAUACUUACUCAAAAGUGUCCCAAACAUGUGUCCCUAUAACCUAAUUCUGUUGUAGUGCGAGUAUUCAUUAAAUUAUAAAAAAUUUGGACAACCCACAUGUACGUACCCACAAGUAGUACCCAUAUAUAUAAUAUCUUUAAAAAAAAUGAAAAAUGAAUAAUUCUUUUGUUUUACUCGUCUCUAGAACCCUAACACUAAUUUCUGUUAAUGUUAUUUUUAAAUUUUUAUUAUGUACUAUCUGUUGGGAUAUUGUACACAAUAAGAUAACUUUUAAUCUUAAAACUAAUUAUAUAUUUAAUUUGUAUAAUUGAAAAAUAUAAGAACCGAAAAGGGAAAAAAAUUGUGAGUAAUCUGCAUACCCUGGUCGAUCCGCGGACUAUUGUGGGUAAGAAUGAAUGAUGACUGCACUGAAUUUAGGCACUUGCAUAAUUCGCAGGUAAAGAUGGCUCGUCCUGUCGUCCACUGAUUGCCCAACCAACACUACAUGAAACAGUGUCGUUUCAACGUCGUAUUCGAACUACGUGGACCAUCGGAUACGUGGUGUAUGGAAAUGCGCACCUGAUCGUUGUCAAAAAUUUGUCGUGUAAGAGCGGAAAAACUCGGUGUGUUUCGACCACACACCUGCUUGGUUCGAGGGCAGCGACAAAGAGAGCACUGUCUCGUCGUUUCUUCUUUUCUUAUCGCCUUCGCCCUCGACACGCAAAGCUCGUGCAUUUCCUUCGUGAAAUGAUUGCAUAUGAUCGAUGUUCACGCAAACCCAUGUGACAUGUCAAUGAAAGCUACAUUCUAGCUAGGAAGGGAAAACUUCGUAGCCCCUUGUGGUUUCGUACUUUUUUAUUUUAAUACCUUAUGAUUUAAAGUGUAUCAAAUUAGUACCCUUUGGUUUCUCACUUCAUCAUUUUAAUACUAUGUGGUUUAAAGUGUAUCAAGUUAGUACCCUGUGGUUUUAUUUUUGUAUCAAGUUAGUACCCUGUGGUUUAAAGUGUAUCAAGUUAGUACCAUGUGGUUUCUCACUUUAUCAUUUUAGUACACUGUGGUUUAAAGUGUAUCAAGUUAGUAUUUUAUAAUUUUAUUUGUAUCAAGUUAGUAUCCUGUGGUUUUAUUUUUGUAUUAAGCUAGUACCAUGUGGUUUAAAAAACCACAGGGUACUAAAGUGAUAAAAUGUGAAACCACAGGGUACUAACUUGAUACACUUUAAACCACAGGGUACUAAAGUGAAAAAGUGCAAAACCAUAUGUACUAACUUGAUACAUUUUAAACCACAGGGUACUAAAGUAAGAAAAAGUGAAACCACAAGGAUAAUAUAGGAUAAUAUAGGAUAAUAUAGCCUAAAAUUAAAUAGGAUAAUAUAGCGUCAUAAUAUAUAAAUAAAUUAUAAGAUAGUAUAUUGUUAUAAUUUAUAAAUUUUAUAAUAAUAAGUAAAACUUAUAUAUUGAUAAAAAUUGAGCUUCUAUACUUUUAAAAACAUAAAGUCAUAAGUGCUCUAGAUUUUCGGCCUUUUGAUAAAGUUUUGUAGGGUUAGGAUAAUAAUAGUUGGCUCCAAUAGAGUUGAAUGAUUGGUUGAUGGAAUAGCAUACUUUAAGGAGUAAAAUUAGUCGAAGGAAUAGAUCUAAUGAUGAAAAACUUAUAAUUAAUCAACAAAUAGUUUGUGCUUUUAAAAGCAUCGUAGCCGGACUCUAUUAGUAAUAUGUUAUAUUUUAUUAUUCUAUAAUUUAUAAAAUAUGCACUUUGUAAUUAGGGAUGCAAAUGAAACCCAAUUGAUAGAGUUCCCGCUAUGAUAUGUAUAAGGCGGCAAGUGAAGGCCAAGCGAAAUCUGAUUGAUAGAGAUCCUAUUAUGAUCCACCUCGAAUAUAUAAGGCGGUAAGUGGAGACCAAAAAAAAAAAGGAAGAAAGUCUUCUAAUUCGCCCUAAUCCGCUUAAAAAAUAGAGAGGGAGGCGGAAGAGCUCUUUCUUCCAUUAUCCGUACCUAAUCCAUUAAAAAUUCGCUCAUAUCCGGACCCACCCCGAAUGUAGCAGUAAUUAAGUAGGAGAAAAAGAUUGAAUAAAAAUCAACCCGUCUCAAAACAGUCCGGACCGCUAAGAAAACGAGGCAGAAGGUGGGGGGACCUGAUCUCCCCCUUUCGGCUCCAACCAGUUUUCAACCCUACUUGUAAUUUGUAAAUUGUAAUACUUUACUUAUUUAUUUAAUAAUAGAUUUUUAUGAUUAAAAAUAAGUAUCAAAUUGAAUCUCUUCAAAUCACAAUUCGCAAAGUAAAUUUGUAGUAGACUAUAAUGGCUAAUUGAAGUUACCCAGAAAAUAUUCUCAGCCAAUUUUGAAGUGAGUGGUGUUAAUAAUAGAUAGUAAUUUACUAAUAGCAAUUAAAUUGGUUUAGUAAAUUUGAUUAUCAUGCACAUAAUUAUUGAUUUUGAUUGGAUUUAACAAAUCUAAUUUGCCAGAUAAAAUCGUAUUGAAUUAAAAUAAUUAAAAAUUAAAAGCAUUUUUUUUUUACAUACAAGUUUAUAUUUUAAUUUGACAUUUCCAAAAAUUUAGUCACCAACCAAUAAACUGAAAUUGGUGGCCUGAAAAACUGAAUAUUAGUUUCCAUUUAACCACUCAUUUUUGUUGUAAAUUCUCUGUAAUUUUUCCAAAAUAAAGCAUUUCGUGAUGCUUGAUUCAACUCUACUUUGGAAUCAUCUUUUAGGGAUAUCAUGAUAAUCGAAUUAGCUAAUUAGAGAAAUUUUACCAAAUUUAAUAGAGCAGCUUAAAUGAAAUAAAAUUUUUGUUCAUGUAUCAAUUAAUGGCAACAAGUUAAAAGAGUUUUUACUUUUUGACAAAAAAUUUUUCACUUGACCUAUUGGUUUCCUUGAAAUUGAUCUAACCUUACUCUCUAAAUGAACAAUUAAUCAAAAUGGAAAUUAACAUACCAAAUUAAUCAAAAUUUUUGUUCAUGUAUCAAUUAAUGGCAACAAGUUAAAGAGUUUUUACUUUUUGACAAAAAUGUUUUCACUUGACCUAUUGUAUUCCUUGAAAUUGACCUAACCUUACUCUCUAAAUGAACAAUUAAUCAAAAUGGAAAUUAACAUACCAAAUUAAUCAAUCCACCUAAUUUGUUUCCAUUCCAUUACAAUUAUAAGCUUUACAAAAACAAAGCAAGCUUCCUCAUCACAUCACAUGCAUGUACGUACACUCCAUGUACAACAUCUAGCUAAUUUAAUGGAGGAAAUUAACAACAUGCAUGUACGUACGUACGUACGUAACACCCAAACCUGUGAUCCCGAAUCUCAAAGCGCCGUCAAGGAGUUCAUCAUCAUCAUGGCCUUAAACUCCUCAAAAUCGACCACCCCGUCCCCAUUCCUAUCCACCCCUCUUAUCAUAAGCCGGCACUCUUUCAGACUACACCUGCGCCCCAACCCGGCCAACACCCGCCGCACCUCCUCUGCCGAAAUGUAUCCGUUGCGGUCGGCAUCGAACACGCGGAACGCCUCCCGGAGCUCCUCCUCCUCGUCGACGCCCGCGCCCCUUUCCGACACCGCCCGCAUGAACUCGUCCAAAUCGAUGAACCCGUCGCCAUCGCAGUCCGCCUCCCGCACCAUCCCCUCCGCCUCCCGCGCUACCGUCGACCUUGCGAAAACAACCGACCCAUCGGUCCAAACGUAGUUUCAGCUACGUACUAAAUAACGGUGUUCAAAUAUUAAACUUGUAAUCGAUAUUCCGCCUCACAUCUGUGUUCAAGAUUUUUUAAUUUGCCUAAAAUAUGUACUUUGUUAGUUAAUUGGAUUAUUUCUGAACUAUUGCCUAUCAAAUGGAUCUACUAGGCAGUAUUAUUUCAGAGCAGUAGGUGUUAAAUUUGAAUUUCAACCCACGGGCAACCUCAUUUAAUUUUAAUUUAAGCUGUUAUUUUGAGCUUUUCAAAAUAUUUUGAGUCUAGCUAGAUAUGAGAAAAAAUAUUGAAUAUAUAUAUAUAUAGAGAGAGAGAGAGAGAGAGAGAGAGAGUGCGGCUAGGAUGCUUAUGGAAGUACGGAGGGCUCCGUGCUUCCACUUUGUUUUCGAUGUUCGGACUUUCGAAUCGACGAUCGGCUCCGUUAGACUUGAUCUAGAGUAUUUGAAGUAUCUAGAAAAUAAAUUUUGCGAUUUUUCGAUAUCAUUUGCCUAGUGAUCGAAGUGGCUCAAAAUCAACGGCUGAAAAUAAAAAUCUUACAAAAUAUGAUGAUAAGACAUUAAAAUUUUAAACCAAAAUUAUUAAUCUUGUUUUAUAUGGUAUAAAUAAUUUUCUAUCAAAAUUUCAUGUGAUUUGAAUAUUUCUAUACCGUUAAACUUGCAACCGGCUCACCACAACCGUUAAAAUUAUUGAUUUUGAGCCCCUUCGAUCACUAGGCAAAUGAUAUCGAAAAAUUACAAAAUUUAUUUUCUAGGUACUUCAAAUACUCUAGAUCAACUCUAACGGAGCUGAUCGUCGAUUCGAAAGUCCGAACAUCGAAAACGACUUGGAAGCACGGAGACCUCCGUGCUUCCAUAAGCAUACCAGCACAACUCUCUCUCUCUCUCUCUCUCUCUCUCUAUAUAUAUAUAUAUAAUUAAGCUUCUAUGCUUUUAAAAGUAUAAAGUCAUUGGUGCUUGUAAGCUUUCGACUCUUGGAUUAAGAAAUGUGCGAUUAGAAUAAUGUGGGCCCUCUAGGGUUGAGUGGUUAGUUGGUUGAAUAGUAUAAUCUAACGGGUGAAAAUGAUAUAUAUAUAUAUAUAUAUAUAUAUAUAUAUAAAUUGUCUAUCGAGCUAAAGAUUUUAGGGCACGUUUAGUUCAAAAUAGCAAUUGAAAUCGGCAUAGACCGGAAUGGAAAUGAGUUGUAAUCGAAAAGAGAAUGAUAAAAAUAAUUAACAAUUUGUUUGGUUCAUUAAAAAAAUCGAAAUCAAAAUUAUAUUCAAAUUAAAAAAUUUAUUAAAUUUAAAUUUGUUACUCAAAUGUAUAGUCAAAAUUUGAAUUCAAAUAUGAACUUAUAAUUUUAAACUUAAAAUUUGUGAAUAUACAAUUCAAGUUCAAGGUCAAAGUCAAAAUUUAAAUUUAAAACCAUUAAAUUAAAAUUAAAAAAUUAAAUUUAUUGAAUUUAUUUUUAAAAUUUUAUUUGACUUCAAAUAGUUAUUAGUGGAAAAAAAAAAACAAAAAAGAAUCCUCAAUCGGAAUCAAAACUAACUCCCACCUGUACGGUGGGAGUCACUUUUGACUUUCGAGGGAUUCGAAUCCACCGUGAUGAUGAGAAUCCAAAAUGCUAAAUAAAUCCCUCCAUUUAAAUACUAAUUAACAGUAAGAAGGGUACUUAUUUCAAUUUUCAUUCUAAGUCUCAAAUAUUUCAAAUCAAACCUACCCUUAUUAAGAUUAUUUCUGUGCUUCACAUAUUUGAAUUAAAUAAAAAUAAAUUGAAUAAAACUAGCUAGGAGUAAAAUUUGAGCUCGAAAACACUGACUCUGAUACCAUAUUGAAAAACGACUUAUUAUUACUCUAAACUUAAGCUAGAUACCGGAGCAACGGUGUUUUAAUAUUUUAUAUUCAACACGCGAUACCUCUCGUGGCCGAGACGGAGCAUGAUGUCGCGGAGCUCCCCCGCGGAGAUCUUGCCGUCGCCGUUGGAGUCGAUGAGGUCGAACACUCGCCGCAGUUGGUUCGGAAGCUCCGCCGCCGCGGCGGCGGCGGCGGCGGCGGGGGAGGCUGCUGAAGAGAUCCACUUGAAGUUGCUGCUGGCUCUUCUCCCCCUCCUGCUCACGGCCUUGAAUUUUUGCAAAAAACCCCCUACCUUUUCCGGAGAGAACAUUUUCCCUUCAAGGAUGAGGAGGAGUUGUUAGGGGGGGAGAGAGAGAGAGAGAGAGAGAGAGAGAGAGAGUAGAUGGGCUAGAGCCUAGAGGGAGGAAGAGGAGGAGAGAGAGGCCAUGGGAGGAGGAGUGUGAGGAGUGGGUGGUGGGUGCAUGUGAGAGGGAUUGAAUUGGUUGCUAGUUUUAUAAGAGAGAAAUUAUUGCCGAGACCUGAUCCACCAUGCUAACAAAAAAAAAAUAAAAAAAUAAAAAAAAGAGUUCAGAAAUAGUCUUUUAAUAAUAGAUCCCACUCAUGUGCACAGCGAAGAUCAGGUGAAUAGCACGCACAAGCAGAAGAAGCAGUGAGAAAAAUUAUACUAUUUUGUAUCACCCUCAAACGACAGAUAUAAUUAAAAGAUAGGAGGCAAUUAUUUUUAUGUUCUUGAAAAGUUUUCGAUUUUUUAAUUUUUCUCUCUUAGAAUGCUAAUAUUGAAAAAAAAAAAUUUACAUUACAAUUUAUUUUAAAUAUAAAAUCUGUUAUUGAACUAUUAGUAAUAACUGUUAUUUAUAUAAAAUUACUAUUAUACCCUUUCAAAUAUACCCUUCUACUAUUACCAACUUUUUUUAAAUUGGGGACACAAAAAGUAUUUUAUUUUUUGAUUUUUUCAAAUAUGCUUUUGUACCAUCACCAAUAUUUCUUAUUUGUUCUUAAGUUAAGGGCAAAAAAGAUAUUUUGAUUUUUUUAACUCUGAUAACUAUUAAACUCAUGUUUAAGCUAAGUUAACUUAAAGGGGUGGUAAUUGUAGGGAUAUUUUGAAAUAAUAGAGGAACAUAUGACGAGUAUAUUGAAAAGAAAAAAAAAACAAAAGUAAGGACACAUGAAAUAUUUUCGAAGUUUUAAGAAGUAUAUAGGCAAUUAUCUCUAAAAGAGAUAUCUAAAAUCUCCUUAAGGGUGCGUUUGGUUCGCGCUAUCCUUUUAAGAUUCCUAGUAAUCCAAUAGGAAUAAAAAAAUAUGACGGUAUUUGACUAAACGCACUAAAUAAUCUAGUUAGUAAUACUAGAUUUACUUGGAAAUGAGAUGCAUCCUAAAGUACUAAUCUCAUUUCUUUGAGGAAUGGUGGGUAUCCUUUUAUUAAUGGAUUAGAGUAAUUAUAAUAUGUCUAAUCUUUUUUUUCUUCCCACCCGCCAGAUAGUUGGUAUUAUUUUUCUUUACACUCUAACCUCAUCUCUCUAAACUUAUCUUUUUUUUUCUAAACUUCAACUCUUUUUCUCUCUCUAAAUUAAGCUAUUUCUCCCUCUCCUUUUCUAAAAUCUCAACCCUCUCAUUCUUUCUAACCUUGACUCUAUUUCUCUUCUAUUUCUUUAAUUAUGCUUUUUCUUUCUAACCUAUAUUCUCUCUCUAGGAAUAAAAUUCUCAUAUAUCUUUUUACUUCUCAUAAUCUUUCAUAGUGCGAAUCAAACGCACCCUAAAAAUAGGUGGUUUUAGAAUAACUGAGAUAAAAGAAAGAGCAAUUCAGAAAUAUAUAUAGUCUUGAUAAAAAAUAUUGAUAAAAUCUAACAUUCUAUACAUAUUGUUGAGCUUGUUGAAAAGCUCCAAUUACUAGCUAGCUAAUCAGAAAAACUAGUUCGGAGACUAAUUAGAAAUUUUUUUUUAAAAAAAAUAAGGCAUAAAUUAGAGUUUGCAUACAAUUUUAAAUUUAUUCAAACCAAUCCAAAACUUAAUUUACGGAGAUGCUCUUACACAAAAGGUUUUUUUGAGAAAUAGGCAGCAAGUUACCUGCUUCACUUCUCUUACACAAAAGUUACAAAUGACCCCACCCAAUGAAUAGUGAGAGUGGGCUGGUAUGCUUAUGGAAGUACAGAGCUCUUCGUGCUUCCAAGUUGUUUUCGAUGUUCGGACUUUCGAAUCGACUAUCGGCUCCGUUAAAGUUGAUCGAAAGUAUUUGAAGUACCUAGAAAAUAAAUUUUGUGAUUUUUCAAUAUCAUUUGCCUAGUGAUCGAAGGGGCUCAAAAUCAAUAAUUUUAACGGCCGUGGUGAGCCGGUUGCAAGUUUAACGGUGUAGAAAUAUCCAAAUCACAUGAAAUUUUGAUAGAAAAUUCUUUAUACUAUAUAAAACAAGAUCAAUAACUUUGAUCUAAAAUUUUAUUGUCAUAUCAUCAUAUUUUGUAAGAUUUUUAUUUUCAGCCGUUGAUUUUGAGCCACUUCGAUCACUAGGCAAAUGAUAUCGAAAAAUCGCAAAACUUAUUUUCUAGAUACUUCAAAUACUCUAAAUCAAGUCUAAUGGAGCCGAUCGUCGAUUCGAAAGUCCGAACAUCGAAAACAAAGUGAAAGCACGGAGUCUUUCGUGCUUCUAUAAGCAUCCUAGCCGCACUUGAAUAAUGAAUAUAUAUACGGAACUACUAUUCUUAGGACCUGUCCACAGUGGACCUGGCCCACGCAACAGUUUCUACUUAUUGAAAAGCAAGCGCACUUAUUGGAUGGUACUCGAUGGGCCCCACAUGGGCCAGCAAAUUAGGUACGAAGUUUGGUGGGGUUUUGAUGGAGAGGAGUAAAAUUUUUUAAAUUUUAAUUUUAAUUUUACGUCCGGGUGUUGAUGAGGGUCUUUUGGUUGAUUGAUGAUCUUCCGAUGCUUGCUGGAUUGGAGAAAAGUGUUGGCGAAAGUGACGUUGGCAGAUCCCACCGCCGUAGGGGUAGGUGUUAUCUUGUUCACGGUCAAAAUGCAUGAAUGGUCCUUGUCCAACCCUGAUAUUGCAAAACCUCUCUUUUUUUUAUAAUUAUAAACGAUGCCAGGGACUAAAUUUAGUAUAUGUGAAAAUAAGCGAGAAAAGUUUCUUUUUUUUUUUUUUGAGAGAUAGGUAGCACGCUACCCGCUUCAUUUAUUUCAUUUAGAAAUAAACUUAGCUAGAAAUGUGAAUCAACUAGAAUUCAAACUUGGAUCUCGGAUACCAACCACCAAACCUUUUGCCAAUUGCUCUAGGGACGGUCGAUGAGAAAAAUUAGUAUAAUAUUUUUCAGUCUCCCUGAAGUACCUGAAGUAACAUAGAGGUAUUUUUCUAUAUGUUUUUGGUUAGAUAUAAUUAUAAACGCAGUGUAGUUGAAGAUAUAUGCAUGUAGUGGCAAAGGGCUUGAUAGUUGGUAUCUGAAAUUUUAAGUUCGAAUUCUAGUUGAUUUAUAUUUCUAGUUAAGUUUAUUUCUAAAUGAAAUAAACGAGCUACCGAUCUCCCUUAAAAUAUAUAUAUAUAUAUAUAUAUAUAUAUAUAGAUACGAUAGAGAGAGAGAGAGACGAGAGAGAGAGAGAGGAGAGAGAGUGAGUGAGUGAGUGAGUGAGGCUACUAUGCUUCUAAAAGCACGGAGCUUCCGUGCUUCCAAGUUGUUUUGAGUGUGCACUUCGAAUCGUCGAUCGGCUCAGUUAAACAUCGAUUAGAGUAUUGAAGUACCUAGAAAAUAAAAUUUGCAUUUUUCGAUAUCAUUUGCCUAAGUGAACUAAGGGCUCAAAAUCAACGGCUGAAAAUAAAAUCUUACCAAAAUGUGAUACUAUGACAUUAAAAUUUUAGAUCAAGAUAUUGAUCUUGUUUUAUAUAGUAUAAAGAAUUUUCUAUCAAAUUUCACGUGUUUGAAUAUUUCUACAACCGUUAAACUUGCAAACGGCUCACCACGGCCAUUAAAAUUAUUAAUUUUGAGCCCCUUCGAUCACUAGCAAAUGAUAUCGAAAAAAUCUAAAAUUUAUUUCUAAGUACUUCAAAUACUCUAGAUCAAGUUAAUGGAGCCGAUCACGAUUCGAAUGUCCAACAUCAAAAACGACUGAAACACAGAAGGCCCGUGCUUAAAGCUCCGUGCUUCCAGAAGCAUAGUAGCCUCACUCUAUAGUAUAUAUAUAUAUAUAUAUAAUAGAAUAGAAUACUUGUAAAAGUCAACCACAAGUGAUACUUGUGUGUUUUUAGCCCUUGGAUGGAGAUGUGAGGUUGAGAUGAUGGUGGUAGGUGGAUGGUAGGUGGAAUAGUGUUUGAUCCAGGACUAUUAGUAAUCCAAAAAGUAGAUCCAAUGGCUAAAAACACACAAGUAUCACUUGGUGAUACUUGUAAAAGUAUUCUAGCCCUACUCUAUAUAUAUAAUAUAUAUAUAUAUAUAUAUAUAUAUAUAAUAUAUAUAAUUUUGAAUAUAGUAUAAUAUAUAUAUAUGCAUGCAGCUGAAAAUAUAGUAAUUACAACUACAUGUAUUCUGUUUGGUUGGAUGUACUAGAAAAUAGUGCAAUUACAAAUAAUUUGUUUGGUUGAAUGCAGUUGAGAAAUAAUUUUUAAAUUAUUAUCAUUUUAUAUAUAUGAUGGUGAGAUUAUCUCCAAUGUAAAAAGAAAUUUUUUUUUUGUUUAAAAAAUAAUUAGGGCGGUAAGCUUACCUUUUAUUUAAAGUUAUUCUCUCCAACUGUUGCAAUUAGAACUGCGAUCAAUUUGAGCAUAGUUUCAACUGUUGCAAUUGGGUCUCCUCCAACAUGCAAUUCCUACUGCAACAGUUUGAGUUAAAUAUAUCAAACUAAACAUCAAAUUUGUAUUUGUAAGUACAGUUGCACGUGUAACCAAAAGAUCACUAAUUACAUUAGCUCUACAGCAGCACAGAAGCUUAAGUAAAAGAUGUAAAAAUUAUUUCUUCAGGAAUAAUAUUUAGUAUGACCUCUAAAAGUUAAGAAUUAUUUAAUAUACUUUUUGGUAGACCAAAAUGUUGUUUGGAUUUUUAAAAAAUUUCUUAAAAUAUUACAAAAACUUAAAGGUUCUCUAAUAGAAUUAAAUUUUAUCAGGGUAUUUAGAAUAUUAAAAAAUAUAUUUAAAAAUUCUGAAUAAUAGUGGGUGAUAAAUAAAGAAAAGCUUCUCUCUUUCAGAUAGCAUGGUACCAAAGUUGGUUUACAUUAUGGGUGGCAAUCCAGCUCGCUGUUCAUCAGCCAACUCGUGUUCGAUUUGAAAUGAGCUUGAGAUCGAAUCGCUCAUUUAAUAAAUCAGCCAAAUACGAACUAAAUUUUUCAGCUCGUUUAAUAAACAAGCUGAACACAAACUGGAAUAAGCUCGCUCAUGUUCGGCUCAAUAACAACUCGAAUAUAUAUAUUUUACAUUUAUAUAUUUUAUGCUUAUAUAUAAAUAAAUCAUUAUGUAUAUAAUACAGAUUUUUAAUGUUUCAUCUUUAGUCCAAUCUAAAUAUAAAAUCCAACUCAAUUAUAAAAAAGACUCAUUUAUAUAUAAAAUUUCAACGGUUAGAUCAAAGUCUAGUGGAUGAAAUUUUAUAAAUUUAUUUUCAUACAUAUCCUUUCUAAUCCUUUUAGUUUGUUGUUCGUGAGCCAGCUCGAACAUAACCUGAAUUUUUCAGCUCGAUACUUUAAAGUUCGGCUUUUUUUUGAAAUGAAUCAAACACGAGCUACCCCAGCUACCUCGUGUUAGGCUUCUUUUCCUUCUUUUUUUUUGAAAGAUAGGUAGCAUCCUAUCCGUUUCGUUUAUUUCAUUUAGAAAUAAACUUAGCAAGAAAUGUGAAUCAAUUGGGAUUUGAACUUGAGACCUCAUGUACCAAUCAUUAAGCCUUUUGCCACUUACGCUAGGAACGGCCGGUCGUGUUAGGCUUGUUGACACCCCUAGCUUACAUCUCGCCCAGGUUUAGUGACCAAAAAGUAGAGGGACCAAAUUAUAAUAUUGCAACAAUUUAGGGACUAACCACACAGUUUAAAAAUUGUUGCAACUUCCAACCUGCCCUACCGGAUCUCAAAAUUAGGAUGUGGGUGGAUACAGGAUACCCGAAUUUUACCUGUAUGCAAACCCAAAGGAUGCUUAUUUAAUAGAGAUACUAAAUAGAUAUAAUUUUGAUUAUAAGUAUAAAAAAUAAAAGACAGGGAUUUACUUAUGGCUUCAAUCUAUACCUGAUUUGAAUCUAAAGCCGAAACCUAACCUGAAUCUGAACCAAUUCAGAACGGAUUUUAUACAAUAUAAUAUAUAGAAAUUUAAAUUUAUACUUUAAAAUUUAGUAAAACUAAAUAAUUGCUUUCGGAUUCGGAUUUUUGGAUGCGGCCUAAGGUAUCGGCUUUUUUUUUUCUUGUAAUUCAAUUUUUGUUAUGUACUUCCGAAAGGUUCGGAUUUGAAUUUCAUCUCAAAAUAGAGGCAUUAUUGUUGCCGGACAAUAUUUUAUGGAUAUAUUCUCCGAAUAAAAAUUAUUUGGGAAUUUGUCCGAAUGGACAUCAGAUGGCGAGUGGCAUCCAUCCCAACUGUCCAGUAAAAAAUAAUUUUAUUUGAAAACUAUGUUCAUAAAAUUUUUGUUAAUUAUCGCACACAAUGGUUGUAUGGAUAGAUCUCAUGUACUGUUGCUGAAAAUUACUGCAAUAGAGACCUCAUUUUAAAUUCUAAUUUAUUUAUUUGAAGCACUUUUAUGUAUCAAAAAAUUAAAAAAUUUGGACAUCAUAUUCAUAUGAAUCAAAUUCUAAAUUCUUGAUUUAUGUAAAACGCGUACCCCAAAUGAUUAAAAAAUUCAUGUCCAAAUCCUAACCCAAACCCAAAUGAUUAAAACAAUUCAUGUCCAAAUCCUAACCCAAUGUAAAAUCGAAAAUCCAAACCUGAAUCCAAAAAUUCAAGUCUGAAACAAUUAAUUCUCUUUACCAUAUAUAUUAAAAUUUAAAAUUUUAAAACACAAGUUCAAACAUAACAUCAAAUAUUUAUAUAUAUUAUAUAAUCUAAAAUUAAUUUUGACCUGAAUUCGAAUUAGAUUCCAAUUUGAGUCAAGUAGAGACAAAAUCAAUACUCAAAAUCCGUUGAGUUUUUAUUUUUUAUAUCCAUAUAGGAAAUCAAAUUCGUCUAGUAACUAAUAAAUCCACCCAGUUUAAAUUAGAGAUGAAAUUUCACAUAUCUGUAUUUAUUGACAUCGCUUGAGGCCACGGGAUGUCAUGUCUUAAUACAGCUGUUGGGUUAGUCUUAUGAAAUGGAUUUAUGCUAUGGGAACCCACAAAAGUACCCUAAAAAGUAUCACUAAGCUAAUGUGUUAGCUUAAUGUUUAGGAUAAACUACCUGAUUAAGUUAAAAAAAUCCACUCAUCAAAAAUAAACAUAUUUGGGAGUUUAUUGCAAACGAUAAACCUGGUGUCAAAUCAAUUAUCUAUUUACAUCUAUUUAUUUAUUUUUUUAAUUUUUUAAUUAUUAUUAUUUUUACACUGAGAAAUCAUUGCCUGCAUCCGGUCUAAAUUCAUUAUACCCACCAAAUUUAUUUUUAGGGUUAAUUUUAUAUAGAUCCCUACAAAUAUAAUAAAUUAUAAAUAUAUUUCUACAAAGUUCAACUUUUAUAUAUUAUUGUAAAAGUACUAAUGUUUUCAAAUAUGUCUCUCUGAUUUGUUACCGUUAAAAUACUAUCUAUUUUAUAAGUGAAAUCACCUUUUUAUCAUCACAAAUAUCUCCAUCCAAAAGUCCCAACUAUUUAAGAGCGAUAAAAAACUCAAUUCACCUCGUUAAUGUCACACUCCGGGACCCAGCGGAAGCCCACUCAGCACGUGCACAGACCCCCCAUGUAUACCAAACAACCACGAUGCACACAAGGCGUCUACUAAAAACUAGAAAUGAACAAGAUAAAGUCCUAAUAAGGCUAUCAGAGCGAGUAUAUAAAAUCACUAAUAUUCUAGUACAAAGAGAUCCACAAAUAUACAAAGUGUAACAACUAAAUCCAAGAGACUAACAAUAUCUCUAAAAUCAAAUACAUAAUACAUUUUUCUACAAGAUACAAAAAAGAAAGAUGAUAACGGGUCCAUCUAAAUAACUCCGUAGGAGCUCUAGCUAGUCGCUAACCCUUUGCCACGAUCCCCAGCCUCUCCCGCCGCGGAAGGCUCUGAAAUAAAAACCAACAACAAAUGAGGAUGAGAACUAUUAAACAAUAGUUCCGAGUAAGUAAGCUGCAAAGAAUGACGAAAUACACUACUAGGUCAACUGAGACAUGCUAUAAAGAGGUAAAUAAAUAGCAUAUAUAAAAGGUAAAUAAGUUAAACAUGUUUAAUCAUAGUCAUGCCUCUAUUACAAGUUUAACUAUCAUGUAUAUGAUGUUCUAAUCUCAUGUAAUCAACUAUAUGUCAAUGUUAAAACACAUGCAUGUUCAUUAUUUCAUAAUGCUACAUGUUAGUCAUUCAUGGCAUUGACACUCUAGUGGUAGUAUAUUUACAAUCGAUGUAGAUAUAAACAUGUUUAACUUNUCUAAUCUCAUGUAAUCAACUAUAUGUCAAUGUUAAAACACAUGCAUGUUCAUUAUUUCAUAAUGCUACAAGAAUAAUUAUACUUUCCAUUAUUAUUCUAUCCAUGAGUCCAUACAAUCAGUGUUGAUGUAAAUAUACUACCACUAGAGUGUCAAUGCCAUGAAUGACUAACAUAAGAUCCACAAUAUGCACUAUCAUGCAUGUCCACUAGUCCAACUAAUAUGCACCAUUCUAGUAGUAGUUUUCACAUUACGCUUUAGGUGUCAUUUUUCAAAUCCAAUCAAGGACCCACACUAGUAUAGUCCGGCUUGUGCCGACUAAUUACCCGUGGUAGCUCCAACAUUUUCACUCUAGAAAUGACUCGAUCCCACGCGGGCCCAGUACUUACACAAGUAUAGUCCGGCUUCUGCCGCCUAAUUGCCCGUGAUAGCUCUAACAUUCUCACUCUAGGAAUGAGUCUAUCCCACGCGGGCCCAGUAGACGUAUGUCGCAUAAGCUAACUCCGGAGUGCCGGCUUGUGAAGAGCGACCCUCACAAAUAUGUGCGAAUGAGCAUAAAUGGCAAGCAAGCAUGAUCAUCGUCUCAAAUACAUGGUCGUCAUGUCUCCAACAUGGUACAAAUUCUAACAACCCAAAAGUUUAGAUCUAUGUCAUAAUAUAAAGGUUAACUAUUUACUAAAUCGAAUGCCACUUAAUGACAUUAAUGAUCUCCAUGUUCAACGCAUGUCCUUCUUCAUGAGCAUGUAAAAUCUUGUCAUUUUACUAAAUAUAACAAGACUUCCAACAUAAUAUAAAGAUGCUAUUUCACAUGCAAAUUUACUAUACAAUUCUCUCUCUCUACUACAUAGAGACUAUAAUUGUGACACGUAACACAUAUGCCUUAAACAUUCAAACAUUUAUGAUGCAUCUCAUGCUCAUGCUUUUUUACCAAUGCCUCCACUACAUGAAGUGAUAAACUAUCAUACAAGUGAUUUCAUAUUAUAAUAUUUACAUGCACAUUUUCCUCCUGUCAUUCACCCAAGGGCGUUCGAAUCUCAUAUCACAUGUCCAACACAUGGAAUGCAACUAUCGAUGCCUAGAUCGAAUGCAAUAUCACAAUGUUAUAUACUAGUUGUUCCACUAGAUGAGAUUCAUCAAACAUAGUCUCAUGUUGACCCUAACAUGCUCUUUCAUCACAAUGUCAUAUUUGCCUUGUCUACCACAAGUAUACCUCAACAUGCAACUAAGUACCAAUUCUCCUUUAUUUUACAUGUCAAAGUCAUGAGGCGUAGCUAUCAAUCUCUAAGGCAAAUACAAUAUCAUAAUGUCAAACCCUAGUUAUUCCACUAGGUUAAAUACCACAUGCUUAAUUUCAUGUUUAGCCUUGUUAUUCACUAGGUCACAAUGUCACAUUACUUGUCUACACAAGUACUUUGCUCAUCAUGUGAGAUAAUCACUUUUCUAACUCAUUCACUAGUUACCCUCCAAGGUGUGUAUCAUCACUCAUAUUCUAACAUGCUUUCUAAGAUUGUAUAAAAGAGAGUUCAUUAUGUAGUGUCACUGUGUGCUCAAGUCCACAUAUAUGGCUCUACUACAUAGAGUAUGAAAUUUUUACUACACCUAACAUAUACAUAUUAUGUUCUCAUAAAUUCUAGCAUGUCAUAAUGAGCAUGAAAAAGUAUCUAUUUAUGUCUUAAAACCCAAAGGAAGACAUAGGGGAGUUCACCCAUUUUGAUGAGGUCAAACACACCGGAAGCACUUCGAACCCUUUCGUUCCUUCGAACGAAAUUGCCCACCGAAUUUCUAACACCCUAAGAGAAAUUCUAAAGGGUUAGAAACUCCAAAACAACUAUUUCGAAAAUCUUCGAAAAACACACACACAAUAAGGUGAAAAGAAUACCUUUGAUCAAAUUACACUUGUCCAAAGCACAAAUCGAAGCUUCCAAACUUCAAAUCCAACCUACAAGAGUGUUCUACACUCAUUAAUUCCAACUCAAAAGCUUCCAAAUAAAAAGGCCCAAACAAAAUUGUGACACCCCAAUAAUCCCACAUCGAAUGGGAAUGGAGUUGUCAUUGGAUUUAUAAGAGACUUAGACACUAGUAAUAAUAACUGGGCUUAAGUAUUUUGGGCUGUGGUUGGGCCCAACGAGUUAUUAUUGCUAGUGGGCUGGGUCGUUACAUUUGGUAUCAGAGCCGAUUCACCAGCUGGACAUGUGUGGCGAGUCUCGGCUGAGCCAGGAUCUGGAUGAUGGGCUAGCGAGAUAAAUCUCACAUCGCCUGGUGAUCUUGGGCUGUAUGUGUGAUUGGACUGACGAGGACGUCAGGGCCUUAACGGGGGGAGUCUGUGACACCCCAAUAAUCCGACAUUGGAUGGGAAUGGCGUUGUUAUUGGGUUUAUAAGAGACUUAGACACUAGUAAUAAUAACUGGGCUUAAGCAUUUUGGGCUGUGAUUGGGCCCAACGAGUUAUUAUUGCUAGUGGACUGGAUCGUUACAAAAAUCCUAGUUUCUACAAAAUUAGGUUUCAUCACAAGAAAUCCACUAAGAGGUGAAUCAAAGGGAAGAUUAAACUACUAACCUUUCUUGAAGCUCCAAACCAAGUUAGAAGUGAGCUGGAAAGGUCACCAAAAAGUAAAGAGAAGCAAAACAGGUGAUUAAUCCUCUAAAAUCCAAGCAAAAAUGGAAGGAAAUCAAAGAGGGGAUGAGAAGAGGCUCCUUACCCUUCUCUCCUCAUGUUCCAGGCUCAGGGAACACAAGAGGGAGUGUGGGGUAUUUGUAGAGUAGUAACAAUUUCAAAAACACCCCUCAAGAACAAACCGUCAGUAAUCUGCAUUGCGUACCGGUGACACAGGAUGGGGUACCGGUACCAGGCAGCAUCACACGCAAACCCGAAUCUCGGGUUGGCUAGAAAACACACUGGGUACCGAUACCAGCGCAAUACAGUACCGGUACCAGACCCAGUACCGGUACUCGGGCAAUGCAGUACCGAUACUCUACCCUACAGAGUCCAACCCGAGAACGGCCCAAAUUCUACAAUUUAGAGAUUUUGGUGCUAAGUUUUCAUUCUCGCUCCUCGGGAUGCGAGUCAUAGGUCGGAACACAGUCAACGACCAUACAGAAAAUCUAAAGAGGCUGAGAUCACCAAUCAAACACUCGAACCUUACAAUUUGCUAAAUUUCAGUGUGUUACAUUAACUAACUAGGGUUAAAUAUUUUACCUAUUGUUAACUAAUUUUUUCUAACGGGUCCUACCGGCACUGACAUAUUUGAAAAUACUAGGAAUUUUACAGAAUAACAUAUGAAAGUUGAACUUCGUAGGAAUUUAUUUGCAAUUCACUAUAUUCGUAGGGACCUCUGUAAAAUUAAUCCUUAUUUUUACAACUAAUACGAUGAAUAGGAUCUAUAUUUUAAUAUAACUAUUCAAACACUAUUUUUUUAUUUCUGAAAACAAUCUAAUUUAAUCCAAAUGUAAAAUUAAUCUUAUAUUCGUUCAUUUUUGAAGAAUUGUACCAAUAUCAGGAAUAAGCAAAAUAAUUUAUCCUGAAACAAACAAUACCCAGGUGCAAGCCAUACUUUCUCCUUCAAUUAUUAUAAAUUCUAUGGUUAGUCCCUGUACUGUACAAAUAUUGCAAGCCAACCCUUAUACUUGUUACAUACACAUAGAAUGCAAACAGGGCGGAUCUGGCGGAGGACCCCAGCCUUGCCUCCCGCCCCAACUAUCAGAGUCCUGCCUUCCGUCCAGUUCCGAAUAUGCGACAGGUUAAAAAUAUAUUUUAUAAUCCGCCUCACCUCAUAACUCACCUCCCGCCGACGUCCUGAAUCCGCUCCGCCAAUUAAUAUUUUUAAAAAAAUUAUAAUAUUAUUAAUAUUUUGUAAAAUAUAAAUUAAUAAUUUUUAAUAAUAAUAAAUAAUAUUAUUAAGUUAUAUAUAUAAUUAAUAAUAUUAAUUAUAAAAAUAAAAAAUAUCAAUCACAAUUCGAAGCAAAAUUUAAAAGCUUCAAAUAUAUGAGAAAUGAGAGCGCCAACUUAUUUGUAUUUUACACUUUUUUUAUAAAUAUAUUAUGUUUUAGAAAUAUUUUUUAAAAAUAUAUACGAUUUUCGGAGUAAAUCAUGACAGAGCGGAUUCAGAGCAAGUCAAAAUUUUUUCGUUUACUGUCCCGAAUCCGUCUCGAAUUAUAAAAAUUAUUCUAUUUUUUAGUCGGAAUUCGUUUUUUUUUUUUUUUAUUUACUACUUUACUCAGAACGGACCGGAGCGGAAACUCCGCCAACCCUCAACCCUAAUCCAUUGGCAUCCCUACUUACACGUCCUUGGAUCAAACUUUAGGGCACACUUUACAAUUUAAUUAAAUUUAAUAAUAUUUUUUAAAUAAAAUUAUGUAUACAUCAAAUCAAUAUAUUUGAUGUGACAAUUGACAGCUGAGACAACAUAGCAUUAAACUCUAUACUAAAGUUGAAACUAAAUGUCGUUUCCCAUCGAGCCACAUGGUGGAUUUUCUCUCUCCCUCACAUGUUCUCUCUCCUUCACAUGGACCCACAUGGGCUAUAUUCAAGUGACAUGCAUGGACUCACAUGGGCUAUGAGUAGAAAGAGUUGGGGGGAAGAUGCAUGCAUUGUAAUAAUAAGAAAGAUAGCAAAAGUACAAAAAAUAUUAUAUGUACUAUGCAAUUUUUUGUUUUAUGAAUGAUGUUAAAUAAUAUUGCUAUAUAUAAAGUUAAGAAAAAAAGCAAGAGGGCAAGGAAUAUGCUGUGUAGUAUGAAAAAUUUUGUAAGAGAAAAGUUUAUGUUGUGCGUGAGAUACUAUUUUUAUUGGAGUUAGCAAAGUAAAAACAAUUUACAAAUAAUUCAUAGUGUAAUUGGAAUCAAAAUAGGAGAUUUAGAAUAACCAUAUUGCAAAGGAAUUUAACAGUGCGGCCACUUCUGAAAAUCAACUUAUUAUACCUAUUAAAAAUAGUGCUCAAGUGGAAAAUACUAUUGGCGAAUAUAAUCCUACCGAAAGCCAAUCAAGGUAUGAUUAAUAAACAAGUUAAGAACUGAUUAUAAAUUAAUGUUCUGUCUGUGGGAAAAAAAAUCUAAUAAUUAAUGUUCUGUCUGUUCAAAAAAAAUAAAAUUAUUGACUUGCAGUAUUUUGUCAAGCAACGAUAGUGAUUUGCCUAUUGAAACAUCUGCUGUAGCAAAAAAAUUACGUUUGUAAGUAUUAAUAUUUUUAAAAUAUUAUUUGUAUUUUUUAUUCCACCAUAUAUAUAUGUAUAUAUAUAUAUAUAUAUAUAUGUAUAUAUAUAUAUAUAUAUAUACGUAAUAUAUAUAUUAUAUAUAUAUAGAUAUAUAUAUAUAUAAUAUAUAUAAUACGUAUAAUAUAUAUAUAUAGUAUAUAAUAUAAUAUUAUUUAUAUAUAUAGAGCGAGGCUACCUAUACUAUCGGAAGCACGGAGCCUUCAUGCUUCGAGCUCGUUUUCGAUGUUGCGACUUUCGAAUCGUCGAUCGCUCGUUAAACUUGAUCUAGAGUAUUGGAGUACCUAGAAAAUAAAUUUUAUUAUUUUCGAUAUCAUUUGACUAAUGAUCGAAUGGGCUCAAAAUCAAUAAAUUUUAAUGGCCGUAGUGAGCCGUUUGCAAGUUUAACAGGUGUAGAAAUAUCCAAAUCACGUAAAAUUUGAUAGAAAAUUAUUUAUACAUAAUAAAACAAGAUCAAUAUCUUUGAUUUAAAAUUUAAUGUAUAUUAUUACAUUUUGUAAGAUUUUUAUUUUCAGCCGUUGAUUUUGAGCCCCUUCGUUCACAUAGGCAAAUGAUAUCGUAAAAUUAUAAAAUUAUUUUCUAGGUACUUCAAAUACUCUAGAUCAAGUUUAACGGAGCCGAUCGACGAUUCGAAAGUCGCAACAUCGAAAACGAGCUGGAAGCACGGAAGGCUCCGUGCUUCUAUAGCAUAGUAGCCUCACCUAUAUAUAUAUAUAUAUAUAUAUAUAUAUAUAUAUUAUAUAUUAUAUAUAUAUAUAAUAUAUAUAUAUAUAUAUUGUUCAUACUUAGCAGUUCGAAGACUGGAGAAGGACCAAGCAAAGUUAACACCCGCAAGAAAUCAAGUGGAACCGAUAGGCCAUAAUGAUCUAAGAACUGUUUUAUCAAUUAUAUUUGCAUUAUCAAAAACAUUAUAUCAUAUUAGAUAAUCUAUAGUAUAUAUUUAGUUAUCUUACAUAAUGUGAAUGUUAUAUAUAUCUGUAAUUUCGUAAUAAAUAAAUAUAAUUACAGUCAUAUUAUUAGCUCUCAAUAUUACGACCUCCGCCGCGAAAUGCGGGUCAUUACACUAGUUUAAUAUAUAAAAUAAAAAGUAUCACACUUGCGACAAUGUGAAAUACAUUUAUUAUAUAAAUGAACAUCAUAUGAAGGGCAUUAUUCCUAGGAUCUAGUAAAUAAAUUAAAAAAAUUAAUAAGAUAAUUGAUAUUUGAUUUGUGAUGAUAAUUCAGUAUUUUAUAAGUAAAGGAUAUCAUACCUAUGUCAAUUUUUUUUAGUUUUCUUAAAAGAGAGAAAUAAUUAGCUACUUGCUUUUCUCUCUCUAUUUUUUUUUAUUUUAUAAAUGAAACUCCAUGAAAAAUAUAAAAUAAUAAAAUUUCGAGCUUGAAAACUCGAAUACCAAUUACUAAGUCAUUGUAAAUAAAUUUAACAUACCAUUUGAUAAUUAUUUUAAGGUGAUAACUUAUUAUUUAAUAGAUAAGGUAUGCCAUAUAUAUAUGCCAAAUCAUUAUUAAUACGAUAAUAGUUUUUUGCAUUCUUUUAAUUCCUUUUUUAUAUUAUAUUUUAUUUUAUGAAAUUAAUAAUAACAUUUUUAUUGAUGAUAUAGAAAAUUUUAAAUGAUAAUUGAAAACGGACAUGACUGACAAUGCAAAUAUAUUUCAAAACCAUUUAUUUUUAUUUGUUUAAUUUUAAAUAUGUGGUAUACAAAACCAAAUCAAAAUAAUAGAUCAUUUUUAUAUUCAUUUUUAUCUUAUUGAAAUUAUGGUAUAAUUUAAGCACACCGUUCUUUUUUUAUUUAUAUUCUAUAUUAUUUAAUUAAUAAUAUAUUUUUGGGCUUUUUUUUGUAUUUGGCCCCUUUAAAAAAAAAAUUUUACAAAUAGUCCCAUCAAAUUUAUAAUUACAAAUUUAGCCCUAUUUUCGCCACGCAGGUAUCACAUCAGCACUACGUAAGCUAGAGGGGUGCUAAGUUGAACACGGUAAAUCAUUCACAAUGUUCAAAUGCGGUGAAUGAUUCACCGUGUUCCACACUUAUAUUCCCGUGUUUAAAUACGGUGAAUAGUUACCGUAUUCGUAUUUAUAUUUUUCUUAUUUUUUUAGCAAUAUAUAUAUUUGUAUUUUCUCCAAACACAAUAAACCAUUCACCGUAUUCAACUUAACAAACUGGCCCCAGCCGCGCUCACGUGGUGCUGAUAUGCUGCCUGCAUGGCAGGAUUAAUUAGGGCCACUUUUGUAAAUAUAAAUUUGCCGAGACUAUUUUUAAAAUAAAUUUUUUUCAAGAGGCUAAAUGCAAAAAAAAACCCUAUAUUCUUCAUAUUAUUUAAUUACACUCAAAAUUUAACAUAUUCUAUAUAUUACAAAAUAAAGAUUUUUUUUAGACAAAUUUCACGCAUAAGGUUAGAGAUCCAUAAACUUAAAUUUGUAUAUAGUAAAUUCGAUCAUGACGUAUGAUGUUGAAAGCCUGCCGAAUUUUGAACUCGGCAAGUUAUGUUACAUUACCCAACAAAUUUUUCUAACCUAUAAUUUAACAUAUUUUUUAAUAAAAUUUUAUUUUUUUUUAUAUAUAUUAUUAUUUUAUUAUAUAACGCUACAACAGAAUUAGAUUAUAGGGGCACAUGUUUAGGACACUUUUGUGUAAGUGUCUCAUUUAUGCAAAAAUUUUAAAAAAAAAUCUACUAAUGCCUAAAUAUAAAGUCCAAUCCAACAAAAAUAAAAAGUUACUCUACUCAACCCACCCCACCUAGCCCAUUCGGCCCAAUUACAAAUAGAAAAGAAAAAGAAAAGAAAAAUUGAUUACGAUUUUUCCUUCUCCCCUCAUUCAAUCGAUUGAAAUUCUAUAUGAAGAUCCAUUCCUCUCGCCCUCCUCCGCCACCGCAGCCAACGAGAUAGAGUUCCAACGGUUGCUAAAUAUUUAAAUAAAUGUUGGUAAAUUAACAGCAUUUUUUUUAGAUUAUAGCGACACUCUUUAACUGUCACUAUAUACCUAACGACCCCACAUAUAGCAACACUUUUUAAAAGUGUCGGUAAUUUAGCCAGCAAUAUUUUUUUUGACCUGUACCGAUAUUUAAAAAUGUCGCUAUAGACCGUUUUUGUUGUAGUGUAAUAAUAUGUAUAGAUAUAAUUUUCAGCAAAGGGUGGGUUUUGCACUACUGUGAUAUU